Molecule: long non-coding RNA, 184920 nt
Filed under: Populus trichocarpa (black cottonwood)
Lineage: Eukaryota; Viridiplantae; Streptophyta; Magnoliopsida; Malpighiales; Salicaceae
Description: long non-coding RNA (PTRI_LNC003864)
Rfam family: MIR478 microRNA precursor family (bases 88244-88334)
Source: RNAcentral
GGAAAAGAAAAAAUAGAAGCCAUAUUCUUGGACAUGCCUGGAAUAAAAGAGGCACAAUGGAACAUGAAAGCCUUCUCUAAAAUGAGCAGACUAAGAUUGCUCAAAAUCGACAACGUGCAGCUUUCUGAAGGACCUGAAAAUCUUUCCAAUAAGUUGCUUUUUCUUGAAUGGCAUUCUUACCCUUCAAAAUCAUUGCCAGUUGGUUUACAGGUGGAUGAGCUAGUUGAACUUCACAUGGCUAACAGUAAUCUUGAUCAAUUAUGGUAUGGGUGUAAGGUGAGAUCAACUAAUUUAAGGGCCUUUGUAUUUCUUUUUAUCGUUUUCCUAUAUAUGUAUGAUAGUAGUGUCCAAAUUUCUUCUCCCCUGCUUGAUUGCAGAGUGCUUUUAAUUUGAAAGUCAUCAAUCUCAGCAACUCACUACACCUGACCAAGACUCCAGAUUUUACUGGAAUUCCAAAUCUCGAGAGUCUGAUUCUUGAAGGUUGUACAAGUUUGUCUGAGGUCCAUCCAUCACUCGGAUAUCACAAGAAGCUUCAAUAUGUGAAUCUUAUGGAUUGCGAAAGUAUUAGGAUUCUUCCAAGCAACCUUGAAAUGGAAUCACUUAAAGUUUGCAUUCUUGAUGGAUGCUCAAAACUUGAGAAGUUUCCAGAUAUAGUAGGAAACAUGAACUGUUUGAUGGUGCUUCGUUUGGAUGGGACAGGUAUUGAAGACCUGUCUUCAUCAAUUCAUCAUUUGAUUGGCUUAGAAGUACUGAGCAUGAAAACCUGUAAGAACCUUAAAAGCAUUCCGAGUAGCAUAGGUUGCUUGAAAUCCCUUAAAAAACUUGAUUUGUUUGGCUGCUCUGAAUUUGAAAAUAUACCAGAGAAUUUGGGGAAAGUUGAAAGUUUGGAGGAGUUUGAUGUAAGUGGAACUUCAAUAAGACAACCGCCAGCAUCCAUUUUUCUUUUAAAGAAUCUUAAAGUAUUAUCUUUUGAUGGAUGCAAAAGAAUAGCUGAGAGUCUCACGGAUCAAAGGUUGCCUUCUUUGUCGGGUCUGUGUUCUUUAGAAGUACUGGAUUUAUGUGCUUGCAAUCUAAGAGAAGGGGCACUUCCUGAAGAUAUUGGCUGCUUAUCUUCAUUGAAGUCUUUAGAUCUGAGCCGGAAUAACUUUGUUAGCCUGCCUAGGAGCAUAAAUCAGCUUUCUGGACUUGAAAUGCUUGCCUUGGAGGAUUGCACGAUGCUUGAAUCAUUGCCUGAGGUUCCAUCAAAAGUUCAAACAUUAAAUUUGAACGGUUGUAUACGCCUAAAAGAAAUUCCAGAUCCGACAGAGCUAAGCAGUUCCAAAAGAUCAGAGUUCAUAUGUCUUAACUGCUGGGAAUUGUACAAUCAUAAUGGCCAAGACAACAUGGGGUUGACGAUGCUUGAAAGAUACCUCGAGGUCUUCUCUUAAUCAUACCCCCAACCUUUUUUUUAUCUCUCUCCCUCUCCCUCUAUCUAUCUAACAUUUUUGUUUUUCAUGGUUCAGGGUUUGUCUAAUCCAAGACCUGGAUUUGGUAUCGCUAUUCCAGGAAAUGAAAUUCCAGGGUGGUUUAACCAUCAAAGUAUGGGAUCUUCAAUUAGUGUGCAAGUGCCUAGUUGGAGCAUGGGGUUUGUUGCAUGUGUUGCAUUCAGUGCAAAUGGUGAAAGUCCUUCUCUUUUUUGUCAUUUCAAAGCCAAUGGAAGAGAGAAUUAUCCUUCGCCGAUGUGUAUUAGUUGUAACUAUAUCCAAGUUCUGUCAGAUCAUAUUUGGCUAUUCUAUCUAUCUUUUGAUCAUCUUAAAGAGCUUAAAGAAUGGAAGCAUGAAUCCUUUAGCAACAUUGAGUUGUCAUUUCAUUCUUUCCAGCCUGGAGUAAAGGUGAAGAAUUGUGGUGUCUGUUUGUUAUCUUCUGUAUAUAUUACACCACAACCAUCUUCUGCCCAUUUUAUUGUUACAAGCAAAGAAGCAGCUUCUUCAUUUAAAGCUUCUUUAGCUUCUUCUUCGUCGUACCAUCAAUGGAAGGCCAAUGUUUUCCCUAGUAAUGCUGUCACCUAUUUAAAGUCAGAUCUAGCCCGGAGAUUCAUUGUCCCAGUCGAGAAGGAACCAGAGAAAGUAAUGGCAAUUAGAUCAAGACUCUUUAAGGCCAUUGAAGAAUCAGGGCUGUCAGUUAUUAUAUUUGCAAGAGAUUGUGCUUCUUUACCUUGGUGCUUUGAAGAACUUGUCAAGAUUGUCGGAUUCGUGGAUGAGAUGAGAUCGGACACUGUGUUUCCAGUUUCUUGUGAUGUCGAACAAUCAAAGAUAGAUGAUCAAACAGAGAGUUACACAAUUGUCUUUGAUAAGAAUGAAGAAAAUCUCAGGGAAAAUGAGGAGAAGGUGCAAAGAUGGAGGAAUAUUCUCAAUGAAGUUGAAAUUUCAUCUGGAUGGAAAAGGUAAUAAUUACUUCUUCUUUUUUGUGUGUAUAGCUCGACUUAUCAACCACUUCAAGUAAAUGAAACUGGGAAUGCUGAAAUAUCAAAUUUCAGAACUUAAUGUUAACAAAUCUGCACCGUGCAAGGUUCAGUACAUAAUGAGGUUACAAGUUUUUUUUUCAAGGUAGAUUAUGAAUUUAAGAAAACUUAAUAUUAAACUUAGUUGAGUUUAUAGUCUGCAUUAACCCGACAUGUUUUACUAUGGACAAUAUUGUUUACUUUAUUUUUUUUAGGUUUGUUAUAAAUUCAAAGGGAGAAAAAUAUUGAACCUGUUGAGUGCAUUAUCCAGGUCACAAGUUUGUUUUUAAAGGUUGGAGUAUAAAGUUUUUUAAAAAAUUUCAACCCAGUUGAGUAUUUUUUAUAAAGAUUGAGUUUUUUUAUGGUGUUGUGUAUUUUUAAUUUUUGAAUUUGUUUUUUUUUUAAGUUUAAUAUAAAUUUAAGAGAAAACAAUUAUUGAACCUCGUUGAAUUCAUGGUUCGAGUCACAUAUUUAAUUUUUUUUAAGGUUUAAGGAAAACAAUAUUGAAACCGAUUGAGUUCAUGAACUGAGUUACGAGUUUAACGAGUUAAGCCACAAUAACCAAAUAAUUUUUUUUUUUCUAAUGUUGCUUUUUUUUAUUGAUAUCUUUUUUUAUAUAUCUUAUUUUAGAUAAUUUUCAAUUUAUGUUUCAAUUAAUAUCACUCAUCUAUGAUUUGUUUUGUUUAUUUAACUUUUUUUUAAUAUAAAUUGUUUUUUGAUGGUGUUGUAUGUAUUUGUUUUUAAAUGUUGAAUAUAAAUUUAAGAGAGAACAAUAUAGAGUCUGGUUGAGUUCAUGGUCUGGGUCACAUGUUUAAUUUUUUUUUGUUAAAGGUUGAAUACAAAUUUAAAAGGAAAACAAUAUUGAACUCGGUUGAGUUUAUGCUCCGAGUCACGGAUUUAACGAGUUAAGCCACAACAACAAAACAAUGUUUUUUUUUUCUGAUAUUGCUUUUUUUUACUGAUAUUUUUUUAUAUAUCUUUUUUAAAAUAUUUUUUUAAUUUAUGUUUCAAUUAAUAUUCCACAUCCGUGAUUAUUUUUUUGUUUCAAUUAAUAUUCCUCAUCUAGUAUGUAAAAAAGCGUCAUCUUAUUUUUUUCACAAACAUCUUGCAACAAAAAAAAAAGUUAGUGGGCGUGGGCCCUAACAAAAUGCGGCAAUUGGGUUGGCUUAACUUAGUAGUCCCAACAAUGCCUGACCUUUGCUUCUUCUUUUUUUUCUGUUAUGUGUUUUUUUAAAAAAAUUAUAUUUAGAUUAACAUCCCUUCUUUUUUUUUUUAUGUUGUUUAGAGAUCCUCUUUGAAAUGAUGGUUAAUUUUUAGUUAUGCAUUUAAUUUUUGAGAAAGUUUUUCUUACUCAUUUAUAAUUUUUUUAAUUUUUUGUACAGAUGAACUUUAUUCUUGAAAAAAAAAAAUUUUAUUUUCAAAUAAUAUUUCUAAUAUGUGCAGCCUUGCAUAUUAUUUUUUUUCAUUUUAUUUUAUUCAAUCAAUUUAAUGUGUAUAUCUACUUUUAUUAUCGUUUGAUUGAAUAGAAAACUUGUUUUAAUUAAUAAAUUUAGUAAAUACAAUCGCGUAAAUAUCACGUAUUUUGAAAUUAAAUAUCUUAAUCUAGACCAAUUUCUCGAUUUUUGCACUUUUAUUUUUAGUUGUAGUUUAUAGUUGUUUUUCUUACUUAUUAACACAUAUAAUUCUUGAUUUAUUUGAUUAUAUUUAUGCAUAAUUUUUUUUUUCACUUAGAAUUUUUUAAAUACAAAAACAUGUUGAAAAAAUCUAUCUAUAAAUUUUUUAUUAAUUUUUUUUUUAACACCCAACAAAACAUGUAACAUCGAUUCCAUGUACAGUUUGACUAUACCUCAGCUGCAGCAGCUGCUCGAGCAGGAGGAGCAGAACCUGCAGCAGUAGGAGCAGCAGCUGCAGCAGUUGCUCGAUCAGCAGGUGCUCUGGCGGCGGCGGCGGCGGCGGCAGCAGCAGCUCGAUGAGCGGCGGCAGGUGCUCCAGACGGAUUUUAGGUUAUAUCUUUGGUGAACAUCUUGGAUUCAAUUUGCCAAAUUCUCAGUUAUUCUUGAAUUAACAUAAAUCUUGCAACUCAAGAUAAUUUUUUUUUUUUUUUUUACAAAGACUUAUUUUUAUUAAUUUAUAUUUUGUAUUUUAUAUAUUUCCUUCUAUUUUUAGUUAAAUAUAUAUUUUUUUACUAAUUAAUAAACAAUUUUUAUUAUUAAUAGCUUUAUAUUUACAACUAUAUAAACACAUAAAUAUUAAUAUAUAUAAUCACUUACUCGAAAAUUGGACUUGCUUCGUUUGUAACUGGCGAAAUAUCAACCCAUGAAGAUUUUAUGGGAAAACCCAGUUUUAUUUUUUUGAGAAAUAGUGGUAGUACUAAUGGGAAUCGGUGUGGUGGAUUUUGUCCAAGAGGGUAUGUGAGUGUAGCUGAGGCAUUGUCAUCAACAGAUGUUGAAGAUAAUGUGUCUGGUGCCGAUGAAGUGCAAGAAUUGCAGCCAGAAAUGAGGAAAGAAGAGGAGCACUUUAGCAGGAGGAGGCUACGUGCUAACCCUGGAAUAGGGUCAAGGAAGCAUAGGGUCUUAAGGAGAAGGCAAGUGAAGAUUGAGGCGGAAGCAUGGGAACUGGCAACGAAAGAAUAUAAGGAGCUUUUGAAGGAUAUGUGUGAGCAUAAGUUGGCUCCUAAUUUGCCAUAUAUGAAGAGUUUGUUCCUUGGUUGGUUUGAGCCUUUUACAGAUGCAAUUGCGAAAGAGCAGGAGUUGAUUAGAAUGGGGAAGAGUAGGCAGGGUUAUGCUCCGUAUUUUGAUCUGUUGCCAGCUGACAAGAUGUCUGUUAUUGCAAUGCAUCAACUUGCAGCAAUGGUAAUGACAGGUGGGGAACAUGGAUGUGCAAGAGUUGUGACUGCUGCUUGUAUGAUUGGUGAUGCAAUUGAGUGCCCAUAUAAAAAUAUUGAAAGAUAAGGGAAAACAUAAAGUUUCUUAAAUUUACUUUUAGACAACCUUCAUCUGAGGUGAUGAACUAGGACGAAAGAUGAAAGUUACUUUGUACAAUUAUGAGAUAAAAAUCAGCUAUGGAGCUAGUAGCGCCUGGAAAAUUAGAUUUUGAAGUUCCGUUCCGUAAAGUUUUGUUGAAUGUUGAAUGGGGUUUUUCUGGAUUUCUUUUUUAUAUAUCUAUAGUUUUUACUCUCAGUCCAAGUUCUUCUGCUGUUCAUCGUUCCAGGGAGGACACUAAAUGUAGGUAGGAAAAACAAUGUAGUGUAAGAUCCUUUAGAUACCAAGUUUUUACAAUUUUUUCAUUAUGUAUUAAACUUUUCAUAUCACGGGCCUUAUUAGGCUGAAUAUUCUAUUACGCCUUUCUUUUUUGAUCUAAAAUUUCUUCAAAGCAUGGACAUGGUGGACUCAUAAGAGUGACAUUUCAACUUUCCUUUGUCAGAGCUCAUCUCAUGUUUCGACAUUGUUUCACUAUGGAUUUAUACUUUUGCAUUUCCCUGUUGGGGACAGCAAUUAUCUUUAUCAUUUCAAUUAUGUGUGUUCUUGUUUGUGCCUUUGUUUUGUAAGUUGUUUAAGUUUUUCUCUUAGUUAGACUUUAAAGGCACGCGUGACACUUUGCUCUACUGUCUCUUCUGACUAUGGGAGGUGCUUCCUCUUUUCUUUUCCUUUUUUUUUUUUAAAAAAAGAACUAUACAAUGAAGAGAUAUUUAGGUGUACCAUUCUUAAUCCAUUUUUUGGAACUCCUAACUCUUCAGUCUUGUUCUCUUUCUUUGAACCGAGGACUGAAUCUGUAACAGUUUCUGUGAUGAAACAGAUUAGAAUACACAAUAUCUUGGAGAAAACAAGGAAGAAAAAGGAAAAGGCUAAUGAUAGCAAGAAUGGUGUAGAAGGUGAAUCCCCUGCUGUCAUGAAGGAACAAGAAAACCUAAGAAAAAAGGUUACUGAUUUGAUUAAAAAACAAAAGCUGCCAGCUGUGAGGAAGAUUGUGAAGGCGAAGGAUGAUUCAAAACCAUGGAAUGCAGAUGCUAGGGCUAAGGUUUGUGUGCUUGUAAUCAUUGAUAAAGGCUAAUUUUCUUGCACAAAUGUAUCGUGUACGAAUUUGAUUUCUGUCCUUGCACUUUGAGUGGUAUUUCUAUAAUACGACAAUUUAUAUAGUAUUUCUAUAAUACGACGAGGUUUAAUUUCUUUUCUUUUCAUGGUUAUCUCUCAGUGGAUAGCAGCAUCAAUCAUAAGAACUUCUAUAUUUAUAUUUAAUUUAAAUACUAAUUAAACGUGAUAAGAGUGGGAGUUAAAUAUAAUACUUUUAUUGGAAGCUUCUGCGAUGUGCCCAUCAAAUACGACUAUAGUGAAUCCCUGGAUAAGAGAUUGUUGCUUAAAAUAAUGUAUAACAAUGAGAAGAAGAACUUAAAAGAGUGUAUUGUGUGAUUGUUAAUGGGUGUGAUUUUGAAUUGUUAUUUGUGUAUGUUUGUUACUUAGUAAUCUUAAAUAUUUAUAUAUCUCAUAUCACAUGAAAUUAGCUUGGAAAGAGUGCAACAACAGAUAUAUCAUGCAUAGAUAACAUCUAAAAUCAUGUAUAAAGAAAUAUUUCCAAGGAAUCCUAGAGAUCGAAAUUCUCUCCAUCUGUGCAACUUCCCUUGGAUUCUCGCUUUUCGUCCUCACCAUUCUAAGGAUAUGCUUCCCGAGGACGUGCGAAGUAGAAACCAACAGCUUGGCCAAGUAGCAGUUGUUAAGUCAGUUCUAAAGAUAUUCGCUCUCUCUCUUUUUUAGGGGUCCUUUGGCCCCAUCAUGUAUAAAGAAAGAUUUAUUUGUGAAUGAAAAAUUGAGCUUUGUUCAUUAAAUUUUUUUUAAUUAUUUCUUGAUUAAAUUUUGUUUUUCAGUCAAAGAAAAAUUUAGCUUAUAUUUUGAGCAGAAAACACUUUUAAGAAGUUGUGAAAAAUUUAAAAAUAUCAUAUUACUUGCUAAUUAUGUUAAAUUUGGUCCUCAAACUUUUAAUUGCUAUAUAUUUUGUUUGAAUUUUUUUUUCAAUUUCAUCCCUUAAAAUUUAAUUUAAUUUGAUUUUUAUAUUAACUUUAGUUCUUAUUUUUAUGAUUGUUAUUUACUUUUUUCUUAUUAUUUUUUUAAUUGAAAUUUUUUAUCUAUCAAAUUUGAUCUUUAUUCUUUUAAUUAUUAUUUAUUUUAUUUAAAAUAAUAUAUGAAAUUAUUAUUUUUAUUAUUUUAAUUUCAUCAUCAUUAAAAUUAAAGGCCAUAUAUUAAUGGAUAGAUAUCACAAAGAUCACCGUACACAACUCAAAAGUGAUGCUCUAUACAAGUCUUGAGCAGAUUUACAAGCACCAAAAACUGUUUCCACCACCGACACCGACACAACGCAAAACCCCUGAAUUUACCCAUGUUUGUGUCAAUUCAUUUAUGCACUUUUGACCAAAUUUUUCUUUUGCUUUUUUAUGCUGUCCCACUGAGCAGACCUCUUUUGUUCUUUUGUGUGAAAAAAAAAACUAAAUAAAUUAAUUAAAAAAUAAAAAAAACUUUGGUUCAGUUCAAUUUCAGUUUUAAUUCUAAAACCGAUUGAACUACAUCAAGUCAGGGACUAGUCAUUAUUUUUAUAUUCCCGUUAUUAUUUAUUAUUCUAUAGAAGCUUUUGAAAAAAAAAAUUAACAUUGAUCAUUCAUUCACUUUUGAAAAAACUUUCUUUUGCCCUUUUAUGUUGUUCCACUAGAUGACCCCUUUUUUGUUUUUUUGUUAAUUGAAAUUAUAUUACAUGUAAUUGUUUCAUCUCAUUUUUAUUUUUGAAAAGUAAAUUUUCUUUAAUUAGAUUAUCCUUAAUAUUAAAUUAUCCCUUUGCUUUUUGCAGGUCUUGUCAAGCUGUUUGGUUUUUUAAUUUCAAAUGAAUCUAAUUAAACUGGUUGAAUUGAUUUUUAGUUUAUUUCAGAUUAUUUUUUCAUGAAAUGAAUAGGACAAUAAACACUCUUAAUAAUCAUCUUGCCUUUAACUUCAAUUAAUUAUCUCAAAUAGAGAUUAUCAAUUAAAAUUUCACAAACUUUACCGUUACUAAUAAUUUAUAUAAUUAUUAAUUUUAAGACUAAUAUAAUUAAUCAUAAUAUAUGCAAACUGCUCUAAUACUCUUGUUAAUAAUAAAAACAAAAUUACAAUCACAUCAGGCACAUGGUUGCAUUCAUGAUUGCAUUCGCUUUCACCCCCUGACUAUGAACAGGAACCCCAAUCAAAUGAAAAGAUUAAUUAAGAUAUGUGCAAACUGUGUUGGAUAUCCACAUUAAUAAAAAUAAAAAAAAAAUACAAUCUCAACAGGCACAUGGAAUUGAUCUCCUUGGUCCACAGCAUAUAUCCUUGGUCUGCAGGAACCCCAAUCAAAUGAAAUGGAUUUCCUGGAAAUUGAUCUCCUUGGUCCACAGCCGAUUCGAUUAACCAAGUCGGCUACCACUUGCAGCACAAUUCAUCAAAAGACGAUGUGAAUUAUCAUUUGACGUCAAACCAGGUGGAUUAUCAGCUGCAGCCACAAUUCACAAUUAUUUGAUGCAUAGCAAAAUAAUUAUUCAGAAUCACAGUACCUUGGCAGUCCUUUCCAGCCAAAUUGAUGUGUUGUGUGCUAAUCCGAUGAAAAUCAAGAUCCCAAAGAGGGUGAUGCCGCUGAUGUAGUAGUUGCAAUGCCGAGGACUUUUAUGUAUAUAUAAUUAUGUAUACUGUGUUUUUUAUUUUUAUUUUACUGGAUCUCAUAAUUAAAUUUUUGUUGCAUAAUUUUUAAUUAAUAAACAUGUAAUUAUAAAUGAAGGAAAGAAAAAAUUGGAUGGACUUGUUUGUUUCAAUUUUAUCUUUUUGGUUUUAUCUUUUUUAUUUGUUUUUUAAAGCCUUUUUUUAAGUCUUAAUCAAUUCUUUAUUUUUUAUUAUUUUUUUAAGUAUAAAAGUAUAUUCCAAAGAAUAUUUUAAAGUAAUUGGGCAAAUAACAUUGUUAGCCACGGAGAGAUCAAUGGUAUGGACAAAAUCAAUAGUAUAAUGAUUGGACUAAAAACCUUUCAAAGACAAGGGACCUCAUCAAAUCAAAAUCAAUAGUAUACGAUCCCUCAAACUCAUUAACCCCUCACAACUCACUAACCCAAUUUCUCUUGUUUUUGGAUAAUUAAAAAGAAUCCAUUUUUUAUGUUGUUUUGAAUUUUUUUUUAUUUACGAGUUUAAGAGUUAAAAUGUGCUUUUAGAGAUGAAAGAAUUGAGAUUAAAGGAAAGUAUGGAGGAGAGCUUGAUUCAAUUUGUUUUGAUUUUUGAUUUUUUAUUUCGUAAAUGUAAGAAAACUUUUUUCCAUGAUGAUUCAUUAUUUUGUUUUUUAUGUUUGUUCUUGAAUUGAGUAGAAUUGGUAUAAUGUAAAGUGAUUCAUGACCUGUUUGGAAAUUUGAUUUUUUUUUUAAAUUAUUUAUAUAUAUGUUUUUAAAUUGUAUUGAUGUAUUUAUAUCAAAAUUAUUUUAAAAAAAUAAUAAAAAUAAUUAUUUUUAUAUAUUUUAAAAAAAAUACUUUAAAAAAUAAUCACUACCAUAUUUUCAAGCACUUAUAAUGAAAGGUUUGAGAUGAGAUAUUGGUAAUGAGAGAAAAAUGGGUGUUUGUGAUAAAAAUAUUAAAGUUUGAGAUUCUAAACUCAAUUCAAUAUGAUUUUGUUUUUCGUUAAUUAGUUUCAGUUAAUAGGGUGGUACGUGGCUAAGUUUAUUUUUUUUAAAAAAAUCAAUGGGAAUUUAUAGUAUUUAAUAUAAGAGUUUUAUAGUUAAUAGUUUGAAAAUUCAUUAAAAAAUACUUUUCAAUUGUGAUGUGUGUGGCCCGGCCCUGCUCUUGACAGGAAGGUGCCUCUGCUUCCCAAUGCGCGUUCGAUAUCCCUUUCAUUUCUCUUUUUACUUUUUCCCCACCGAAACUCCAUCUUCUUUACAGUGUAAGAAAAAGAUCCGUAAGGAAACUUACCAGUACGAGUGAGUUCUUGACCUAAAGUAACCGGAAAAAAUUCGAAGUCAUUGGAAUAAAAAGAAAAGAAAAGGGCUUUCGAAGUUGGUUACUAAGAUACCAGAAGUAGGAGAAAUAUUGGAUUUGUACUUCGUGUUCAAGUUAUGGUUAUACAAGAGGUUGGAUUCAGUUUUGUUAUACAAGCACUGGUAUAUUAAAAAUUAUAAAUCAAUAAUAACAACAUUAUUAUUAUUAUUAUUAAUCAAGAUUAAAAUUAAUAAAGAAAUAAAAGACCAUGAUGUUUUUGGUCCACAGCCUAUUUUCUCCGAGACCGUGCGCAACAAUAUGGUGGUGGCGGAUUCAGUCAGCUGGACCAGUGGUAUGAUGAGACCAUGUUUUUGUGCGACAAUAUGGCUUUUUAUUCUUUUGUGUGAAUAAAAAGAAUAUCUAAAAAGAACAAAACCCUCAAAUAUCAAAUCUUUAUAUGUUUGAAUAUCUAAAAAGACGAAAAAGCAAAAAAUUUCAAACUUUUUUCCUCAAUUUUUUAAAAAAGGGGAAAAAAAGCAAUAUAGGUCAUGGAUUUCUUUUCUUUUCUUUUCUUUUUUUGUUACAUGGAGAGUAGUUAGAUCUCAUUAAAGCAAAUAAUUCAUCAAUCAUAAUCAAUACUCAAAACAAAGCAUGCAAGUAAACCAUUAAUAUUAAUGUUGAUGGUAAAAAAAUAAAAAUGAUGUGUAAAUUGAGAUGGAGAGCUAAACAUAUAAAAAGACCAAAAAACAAAACGAAUGCUACAGUCAAAUUUUGAACAUCUAAAAGAUAUCUUGUGUGCGACUAUUUCCAUGUCACUAUGCACGACAGAAAAAAGAGAAGAUGCUAUAAAAGAAUGUGUGGAACCAAGUAAAACAAUGAAUAUCCAACAACAACGGAGUUUGAAAUUGAUGAAUUAAGAUUUUAUCUGUAUAUUUUUAUAAAAAUUCAAGAAAGAUCUAUUUGGUUAAAUUUUUAAAAAUAUAAACAUGCAUCAAUAAAAACAUGUCAGGUCUGAUGCUAUUCAAAUCUAGGCAUAUUGGGCUUGGUAGUAUACCAAGUCCCGGACAUGCUACAUCUCGUCGUGUGAAAUGACCUUUUUUUCUUGGGCACGCUCAAGAUAAUGGAUAUCCUCUCUUGAGUGUAAUCUAUGAGAAUAGCUCAUCCUCUAUGAGCAUUAGCUACAUAUGAUGUAUAAAAGUCAUUCAAAGAUCCAUCAUAUUUCAUCAAAUAUUAAUAUAAAUAUAAGAAAUAUUUAUCUAUCAUUAAAUGUUAAAAGGAUUUCUUCACAAAAAAACAAGAUUCAUAGGCUAUAAAUACACAAUGAAACUUUCAGAAUAAAGAUUUACAAUAUUCAUUUUUUACUGCAUAUAUAAUUUCAAAGUAUCUCUUUCUAAAAUAUUAUUGUAUUUUUUUCUUUUUAAAAUGAUAUUUAUUUAAAUAUGGAUUUCAUCAUAAAUCAUGUUCACAGUUAAAAAAAAAAAUUAGCUGAUUCAGCAAAGCAAGUUAUAAAGGGCAAGAGCAACACAAUCCAUAGACACAGUGUUCAUCCAAAUCAAUUGGAAAUUGAUGAUCCAAAAAGCAGGAAGCAUUACAAACAACGCCAAUUUAUAAUUUUUUAUUAAUCAACCCCUGCUCUUGACGGGAAGGUGCCUCUGCCACCCAGUGCAACUCAAAUUUCGACAUCCCUUUCAUUUCUCUUUUUGCUUUUUCUCCACCGAAACUCCGUCUUCUUUACAGUGUAAAAAAAAGAUCAGUAAGAAAAUCCAGGAAACUUACCAGUACGAGUUCUUGACCUAAAGUAAUCGGAAAAAAUUCGAAGUCAUUGGAAUAAAAAGAAAGAAAAGGGCUUUGGAAGUUGGUUACUAACAUACCAGAAGAAGAAAAACUAUUGGGCUUGGCUGGAUCUUGUGCCUCUUUAGCCAACACUUACCACUCGGUUUGUUACGUCUAGAUUCGUGAAAUACUCGUAGAAAUUUGGUGUUUUCUGAUUUCUAAGUAGAAUUGUACUUGUUCCAGCUUGAAAUUGCUAUUUGGUAGAUUUAAUUGCCGAAUUUCUUGAUCUUACCUUCUGUUUCAUGUUUGACCACAGGAGCAGGCCUUGUACAAAAUAGCGUGGAAAGCAAUUGCUGAACCAAGCUAGCUUAGUUGGGGCUAGAAGGGAUCGGUACUAAUUUAUUGCUUUAGGGAUUUUCAUGGCUUCCACCAGCGUGCAAGGAAUGACCUCAUCUUCAUCUUCUUCUCCUCCACUAUAUAUGUAUGAUGUGUUCCUUAGUUUUAGAGACAAAGACACCCGGAACAACUUUACUAGUCAUCUAUAUUCUAAUCUGAAACAGAGAGGCGUCGAUGUAUAUAUGGAUGAUAGGGAGCUCGAGAGAGGAAAGACCAUCGAACCUGCUCUCUGGAAGGCCAUCGAAGAAUCAAGGUUUUCUGUCAUUAUAUUUUCAAGAGAUUACGCUUCCUCACCAUGGUGCUUGGAUGAACUUGUCAAGAUUGCUCAGUGCAUGAAAGAGAUGGGGCACACUGUUCUGCCAGUUUUUUAUGAUGUGGAUCCCUCAGAGACAUAUGAGAAAGCCUUCUUUGAGCAUGAACAAAAUUUCAAGGAAAAUUUGGAGAAGGUCCAGAUCUGGAAAGAUUGUCUCUCUACAGUGACCAAUCUAUCAGGCUGGGACGUACGGAAUAGGUAAAUCAUCUAUCUAUCUAACAUAGCUUAUACUCAAAUCCUCCCUGUAUUGUUUCAAUGAUGAUCAUAGCUUUUUGUUUUUUUUUCAAUGUUUUUCAAUUUAAACGUGUGAUUAAAUAUCGAAAUAAUCACAAGACAACAAGAGUAUCAAAACUAAUUCUUGAGUAAAUAAUUAUUAGUAUAUAUUUUUUAUUCCUUAAAUAGCUUUUUAACGAACCUUUUGUCUAUGAUCAACCUAUUUUUUCUUUAAUUUUGACUUUUAAAAUAAAAGAGGAGCACGUCUCAAAUCUCAAUUGUCACAAUUUUUAAGAAAUAAAAAUUGAAAACAAAUUAAAAAAAUUCUUGAACUUUUUGCUAAUUUCUAUUAUUUAAUAGAUCGAAUAAUAAAAUUUCAAUUAUCUAAAUUGAAUUGAAUUAUUGAGGCAUCUUUAGAAAAAGUCAAUAUUACAAAGACAUUUUUAGUAUCAUUAGAAUAUUUUUUCCUGAUUGUAUUAUAGAAUAACAGAGGAUAACUUUAUCGAUUGUAUUAACAAAAAUUUAAAAUCCUUGAGAAAUGUCUUGAUUAAUUUACUAAUGGAUUGUAACAAUGAAUUUACUAAUUUUUCAUUCUAAAAAAAAAAAACUACUUAUCAGGGAUACUAGGGUCUUUUUAUAAGGGCAAUAGUUAUUAUAGAAUUGAUAGGGGUAGUUAGAUUACUUAGUUGCCUUUAAAAGUAAAAAUAAAUAAAUUAGCUAUAGGAGCUUUUUUAAGAUUUUUCACUUUUCAGGGUGCAAUAAAAUAACUUUAUUUCCUUUAAAAUUAAAGAUACUUACCUUGUCUUCAAGGGCUUAUUCAUGCUUUUAUUUUUUUGCGAUAAAAAAAAGAAGAAAAGUGGUUGGCUUGUUUGUAGAACACACAAGCGAGUAAGUUGUUCUACCUUAUUUAAGCAGCACGAGUAAUGGCUUAUGACACCCAAAAAAGGCCUUCAUUGAUGUUUUUUGAUUAAUCACGACAUGACCUACCUCCCUAAGUGGCAUGUGUGGAGUAAUCCUUUCUGAUUUGGCACCAAAUUACUUUCGCUUCUUUUCUUUUCUUUUGUCUUUAUCCUUGAAUUCCGCACCCGACCUUCAACACUUGUAUAGUAACUCUUCAAUUUGGUUAUUUUUUUUUCAUAUUUAGUCAAUUUUCUUUUAAUUGAUAUUUUUUAUUUGAAUUACUUUUUAGAAUUGAAAUUUGUUUUUAAUUUUAUACUUUUUAAUUUUUUAAUAUAUUAGAUUUGAUUCUCAUUCUUUUUAUUACUAUUUAUUUUAUGUGAGAUUAUUUUAAAAAAAAAUUUGGCGAUUUCAUCCUUCAUUUUUUUAUUGUUAUGGUUUUUUACCUUGACAAGUUUUUAAAAUUGAUAUAUAUAUAUAUAUAUAUAUAUUAUUUGUUAUUUCAUAUUUUAACAUUGAAUUAAACUUUUUGGUUGAAUCUGGAUUUAGGAUUUAACGGAUUGAGAAUUUUGGGCACUAACCUGGGUUUAGGAGAUUUGUCUAGGUUUUUUUUUAUUUUUUUAAGCUCAUGUUUUUUUUUUCCAGUUUCAUCAUUCAAUAUUUAAUUUAAUUAGAGACUAAGCUCUAUUAAUUUUUUUAUUUUCUUUCUAUAAGAUUUUUAAAUAAUUUUAAAAAUAAUCAGGCUUAUCUUAAGUCUUUUUAUUUCUCAUUAUUUGUUAAAUCUAGUUGCUAUUUUUUUUUAAAAAAAUUUAAUUGAAUAUUUUUUUAUGUUUAGCUUUUAAUAUUUGAUUGAUUGAAAUUGGGCUCUAUUUUAUUUUGAUAUGGGUUCCAUGUAGUUUUCACGGAUUUAUGUUUCGGAUCGCGAGUUUCACAAGUUAACCAUAGUUACUCCAGGUCGAUCUAGUGUGUUGUCAUCACAAUUAUAUUCUUAAAUAAAUAUAUCAUCCAAUGUAUUAUUAUCUUAAUAUUUUAAAAGUGUUUUUCUAGCAUGUAUUGAGUUUUUUACUUUCAAAUAUUGUUAUGUUUUUGCCCAACUUAAAUAAAAAUAAGUUUAUAUUAAUGAAAUGAUCAUUAUAUUGAAAUUAAUAUGAAGAUUGCAUAAAAAUUGAAAGAUUAAACAGAGAAGAAAGAUGAAGAAAUGGGUUGUGAAAAUUUGUGUUGUGAGAAGCGUAUGUGAUAUCAGUGCACCCCAAGGUGCGUGGAUUGGAUUUGCGCAACCACUUAAACUAUGUUAGUUUGGGAAAUUUUCUUUGGGCUAUGCUAAUAUGGGAAAAAACUCAAAAAUUAAUAAAUUUAAAGUUGUUUUUUUAAAGUUAAUUAUGCUAAAUAAUUGAAUUUUUUGUUAAAAAUAAUUAUAAAAAUAACUUAUGGAUAUUUUAUUUCCUAGCUUUUGUUCUUGUAUGCAUGCUUCUGUAGUAACUGUGUGAUUCUAUACGCAAUAAGAUAGCUAUUGUACGAAUGAUUCUUAGCAUCAAUACAAUCCUAGUUCCUUGUUCAGUUUAUUCUUUCCUUUUCCUCUCUGUUCUUGAAGCUAUCUAUUAUCAGGGCCCUAUUUUUCUCAAAGGUUGGUGUAUUAAUUUCCGGCUAACAGCCAUACAUUUUCGAGCUAUAAUAUGCUAAUGUUUAUUUUCCCAUUAUCACUAUCUGAUUUCAUUUCUGCACACAGCAUGAUUAAUGUUUUCCACCACCAUAUGCAGGAAUGAGUCGGAAUCAAUUAAAAUAAUUGCUGAAUACAUAUCGUACAAACUAAGCAUCACUCUGCCAACAAUUAGCAAAAAAUUAGUUGGAAUAGAUUCUCGCCUACAGGUAUUAAAUGGCUAUAUAGGUGAAGAAGUAGGCAAAGCAAUCUUCAUAGGGAUUUGUGGAAUGGGUGGCUUGGGUAAGACGACUGUUGCAAGGGUAGUAUAUGAUAGGAUUCGUUGGCAAUUUGAAGGCAGCUGCUUCUUAGCGAAUGUCAAAGAAGAUUUUGCUAGGGAAGACGGACCACGUCGUUUGCAGGAACAACUUCUUUCUGAAAUCUUAAUGGAACGUGCUUCUGUAUGGGAUUCUUAUAGAGGGAUUGAGAUGAUAAAGCAGAGGUUACGACUUAAAAAGAUUCUUCUUAUCCUUGAUGAUGUAGAUGAAAAAGAACAACUAGAAUUCUUGGCUGAGGAGCCUGGAUGGUUUGGUCCAGGGAGCAGAAUUAUCAUAACAAGCAGAGAUAAACAAUUGUUGACUAGAAAUGGUGUUGCUAGAAUUUAUGAGGCUGAGAAAUUGAAUGAUGAUGAUGCUCUUACGUUGUUUAGCCAGAAAGCUUUCAAAAAUGACCAACCUGCUGAAGAUUUCGUGGAACUAUCCAAGCAAGUUGUGGGUUAUGCUACUGGCCUUCCACUGGCUCUUGAAGUUAUAGGUUCCUUUAUGCAUGGAAGAAGUAUCCUUGAAUGGGGAAGUGCGAUUAAUAGACUAAAUGAUAUUCCUGACCGUGAAAUUAUUGAUGUGCUUCGGAUUAGUUUUGAUGGUCUCCAUGAAUCAGAUAAGAAAAUAUUUUUAGACAUUGCAUGUUUCCUGAUGGGGUUUAAAAUUGAUCGAAUAACAAGGAUACUUGAAAGCCGUGGAUUCAAUGCAGGUAUUGGAAUAUCAGUUCUUAUUGAGAGAUCUCUCAUAAGUGUCUCUCGGGAUCAAGUCUGGAUGCAUAAUUUAUUACAGAUAAUGGGUAAGGAAAUUGUUCGUUGUGAAUCCCCUGAAGAGCCUGGAAGGCGCAGUAGAUUGUGGACAUACAAGGAUGUCUGCCUUGCACUGAUGGACAACACAGUGAGUAGCUAAUAGAGAACAUUAUCCAUAACAUUUCAUAAAGUUUAUUUUAAUUUACGCUCCAGCUCUACUUUGUAUUUGUUUUUUUUACUUGUAUUCCCUUUUGGUUGACAGGGAAAAGAAAAAAUAGAAGCCAUUUUCUUGGACAUGCCUGGAAUAAAAGAGGCACAAUGGAACAUGAAAGCCUUCUCUAAAAUGAGCAGAUUAAGAUUGCUCAAAAUCCACAACGUGCAGCUUUCUGAAGGACCUGAAGCUCUUUCCAACGAGUUACGAUUUCUUGAAUGGAAUUCUUACCCUUCAAAAUCAUUGCCAGCUUGUUUCCAGAUGGAUGAGCUAGUUGAACUUCACAUGGCUAACAGUAGUAUUGAGCAAUUAUGGUAUGGGUAUAAGGUGAGAUCAACUAAUUUAAGGGUCUUUGUAUUUCUUUUUAUCGUUUUCCUAUAUAUGUAUGAUAGUAGUAUCCAUAUUUCUUCUCCCAUGCCUGAUUGCAGAGUGCAGUUAAUUUGAAAAUCAUCAAUCUCAGCAACUCACUAAACCUGAUCAAGACUCCAGAUCUUACUGGAAUUCUGAAUCUCGAGAGUCUAAUUCUUGAAGGAUGUACAAGUUUGUCAGAGGUCCAUCCAUCACUUGCACAUCACAAGAAGCUUCAAUAUGUGAAUCUUGUGAAGUGCAAAAGUAUUAGGAUUCUCCCAAACAACCUAGAAAUGGAAUCACUUAAAGUUUGCACUCUUGAUGGCUGCUCAAAACUUGAGAAGUUUCCAGAUAUAGUAGGAAACAUGAACUGUUUGACGGUGCUACGUUUGGAUGAGACUGGUAUUACAAAACUAUGUUCAUCGAUUCAUCAUUUGAUUGGCUUAGGUCUAUUGAGCAUGAACAGCUGCAAGAACCUUGAAAGCAUUCCAAGUAGCAUAGGUUGUUUGAAAUCCCUUAAAAAACUUGAUCUGUCUGGCUGCUCUGAACUUAAAUAUAUACCAGAGAAUUUGGGGAAAGUUGAAAGUUUGGAGGAGUUUGAUGUAAGUGGAACUUCAAUUAGACAAUUGCCAGCAUCCAUUUUUCUUUUAAAGAAUCUUAAAGUAUUAUCUUCGGAUGGAUGUGAAAGAAUAGCUAAGCUGCCUUCUUAUUCUGGUCUGUGUUAUUUGUAAGUACUGGGUUUACGCGCUUGCAAUCUCUUGAAGAUUGCUUCAAGAGCUGUCAAAGAUUUUAUUUUUGUUUCUGUUAUUUCCAAUUCUCAUGCAAAUAAUGAGCUGUUAAUCUGUUAUUGUUAACAGAUCAUAGCAUGAUUUAAUUCUAUAAGUUUGCAGUUUUGUUUUUCUUAGUUUGAAUAUAUAUGUGUAAAGAUUGCAAUAGAAUGUAUGGAAUCGGUUUCUCAUUCAAAUUGAAAUAAAUUCAAAUACAUUCUUUGCUGUCUCUUCUUUUCUUCCUAUCUUCAUUUCUUCACGUAAACAUUUUUCUUUUAAACACUUUCACAAUCUAAGAGAAGGGGCACUUCCUGAAGAUAUUGGCUACUCGUCUUCAUUGAGGUCUUUAGAUCUGAGCCAAAAUAACUUUGGUAGCCUGCCUAAAAGCAUAAAUCAGCUUUCUGAACUGGAAAUGCUCGUCUUGAAGGAUUGCAGGAUGCUUGAAUCAUUGCCUGAGGUUCCAUCAAAAGUUCAAACAGUAAAUUUGAACGGUUGCAUACGCCUAAAAGAAAUUCCAGAUCCGAUAGAGCUAAGCAGUUCCAAAAUCUCAGAGUUCAUAUGUCUUAACUGCUUAGAAUUGUACGAUCAUAAUGGCCAAGACAGCAUGGGGUUGACCAUGCUUGAAAGAUACCUCCAGGUCUUCUCUUAAUCAAACCUUUUUGUAUCUCUCUCCCUCUCCCUCUAUCUAUCUAACAUUUUGGUUUUUUAUGGUACUAGGUUUGUCUAAUCCAAGACCUGGAUUUGGUAUCGCUAUUCCAGGAAAUGAAAUUCCAGGCUGGUUUAACCAUCAAUGUAAGGGAUCUUUAAUUAGUGUGCAAGUGCCUAGUUGGAGCAUGGGGUUUGUUGCGUGUGUUGCAUUCAGUGCAAAUGGAGAAAGUCCUUCUCUUUUUUGUCAUUUCAAAGCCAAUGGAAAAGAGAAUUAUCCUUCGCUGAUGUGUAUUAGUUGUAACUCUAUCCAACUUCUAUCAGAUCAUCUUUGGUUAUUCUAUCUAUCUUGUGAUUACCUUAAAGAGCUUAAAGAAUGGAAGCAUGCAUCCUUUAGCAACAUUGAGUUGUCAUUUCAUUCUUACCAGCAAGGAGUAAAGGUGAAGAAUUGUGGUGUUUGUUUGUUAUCCUCUCUAUAUUACAUCACAACCAUCUGCCCAUUUUAUUGCUACAAACAAAGAAGCAGCUUCUUCGUAUAAAGCUUCUUUAGCUUUUUCUUCAUCUUACCAUCAAUGGAAGGCCAAUGUUUUCCCUGGCAUCAGAGUUGCAGACACUAGUAUUGCUUUCACCUAUUUAAAGUCAAAUCUAGCCCUGACAUUCAUUAUCCCAGUCGAGAAGGAACUAGAGAAAGUAAUGACAAUUAGAUCAAGACUCUUUGAGGCCAUUGAAGAAUCAGAGCUGUCAAUUAUUAUAUUUGCAAGAGAUUGAGCUUCUUUACCUUGGUGCUUUGAAGAACUUGUUAAGAUUGUCGGACUCAUGGAUGAGAUGAGAUUGAACACUGUGUUUCCAGUUUUUUAUGAUGUCGAACAGUCAAAGAUAGAUGAUCGAACAAAGAGUUACACAAUUGUCUUUGAUAAGAAUGAAGAAAAUCUCAGGGAAAACGAGGAGAAGGUACAAAGAUGGACGAAUAUUCUUAGUGAAGUUCAGAUUUCAUCUGGAUCAAGAUCAUUGAAAAGGUAAUAAUUGACUAAACCCAAAAACGUUUGAAAAAAUUCCCAUUAUGCCAAGCUAUAUGUAUACACACACAACACUUCUGACAUCUCCUUCUUACUCUUAGCGGCAUAAGAGCUCCACCAACGCAGCAGCAGAUCCACCAGCUCCAGCUCCACCAGAAGCAGCAGCGGAUCCAGCUUCUCCAGCUGUUCGAGCGGCAGCAGGGAUGGCUCCAGCUGCUCGAGGAGCGGCAGCGGAUCCAGAAGCACGAGCUCGCGCAGCUGCUCUCUGAGAAGCAGCUGUUUGAGAAGCUGCUGUCUGAGCAGCAGCUGCUUGAGAAGCUGCUGUCUGAGCAGCAGCUGCUUGAGCAGCAGCUGCAUGAGUUUUGAUUACGAAUCUAACUUAAUUGCUUUAGCUUGUAUUAGCUCUUGAUUUUUUUUUCCUUGUUAAUUACCAUCAAAGUACAGUGAGCAGUGAUUGCAAGACAUCAUGUGAUCUUCCUUCUUGUUUGCAUGUUCAUCAAAGCAGCCAACACGAGGCAAAAAACAUAGCAAGGAUUUUCAUCAUGCUAGGACAGGUCCCUGUUUUUGCACAUCGUUUUGGUUUGGGGUAAUAUAUUUAUUUUGGCGUCUCGGUGUUUCUGUGACCGUAGAUCCGAAGAGGUUUUUCCAGCUACUAAUUUCUUAUUAGCUCUUCUUAUAAGGUUUGAUAGGUUGUAAGAGAAAAUAAAGUUCCUAAUAAAUAUUUAAUGUGAUUAUGCUUAACUAAUGAUACAAGCAUCUUGUUAAUGUAAAUGAAGGGAAAAAUGGAUUUGGGUAAUAUUAUUUAUAUUAAUAAAGUAAUAUAAGAAAAAAGAUAAAGAGUUGCAUCAUGACAAUAAUUGUAAGUUUAUAACUUUUCACCCUUAUAAAUAUAUAUAUGUUAUAUAAUAAUAGACAAAUAAAAAAAAUAUUAAAAAGAAAAGAACGUAGAACAAAAUAGAGGAGAAUGGACUCUCUCAAAGAAAAUUCUUUUUCAGUUUUCAGAAGAAUUGUUUCCACAAAUAAGGUAUGUUUAUGUAGUGAAUAAAAAUGAUGAUCAUUUAUUAUUUAAUGUGAUUAUGCUUAACUAAUGAUACAAGCUUCCUGAAAUAUGGUUAUAUUAUUUCUAAAAAAACAACCGUAGUCCUAGAACAAGAAAAACAUGAUUAUUUAAAAAUGAUGAAAGGAAUAUCAUCUCAAGUUUGCAGAUUGUCUAGAUGAUAUUCGUUUCAAGCUUCUUCAUGUGUGUGGGUAUGCGUUUCAAGCUUCUUCAUGUGUGUGGGUAUGCAACUUAAAUUAUAUAUGCAACUCAUAUCUAUGUUGGCAAUAAAUCUUAAUAAACAAGUGGAAUGAAUAUUUGCACGAACACAUGGUAUUCAUAACUCUUUAUUCUAUAUAAUUUGUCAUCCUCUAAAUUUACCAAUCUAGAUACGUUUGAAACAUAUAUAUCAGGAAAACGCAGACUCUUAUGUCAUUAGUAGAUAAGUAACUAUGCAUUUUUAUCUAAGAUAAAGCUAACUUUGAAUUUUAUGACCAUGAUCCAUUAUAAACCAACUUCAUAUUAUUAGGGUGACAAAACAAAUAUAUAUUUAUUAUAACCUUCAUGUUGUCCUUUGUAUUUCCUUUCACGUCCAUUAUUAUAUUAAAAAUGUUUUCAAAAAUGUUUUUUUUAUAUGCAUUAAAUCUAGAUUAUGACAGAGAAAAUUAUUUUUCCAACAAGGAAGCAUCCAAAAAACACUUUACUUUAUCCAAUUGUGGGUCAUACCAAAACUAAGAAACUUUUAUUUACUGAAUUGAAAACCAAACAUAAUACUUUUAUAUUGUGGGACCACAUCAUACAAUUCUUCACUCGAUAGUAUCAGUAGUACAACAUCUAUUUCAACUCUAGCUACAAAGAAGGUGAAACAAAUAAGUCAAAUAUACAUAACCCAAGAUGUACUCUCCGUGGUUCCAUUAAAAAUCAAUGGCGCACCCUAUUAAAUUGCUUUCAAGCUUCACCAUCGAAAGAGUGCACCAUAACCCCAUUUAUUGCAUCAUGUGAAUGAUGUCAUGUCAUGUACUCAAAAGUUUUUUGAGACAUGAAUAACAUUUGCAAUCUAUGAGUGAUUGAGAAGUAUCUCAAUUUUCUAUAUGCAACAAAAGUCCUUCCCUUACCAGUGUUGGGUUUAUCUUGAGCAUGCCUACUAGUUCUGCACUCAAUAAAAUUUGUAUUUUUUAUGGUAGUACAAUAUAUAAAAGUUUAGACACGUAUCAAUUUUUUAGUAUCAUAGGCCAAGGGUUUCAUCAUGGAUUUAGUAGUAUAAAAGUUCUCUUUAAACUUAUUUCCUUCAAAUAAAAGGUUUCUCGUCUAUUUGAUGACUCUGUAAUAGCCGACUUCAUUCAACCCAUGAUCUGACUUGAUAGUAAAUAAUUAUGCAAUAAAUGAUAAUUUUAUUAUGAUUUAUGCACAUAUCUUCGUUGAAAUUUUUAAAAUUUUAAAAACUCUAGCUGAAUAUAAAUUAAGGUGUGUGCCUGAUAGAAUAGACUAAAAAACACAACGAACACCGUUUAUGGCUUGGUGAAGGUGAGAGAGAGAAAGGGUGUGAGAAAAAGAGAAAGGCAUAGAGAGGGGAGAUGGGGAAAUAGAGAGAGGGAGAGUUUUGUGUGAGCUUGGACCGAUUAGGGUUUUCUUAGGUAAUUUUUAUGCACCAUCACUUUGUUUAAGGUAAAGUUAAAGGAUCAUUUUUAAAUUAAAAACUUCUUUGAAUUUAUAUUCUAAAUGAAAAAUGCUAUAAAUAUAGAUAAAUCAUAAUAAAAACUUUCACUGAAAUAUAGUAAGUGAUGAUUGAUGUAGUCAUGAAAAAACUUCACACAAAAAAUAUUGAGUUUUCCAUAAUUUGUUUUAAAACAAGGUCUGUGAUCUAAGAGUUCCUAAAAAAAUAGUUUUUUAUAGAACGAAAGACUCUUCUAUGCUUAAUUUAAUACUUGUAAAGGAGACAAAGAUGAUGUAUAUAUAAAAAAAUUAAAUAUAAAAAUAUAUUAUAUACAUAUAUAGGUUAUAUAGCUAUGUCUAAAGUUGAUUUCUACUUGGUGAGACCAGAUAUAUAUACACUCAAGCUUAAAACUUCCCUGUGGAGGAGGAACCACAGGAGGAAAUCAUGAACCUUUGGUGGCUCAUUGAUACGAGUUUGGAGAAAAAGUUGGUGUGUCAGUGCUUAAAAGUUAAAACUUCUUUUGGUCUUUGAUAUUUUUUUUUAAAAAAAACCUUUGGUUAAUAAUAUAUAGAUCUCACAAUUAUUAAUGAUCGGUUAUAUAUACUUAAUUACUAUGUAUGGAUUUUCUUCUUAAAUUUACGAUAAUCCCAUGUUUGCGGAUGGAAGGAUUGUUUCCAUAUUAAAACUUUUACAUGGCGGAAAGCCUUUUCUCUGGAAAAUUUCAACCAUUAUUUUGGAAUUGCUUGUCUGCCUAUUUUUUUUACUCUGGUUUUGGGUGUAUGUGUUAGAUUUAAAUUUAAAACAAUAUAUAUUUCCAAAAGAUAAAACCAAUAAUUUCUUAUCAAUCUGAAUUUUUUUUCCAUCAAUUUCAUUCAGAAUUCUUUGAAAUUAAUUUUUUAUUUAUCCAUAAUUAAUUUUAAAUAUUUUAAUAUUUCAUGUUAUAAUUAAUAUUCAUGCAAAAAAAAAUUUCAAUAAAAUCUUAACUCAUUGAUUUAAUUUUUGAUUAAAAUUUAAAUACAAUAACUAUAUUUUAAAACUAAUUUCUCCUAACUGUCAAAGAAUCAAUUCAAUAUAAUAGUUUAAGCUGUUAGGUGAGGUCUCAAGAUAUGAUUUAUAUUAUUCUCUAACACCCCUCUCAAGUGAAAGCAUUUUGGACUUGAAUUUGCAUAAGGCCAUAUUACAUUGUGUUUAAUUUUUAUUAAAUAAAUGAGGACAAUGAGAUUUGAACUCGUGACCAUUUGGUCAUCAAGACUCUGAUAUAAUGACAAAAAACCAAUUUAACUCGGUGGCUUAAACUAUUAAGUGAGGUUUCAAGAUAUGAUUUAUAUUAUUCUCUAAUACCAACUAUAUGCAUUUUACAUUCCACUACCAGAAAUUCACCUAAUAGCAACGGAUUUACCGACAGAAUAUUUCUGUCGGUAAUUUGAGGUUGAAAUUACCGACGACACUUUUUCCGUCCGUAAUUCAGUCAGUAACUACUGACGGAAUGCGUCCUUCUGACGGCGAAGCAUGGAAACACUUUAACAGUGUUCAUCCUCACUUUUCAGCUGAAUCAAGGAAUGUGCAUCUUGGGUUGUGUACAGACGGAUUCAACCCAUUUGGGUCAUUUGCUGCUCCUUAUUCUUGUUGGCCGGUCAUACUCACAGUUUAUAACUUGCCACUGAGAAUGUGUAUGAGGCCGGAGUUCAUGUUUUUGUCUACUGUCAUACCCGGUCCAAGCAGCCCGGGGCGGAAUAUAGAUGUUUGUCUUCAACCGUUGAUUGAUGAGUUGGCGCAGUUGUGGUCAUCCAGAGCUCUGACAUAUGAUAUAUCGAGUGUUGUUACUCAAUUUUGGACCCCACGUGCUGGAGACGGUAUAUACCUCUUUUGAACAGAGUGUAGGAGUUUAGCUCAUAUUCGCCAGAAGAUUGACAAAAGCACAGAAAGAAAUAUUUUGUUUUUUUAACCUUGUUUGAGCUGUUUUCUGCUUUUUUUAUCCUUCCCCUUUACUACCAAAAUCAUCAGGUUUUUCUUAGGUUGAUCAGGAGUCUUCAUAAUGCUAAAUUCGUUCUUUUUUAUAUGGUCUUUAAGGUUGAAUAAAUCCCUCAGAAUUUGCACUAAAAAAAUAGUUCUGCUGCUGUCGCAAUUUUUUGUUUCAACUUAGGCUCUGAUUCUGACUCAGUUUCGUACGAUAUCUGACCAUCCUAGGUAUAUUCUGUCACUCAUUACAUGUUGAAAAAUUGACGUACACCUUUAUUAGGUCCUAGGGAUCAUUUUUCUUAGAGCAGAUUCUCAGUCAGAUUUGGAUGCUCAGUAUUGUCAGAUCAAGAACCUUUUUGACCAACUAGAUUACUACCAGUUUCUGUUAUGUAAAAAGAUUUUAUCUCACUUCGACUCCUUCAUCAAAGUUAUAGUGCUAGACAGGUAGAUGAAUUUGAGCUUUUGAAUCACUCGAUUUCGAUAUCAGAGGCUCAAGAUGUUCCCGUUUGAAUAUCUAACGUGAAGGCAGAGAAUUCUGCCGCGAGAAGGAUAUUGACCCGAGUCUGCACUAAAAAAACUCUAUUUUUGGCCUAGUUUUUGUGAUUUUUGUUAUUAGUUCAUACUCUCAGUCAUAUCAGAAUUCUCGGCAUUCGUCAGUUUUUGAGUUUGACCCGGAGAUCCCUUUCGACCAACCAAAUUACUGCUAGAUUCUGUUCUGUAAAAAGAUUUUAUCUCACUUCGACUUCUUCAUCAAAGUUUUAUUCCUAGAAGCGUAGAUGAAUUUGGGCUUUUGAAUCACUUGAUUUCGAUAUCAGAAGCUCAAGAUAUUCCCAUUGAAUAUCUAACGUGAGGGCAGAAAAUUCUGGCGCGGGAAGGAUAUAGCUCAAGUUCGCGGGACUGAUUCGAAGGAUUUUUUUUGGACCAAGGACUGAAUUGAAAAGUGUUAAAAUGAGGGAUUUGAAUUGAAGAAUGAUAUUGAAAGCUGGAGAGGGGGGCUGGAUCAUCAUAAAUGACAGGAUUUUUUUCACGCCGAAUAAGGAAAAUGAGACUUUGCAGCUGCACCCUCCAUCUGAUUUCUUUCCUUUUUUCGCUGCAAAUUCCUGCUGUUUUUCCUUUAUCAUCAUGCCUGAUUUUUGGAGCUGCAACCACGUUUUUUCUUGCCUCAUUUCAAAGGGAGCAGCUGGCCCUAUGGAAGGAAAGAAAAGAGCCACACCCUCCUCUAAAACUGGAAAGAAAUCAGACGUAAAGCACCAACACAAAAUCAGAAUAUUGCAGUUUCCUUUUGCGUUUUUUUACUGCAAAUCAGUAGGGAUUUGCGUCCUAGGAUUAAUGCAUUGAAUCCUUCCUAAAUAGAGACAUAUUUAGACUAUAUAUAAGCCCUUCUAAUGACCUAACGGGAGAGGGAAAGAGAGCAGAAAAAUAGGAAAAAGAGAGCAGAAAAAUAAGAAAAGAGAGGAGAGAAUAGAGAACGGGAGAGAGACAGCAAAAGAAAAACAAGAAAGACGCCUUUGCUCCAUUUGUUUUCUGCAAAUAAAAACUGCAGAAACGGGAAAAGAAAGUUAGGAAUCAGUAAAGAAAGUGACGGAGGCGCAGAGUAAAGAAGGAGGCAAUAGGCAGACCCAAACACAGAACAUAAGAACAAGGACAGACGCAGACCGAGCAACCAUCACUCUUCCAACGCCACUGCAGUUUCUUCGUCUCCAGGUUGGUUUUCUAUUCACCUGUUGCAUGCUUUAUUUUGCUUUGUAUUUGCACUUUAGUGUGGUCUUUUUCUUUGUAAUGUAUGUGUCUGUACUGUUCAAGUGAAUUAAUUCACUUGAACAGUAGCUCUCCAUUCACAAAAGAGAGCUGCACCCCUUUUGUGUCCCGCCGGGUCACCUGCUUGGGCAAGUGACCCGGCCAGAACCCCCCCCUUUUUUUUUCUUCAAAAAAAUAAAAGAAAGAGAAAGUGAUUUAUGAUUUUUUUGGUAUAUUUAUUUUAAGGUCUGAAUUUUUUUUGUUGUAAAAAAUAUUAGUCUUGUGUUUAGAAUACCCGUUUUUUUUUUUACGCAAUGUGACAAAUAUACAUAUAUAUCAAAUUUGUUUUCUUGUGUGUUGCAUACGGCCAAUACCCUAACAUAUUUUGAAUGUUUUUUUAUAUACAAAAAAUAUUGGAAGUUUUGAAAAUGUGUUUUCGCAUGGAUUUCUUAAACACAACAAAAAAGUUGUUUUCUUGCAUUUCUGGAUUUUACAACAUGUUUGUAAAACUCCAAAGGGUAUUGGCCAAUAUUCCAAAAAAUAUAAAAAUCUUAUUUUGGGGGGAAUUCAUCUAUUAUUCACCGCUAAUGUUUGGAUAAAGAAAUCCUUAAAGGAUGAAUAUCCAAAAUAUUAUUGGGAAUAAUUUGUUAUUAUUCACUGUUAAUAUUUGGAUAAAGAAACCCGGAGUGGUAAAUAUCCAAAAUAAUUUUCUAGGAAUAAUAAAUCCGCACACAUCCUUGAAAGAAGCCUUGAUUAUAAUCGAGGACAUUUCAAUUUUUUACUCCACGGUUUACGAGCCGUGAGAGUAUAAAACACUAAGGUAAAAAUAGGCUUUUAAAGUGCCCUAGAUUUCUAAAUUUUUGUCCCUCCUCCUUGCGAUUUACGAGUCGCAAACUCUUGAAAUACCAAGGGAAAAAUGAGCUUUUAAAGCACAUGGAAUCUUCUUGGAUUUCUAUCUUAAUAAAUUUAGUUAGAAUCAAACUUAGAAAAACUGAUGGAAUUAGAAAACACCAACACCAUAGCAAUUUUAAGACAAACCAAACACCAAGCAGCUUACCUUAGGUAGGGCGUACUAGGGGUGCUAAUACCUUCCCUUUACGCAACCAGUCCCUUGCCUUAGAAUCUCUGAAAGACCAGUUAGGGUUCCUAGUGACCAUAAUACUAGGUGGCGACUCUCUUUUACACAAAAAAACAAAUAAACCGAAAUCAAUCAAUGGUCGCCGCGACGCCGCAAUCCGCCGCGAGGGUGCGACAUCGAGGAAACAAAAUUUCCUUAUGAGGGCGGCUUUGAUGUGGACUAUCAAUGAUUUUCCAGCUUAUGGAAUGCUUUCUGGUUGGAGCAUGCAUGGGAAACUCGCAUGUCCAUACUGCAUGGAAAACAACAAGGCAUUCACGCUAGCAAAUAGAGGUAAAGCUUCUUUUUUUGACUGUCACCGUGGUUUCUUGCCACUUAAUCACAGGUACAGAAAGAAUAGAAAAGAUUUCUUUGUUGGAAGAUUUGAAAAAGAUGUUGCAUCCUCGCGUCUUUCUAGUGAAGAAUUGCAUGAUGUUGUAUUAGAGUACGGUGACAUUGUGUUUAGCCUUCAAUCAGGUAAGCAAAAGUUUCCUGGUUUUGGUUUGACCUAUAAUUGGGUAAAGCGAAGUAUCUUUUGGGAGCUUCCUUAUUGGAAGACCAAUCUGCUCUGCCUUAACCUUGACGUCAUGCACAUCGAAAAGAACAUGUUUGAGAACAUUUUCAACACCGUCAUGAAUGUGAAGGGGAAGACAAAGAACAACAUCAAGGCUAGAUUGGAUAUAGCUUUAUACUGUAACCGUAAAAAUAUGGAGUUGGUUUAUGAUGAGUCACGGGUCACAAAACCAAGAGCAAACUUCGUGUUAGAGAAAAACGCACAACUACUAGUCUACAAAUAGCUUAAGAGUCUGUGUUUUCCAGAUGGACAUGCAUCGAACAUAUCGUCGGGAGCUCUAGCAAGUUGAAUGUUGAGCACAUUGAGAGGCUUCAAACGAAUAUCAUCGAGACACUAUAAAACUUGAGAUGAUAUUCCCUCCGUCAUUUUUUGACUCAAUGGAGCAUCUCCCUAUACAUCUACUGUUCGAGGCAAAAGCUGGAUGACUAAUCUAGUAUAGAUGGAUGUACCCAUUCGAAUGGUUAGAUAUUAUAGUUGCAAUGUUGUAAUAGUCCGACUGUACGACUCGAUCAAUGUUAAAAGAUUCCAACAUAUCCUCUUUAUUUAAGGGUAAUUUUUUUUUUCAAAAAUUUGACAGAGUUUCGUGUGCAUUUAGGACAUCCCAAGUUAUUGAUUACUAUCAGUUUACUCAAUCAACCCAUCAUCACAAGGUCCCUUAAUUCCAAACCUUAUAUCAAACCUCAUAAUUCCACACCUCAUACAAUCCACACAAUAUAUAUAUUUCAAAAGGGUUAAUUACAAGAUAACUAAAAUACUACAUGCUAAGCUGAACCUUUAUAAAUACAUCAAGGUUUGCACAAAAGUAUACAACAUAAACACAUUAAUUCCCUUUUGUUUUAAGUUAAAUAUUUACAUAAGCUUCACAAAGUAGAGUCCUAAACUAAUGAUCUUCCUGGAUGUUUGAUGGACCUGUUACAUAAAUAAACAUACCAUUAUGUUGAUAAAGAAUAUAUGUAUGCUCAUGUAAUGAAUACGAANNNNNNNNNNNNNNNNNNNNNNNNNNNNNNNNNNNNNNNNNNNNNNNNNNNNNNNNNNNNNNNNNNNNNNNNNNNNNNNNNNNNNNNNNNNNNNNNNNNNNNNNNNNNNNNNNNNNNNNNNNNNNNNNNNNNNNNNNNNNNNNNNNNNNNNNNNNNNNNNNNNNNNNNNNNNNNNNNNNNNNNNNNNNNNNNNNNNNNNNNNNNNNNNNNNNNNNNNNNNNNNNNNNNNNNNNNNNNNNNNNNNNNNNNNNNNNNNNNNNNNNNNNNNNNNNNNNNNNNNNNNNNNNNNNNNNNNNNNNNNNNNNNCUAAUCUUGUAAAUACACUAGGCUUUAUUUACAUUGAACACGAUAUUUAUUAUAAUUCCAUUCACCAGAAGGAUUCUAAAUUGUAUAAGUGCAAAUAGGAGGGAAAAUCACGCACCUUAUUCGCCUGUCUCGCGACCUCCCCUAACAGAAGAUCCAAUCCUGGUUGCUCCUCCUGAAUCACAAGGAAGUUUUUUUUUUGUUAUGAUUCCUUCAAGCUGAUAUUAUAGAGAAUUCAUAUUCAUCCAUUACUCAUAUGUUACUUUCUAUGCAUGUUCAUUUCCUCAUAAUAACAUACAUACAUUUAUCAUGUAUAUUUUCAAAGUUAGUAUCUCAAUAUACAAGUGUUUGUAUGACUCAAUUCUUUUAUAUUCUUAUUUAUAGUAUUCACGUGAAAGUCUACUGUUACUGUCCAAUUUCCAACUGUUACUGUCCAAUUUCCAACUGUUACUGUCUGACUUUUCCAGCUGUUACUGUCCGACUUUGAACUGUUACUGUCCAAUUUCCAACUGUUACUGUCUGAACACUCAUAAGAUUUUUAACUAUAUCUAAAGUUCUAAAACUCCAUUUUAAGUGAGAUUGAUCUCGUUAGAAAGCUAAGACACGAUGCUACUAGUUCUCUGAGGAAAAAGAACCCAGUUUUGCCUCCAAGAUAGUCAAAAUUAUUCAUUUACUAAUUAGUCCUACUGCCCUACAUAAUCAGUCACAACUCAGUCUCAGUUGGUAACCCAUAACUGGAGUUCUACAUUUCCAAAUUGAGCAAGACCAGUUUCCUUGGUUAGCUAACAUUCAAAUCUACAAUUUUUAUGGGGAACCCGAUCCUAAUCCCCUCAUCCUCCUACUCGAAAUCUCAUCGAAAGUUAGGAGACAAGUCUGUCCAUAUUCGUCUCCCCCUCCCCUUCACACAAUACUUUCAUAAACUACAUACCACACACAUGAAUUAACUUAAUCUCAACAAUAAGUACUUUUCCCCAAUUUAAGUCUAAGAACCCUAACCUAUGAUUCAAUAUCAAGGCAUCAAUUCUUCAUCGAAUUUAAAAAUGAAUUUUUUUAAGAUCAUGUUUAGAAUACCUUACCCGGUACAAAUUAAGAUUUUGAUCUUCAACCAGUUGAAGAUUUUCAACUCCCUCCUUUCUUUUCUUCUUGUUCAAUUCCCCUCCUGUCUUUUCUUCUUGUUCAAUUUCUUGGUAAUCCUUUGCUCUCAAGUGUUUAUCCCAUCUAUAAGCUCUUAAUCUUUGAUGGGUUCUUGAAAUUUUAGUAUUUCUCUCUUGAUUUCUCAAAACUGGGUAUAAAACACCCUAUCUUCUCUCCUUGUGGUUCCUACAGAUUGUCUUGGUGAGGAGAGAGUAUUUAUACUCUAUAUUUUCUCUUAUUUGCAUUUAGACCCCCCCUUUUUCCUUUAAGUGUAUUAUUCUCUUCAAUUAAAUCCAACCCUUAACAGUACCGGGUUUAUUAUAAUGUCUCGAAUUAUUUCGUCCGGAAAUUUAUAUUCAAAAAUUUCUGAAUUUCUGUUUUUAUUUAAUCAUAUGCAUGAUUUCUUCACUUUUAUUUAUUUAUUAUUUUUCCCGGGGUUUACAAUUGCCAUCAUGUUUUAUCUUCUAAACUCAUUUGUUGCCAAUGGCCUUCCUUCCUUGUGGUAGCGGAACAAGAUCCCAAGUGUUAUUUUUAUGUAGAGCUUCAAUCUCCUCUUGCAUUGUUGUCAUUCACAUAGAUACAUCUGUGCUUUUGAUAGCCUUGUGAAAAGUUGAUGGCUCUCCAUCCUCUAUUAGAAGACAGUAUACAAUGUUGCUCUCAGUAAUAUAUUCUGAGUGUCAAGCCGGUGGUCUUCUUACGAGUCAACUAUCAAACUUCAGGAGUUUCAGACUGUAUUUGUUCUUAUAUUUCAUUCUCUGGUGCAGCUUCAGAAGAAGUAUGAUUUUGAGUAUUUUCCAUCUGGACUGCUGUAGUCUACUUUAAAAUGCUAUUAUGUUCUUCCAUUUGCAUUUUAUUUUCUGCAAAUACAUCAUCUCUGCUGAUGACUACCUUGUGGGCAGUAGGAUCCCACAAGCGAUACCCCUUCACUCCAUUAGCAUAUCCUAAUGAUACAUAUUUUCUGGAUUUUGAAUCCAGCUUGCUAACUUCUUGAGUAUUGUACAUCACGUACACAGGACUUCCAAAUAUAUGCAAUCGAGAAUAAUCAACUGGCUUCUCAAUCCACAUCUCCAUUGGUGUCUUCAGCUCAAUUGCAGUUGAUGGAGAUUGAUUUAUCACAUAACAAGCGGUAUUGACUGCUUCUGCCCAGAAUGACUUUCCUAGACCUGCAGCCUUCAACAUUGCUCUUGUUCUUUCUAAUAGAGUUUUGUUCAUCCGCUCUGCCACUCUAUUUUGUUGUGGAGUGUAUGUCAUUGUGAAUUGCCUUUUGAUACCUUCAUGUUGACAGAAGUUAUCAAAUUCAUCACAGGUAUAUUCUCCUUCAUUGUCAGUCCUCAAACACUUGAUCUUCUUUCCAGAUUCAAGUUCUACCCGUGCUUUGAAGGUUUUAAAGACUGCAAGCACAUCUGCCUUCCUUCUAAUUGGAUACACCCAACAUCUCUUGGAGAAGUCAUUUAUAAAUGAUACAAAGUAUCUUGCUCCUCCCAAGGAUACAACCGGUGCUUGCCAAACAUCAGGAUGAAUCAAGUCUAAGAUGCAUUUGCUCUUAGUUGUUGAUGUGCCAAACUUCAACCUGUGUUGUUUACUUGUAACACAGUGCUCAUAAAAGGGUAAAGUAACCUUUGUAAGCCUAGGGAGUAACUUCUGAUCAGAGAUAAUUUUCAAACAUUUCUCUGACAUGUGGCCUAGUUUUUUUUGCCACAUCAUCGUCUUCUCUUCUACAGGACUGGCUGAUGCGAUUGACGUCUCUGCCUCAUGAUGUGUUUCUCCCAUUAACACAAACAAAUUUGCAACUAUCUUUCUUGCCUUUAAAACCACCAGCGCUCCUUUGACAAUUUUCAUGAUUCCAUUCUCUGUUCGAAUAUUACAACCAAGACUAUCAAAUUAUCCUACGGAUAAAAGAUUCUUUUUCAAAUCUUUCACAUGUCGUACUCCUAAAAUAAUACGAAUUAAGUCAUCAUUCAUCUUCAAUUUGAUGGUGCCAAUGCCAGCAAUCUCUAGAGCAUGAUCAUUACCUAUGAACACUGAGCCUUCAGAGAUGGGUUCAUAUGUAUGAAACCAAUCUCGAUUAGGAGUCAUAUGCCAUGUUGCUUCUGAAUCCAUUAACCAAACCUCAGUGAGCUCUUUUCUAUCUAUAGAGACUGUCGCUACUUCACUAUAUAAAACCUCUCCAUCUUCUGAGGUGAUUGCAACACAUCCUUGAGGUUUUGAUGACUCUACAGUGUUCUCUAUACCUUUUUUAAACCAAUAAUCCUUUUUGAAGUGCCCUUUUCUGCCACAGUUGUAGCAUUUCACAGUCUUCUUACUUCUUGAUUUGGACCUCCCCUAUCUUUGACUCCCACUAGAGCCACGCUCCGUUGAUCUUCCUCUUGACACCAACAAUGUCUCUGCUUGGUUUGAACUAUUUCUGUCUCCUUUGUUUUUGGGCCUAUUUUCUUCUUCCAAGAUAGCGGCUGCAACAUCAUCAAAGACUAAAUAGUUUGAGAGGAUAUUAUUAGUCAAGUUGAUAAUGAGCUGAUCAUACGAAUCAGGAAGACUUUGAAGUAGAAGCUCUGCACGUUCAUUUUCCUCUAAUUAUUGACCUAACGUAGUGAGUUGUGAAAAUAGAGUUCUUAUUGUGUUGAUGUGGUCAGUCACCAUUGUGGUUUCUGCCAUUCGAAGGGUAUAAAGUCUCUGCUUUAAGAAAAUCUUAUUGUGCAAGGACUUGGACUCAUAUAGCUUUGUCAGAGUAUCCCAUAUCUCCUUAGCUGUUUUCUUCUCCGCCACACUUGAUAAUACUUCAUCAGCUAAUGCUAAAUGUAUGUUAGUAAUAGCAUUGCCAUCCAUCUCAUUCCAUUUUGUAUUAUCAGUGAUCUCCGCGGGCCAAUCCCCAAUUGCUGUCAAGCAAUUGUCUUUUCUUAAAAUUGCCUUGAUUCUCAUUUUCCACAGUGAGAAAUUGCUCCCAUUGAACCUCUCAAUCUCGUACUUUGCUGUCAUUUUAUUCACCAUGAUCUAUUCAGCUAUCACUGUUUCACUGAUCUGCAAUGUAUACAGAAAUAGUAUCGUGUGAAUAAUACUUCACUAAGUAAGUUCCCAAGAAAGAUUGAAGGGGUCACAAACGGUCCCGCUUAAGGCUAAUGAUAGCAAGAAUGGUGUAGAAGGUGAAUCCCCUGCUGUCAUGGAGGAACAAGAAAACCUAAGAAAAAAGGUUACUGAUUUGAUUAAAAAACAAAAGCUGCCAGCUGUGAGGAAGAUUGUGAAGUGGAAGGAUGAUUCAAAACCAUGUAAUGCAGAUGCUAGGGCUAAGGUUUGUGUGCUUGUAAUCAUUGAUAAAGGCUAAUUUUCUUGAACAAAUGUAUCGUGUACGAAUUUGAUUUCUGUCCUUGCACUUUGCAGGUUGGAAGCCGUCUAAUUGAAUUGCUGUUACAAACAGCUUAUAUACAGCCUCCCUGUGAUCAGUUAGCUGAUAGUCCAUCUGAACCUCGACCUGCAUUUGUACAUACAUUCAGAAAUGUGUCAUAUGUAAACAAGUAUGGAGUCAUUCUUUAAUUGACUCGAUGAGCUCAAUUUAUCUUUUCUUCCUUGUAAUUGCUUCUAACUGAUGCACAAUGGCCUUUUCUUAAACAGGAAGGGCGUGAAAAAAUAUGUUGUUAUUCAAUGUGACCCACUAGUCCUCAAAGGCCUAGAGAAAACUGUGAGUAACCCUGUCAAAUUUUGUUCUUCUAGUGAUAUCUAGUUUUCAUAUUUUAUCAUCCUUUAUGACAUGAACUUGUGUCGGGGUGCCAUAUACUUUCAAAGCAGAUAGUUUAGUUUCUAGAUUUUAAAGCUGAAACAGAUAAGAUUUGUAGGCAAUUUCCAUGGUCCCUCUUAAGUUGCAGAUGUUUGUCUUUCAUUCUUUUUUCUUGCACAAGAAGUCAUAAAAAUGUUGUUUCUCCAAACAGGCUAGGCACAUGGUGAUUCCUUAUAUGCCAAUGUUGGUGCCACCACUUAGAUAGAGAGGGUAUGUUAACUUGUUUUAUAUUUACAGUUUUUCCACAAUUGUCUUGUUUUAAUUUUUUAUUUUUUAGUUGGAUAUAUUCCAAGUUCAGAAAUAUUAACAUAGUGUUUUGGUUACUUCUGCUUGAUGCCUGGAGCUGUUUUCAAUUUUCAUGUCAAGUUAAAUGCUUAAAAUGGUAUAAUAGAUGAAGGGAUGAAUCUCUGAUUAUAAAGACUGGAAUUCCAAUCCCAAUUUCAGUUAAUUGAAAUUAACAUUUCAGCAUGUUUCAAGGCUCUGCCUCUCCAUUUCUGUAACCUCCAUUGGAAGGGAAACUAAUUGUCUUGCAGGUGUUUAUUGAAAACAUGGUGAAUGUGAGAUAUGAGAUGGAAGGUUUUGUCUAGGAUUCUCAACAAAACGGAGAACAUUGUCUUUAAACAUUGAAGAGCAUUUGCUAAUCACAGCCAUGUCUCAUACCGGAAACUUAACAUUAUUGCCACAGGCAGGAGAAUUUAGGGAUUGCUAUGGAAUUCUUUNNNNNNNNNNNNNNNNNNNNNNNNNNNNNNNNNNNNNNNNNNNNNNNNNNNNNNNNNNNNNNNNNNNNNNNNNNNNNNNNNNNNNNNNNNNNNNNNNNNNAUACAGAGUUUGACUGUAGUGAAGAAUCCAGCUGCAGUUUCAUGCUACCUUUGCAGUGGAUGGUACAGGUCUGGGCUGGGGGUUGGCUUUUUAUAAUACAGUUAUUCUGAGUUUCCAUGGUAUAGAUAAAUUUUUUUAAAAGUUUUUAACCCAUCUUUAAGAAUACCUAGAAGCCCUAAUGUAGAAAAAUUGAAGUGCUAUAAACAUUAAAAUCUCCAAAUCACCUGAUAACAGAUGAUUACAUGGGCGAAAUGGCACAGACGGAUCUCUGCAGUCAAACUGAGAUUUUUGAACCUUAUUGUUUGGCAAGUUAGUUAGGAUAUGUUUUUCAUGGACUUUGGUUAAGUUUUUCAUGAAUAGGUGAUCACAAUCGUCAUUGGAAAAACUGCACAUGCUUUGGAAUAUGAAGAGGCCUCUAUAGCAGCUUCUGCCAUUCAACCUAUUGCCUUUAAAUCUGAUAAGCUCCCUAGCGCUUUUGGUUGUAAAUUGCCCAUUAGGACUGAGAUUCCUGGACACACUUUCUCUCUACAAAAAGAAAAGAUUUAAACCAGUGAUUGCACUCUGAAUAUCUUAAUUUGAUCAGAUUGAGCAUCAGACGAAAACCAUUUCAUGAAUUGGUUUUGGGGAAAGAGCACUUUGUUUACUAGCAAUUUUAUAGUGGGUCUUGGCUCUUUCACUCAAUCAUCAUGCAAGUUGCAGGAGGCACAUUAGCAUAGUCCCCACUAAAAUUAAUUUUAGAUCCAAAUUUGGAAGAUACAAAUUCUUCAUACAUGUUCCUUACAUAGGCUACUUUAAUCUGGAAUUUAAUGAGUUUGUGGUUGGAUUCUGGUUCCCAUGUAGUUGUAGCAACUCUUAACACCACUAUUGCUUCUAGUAACAAAUCAGGACCUGGCAUUUAAGUAGCUUUUUGGUGUGUUCUAAGCUCUUCUUAGAUAAUUGUGUCAUAGCUCUCUUGCUCGUGUCGAGCAUAACCUCAAUGCCCUUUGCAGUUAUGAUAAAGGAGCUCACUUGUUCUUACCAUCCUCUGUCAUGCGGACACAUGGUGCUAAACAGCAACGUGAAGCAGUUAAGAGGGCACCUAAGAAUCAGCUACAAGCAGUUUUUGAGGUCUGUACAUAUUAGAUGCAUUGCAUGGUUACUGAUGCAUAUUUUAUUGUUUGAACUAAAUCAUCUUUUGGUACUAACAUGUGAUGUUCUUUGAACAAAAUCUCAUACUGAUAAUUUUGUAUACCUUCACAUGCUAUCACAUGUGUAGAUUUUACCAGCUUAGCUUCUGGUUUAACAAGGAUUCUCCUUUGUUUGAGUUAAUUUUCCAGGCCCUGGAAUACCAAAUGGAGGGUAAAUAAGAGGGUACUUAGUGUCGUUCAUAGAAUAUGGAGUAAUGGAGGCUGUCUUGCUGAUUUGGUAGUGAUGUGAGUAUCUUUUCUAACUUUCCUCAAUGUAACUCGUGUUUUUUUUUUUAGAAACUCCUUUACCUUUACCUUUGUGUUCCAAGAAUUGAUCAUGAUGUCUAUAGCAAUUAAAAAACCUUUCUCGUUUAAUUUCUUCAUUCAGGUUCCUUUACCUGAGAAGCCAGAAACAGAGUUUUUCAAUUUUCCUUCAUUUGAGAAUGAUUUGUAUAUUUACAACUAUAUAAACACAUAAAUACAUAAACAUUAAUAUAUAUAAUCAAUAUCAAUAUUUACACCAAAAUUGAACUUUCUUCGUUUAUAAAUAGCAAUGCGCCAAGCCUAAAUAUAUUAAGUCUAAUGUUAGCUAGACCUAGACGCGGUGGAUCUAGCACUAGCUAGACCCAAGAAAUGAUUAAGUCUAUCCACCGCCAAACCCAAAUCUUGCUAGGUCUAGCACUAGUCAGACCUAACCAAAAUUGAGCUUGGUAGUGUGUCAGGCCGACGCAUGUUAGGUUUGGCGCUAGCCAUACCCAAUAGAUAAUUGAGUCUAAUUACAUAAACACUCCCUAGUCAAAGGUUUUAGAUAGAAUAUUUGCAAUGGGAGAGGAAUUAGUGUUUGUGAUCGGAACAUCAAAGUUGGGCUAUUUGCGUUAGGAAUAUUGAAGUUUGAGAUUCUAAAGUCGAUUUAUGGAUUUCCCUUUGUUUUUCGGUUUGGUUAAGAAUGUGGUGGCUAAGUUUUUUUAUUUAAUUCAAUGAAAAAUUUAUAAUAUCUAAAAUAAAAGCUUUAUAGUUAUUAGUUUAAAAAUAAUAAUAAUUUUGUAAAUAAUUAGAUAUUUUUGUAAGAUUUUUUUACAUGUGUUAGUGAGGAUAUAAAGUGUUAUCAUAAACAAUAAUUUUUUAAAAAAAGCUUAAUUCAUUAUUAAUUCAAUAUUGAAGGAUGAAAUUAAAAAAAAAUACAAAUAAAAAAAACCAUAGGUCAACUCACUAAACUCGCAAUACGGGUCAUAAAAUUAAAAUAAUUUUAUAAAAAAAAAACAACAAUAAAUUAUGAAGCUUAAUUUUUAAGGAGACAAAUACUGAAAGAAAGAAAAACAUGUAGAUUUUAAAAAAAAAAUACCACUGCAAAUUUUAAUUUGGUAAGAUUUGUUGUUAAUAUUACUAUAUUAGAUGAGACGCGCUGGAUCUACAAAUGUUGUGCCUGCUAUUUCUAUUCGAAUAUUUCUUUUGAAGCUUUUGAAAAGAAAUAUUAACAUUUAUCAUUCAUUUAUGCACUUUUGACCAAAUUUUUCUUUUGCUUUUUUAUGUUGUCCCACUGAGAAGACCUUUUUUGUUCUUUUGUGUGAAAAAAAAACUAAAUAAACUAAUUAGAAAAUAAAAAAAGUUUGGGUCCAGUUCAAUUUCAGUUUUAAAAUUCUAAAACUAAUUGAACUAGAUCAAGUCAUAGACUAGUUAUUUUUAUUAUAUUCCCAUUAUUAUUUAUUAUUCUAUAGAUUUUUCUACAUUGAAGCUUUUGAAAAGAAAAUUAACAUUGAUCAUUCAUUCACUUUUGAAAAAACUUUCUUCUGCUUUUUUAUGUUGUUCCACUGAGAUGACCCUUUUUUGUUCUUUUGUGAAUUGAAAUUAUAUUACAUGUUUGUAAUUGUUUCAUCUCAUUUUUAUUUUUUUUUAUUUUUGAAAAGUAAACUUCCUUUAAUUAGAUUAUCCUUAAUAUCAAUCCCAUUGCUUUUUGCAGGUCUUAUCAAGCUGUUUUAAUUAAUUUUUGUUGCAUAAUUUGUAAUUAAUAAACAUGUAAUUAUAAAUGAAGGAAAGAAAAAAUUGGUUGGACUUGUUGGUUUCAAUUUUAUGUUUUUGGUUUUAUCUUUUUUAUUUGUUGUUUAAAGCCUUUUUUAACUCUUAAUCAAUUCUUUAUUUUUUAUUAUUUUUUUAAGUAUAAAAGUAUAUUCCAAAGAAUAUUUUAAAGUAAUUGGGCAAAUAACAUUGUUAGCCACGGAGAGAUCAAUGGUAUGGACAAAAUCAAUAGUAUAAUGAUUGGACUCAAAAACUUUCAAAGACAAAAUCAAUAGCAUACGAUCCCUCAAACUCAUUAACCCCUCACAACUCACUCCUUUCCAGCCAACUUGAUGUGUUGUGUGCUAAUCCGAUGAAAAUCGAGAUCCCAAAGAGGGUGAUGCCGCUGAUGGUUGGUUCUCUUCCUCCUUGUGAGUUUUUACAUAAUAAAAUAGCGGCCUUAAUUACGAGAGUUCUUCCAUUUUUACAUAAAAAAUGGCUGGGAUUUCCUUUCGUUAUUUAGCAAUACGCUGUGUUAAUGAGCUUAAAGUUAUUAUGUUAUUGAUUUUGUUUUAAUAAGGCCUCUCAUCUUUGAGAUUUAUUAAUCCAACCAUUAUUCUAUUAGUCCAUCCAUAUCGUUAGCCCUUUCCUCACUAAUGCUAUGCUUUUGGUUAUUAAUUUUGAGAUAUUCUCUUCUAUGUUAAACAUAUCUAAGUAUAUCUAAAUCCAACUAACCAUUACUAACCAUAAUUUUUUAAAUCUUAUUUUUUUCAAAUCAUGAUUAUAGAAGCUGUCUCAAAAAUAAAUACGCUCUCAAGUCAGUUGGACCAGUGGUAUGAUGAGACCAUGUUUCUGUGCGACAAUAUGGCUUUUUAUUUUUUUUGUGAAUAAAAAGAACAAAACCCUCAAAUAUCAAAUCUUUAUAUGUUUGAAUAUCUAAAAAGAAGAAAAAGCAAAAAAUUUCAAACUUUUUUCCUCUAUUUAAAAAAGGGGGAAAAAAGCAAUAUAUAUAGGUCAUGGAUUUCUUUUCCUUGUUUUGUUAUAUGGAGAGCAGUUAGAUCUCACUAAAGCAAAUAAUUCAUCAAUCAUAAUCAAAACUCUAAACAAAGCAUGCAAGUACACCAUGAAUAUUAAUGUUGUUGGUAAAAAAGUAAAAAUGAUGUGUAAAUUGAGAUGGAGAGCUAAAUAUAUAAAAAUACCAAAAAACAAAACGAAUGCUACAGUCAAAUUUUGAACAUCUAAAAGAUAUCUUGUGUGCGACUAUUUCCAUGUCACUAUGCACGACAGAAAAAAGAGAGGAUGCUAUAUUCAUACAUCAAUCAAAGAAUGUGUGGAUCCAAGGAGAACAAUGAACAUCCCAAAAGGAGUCUGAAAGUGAUGAAUUAAGAUUUUAUUUGUAUAUUUUUAUAAAAAUUCAAUAAAGAUUUAUAAGUUUAAAUUUCAGGAAUAUAAACAUGCACCAAUGAAAAUAUGUCAGGUCUGACGCUAGUCCAAUUUAGACACAUUGGGCUUGGUAGUGUACCAAGUUCCAGACAUGCUAAGUCUAGUAGUUUGAAAUGACCUUUUUUUCUUGGACAAGCUCAAGAUAAUGAUCAUCCUCUCUUGAGUCUAAUAUUUGAGAAUAGCUCAUUCUCUAUGAGCAUUAGCUAUAAAAGUCAUUCAAAGACCUAUUAUAUUUCAUCAAAUAUUAAUAUAGAUGUAAUAAAUAUUUAUCUAUCAUUAAAUGUUAGAAAGAUCUCUUCACAAAAAAACAAGAUUUAUAGGCUAUAAAUACACAAUGAGACUUUCAGAAUAGAGGUUCACAUUCUUCAUAUUUUACUGCAUAUAUAAUUUCAAAGCAUCUCUCUUUAAAAUAUUAUUGUAUUUUUUUUCUUUUAAAAAAGAUAUUUAUUUAAGUAUGGAUUUCAUUAUAAAUCAAAAGUAUUAAUAUGAUUUUUAUUAUGGAAAGCAAAAAGCAAGAAACUAUUUGCUAUUAUUUUUAAUUUUAACAACUUUAAUUAAUGGUAUAGCUAUUCGAAUAGCUAAAAUACAUUUCUUCUACUAAAAUACUAUUUCUACAUACAAAAGCCAACGUCUCUUUAUCUAUGGUUGGCUUUUGUUUUUCUCUUUAAAGACACAACAAGAAGAAGAAAAGAAGCUUGCAAACCUAAAAAUUUUAACAUUAUUAUAUAAAACUGAAAACUGAAAAUAUUAAUAUAAAUAAAUUUUGAUUUUAAAAGUGUAAAAUUUAAACUUUAAAUUAUAUCUUUAAACUUUCAUAUUACUUCAUUAAUUUUAUAAAUUACUCAUAUUAAUUAUAUAAUAAAUAACAUGAUUAUAUUAUAUAAAAAAUAAUUAAACUAGUUAUAUAAUUAUAUUAAAAUUAGUUUAAUAUAAAAUAGAUUAAAAUAUAAUUAGCUUUUUCUAAAUGGUUUUUUAGCAUUGGAAUGUAUAUAAAUAAAUAAAAUUAUAUUUAUAUUAUUUUAAAAACCAUUUUAUCGAUUUAAUUUCAACUUUUAAAAAUAGCAUGUUUUAUUGGAGUUGCUCGUGUGCAGAAUUAUAUAAGGGAGAGAGGAAGGCAACAAAGGUAAAGAGACAAAAGAAGUCCAAACAUAAUAUAACCCCUGCUCUUGACAGGAAGGUGCCUCUGCUGCCCAGUGCGCGUUCGAUAUCCCUUUCAUUUCUGGUUUGGGAAAGUGGUUUUAGACCCGUUUGGAAAUUUGAUUUUUUUAAAUUAUUUUAUAUAUAUAUUUUUGAAUUGUUUUGAUGUAUUUAUAUUAAAAUUAUUUUAAAAAUAAUAAAAAAAAUUAUUUUUAUAUAUUUCUAAAAAAAAUUACUUUAAAAAAAUAAUUACUACUACAUUUUUAAGCAUCAUGGUAUAAGAUUUGAGAUGAGAUAUUGGUAAUGGGAGAAAAAUUGGUGUUUGAGAUUAGAAAAAAUCAAAGUUGGACUGUUUGUCAUAAAAAUAUUAAAGUUUGAGAUUCUAGAAUCAAUUUAAUAUGAUUUUUUUUUUGUUUUUCGUUAAUUAGUUCCAGUUAAUAGGUUGGUGGCUAAGUUUAUUUAAAAAAAAAUUGGAAUUUAUAAUAUUUAAUAUAAGAGUUUCAUAGUUAAUAGUUUGAAAAUUCAUUAAAAAAUACUUUUCAACUGUGAUGUGUGUGUCCCAACCCCUGCUCCUGACAGGAAGGUGCCUCUGCUGCCCAAUGCGCGUUCGAUAUCCCUUUCAUUUCUUUUUCUACUUUUUCUCCACCGAAACUCCAUCUUCUUUACAGUGUAAGAAAAAGAUCCGUAAGAAAAUCCUUGGAAACUUACCAGUACGAGUUCUUGACCUAAAGCAACCGGAAAAAAUUCGAAGUCAUUGGAAUAAAAAGAAAAGAAAAGGGCUUUCGAAGUUGGUUACUAAGAUACCAGAAGAAUAAGCAAAUAUUGGGUUUGCACUUAGUGUUCAAGCUAUGGUGGCUACAUUAUCCAAGAGGUUCGAUUCAGUUUUGUUAUACAAGCACUAGCUAGUAUAUUAAAAAUUAUAAAUCAAUAAUAACAACAUUAUUAUUAUUAUUAUUAUUAUUAAAAUUAAUAAAGAAAUAAAAGACCAAACUGAUAGAUAGAUCGAAGCCUAGAUAUAUUUUUGUUUCAAAAAAAUGAUUUCAAUUUAAUUAAGACCGAUUAAAUUUAUUUUAUUGUGAAUAAAGAAGUUGAUGCAAGUUUUUAAUCAAAGCCAUAAAAAUUAUAUACAACAACAAAUGUUAGAAUGCAAUAUUGAUGCAAAUCAAAGAAUGAAUCCAAAAAAAUUUAACAAUUUAAGUUAUAUAUAUCAACAUAAGAUAAAUUCCUAGUAUAAUCCCUUUUUUCUUAUUAAUCUAUUUUUCUCAACCAAAAAAUAUAGUUAUUUUUAGUGAUGUAUUUCAUUUAAUAAAAACUAAAGGCAAUUAGAAUAUGUUUGUGUUUGAUAUUGUGUUUUCAUAUUUAUUUAGGUGCUUUUUAAAAUUGUGUUUGUCUUAUAAAAACAUUAAAUUAAUGUUUUUUAAUAUUUUUUAAUGAUUUUAAUGUACUAGUAUUAAAAAUAAAAAAAUAUUUUAAUACAUUUUUUUAAAAAAUCACUUUUAAAAAUAACUUUGCCCCAUGAUAUACUAGCUAAGCAUGCACUAAAUAUCGAAUAGACUCUGAAGAUCCAAAAUACUAAGCUUACAAGGGCAUAAGUUUUUAAAGAAAUUGAGUCUUUCAAUAAGGCCCUUCUAUAAAAGUAGUGUCGACAAUCGACAUAUCAUGAAUAAACCGAAUGAUUUGUGUGGCAGUGUGCUUAAAGAGAUUUAUUUCCACACAGCAUAAUUUUUAAAAGCAAAAGAGAUUGGAAUCAAUAUCCCAAAAGGUUGGCUGGGAAAGCAGUUCGUGACCCGUUUGAAAAUUUGAUUUUUUGAAAAUUAAUUUUUUUAUGUUUUUGAAUUGUUUUGAUCAUAUAUUUAUAUCAAAAAUAAUAAAAAAUUAUUUUAAUACAUUUACAAGCAAAUUAUUUAAAAAUAUAUAUAUAAAUACUACCCAUUCUUAAACUCCCUUAAUAGGAGAGAAUUGGUGUUUGUGAUAGGAGAAAAUCAAAGUUGGACUGUUUGUUAUAAAAAUAUUAAAAUUCAAGAUUUUAAACUCAAUUUAAUAUGAAUUUCUUUUUGUUUUUCUUUAAUUAGAUUCAGUUAAUAGUGUGGUGGCUAAGUUCUGUUUUUUUAAAAAAACAAUGAGAAUUUAUAAUAUUUAAUUUAAGAGCUUUAUAGUUAUUAGUUUGAAAAUAAUAAUAAUUUUUGUAUAUAAUUAGAUAUUUUUUAUUGAUUUUUUUUACAUGCUAGUGAGGACAUAAAAUGUUAUCAUAAAUCAUAAUUUCUUAAAAAAAUAGAAAUAAAAUGAUUAAACUAUACAUAUAAUGAUCAAGGUUCAACGUAAUUACUUUUUAUUGUAUGUAAAAUGUCCUUAUUUACUUCUAAAAAAUAGAUGCUUGACUUGAGAAUUCAUUACAAAACAUGAAUCAACUCAAUUGUGAUGUCUGUGGCCCAACCCCUGCUCUUGACAGGAAGGUGCCUCCGCUGACUGCUGCCCAGUGCGCGUUCGAUAUCCCUUUCAUUUCUCUUUUUGCUUUUUCUCCUCCGAAACUCCAUCUUCUUUACAGUGUAAGAAAAAGAUCCGUAAGAAAAUCCAGGAAACUUACCGGUACGAGUUCUUGACCUAAAGAAACCGGAAAAAAUUCGAAGUCAUUGGAAUAAAAAGAAAGAAAGGGCUUUGGAAGUUGGUUGCUAAGAUACCAGAAGUAGAAAAAAUAUUGGGUUUGCACUUAGUGUUCAAUUAAGUUAUGGUGGCUACAUUAUCCAAGAGGUUGGAUUCAGUUUUGUUAUACAAGCACUAGCUAGUAUAUUAAAAAUUAUAAAUCAAUAAUAACAACAACAUUAUUAUUAUUAUUAUUAUUAUUAAUGAAGAUUAAAAUUAAUAAAGAAAUAAAAGACCAUGAUGUUUUACUAUAGAUAGAUCGAAGCCUACAUGUAUUUUUUUAUUGUUAAUAGAAGAAUUGAUGCAUGUGAUAUCAAGAAUUAUAUACAAAAAUAAAUAGAAUAUAAUAUUGAUGUAAAGUGAAGACUAAAUCAAGAAAAACUGAAAGAUAAAUAUAAUUUAAAAUAUUUGAACGACUUUUGCUUUUUUGCAGACUUUAUCAAGGUUUUUGGUUUCCUAAUUUUGACCAACUGAACGAGUUUGUUUUGAAUUGAUUAUUGGUUUUUUCAAAAAAUUAUUGUUCCUGGUUUGGUGAAUUUCUUAGAUCUAUAUUUGUUAAGGAAACAAAUAUGUAAUUAUGUGCUGUAAAAUAUUUCUUUUCCUAUUGCAGUAUAGAUUUUCUAUUGCAGUAUAGAUUUCCAGAAUAGCUUAGCACAAUUAUAGGAAACAACUCUUGUAUAAAGUUACGUUCUCUAAUUCAAUGAAUUAAUUCAUUCAGGCAAAUAUUCUUUUUCUCUUUCUUACAUGGUAUCAGAGCAAGGUUGACAUACCCUAGCUCUCUGUUUUUUUUGCCGUCUCAAUUCUCUUUUGCUUUGCCGCUACUCAUCAUCAUGGAGAGUGAGCAAUCUUCAAAAGAAGGCAAGAACAAUGCCUUCGAUCCCUUUUUCCUCUACCAUUCUGACCAUCCAGGAUUGAUGCUUGUUUCCAAGCCUCUCACCGGCGAUAAUUAUUCAACUUGGUGCCGAUCCAUGACCAUCUCUUUAAAUGCCAAAUCUAAAUUGGGUUUUAUAGAUGGUACAAUAGCAAUGCCGUCUGCCAAGAGCCAACCAGAUGCUCAUGCUUCAUGGAGAAAGUGCAACGAUAUGAUUCUAUCAUGGAUCCUUAAUUCAAUCACACCGGAUCUUGCAGAUAGUGUGAUCUAUUCAACUACAACCUAGGAGGUUUGGGAAGACCUUCGGGAUCGUUUUUCUCAGAGUAAUGCCCCUCGUAUUUUUCAGAUUGAGAGGGAUAUCGCUUGUCUCUCCCAAGCUCAGAUGACUGUUGCAGCCUACUAUACGAAGCUGAAAGGAUUAUGGGAUGAACUGGGUUCCUAUAACGGAACCAUUUGCUCUUGUGGGGCAGAUCAUAAACGACGCCAGUUGAUGCAAUUUCUCAUGGGUCUAAAUGAAUCCUACAAAGCAAUCAGAGGGCAAAUCUUAUUGAUGAAUCCGUUACCUGAUGUUCGCCAAGCUUACUCUUCCAUCGUUCAAGAAGAAAAGCAGCGCAGCUUAUGUGACAUACAUGAGACAACUGAAACUGCAGCCAUGGCAGUUCAAAGAAAUGAACCCACAGCCUUGGCUGUUCAACCAGGACACGGUUUUUCCCACUCCAAUUCCUCUAACCGCAAGCCAUUGCACUGCUCAUAUUGUGAUAAUGAUCAUCAUGUACGAGACACAUGUUAGAAGUUGCAUGGGUAUCCACCAGGUCAUCCAAAACAUAAAUCAACUCGAUUCAAUCGCAAAGGCAGUCGUUCUCAGUUUGAAAAUUCCGCUCAGUCUUCAGCCAAUCAUGUUAAGGAAGGACCAGCACUACAGGAAAUGCAGUCCGUGAUGAAUGGACUUUCUGAUAUACAAUUUCAGCAGAUAUUAUCUAUUAUGAACAAUAAGGGGACAAAUCAAUCCUCCAAUCCUAAGGGCAAUGCUGCUGGUACUUCUUCAGGUUUGUCACAAACAUCAUUGCGCCUCCAUCGAUUGGUCCUCGAUAGUGGUGAAACUGAUCAUAUUACCUCUUCUCCGAAUUUGCUUAUUAAUAGUCGUCAGAACACUAUUUUACCGCCAAUUAUUAUGCCAAGUGGAGAACAGGCCCCAAUCACAUCUAUUGGAACUUUACCCUUGAACUCUGUUAUUUCUCUUAAAAAUGUGCUUGGUGUGCCAUCUUUUAAGGUGUAUUUGAUGUCUGUGAGUAAAGUUACAAGAGGUCUCAAUUGUUCCGUAACCUUUUUUCCUUAUUGGUGUAUUUUGCAGGACUUGACGACAAAGACGACGAUUGGUUUGGGUAAACAACGAGGUGGACUUUAUUACUUAACCGCAUUGGCAUCAACCACACCGAGACCUACAAUCAAAUCCUCUGCUGCCAUUGCUAGUCGACCAUCUUGUUCUCAUGUCGUCUCCUCCACCGACUUAUGGCAUCGCUGAUUAGGGCAUCUAUCUUCCUCUAGAUUAGAUUUUAUGGCAAAAAAUUUACUCCAUUUCCCUUUCCAAUUCAAAAAUGCUUGUGAAGUUUGUGCACUUUCCAAGCAAUGCUGACUUCCCUUUUCUGCUAGUUCAAUUUCAUUUGUUAGAUCUUUUGAGUUAAUACAUUGUGAUAUUUGGGGGCCCUACAAAAUUCCUUCUCUUUCUGGUGCAAAGUAUUUUUUGACAAUUGUGGAUGAUUAUUCUCGAUUCACAUGGGUAUUCUUUAUGCAGCACAAAAAUGAAACACAACAUUUACUUACAACUUUUUUCUCUUUUGUCAAAACCCAAUUUAAUACUUCCAUCGCCAAUAUUCGAGUCGAUAAUGGGGGGGGGAAUUCUUUUCUAUGCGUGAUUUUUUUCGACAAAAUGGCACCAUUUAUCAACACUCUUGUGUUUAUACACCCCAACAAAAUGGGGUUGUCGAACACAAACAUCGUCAUAUCCUUGAGUCAGCCCGUGCCCUUCGUUUUCAAGCCCAUCUUCCUUUGUGUUUUUGGGCAGAAUGUGUUCUUACUGCUGUCCAUUUGAUUAAUCGUUUGCCUAUAACACUUCUUUCCCAGCAAACUCCUUUUGAACAACUUUAUGGCAAGGUUCCCUCUUAUUCCCAUCUUAAGGUUUUUGGUUGUCUUGCAUAUGCUACUGUUGUGCAUGUCUCUCAUAAAUUCGCUCCUAGAGCCACACGUUGUGUUUUCCUUGGUUAUCCGGUCGGCCAAAAAGCUUACAAACUUUAUGACCUUACCACUCAUAAAAUUUUCACUAGCCGUGAUAUUGUUUUUCAUGAGCAUAUUUUUCCUUUUGAGUCCCCUCCAUCCAUACCUACACCCACUGUACCUGUCCUCCCUCAUUUUAUUUCUGACCCUCCUCUUUCCGACACCUUCCCCACCAUCUCCACCACACCAUUAGAAUUUGUCCAUUCCGUCACCCCUUUCGACCUGACCCUGCCAGAUUCACCUUUCGCGUCUCUGCCUCCAGCCACUUCCACCUUUGCUCCACCCGUUCCUGACAGCCUCGUUCAACCCCCUUCUUUCAUCACUCCAGUGCAACCCUUACAUCGUUCUCAACGACAUCAUAGUCCUCCUCGUGCUUUACGUGAUUAUGUCUGCAACCACGUGACAUCUCCCAAACCAUCCCUGCCUUCAUUGUCUAGUUCCACUAAAGGUAUGCAAUAUCCUCUUUGUAACUUUAUCUCUUACCAUCGUUACUCACCACAACAUCAUUCUUUUGUUGCUACCAUCAGUCAGGAUGUUGAGCCCCGCUCAUACACAGAAGCCGCUUCCCAUUCACAAUGGCAAGCCGCAAUGCAAUCUGAAUCGGCAGCUUUAGCAGCCAACCACACUUGGUCUCUCACUCCUCUCCCUCCUGGAAAACAACCGAUUGGAUGUCGCUGGGUUUAUAAAAUCAAACGUCACUCGGAUGGCACCAUAGAGCGUUAUAAAGCUCGUUUGGUGGCCAAGGGUUAUACACAGUUGGAAGGUAUCGAUUAUCAUGACACUUUUUCUCCCACUGCUAAAAUGCUUACUGUCCGUUGUUUAUUAGCUCUGGCAGCUGCCCAGGAUUGGUCCCUUCACCAGCUCAAUGUCAACAACGCUUUCCUUCAUGGUGAUCUCCAUGAAGAAAUUUAUAUGUGUCCGCCUCCUGGUCUUCAGCGACAGGGGGAGAACUUGGUAUGUCACCUCAAUAAGUCGUUGUAUGGUUUAAAGCAAGCUUCCCGUCAAUGGUUUGCCAAAUUCUCUACAGUUAUUCAAGAUGCUAGAUAUGUUCAGUCCAAAGCAGACUAUUCGUUGUUCACAUGUCGAAAUGGCAAGUCCUUUACCGCUUUGUUGAUAUACGUUGAUGAUAUUCUUAUUACAGGUAAUGAUCUCAAGGCUAUAUCAACUCUAAAGCAAUUUUUGCAUAGUCGUUUUCGAAUUAAAGAUUUGGGUGCUUUGAAAUAUUUUCUGGGCAUUGAGGUCUCUCGGUCAAAGAAAGGUAUUUCUAUCUCACAGCGGAAAUACACUUUGGAAAUUCUAAAGGAUGGUGGAAUUUUAGGUGCUAAACCUGUGAACUUUCCCAUGGAGCAAAACACAAAACUCUCAGAUGUAGGUAAAUUGCUUAGAGAUCCAUCCCAGUAUAGGCGACUUGUGGGACGCCUAAUUUAUUUGACUAUUACUCGACCGGAUAUCAUGUAUUCUGUACAUGUAUUAAGUCGACUCAUGCAUGCACCACGUAAACCACAUAUGAAAGCUGCCAUGCGUGUGUUGCGUUAUUUGAAAAAUGCUCCAGGACAGGGUUUGUUUUUCCCUUCUCAAAAUGAUUUGUCUUUGCCAGCUUUUUGUGAUUCAGACUGGGCUGGUUGUCCAAUGCACUACGGACUAUUAUGUUUUUUUGGGAUCUUCACUUAUUUCUUGGCGAACAAAAAGGCAGAAACCAGUGUCACUCUCCUCAACAGAAGCCGAAUAUAGAGCCAUGGCCGAUACAUGCUAUGAGUUAUCUUGGUUAUGUUCAUUGUUGAAAGAUUUACGAAUAUUGCAUUCAAAACCAACAUUGCUACUUUGUGAUAACAAAGCAGUCUUACAUAUAACAUCCAAUCCUGUUUUCCAUGAAAGAACCAGACACAUAGAAAUGGAUUGCCACUUUAUUCGAGACAAAAUACAGGAUGGUUCGAUUGUGACCAAAUUUGUUACUUCAGCAAAUCAACUUGCGGAUGUAUUCACUAAACCAUUGGGUAAGGAAAAUUUCUCUACCAUGAUUCGCAAGUUAGGAGUUCUCAAUAUUCACUCUUCAACUUGAGAGGGAGUGUUAAGGAAACAAAUAUGUAAUUAUGUGCUGUAAAAUAUUUCUUUUCCUAUUGCAGUAUAGAUUUUCAGAAUAGCUUAGCACAAUUAUAGGAAACAACUCUUGUAUAAAGUUACGUUCUUUGAUUCAAUGAAUUAAUUCAUUCAGACAUAUAUUCCUUUUCUCUUUUCUCACAAAAUUGGAUAGAUCCGGAACAUGAACACCCCUGGUAAUCACCUUGGCUUUAACUUCAACCACCCAAUUACCUCAAAAUUGCAAUCACAUCAGGCACAUGGCGUUGCAUUCGCAUUCAUCCCCUGACUAUGAAAUGGAUUUCCUGGAAAUUGAUCUCCUUGGUAUGCAGGAACCCUAAUUAAAUGAAAUGGAUUUCCUGGAAGUUGAUCUCCUUGGUCUGCAGGAACCCUAAUUAAAUGAAAUGGAUUUCCUGGAAAUUGAUCUCCUUGGUCCCCAGCCUAUUUUCUCCGAGACCGUGUAACAUGUUGAAAAACUGAAAGAUAAAUAUAAUUUAAAAUAUUUAAUCUCUUGUAACCAAAAAAUUAAUUUUCAUCAUUCAUGCACUUUUGACUAAAUUUUUCUUUUGCUUUUUUUAUGCUGUCCCAUUGAGAUGAUCUCUUAUGCUCUUUUAUGUGAAUUGAAAUUAGAUUAGAUGCUUAUAAUUGGUUCAUCUCAUUUUUAUUUUUAUUUUAUUUUUGAAAAGUAAACUUCCUUUAGUUAGAUAGUUUUUUCUUGGCUAUUUUGUUUUGCAUGGUUUAAUCUUUUUUUUUCUUUGAUUAUCCUUGCUGAUAAUAUCAAAUCAUCCCUUUUUUUGCAGACUUUUUCAAGGUAUUUAGUUUCCUGAUUUUGACCAAACUAGACCAGUUUGUUUUGAAUUGGUUUUUGGUUUUUUCUAGAUUUGUUUUUCAAAAAAUUAUUGUUCCUAGUUUGGUGAAUUUUUUCUCCGAGACCGUACAACCAAGAUACUGUUUGAUUUAAUUUUGUUUUUUGAAUUUUUUGGAUUUUAUAUUUUUUUUUUGAAUUCUUAGCUAUCUUUCCGUUUUGUUUUAGGAUAAUAAUUUUCUUACUAUGUUAAGGUCAAUUUCACGCCUAUAUAAAGACUUGUAAAUAUCCAGAGAGACAAAAGUUAUCAAUUCAUUAUUUCAGAAAUAAAAAUAAUAUCUUAGAGUUCUUCCUGUUUUAAUAAAAAAGUUAUCCUUGUAGGGCUUUCAACUAUAUCAAAAAGUCUACCCAUAAUUUUCAUUAAUUGUAUUUAAGAAAGGAGUUAUAGUUUGACUCACGAUGAUGAGGGAUGAAUGUUCUUUAUAGCAUACUUAAAGCUAUUUUGAAAACAUGACCUUUGAGUUUUAGAUAAUUAGACUCGGUUAAGAGGGUGGUGGCUUAGUUUUUUUUUUUUUUUUAUAUAAAAAAUCAAUGUAAAAUUUAUAAUAUUUAAUAUAAGAGCUUUAUAAUUAUUAGUUUGAAAAUAAUAAUAAUUUUGUAAAUUAUUAGAUGUUUUUUGUUGAUAUUUUUGAAAAUAAUAAUAAUUUUAUAAAUUAUUACGUGUGUUAGGGAGGACAUAAAUUGUCAUCAUAAAAUAUAAUUUCUGAAAAAAUAAAGAUAAAAUAACUAAACUACACAAUGAUCAAGUAAUUUCUCCUUUUUAAAAAAAUAUCAUAGAAACUUUUUAUUGUAUCUAAAAUGUCCUAAUUUACUUUUUGAAAAAGAUAGUCAUAGGAAAAACUUUAAAGAUUAGAGAAAUAAACAUGAUUAUUUAAUUUAAUUUUGUUUUUGAGUUUAUUUUCUUAAAAAUAUUUCUAUAAAUUCUUAUUAUUUUCAUUUUAACUAUUUUUAUCUAGACAAUAAUUAAGGGCGUUAUAUGUAUUAGAAUAUGUUCCUAUAAAAUCGCCAAAUUUUUAAAUAAUUCUUACAAUUUUACAGUACUUCGCACGAUUUUUGUGAUUCACCUUAGAACUUUUGCAUGCACAUAUUAAUACACGGUUUAUGGUGUUUUUUUCACGGUCAGUUUUAAAAUUUUGUUGGAAAGUUCUUGGAAUGCAAAAAUAUUUAUGUUAAAUAAUAUGGACUUGAUAAUUCAUUAAAAAAUAUGAAUCACUCAAUUGUGUGGCCCUGCUCUUGACAGAAAGAUCCGUAAGAAAAUCAUUGGAAACUUACCAGUACGAGUUCUUGACCUCAAGAAACCGGAAACAAUUCGAAGUCAUUGGAAUAAAAAGAAAGAAAAGGGCUUUGGAAGUUGGUUACUAAGAUACUAGAAGAAGAAAAAAUAUUGGGCUUGGCUGGAUCUUGUGCCUCUUUAGUCAACACUUACCACACGGUUUGUUUCGUCUAGAUUCGUGAAAUACUCGUUGAAAUUUGGUGUUUUCUGAUUUCUAAGUAGAAUAUAAAUGUUCCAGCUUGAAAUUGCUAAUUGGUAGAUUUAAUUGCCGAAUUUCUUGAUCUUACCUUCUGUUUCAUGUUUGACCACAGGAGCAGGCCUUACACAAAAUAGCGUGGAAAGCAAUUGCUGAACCAAGCGAGGUAGUUGAGGCCAGAAGGGAUCGGUACUAGUUUAUCGCUAUAGGGAUUUUCAUGGCUUCCAGCAGCGUGCAAGGAAUAACCUCAUCUUCAUCUCCUCCUCCUCCACUAUAUAUGCAUGAUGUGUUCCUUAGUUUUAGAGGCAAAGACACCCGGAACAACUUUACUAGCCAUCUAUAUUCUAAUCUGACACAGAGAGGCAUCAAGGUAUACAGGGAUGACAGCGAGCUCGAGAGAGGAAAGACCAUCGAACCUGCUCUCUGGAAGGCCAUCGAAGAAUCAAGGUUUUCUGCCAUUAUAUUUUCAAGAGAUUACGCUUCUUCACCAUGGUGCCUGGAUGAACUUGUCAAGAUUGUUCAGUGCAUGAAAGAGAAGGGGCAAACUGUUCUGCCAGUUUUUUAUGAUGUGGAUCCCUCAGAGGUAGCUGAGCAGAAAGGGAAAUAUAAAAAAGCCUUCGUUAAGCAUGAACAAAAUUUCAAGGAAAACUUGGAGAAGGUCCGGAACUGGAAAGAUUGUCUCUCUAUGGUGGCCAAUCUAUCUGGCUGGGACGUACGGAAUAGGUAAAUCAUCUAUCUACUUAUUUUUAUUCUUAAAAUCUCCCUGUAUUGUUUCAAUGAUGAACAUAGCUUCUUCUUUUUCUUUUUUUAAUGUUUUUCAAUUGAAACAUGUGAUUAAAUAUCAAAAUAAUCACAAUACAACAAGAAUAUCAAAACUAAUUCUUGAAUUAAAAAAUUGUUAGUAUAUAUUUUUAAUCCAUUAAAUAGCUAUUUGUCUAUGAUCAGACUAGUUUUUCUUUAAUUUUGACUUUUAAAAUAAAAGAGGAGCACGUCUCAAAUUUCUAUGGUCACAGUUUUUUAGAAAAAAAAUUGAAUACAAAUUAAAACAAUUCUCAAAUUUCUUGCUAUUUUUUCAUUUAUUUACCAAUGAAAAUCGUUUGUUUGUUUUUUUUAAUCUUUUUUGAAUGUUUUGUUUACACUAGAAAAAUUAUUUUUCAAUUUAUUAUAUAUUCUUCAUCGCAAAAAUCAAUUAGCAAAUGCUUUAGUACUGUUCUUUGAGUUUUGUUAAUCAAAAGAUGGUAAAUAAUAUUGAAUGAAUGAUAAAAUUAUGGAUUUGUUGAUGAAACACUUAGUAGUAAAUGUAUAUUUUUUUCAUAUGCAUGCUUUUUUUUAAUUUAAUUUUUAUGAAAUCUUGAUCUUAUGUGAUCAAGCGCCCAUUUCUAAUCUUUAUGUAAAAUUUCUUUCUUUUCUUCGGUUUUUCUUUAUAUUUAAAAAAAAUAUAUAUUAGAUAGAAAAAUGAAAAUGUAAAAAAACGUUGAAAAAAAAUCUAGCAUGAACAAAUAAAAAGUUAGCUUAAAAACAUAAAAAUUGUGAAGAAAACAAAUUCAUCAUAAGAAAUAAAAAAUUGACUAAAUGUUUUGAAUAUAUUGGUUUUAGCUUUUCAAAAUAAAAUAAAAAGAUUUUCCAUCAUGAAUUAGAAAAUUCCAACUAUUUAUAAAUAAAAGAGACAAAUUUAUUUAUAAUUUUUUUGUGAAUAUUUUUAAUUUUAUGUUUUUCUUUUUAAUUUGGAAUCAAAAUUUGAUAGGUGUCUUUUUGUUAAAAAAAAUGAAUAUAAAAUUAGCUUGUUAAUUUGGACAGGGAAUUUCUAUUAUUUAAUUGAGUUUAUUGGGGCAUUUUUAUAAAAAUAUCAAUAUUACAAAGAAAUUUUUAGUAUGAUUAGAAUACUUUUUUCUGAUUCUAUUUUAGAAUAAUAGAGGACAACUAUAUCAAUUGUAUUAACAAAAACUUAAAGCCUAUUGGAAAAGUACAGUAAAAAUAUUUUGAUUUACAUGAAUUUACUAUUUUUUUCAUUCUAAAAAAUAUAAACUAUUUAUUAGGGAUAAUAAGGUCUUUUAUGGUCAUUGUAGAUAUGAUAGGGGCAGUUAGGUAUUUUUAAAUUUUUUAUAUGAUAUAAUUACAUAGUUGCCCUUAAAAGCAAAAAACAAAAUUAGAUUCUAAAAGCUUUUUUGAAAUUUUACUUUUCACAUCACAAUAAAAUGAAUCUAUAGCCUUUAAAAUAAAAACUUUCUUAAAUUGCCUUCAAGGGAUUAUUCAUAUUUUUAUUUUUAGUUUUUGUUUUUAAUAAUAAUAUCAUAAUAUCAUUUUAUAGACAGUUUAGUAUUUUAAUAAAUAAAUAAAUAUAUAUAAAAAAGAAAUGUGAUUGACGCAUCUAUAAAACACGCAAACGAGUAAGUCCUCCUGCCUUAUAAGCAGCUUGUGAAUGACUUACCUAUUCCGUACGUCAAUCACAUUUGCAUUUGCUUUUUGGUCUGUGAAAACCAAACUUGAUGGAUAUUUUAUUUCCUAGCUUUUGUUCUUGUAUGCAUGCUUCUGUAGUAUCUGUGUGAUUCUAUAGGCAAUAAGAUAGCUAUUGUACGGAUCAUUCUUAGCAUCAAUACAAUCCUAGUUCUGUUUUCAGUUUAUUCUUUCCUUUUCCUCUCUGUUCUUGAAGCUAUCUAUUAUCACGACGCUAUCUUUCUCUAUACUAAUUUCCGACUAAAAGCCAUACAUUUUCGGGGUAUAAUAUGCUAAUGUUUAUUUUUCCAUUAUCACUAUCUAAUUUGAUUUCUGCACGCUGCAUGAUUAAUGUUUUGCACUCUCCUGUGCAGGGAUGAAUCGGAAUCAAUUAAAGCAAUUGCUGACUGCAUAUCGUACAAACUAAGCCUCACUCUGCCAACAAUUAGCAAAGAAUUAGUUGGAAUAGAUUCUCGUCUAGAGGUAUUAAAUGGUUAUAUAGGUGAAGAAACUGGCGAAGCAAUCUUCAUAGGGAUUUGUGGAAUGGGUGGCAUAGGUAAGACGACUGUUGCAAGGGUACUAUAUGAUAGGAUUCGUCGGCGAUUUGAAGGCAGCUGCUUCUUAGCAAAUGUCAGAGAAGCUUUUGCUGAGAAAGAUGGACCACGCAGUUUACAGAAAAAACUUCUUUCUGAUAUCUUAAUGGAACGUGAUAUUAAUAUAUGUGAUUCUUCUACAGGAAUUGAAAUGAUAAAGCAGAAGUUACAACGUAUAAAGAUUCUUGUUGUUCUUGAUGAUGUAAAUGACCGUAAACAACUAGAAUACCUGGCUAAGGAGCCUGGAUGGUUUGGUCCAGGGAGCAGAAUUAUCAUAACAAGCAGAGAUACAAAUGUGUUAAUUGGAAAUGAUGAUACUAAAAUUUACGAGGCUGAGAAAUUGAAUGAUGAUGAUGCUCUUAUGUUAUUUAGCCAGAAAGCUUUCAAAAAUGACCAGCCUGCUGAAGGUUUUGUGGAACUAUCCAAGCAAGUUGUGGAUUAUGCUAAUGGCCUUCCACUAGCUCUUGAAGUUAUAGGUUCGUUUUUGUAUGAAAGAAGUAUCCCUGAAUGGAGAGGUGCAAUUAAUAGAAUGAAUGAGAUUCCUGACUGCAAAAUUAUUGAUGUGCUUCGCGUUAGUUUUGAUGGCCUCCAUGAAUCAGAUAAGAAAAUAUUUUUAGACAUUGCAUGUUUCCUGAAGGGGUUUAAAAAAGAUCGAAUAACAAGGAUACUUGAAAGCCGAGGAUUCCAUGCAGGUAUUGGAAUACCAGUUCUUAUUGAGAGAUCUCUUAUAAGUGUCUCUCGGGAUCAAGUCUGGAUGCAUGAUUUGUUACAGAUAAUGGGUAAGGAAAUUGUUCGUUGUGAAUCCCCUGAAGAGCCUGGAAGGCGUAGUAGAUUGUGGACAUACGAGGAUGUCUGCCUUGCACUGAUGGACAACACAGUGAGUAGCUGAUAGAGAACAUUAUCCAUAAGAUUUCAUAAAGUUUAUUUUAAUUUACGCUCCAUCUCGACAAAUCUCUACUUUGUAUUUGUUUUUUACUUGUAUUCCCUUUCGGUUGACAGGGAAAAGAAAAAAUAGAAGCCAUAUUCUUGGACAUGCCUGGAAUAAAAGACGCACAAUGGAACAUGGAAGCCUUCUCUAAAAUGAGCAAACUAAGAUUGCUCAAAAUCAACAACGUGCAGCUUUCUGAAGGACCUGAAGAUCUUUCCAAUAAGUUACGAUUUCUUGAAUGGUAUUCUUACCCUUCAAAAUCAUUGCCAGCUGGUUUACAAGUGGAUGAGCUAGUUGAACUUCACAUGGCUAACAGUAAUCUUGAUCAAUUAUGGUAUGGGUGUAAGGUGAGAUCAACUAAUUUAAGGGCCUUUGUAUUUCGUUUUAUCAUUUUCCUAUAUGUGUAUGAUAGUAGCAUCCGCAUUUUUUCUCCCUUGCCUGAUUGCAGAGUGCACUUAAUUUGAAAAUCAUCAAUCUCAGCUACUCACUAAACUUGUCCAGGACUCCAGAUCUUACUGGAAUUCCAAAUCUUGAGAGUCUGAUUCUUGAAGGUUGUACAAGUUUGUCUGAGGUCCAUCCAUCACUUGGAAGUCACAAGAAUCUUCAAUAUGUGAAUCUUGUGAAUUGCAAAAGUAUUAGGAUUCUCCCAAGCAACCUUGAAAUGGAAUCGCUUAAAGUUUUCACUCUUGAUGGCUGCUUAAAACUUGAGAAGUUUCCAGAUGUAGUAAGAAACAUGAACUGUUUGAUGGUGCUUCGUUUGGACGAGACUGGUAUUACAAAACUAUCUUCAUCGAUUCGUCAUUUGAUUGGCUUAGGUCUAUUGAGCAUGAACAGCUGCAAGAACCUUAAAAGCAUUCCGAGUAGCAUAAGUUGUUUGAAAUCUCUUAAAAAACUCGAUCUGUCUGGCUGCUCUGAACUUAAAAAUAUACCAAAGAAUUUGGGGAAAGUUGAAAGUUUGGAGGAGUUCGAUGUAAGUGGAACUUCAAUAAGACAACCGCCAGCAUCUAUUUUUCUUUUAAAGAGUCUUAAAGUAUUAUCUUUUGAUGGAUGCAAAAGAAUAGCUGUGAAUCCCACGGAUCACAGGUUGCCUUCUUUGUCGGGUUUGUGUUCUUUAGAAGUACUGGAUUUAUGCGCUUGCAAUCUAAGAGAAGGGGCACUUCCUGAAGAUAUUGGCUUCUUAUCUUCUUUGAGGUCUUUAGAUCUGAGCCAGAAUAACUUUGUUAGCCUGCCUCAAAGCAUAAAUCAGCUUUUUGAACUGGAAAGGCUUGUCUUGGAGGAUUGCUCGAUGCUUGAAUCAUUGCCUGAGGUUCCAUCAAAAGUUCAAACAGUAAAUUUGAAUGGUUGUAUAAGCCUAAAAGAAAUUCCAGAUCCGAUAAAGCUAAGCAGUUCCAAAAUCUCAGAGUUCCUCUGUCUUAACUGCUGGGAAUUGUACGAGCAUAAUGGCCAAGACAGCAUGGGGUUGACCAUGCUUGAAAGAUACCUCAAGGUCUUCUCUUAAUCAUACCCCAACCUUUUUGUAUCGCUCUCCCUCUCCCGCUAUCUAUCUAACAUUUUGGUUUUUCAUGGUACAGGGUUUGUCUAAUCCAAGACCUGGAUUUGGUAUCGUUGUUCCUGGAAAUGAAAUUCCAGGCUGGUUUAACCAUCGAAGUAAGGGAUCUUCAAUUAGUGUGCAAGUGCCUAGUUGGAGCAUGGGGUUUGUUGCGUGUGUUGCAUUCAGUGCAAAUGGAGAAAGUCCUUCUCUCUUUUGUCAUUUCAAAACCAAUGGAAGAGAGAAUUAUCCUUCGCCGAUGUGUAUUAGUUGUAACUCUAUCCAAGUUCUGUCAGAUCAUAUUUGGCUAUUCUAUCUAUCUUUUGAUUACCUUAUAGAGCUUAAAGAAUGGCAGCAUGGAUCCUUUAGCAACAUUGAGUUGUCAUUUCAUUCUUCCCAGCCAAGAGUAAAGGUGAAGAAUUGUGGUGUCUGUUUGUUAUCUUCUCUAUAUAUUACAUCACAACCAUCUUCUGCCCAUUUUAUUGUUACAAGCAAAGAAACAGCUUCUUCAUAUAAAGCUUCUUUAACUCUCUCUUCAUCGUACCAUCAUUGGAUGGCCAGUGUUUUCCCUGACAUCAGAGUCGCAGACACUAGUAAUGCUAUCACCUAUUUAAAGUCAGAUCUAGCUCGGAGAGUCAUUAUCUCAUUGAACGUAAAGGCAAUUAGAUCAAGACUUUUUAAGGCCAUUGAAGAAUCAGGGCUGUCAAUUGUUAUAUUUUCAAGAGAUUGUGCUUCUUUACCUUGGUGCUUUGACGAACUUGUCAAGAUUGUCGGAUUCAUGGAUGAGAUGAGAUCGGACACUGUGUUUCCAGUUUCGUAUGAUGUCGAACAAUCAAAGAUAGAUGAUAAAAAAGAGAGUUACACAAUUGUCUUUGAUAAGAUUGGAAAAAAUCUCAGGGAAAACAAGGAGAAGGUACAAAGAUGGAUGGAUAUUCUCAGUGAAGUUGAGAUUUCAUCUGAAUUGAGUUCAUCGGAAAGGUAAUAAUUACUUCUUUUUUGUGUGUGUAGCUCGACUUAUCAACCACUUCAAGUAAAUGAAACUUGGAAUGCUGAAAUAUCAAAUUUCAGAACUUAAUGUUAACAAAUCUGCACCGUGCAAGGUUCAGUACACAAUGGGGUUACAAGUAUUUUUUUCAAGGUAGAUUAUGAAUUUAAGAAAAAUUAAUAUUAAACUUAGUUGAGUUUAUGGUCUGGAUUAACCCGACAUGUUUUACUAUGGACGAUAUUGUUUACUUUAAUUUUUUUUUAGGUUUGUUAUAAAUUCAAAGGGAGAAAAAUAUUGAACCGGUUGAGUGUAUUAUCCAGGUCACAAGUUUGUUUUUAAAGGUUGAGUAUAAAUUUUUUUAAAAAAAUUUCAACCUAGUUGAGGAUUUUUUAUAAAGAUUGAGUUUUUUUAUGGUGUUGUGUAUUUUUAAUUUUUUAAUUUGUUUUUUUUAAGUUUAAUAUAAAUUUAAGAGAAAACAAUUAUUGAACCUCGUUGAAUUCAUGGUUCGAAUCACAUAUUUAAUUUUUUUAAGGUUUAAGGAAAAAAAUAUUGAAGCCGAUUGAGUUCAUGAACUGAGUUACGGGUUUAACGAGUUAAGCCACAAUAACCAGAUAAUUUUUUUUUCUAAUGUUGCUUUUUUUUUUAUUGAUAUCUUUUUAUAUAUAUCUUAUUUUAGAUAAUUUUCAAUUUAUGUUUCAAUUAAUAUCACUCAUAUGUGAUUUGUUUUGUUUAUUUAACUUUUUUUUUUAAUAUAAAUUGUUUUUUGAUGGUGUUGUAUGUAUUUGUUUUUAAAUGUUGAAAAUAAAUUUAAGAGAAAACAAUAUAGAGUCUGGUUAAGUUCAUGGUCUGGGUCACAUGUUUAAUUUCUUUUUUGUUAAAGGUUGAAUACAAAUUUAAAAGGAAAACAAUAUUGAACCCGGUUGAGUUUAUGCUCCGGGUCACGGAUUUAACGAGUUAAGCCACAACAACAAAACAAUGUUUUUUUUUUCUGAUAUUGCUUUUUUUUACUGAUAUUUUUUUAUAUAUCUUUUUUAAAAUAUUUUUUAAAUUUAUGUUUCAAUUAAUAUUCCUCAUCUGGUCUGUAAAAGAGCGUCAUCUUAUUUUUUUCACAAACAUCUUGCAACAAAAAAAAAAAAGGUUAGUGGGCGUGGGCCCUAACAAAAUGCGGCAAUUGGGUUGGCUUAACUUAGUAGUCCCAACAACGCCUGACCUUUGCUUUUUUUUUUCUUUUAUAUGUUUUUUUUUUUAAAUUAUAUUUAGAUUAACAUCCCUUCUCUUUUUUUUAUGUUGUUUAGAGAUCCUCUUUGAAAUGAUGGUUAAUUUUUAGUUAUGCAUUUAAUUUUUGAGAAAGUUUUUCUAAUUCAUUUAUAUAUUUUUUAAUUUUUUGUACAGAUGAAAUUUAUUCUUGAAAAUAAAAAUUUUUAUUUUCAAAUAAUAUUUCUAAUAUGUGCAGCCUUGCAUAUUAUUUUUUUUCAUUUUAUUUUAUUCAAUUAAUUUGAUGUGUAUGUCUACUUUUAUUAUCGUUUGAUUGAAUAAAAAACUUGUUUUAAUUAAUAAAUUUAGUAAAUACAAUCACGUAAAUAUCUCGUCUUUCGAAAUUAAAUAUCUUAAUCUACACUAGUUUCUCGAUUUUUCCACUUUUAUGUUUAGUUGUAGUUUAUAGUUGUUGUUUUUUACUUAUUAACACACAUAAUUCUUGAUUUAUUUGAUUAUAUUUAUGCAUAUUUUUUUUUCACUUAGAAUUUUUUAAAUACAAAAACAUGUUGAAAAAAUCUAUCUAUAAAUUUUUUAUUAAAUUUUUUUUUAACACCCAACAAAACAUGUAACAUCGAUUCCAUGUACAGUUUGACUAUAUCUGAGCUGCAGCAGCUGCUCGAGCAGCAGGAGCAGGUGCUCGAGCAGGAGGAGCAGAACCUGCAGCAGGAGGAGCAGCAGUUGCAGCAGUUGCUCGAUCAGCAGGUGCUCCAGCAAUGGCGACGGCAGGUGCUCCAGCCGGAGAGGCGACAGCUGCUCCAGCCGGAGAGGCGGCAGCUGCAGCAGGAGCAGCGGCUGCGGCGGCGGCUGCGGCAGCUCCGUCUGCGGCGGCAGCUCCGGCAGCUCCGGCUGCUCCAGCAGCGGCGGCAGCUCACCGGGUUUUGGUUAGUAAUUAACUUGCUUUAGCUUGAAGUUCUUCGGCAGUUUUUGCUCAUGGUUUUGGUUUGGGGUAAUUAGAUUCACAUUUUACUACCAGUAUAUUAAAAUAAUAUAUAAAAAAACUUAAUUUAAAAUAAAAAAAAUAAACUUAAUUUUUUAAAAAAUAUAUUUUUAAAAUAUAAAAACAAACAAACAAUCUACCCGACAACCUAUUAGAUCAAAUCAUGAGGAAAGGCGGCAUCUUUAAUUUGUUACUUUUACACAAAAGUGUUUGUUUGUUUCUUGGAUUCAAUUUGCCAAAUUCUCAGUUAUUCUUGAAUUAACAUAAAUCUUGCAACUCAAGUUUUGGAUUUUAUAUAUUUCCUUUUAUUUUUUAGUUAAAUAUAUUUUUAUUUUUUUUACUAAACAAACACAACAUACUGUAAAUAUAAAUUCAAAAUAUCUUUACUAUAAUAAAAAAAAUUAAUUUAGUAACAAUUUGUUUUAUAAGCCUGACAAAUUGUCGCUUUUAAAUAGAAUAUGAAUUUUGGAAGGUAUUUCUUUAGUAAUUAAUAAACUUCUAUACUUUUCUCUUAGAUGCACCAACAAUUUUUAUUGUUAAUAGCUUUAUAUUUACAACUAUAUAAACAUAUAAAUAUUAAUAUAUAUAAUCACUUACUCCAAAAUUGGACUUGCUUCGUUUGUAAUUGGCGAAAUAUCAACCCAUGAAGAUUUUAUGGGAAAACCCAGUUUUAUUUUUUUGAGAAAUAGUGGUAGUACUAAUGGGAAUCGGUGUGGUGGAUUUUGUCCAAGAGGGUAUGUAUGUGUAGCUGAGGCAUUGUCAUCAACAGAUGUUGAAGAUAAUGUGUCUGGUGCCGAUGAAGUGCAAGAAUUGCAGCCAGAAAUGAGGAAAGAAGAGGAGCACUUUAGGAGGAGGAGGCUACGUGCUAACCCUGGAAUAGGGUCAAGGAAGCAUAGGGUCUUAAGGAGAAGGCAAGUGAAGAUUGAGGCGGAAGCAUGGGAGCUGGCAACGAAAGAAUAUAAGGAGCUUUUGAAGGAUAUGUGUGAGCAUAACUUGGCUCCUAAUUUGCCAUAUAUGAAGAGUUUGUUCCUUGGUUGGUUUGAGCCUUUUACAGAUGCAAUUGAGCAGGAGGUAAGUAAUUUUUAAUGUUUUAUUUGCUUAUUUUUACUUGCGGUUUGAUUUGUAGACAGAGGAUAAUGAGUGCCCCUAUAAAAAUAUUGAAAGAUAAGAGAAAACAUAAAGUUUCUUAAAUUUACUUUUAGACAACCUUCAUCUGAGGUGAUGAACUAGGAAGAAAGAUGAAGGUUACUAUGUACAAUUAUGAGAUAAAAAUCAGCUAUGGAGCUAGUAGUGCCUGGAAAAUUAGAUUUUGAAGUUACGUUCCGUAAAGUUUUGUCGAAUGUUGAAUGGGGUUUUUCUGGAUUUCUUUUUUAUAUAUCUAUAGUUUUUACUUUCAGUCCAAGUUCUUCUGUUGUUCAUGGUUCCAGGGAAGACACUAAAUGUAGGUACGAAAAACAAUGUAGUGUAAGAUCCUUUAGAUUUUUUACAAUUUUUUCAUUAUGUGUUAAACUUUUCAUAUCACGGGCCUUAUUAGGCUGAAUAUUCUAUUACGCCUUUCUUUAUUGAGCUACAAUUUCUUCAAAGCAUGGGCAUGGUGGACUCAUAAGAGUGACAUUCAACUUUCCUUUGUCAGAGCUCAUCUCAUGUUUCGACAUUGCUUCAUCUAGGAACUCUUCUUCUCCUUGCACUUGUUGUCUCACUAUAGUACCUCGUUGGAUCCUCUGGGUACUCCUGCAUAAUCUCCGUAUGCCCUCGUGCAAUUUAUGUUCUCCAGAUUUAUCUAUACUCCUUGCUUAUGUUUGACAGUAGCUCAUCCUGUCACAACACCUGUCCAAGUCAAAAUAAGGUGUCAAUCUUUAUCCCCUUGCUAUAUUUCUCUUUCAUUAUUAGGAUCUUCAUCAAUUCUCCCCUUGAGAAAUCACAGUCACCGAAUCUAAUUUCUUUGGAGAAAUCACCACUCCAUCAGAUCCUUGAACAUACUGAACCCAACUAUUCCCUUAUGCCGUCAUCUUGCUAGUCUCCAACCGUUUCAUUACAAACUGUUAUAUAUACGAAAAUAGUACCGUAUGGAUAAUCCUUCCACUAAGCAAGUUCCCAGGAAAGAUUGGAGGGGUCACACCGGUCCCGCUUAAAACCCAAUCUCCUAAACAGAACUUCUAAGGCCAUAUCUAUCCAUCGUACUGUCUUUCCGUAUAUACAACCAUUUGCUAGCUUUAUUGCAGCUUUCUUUUACAAGUGAUCUGGAAUAUCUUGGUUCUAUACUUGAUUUCUCAACAUCUGACGAGACUACCAGUGCUUGGAUUCGUCAAGAUUGGUCUUCGUUAAUUUCCACUCUCCACCUCAAAUCAUCCACUUGAUCAGGUGUCCAAAGUGUUCCAAUUUUGCCUUCCUUCAAGGUAACUAAAAAAUCUCCCCGCUUAGCAGUUCAGCACAUGUAAUUGGAUAAACAUGUGAACCUUCUUCUUCUUCAUCUCCAUCGACCACCAUAAUGACCUUCAGAUGCCUCCUAAUCGGGCAAUCUCUCUUAAAAAUUCACCACCACCACUUUUGGUCUCAAUCUCAACGAUCAGACUGUACCAUUGCAUCUAAAACGAUCAAAUUAGCUAGAAACAAGUCUGAAAUCAUCGAAAUCGCAUUUCAGACGGCUAAAAUUUGAUCAAAACAAUUCUGGUCUGAUAAACGGCCCAGAUUCAAUCUCAGAUCCGAUUGCACAUAGAAUCCGCUACACAAGAUCCUAUACCUCGGCUCACGGCUCGACUCCUCUCGGCUCAGCUCUCGGCUGAUGAUGUGGCAGGUGGGUCCCAAUGUGCUGACGUGUUAGCUGACUGGGCGCUGACAUGGCAUGCCAACUGUGCAUGCUGACGUCAUGCUUAUGUCAUCCUUAUCCAGGUCAGUCCCAUGGGUCAAGUCAACUAGUAUUAGGGUUGGGUCAGCCCAUCCGGGCGAAGAAGACGAGUGGCACGCGUGGGGGGCGUCUGCACGCGUGGACAACCACCUCGUCGGCGCGUGUGGCCAUGUCUGACAUCCGAUUUCGAUGUCGUUUUCACCAGUGUGAUCGUCUCUUCCUCUUCUACACAGUGGUAUGGUCAAAACACCAUUUUGACAACUUUCAUUUUUGGGCAAAAAUCAAACACCACUUUAAACCAUGUGCUCUGAUACCAAUUGUUAGGAAUUCUGACUCCUAUGCGCGGACCGGUGAUGUUCUGAUAGUUACCCAUUGUAGGCUUAGCACACUGAGACACAAUAUUUAACGUGGUUCGGCAAAUCGCCUACAUCCACGGGAGAGGUCCAUAUUAUUAGAGAUAGAGAAAGGAUACAUACAAAUACAUGGAGGAGGAGGAUCACUUCACUCAACUCAACUCACAUCUCUCAUUGCUGCACUUGCAGCUACUGUGUAGAAGAGGCUCUGCCUCUCCAUUUCUGUAAUCUCCAUUGGAAGGGAAACUAAUUGUCUUGCAGGUGUUUAUUGAAAACAUGUUGAAUGUGAGAUAUGAGAUGGAAGGGUUUGUCUAGGAUUCUCAAUAAAACAGAGAACAUUGUCUUUAAACAUUAAAGAGCAUUUGCUAAUCACAACCAUGUCUAAUACGGUAAAAUUAACAUUAUUGCCACAGGCAGGAGAAUUUAGGGAUUGCUAUGGAAUUCUUUAUUAUAAUGUUUUUGAUGUUAAAGGGAGAGGUAUACUUCAUGGAAAAGAAUGAUUGGCAGUUAGAGAUAAAAUAUAGAGAAAGAAAAUGUGUUAGGUUUUCUACAAGGAUGUUGUGGUGGAUUAUUUUAGCGCAAGAAAAGACAAGAGUAUAUGUUUGGCAAGUUAGUUAGGAUAUGUUUUUCAUGGACUUUGGUUAAGUUUUUCAUGAAUAGGUGAUCACAAUCCUCAUUGGAAAAACUACACAUGCUUUGGAAUAUGAAGAGGCCUCUAUAGCAGCUUCUGUCAUUCAACCUAUUGCCUUUAAAUCUGAUAAGCUCCCUAGCCCUUUUGGUUGUAAAUUGCCCAUUAGGACUGAGAUUCCUGGACACACUUUCUAUCUACAAAAAGAAAAGAUUUAAACCAGUGAUUGCACUCUGAAUAUCUUUAUUUGAUCAGAUCUAGCAUCAGACGAAAAUCAUUUCAUGAAUUGGUCUUGGGGAAAGAGCACUUUGUUUUCUAGCAAGUUUAUAGUGGGUCUUGGCUCUUUCACUCAAUCAUCAUGCAAAUUGCAGGAGGCACAUUAGCAUAGUCCUCACUAAAAUUAAUUUUAGAUCCUUGUAUACAAAUUUGGAAGAUGCAAAUUCUUCAUACAUGUUCCUUACAUAUGCUACUUUAAUCUGGAAUUUAAUGAGUUUAUGGUUGGAUUCUGGUUCCCAUGUAGUUGUAGCAAGUCUUAACACCACUAUUGCUUCUAGUAACAAAUCAGGACCUGGCAUUUAAGUAGCUUUUUUGGUGUGUUCUAAGCUCUUCUUAGAUAAUUGUGUCAUAGCUCUCUUACUCGUGUCGAGCAUAACCUCAAUGCCCUUUGCAGUUAUGAUAAAGGGCACCUAGGAAUCAGCUACAGCCAGUUUUUGAGGUCUGUACAUAUUAGAUGCAUUGCAUGGUUACUGAUGCGUAUUUUAUUGUUUGAACUAAAUCAUCUUUUGGUACUAACAUGUGAUGUUCUUUGAACAAAAUCUCAUACUGACAAUUUUGUAUACCUUCACAUGCUAUCACGUGUAGAUUUUACCAGCUUAGCUUCUGGUUUAACAAGGAUUCUCUUUUGUUUGAAUUAAUUUUCCAGGCCCUGGAUACACUAGGGAAUACCGAAUGGAGGGUUUGCUCCCUCUGUGGUCUCAGGUUCGAGCCCUGUGGUUGCUCAUAUGAUAGCCACUGGAGGCUUACAUGAUCGUUAACUUCAGGGCCCGUAGGAUUAGUCGAGGUGCGCGCAAGCUGGCCCGGACACCCACGUUAAACUAAAAAAAAAAAAAAGAGGGUACUUAGUGUUGUUGAUAGAAUAUGGAGUAAUGGAGGCUGUCUUGCUGAUUUGGUAGACCACAGUGAUGUGAGUAUCUUUUCUAACUUUCCUCAAUGUAAUUCGUGUUUUUUUUAGAAACUCCUUUACCUUUGUGUUCCAAGAAUUGAUCAUGUAAACACAUCAUACAUGUAAAUAUGAAUACACAAUAUCCAUACCCUAACAAAAAUAUUAAUUUAGUAAUAGUUUUUUUUUAUAAGCCUAACAAAGUGUCGCUUUGGUAGGCAUGCUUUAAAAUAGAAUAUGAAUUUCGGAAGGUAUUUUUUUUAUUAAUUGAUAAACUUCUUUACUUUUCUCUUAGAUGCGCCAACAAUUUUUAUUAUUGAUAUUUACAACUAUAUAAACACAUAAAUACAUAAACAUUAAUAUAUAUAAUCAAUAUCAAUAUUUACACCAAAAUUGAACUUUCGUUUAUAAAUAACAAUGCACCAAGCCUAAAUGUAUUGAGUCUAAUGUUAGCCAGACCUAGACACGGUGGAUCUAGCACUAGCUAGACCCAAGAAAUGAUUAGAUCUAGCUACCGCCUGACCCAAAUCUUGUUAGGACUAGCACUAGUCAAAUUCAACCAUAAUUGAGCUUGGUAGUGUGUUAGACCAAGGCGCAUUGAGUCUGGCAUUGACCAGACCCAAAAGAUAAUUGAGUCUAACACCAUAAACACUCCUUUGUCAAAGGUUUGAGAUGGAAUAUUUGCAAUGGGAGAGGAAUUAGUGUUUGUGAUUGGAACAUUAAAAUUGGGUUGUUUGUAAGAGGAAUAUUAAAGCUUAAUUCAUAAUAAUGUUGAAGGAUAAAAUUAAAAAAAAAUACAAAUAAAAAAACCCUAGAUCAACUCGCUAAAUUCACAACACGAGUCAUAAAACUAAAAUAAUAUUAUAAAAAAAAAUCAACAAAUUAUAAAACUUAAUCUUUAAGAAGUAAAAUGUUGAAAGAUAAAAAAAGCAUGUAGAUUUUUUUAAAAAAAAAAUAUCAUUGCAAAUUUUAACUUGGUAAGAUUUUAUGUUAAUAGUAUUAUAUUAGAUGAGUCCAGCUCACCAUAAGCCUACAUGGAUGAAUAUGAGUUAAUGGUGAGUCGAGCUUGUAUAAUAAUUUAUGGGUAGCAAAAGUUGUGCCCAGUAUUUCUAUAAUACGACGAGGUUUAAUUUCUUUUUUUUUCAUGGUUAUCUCUCAGUGGAUAGCAGCAUCAAUCAUAAGAACUUCUAUAUUUAUAUCUAAUUUAAAUACUAAUUAAACGUGAUAAGAGUGGGAGUUAAAUAUAACGCUGCACAUCAAAUGCUCUUCAAAAAAAAAAAUCUACAUUGAAGCUUUUGAAAAGAAAUAUUAACAUUUAUCACCUUCUGCGUUCUAUUUGUUUAACUGAAUAUAGAGCCACCUUGUUACACUUUAUUAUUAUGAAUAAUAAAAUAACUCCAAACUGCAUUUAUUGGAAGCUUCUGCGAUGUGCCCAUCAAAUACGACUAUAGUGAAUCCCUGGAUAAGAGAUCGUUGCUUUCGACUUUCCGACCGCCGUUGCAUAGCUCAUCACAGCCAUCCCCACUUUCAAAAACAGCAGCAGCUCCCAUUCCUGUGCCUGCAUUUAAUUAGUGACAACAGUUAGCCAUAAGCAUACGUUUCCAGCAACACUCCACGCACCCAGAGAGAGAGGGAGAAGAAGAAUACCUAUGCACAUUGACACCACCCCGAAGCGACAGUCCAUGCCACGACGCUUCAUCUCAUGCAGUAAAGUAGCCACACAUCUAGCACCUGUAACAGUUGAUGAGGCAUGAAUUAGUCUCAGAAAAUGAUUAAACAAAUAACUGCUGCACCACAUAUUCAUGUGUAAAAUUAAAGAACAUAUAUUAAUGGAUUGAUAUCACAAAGAUCACCGUACACAACUCAAAAGUGAUGCUCUAUACAAGUCUUGAGCAGAUUUACAAGCACCAAAAACUGUUUCCACCACCGACACAACGCAAAACCCCUGAAUUUACCCAUGUUUGUGUCAAUUCAUUUCUGCACUUUUGACCAAAUUUUUCUUUUGCUUUUUUAUGCUGUCCCACUGAGCAGACCUUUUUUGUUCUUUUGUGUGAAAAAAAAACUAAAAAAACUAAUUAGAAAAUAAAAAAAAUAUUUAAAAUUCUAAAACCGAUUGAACUAGAUCUCAUAGACUAGUUAUUUUUAUUAUAUUCCCAUUUUUAUUUUUUAUUCUAUAGAUUUUUCUACAUUGAAGCUUUUGAAAAAUUUACAUUGAUCAUGCUUUUUUAUGUUGUUCCACUGAGAUGACCCUUUUUUUUUCUUUUAUGAAUUGAAAUUAUAUUACAUGUUUGUAAUUGUUUCAUCUCAUUUUUAUUUUUGAAAAGUAAACUUCCUUUAAUUAGAUUAUCCUUAAUAUUAAAUUAUCCCUUUGCUUUUUGCAGAGGUCUUAUCAAGCUGUUUGGUUUCUUGAUUUCAGUUGAAUUGAUUUUUAGUUUAUUUCACAUUAUAUUUUCAUGAAAUGAACAGGACAAUAAACUCUUUUAAUAAUCAUCUUGCCUUUAACUUUAAUUAGCUAUUUCAAAUAAAAAUUAUUAAUUUAAAUUUUACAAACUUUAUAAUUACUAAUAAUUUAUAUAAUUGUUAAUUUUAAAACUGUAUAAUUAAUCAUGAUAUAUGGAAACUGCUACAAUACUCAUGUUAAUAAUGAAAACAAAAUUACAAUCACAUCAGCAUGGUUGAAUUAUUCAUGGUUGCAUUCGCUUUCACCCCCUGACUAUGAACAGGAACCCCAAUUAAAUGAAAUGGUCCACAGCGUUUUCGGUCAACCAAGUCGGCUUCCACUUGCAGCACAAUUCAUCAAAAAACGAUGUGAAUUAUCAUUUGAUGUCGAACCAGGUGGACUAUCAGCUGCAGCCACAAUUAUUUGAUGCAUAGCAAAAUAAUUAUUCAGAAUCACAGUACCUUGGCAGUCCUUUCCAGCCAAAUUGAUGUGUUGUGUGCUAAUCCGACGAAAAUCAAGAUCCCAAAGAGGGUGAUGCCGCUGAUGUAGUAGUUGCAAUGCCGAGGAUAUCUAGAGAAAACUGUGAGUAACCCUGUCAAAUUUUUUUAUUUUUAUUUUACUCGAUCUCAUAAUUAAAUUUUUGUUGCAUAAUUUUUAAUUAAUAAACAUGUAAUUAUAAAUGAAGGAAAGAAAAAAUUGGAUGGACUUGUUUGUUUCAAUUUUAUUUUUUUGGUUUUAUCUUUUUUAUUUGUUUUUUAAAGCCUUUUUUAACUCAAUCAAUUCUUUAUUUUUUAUUAUUUUUUUAAGUAUAAAAGUAUAUUCCAAAGAAUAUUUUAAAGUAAUUGGGCAAAUAACAUUGUUAGCCACGGAGAGAUCAAUGGUAUGGACAAAAUAAUAGUAUAAUGAUUGGACUCAAAAACUUUCAAAGACAAAAUCAAUAGUAUACGAUCCCUCAAACUCAUUAACCCCUCACAACUCACUAACCCAAAUUCUCUUGUUUUUGGAUAAUUAAAAAGAAACCAUUUUUUAUGUUGUUUUGAAUUUUUUUUAUUUACUAUUUGAGAUUUUAUAAAAAAAAAUGGUUUGAUGACAGAGGAAUCCAUCAUGUUUGUAUUGAUGGUUGAAAUUGUGUUUGGGAUUUCAUUAAAUUUUUUAUAAUUGUUUUUUCUUAAAAAAAACAUUUUAUAUUUUGUUACCAGCAUGGAGCUGUGAAAAUGAAGGGUUGUAGUGGCGAGGAAUGUUUUUUGGAUUUAAUUUAAUGUUUUUUUUUAAUGUCAGUUAAUUAUAUAAUUUUCUUAAGAUCAAUCUUUUAAUAAAAAAUAUGUAGGAGCUAUAAAAUUGGUGGGACUUAUUCUUCUUAUUUUGAUUUUUUUUUUUUUGAAAACAUGUUUUUCUUUUCAGUGCUUACGAACUAGAUCAAAACAUGUAUUACUUUUUAUUGUAUGUAAAAUGUCCUUAUUUACUUUUAAACAUAGAUGCUUGACUUGAGAAUUCAUUACAAAACACGAAUCAACUCAAUUGUGAUGUGCGUGGCCCAACCCCUGCUCUUGACAGGAAGGUGCCUCUGAUGUCCUUAUUUACUUUUAAACAUAGAUGCUUGACUUGAGAAUUCAUUACAAAACACGAAUCAACUCAAUUGUGAUGUGCGUGGCCCAACCCCUGCUCUUGACAGGAAGGUGCCUCUGCUGCCCAACACGAAUCAAAUUUUUCUUUUGCUUUUUAUGUUGUCCCACUGAGAUGACUUUUUUUGCUCUUUUGUGUGAAUUGAAAUUAGAUUAGAUGUUUAUAAUUGUUUCAUCUCUUUUUUUUUUCUUUUUUUUUUGAAAGGUAAACUUCCUUUAAUUAGAUAGUAUUUUUUUUUUCUAUUUUGUUUUGCAGGCUUUAAUCUUUUUUUUUCUUUGAUUAUCCUUACUGUUAAUAUUAAAUUAUCCCUUUAUUUUUUUUGCAGCUGCCAAGAUAUUUGGUCCCGAUUUUUAAAUGUACCAAAUUGAAUCGGUUUGAUUCAAACUGGUUUUCAGUUUAUUUUGGAUCAUUUUCUCAAGAAAUUGUUGUUUCUGGUUGAUAUUUUUAGAUCUAAACUGUACCAAUCCAGACAAUGAACACCCCUAAUAAUCGUCUUUGCUUUAACUUCAACCAGCCAACUACCUCAAAUUUGCAAUCACAUCAGGCGCAUGGCGUUGCAUUCGCAUUCAUCCUAUUUUCUCCGAGACCUGUUGAAAACUUGCAGUUUGGUGGUGGCGGAUUCAGUGAGAUGGACCAGUGGUAUGAUCAGGAAGUAGUUUUAUCUUUUUUAUUUGUUGUUUAAAGUCUUUUUUAACUCUUAAUCAAUUCUUUAUUUUUUAUUAUUAUUUUAAAUAUAAAAGUAUAUUCCAAAGAAUAUUUUAAAGUUAUUGGGCAAAUAACAUUGUUAGCUAGCCACGGAGAGAUCAAAGGUAUGGACAAAAUAAUAGUAUAAUGAUUGCACUAAAAAACUUUCAAAGACAAGGGACCUCAUCAAAUCAAAUCAAUGGUAUACGAAUCCCUCAAACUCAUUAACACCUCAUAACCAAGAAAAUAAAAAUCGGUAACAUUAUUGAGUAACAGUAAUAAGUUGUAAAAGAAAUAAAGAGAGAGUUUGAUGUAUUAAGGAGUUUAAGAGUUAAAGUGUGUUUUUAGAGAUGAAAGAAUUGAGAUUAAAGGAAAGUAUGAAGGAGAGCUUGAUUGAAUUUGUUUUGGUUUUUGAUUCUUUAUUCUGUAAAUGUAAGAAAACUUUUUUCCAUAAUGAUUCAUUAUUUUGUUUUUUAUGUUUGUUCUUGAAUUGAGUAGAAGUGGUAUAAUGUAAAGUGAUUCAAGACCUGUUUGGAAAUUUGAUUUUUUUUUAAAUUAUUUAUAUAUAUAUUUUUAAAUUGUAUUGAUGUGUUUAUAUCAAAAUUAUUUUAAAAAAAUAAUAAAAAUAAUUAUUUUUAUAUAUUUUAAAAAAUAAUCACUACCAAAUUUUCAAGCAUUUAUAGUGAAAGGUUUGAGAUGAGAUAUUGGUAAUGAGAGAAAAAUAGGUGUUGGUGAUAAAAAUAUUAAAGUUUGAGAUUCUAAACUCAAUUCAAUAUGAUUUUGUUUUUCGUUAAUUAGUUUCAGUUAAUAGGGUGGUACGUGGCUAAGUUUAUUUAAAAAAAAAAUCAAUGGGAAUUUAUAGUAUUUAAUAUAAGAGUUUUAUAGUUAACAGUUUGAAAAUUCAUUAAAAAAUACUUUUCAAUUGUGAUGUGUGUGGCCCGGCCCUGCUCUUGACAGGAAGGUGCCUCUGCUGCCCAAUGCGCGUUCGAUAUCCCUUUCAUUUCUAUCUUCACUUUUUCUCCACCAAAAGAAAAUCCAGGAAACUUACCAAUACGAGUGAGUUCUUGACCUAAAGGAACCGGAAAAAAUUCGAAGUCAUUGGAAUAAAAAGAAAGAAAAGGGCUUUGGAGGUUGGUUACUAAGAUACCAGACGAAUAAACAAAUAUUGGGCUUGUCUAGAUCUUGUGCCUCUUUAGGCAACACUUAGCACACGGUUUGUUUCGUCUAGAUUCGAGUAAUACUUGGUAGAAAUUUGGUGUUUUCUGAUUUCUAAGUAGAAUUGUACAAAUUGCUAAGUGGUAGAUUUAAUUGCCAAAUUUCUUUUUUUUUUUUAGUUUAACGUGGGUGUUUAGGCCAGUUUUCGCGCACCUCGACUAAUCCCACGGGCCCUGAAGUUAACGACCAUGUAAGUUUCCAGUGGCCAUCAUAUGAGCAACCACAUAACUCGAACCUGAGACUAUAGAGAGAGCAAAUCUCUUAAUUUCAAACUCUUACCACUUGGUCAUCACCUAGAUAGUUAAUUACCAAAUUUCUUGAUCUUACCUUCUGUUUCACGGGCCCUGCAAUUCAUAUUUUUUUUUACUUGGUAAUUAAGUAUGAGAAAGAGUUAAAUUUUUUUUUUAAAAAGAGGUGUGCCUUAAGUGUGAUUUUACUUUUGAUUUUCUUUGAAUUUAUUCUUGACCUACAUGGAAAGAAAACAAUAUAAAAGUAUUAUUUUGUAAAAUAAAAAACAAAGCCACUAAUUUACCCUAAUAUAAAUCCUGCAGUCAAUUAAAAACAAAAAUAAAAACACAAAUUGUGAGCAAAAUUUUUCUACAAAAAAAUUGAAGUAAAGCCACCAAUUAAUUUAUCUUUCAUCAAACAAAAUAAGGAAACUUAAAUUUAAAAUUUAUUUUAAUUUUAUUUUGAGAUGUUUGUUAAUAAUUUGAUGAAAUUUUUUUAUAUAAUUCUAUCAUUUUUGCUUUUUUUUUUCUCAGAUUUGCUAAUUCUACCAAUUGUUUUUUAAAUUCUUGUUAUAGUGAUUUUUUUUUCUAAUUAAUUAUAUAUAUUUUAUUGGUUUGUUUUGAUUAUGUUUGGAUUUUUUUAUGUUGUUUUUAGCAGAGCCACUAAAAUUAUCAAUUUUUUCUUAUGAUAUAUGUUUUGAUUUUAGGUUGAACCAUAAACAAAAUAAGAAGAAUUGAUAUGAUAAUCGAUGAUUUUUAUUUUAUGAAAGAACGAUGAGUACAAUUAAAAUAAAUAUGUAAAAAUCAUUCUUUAUUAUUAUUUUUAUUUAUUUUAAAGUUUAUCAAACAUAAAUAAUGCUUCGUUUUAUUUAUGAUGUGUGAUGUGUAUGAUGGUUUGGGAAAGCGGUUUCAGACCCGUUUGGAAAUUUAAUUUUUUUAUAUUUUUAAAUUAUUUUGAUAUAUUUAUAUCAAAAUUAUUUAAAAAUAAUAAUAAUAAAAUUAUUUUAAUAUAUUUUUUAAAAAAUUCUUUUAAAAAAUAACAACUAUUAUAUUUUUAAGCACCCUAGCCCUUAGUAAAAGGUUUGAGAUGAGAUAUUGGUAAUGAGAGAAGAAUUGGUGUUUGCGAUCGGGGAGGAAUUAAAGUUGGGCUGUUUGUGAUAAAAAUAUUGAAGUUGGAGAUUCUAAAAUCAAUUUAAUAUGAUUUUUUUUUUCGUUAAUUAGUUCCAGUUAAUAGGGUGGUGGCUAAGUUUAUUUUUUUAAAAAAAAAAUCAAUGGGAAUUUAUAAUAUUUAAUAUAAGAGUUUUAUAGUUAUUAGUUUAAAAAUUCAUUAUAAAAUACUUUUCAAUUGUGAUGUGCGUGGCCCCACCCCUGCUCUUGACAGGAAGGUGCCUCUGCUGCCCAAUGCGCGUUCGAUAUCCCUUUCAUUUCUCUUUUCGCUUUUUCUCCACCGAAACUCCAUCUUCUUUACAGUGUAAACUUACCAGUACGACUUCUUGACCUCAAGGAACCGGAAAAAAAUUCGACGUCAUUGGGCUUGGCUAGAUCUUGUGCCUCUUUAGCCAACACUUACCACACGGUUUGUUUCGUCUAGAUUCGUGAAAUACUCGUAGAAAUUUGGUGUUUUCUGAUUUCUAAGUAGAGUUGUACAUGUUCCAGCUUGAAAUUAGUAAUUGGUAGAUUUAAUUGCCAAAUUUCUUGAUCUUACCUUCUGUUUCAUGUUUGACCACAGGAGCAGGCCUUACACAAAAUAGCGUGGACAGCAAUUGCUGAACCAAGCGAGCUAGUUGAGGCCAGAAGGGAUCGGUACUAGUUUAUCGCUAUAGGGAUUUUCAUGGCUUCCAGCAGCGUGCAAGGAAUAACCUCAUCUUCAUCUUCUCCUCCUCCACUAUAUAUGCAUGAUGUGUUCCUUAGUUUUAGAGGCAAAGACACCCGGAACAACUUUACUAGUCAUCUAUAUUCUAAUCUGACACAAAGAGGCAUCGAUGUGUACAUGGAUGAUAGGAAGCUCGAGAGAGGAAAGACCAUCGAACCUGCUCUUUGGAAGGCCAUCGAAGAAUCAAGGUUUUCAGUCAUUAUAUUUUCAAGAGAUUACGCUUCUUCACCAUGGUGCUUGGAUGAACUUGUCAAGAUUGUUCAGUGCAUGAAAGAGAUGGGGCAAACUGUUCUGCCAGUUUUUUAUGAUGUGGAUCCCUCAGAGUUUUAUGAUGUGGAUCCCUCAGAGGUAAUCGAGCGGAAACGGAAAUAUGAGGAAGCCUUCGUUGAGCAUGAACAAAAUUUCAAGGAAAACUUGGAGAAGGUCCGGAACUGGAAAGAUUGUCUCUCUACAGUGGCCAAUUUAUCUGGCUGGGACAUACGGAAUAGGUAAAUCAUCUAUCUACUUAUUCUUAUUCUCAAAUCUGCCAUGUAUUGUUUCAAUGAUGAACAAGCAUGAUAGUAAAUGUGUACUUUUUUCAUAUGCAUGAUUUUUUAUUUUUAUUUUUUUAUGACAUUUUGAACUGAUGUGAUCAAGCAUUUCUAAUCUUUAUAUAAAACUGCUUUCUAUUCUUAGGUUUUUCUUUAUAUUUUGAAAAUAAAAUAAAAUAUUAAACAGAAAAAUUAAAAUGUAUAAAAAUGUUGAAAAACAAAUCUAGCAUGAACAAAUAAAAAGUUAGCUUAAAAAAUUAAAAAUGGUGAAGAAAUGACAAUAAAUUCAUCAUAAGAAAUAAAAAAUUGACCAAAGUUUUUGAAUAUGUUGGUUUUAGCUUUUCAAAAUAAAAUAAAAAGAUUUUCCAUCUUGAAUUAAAAAAUUCAAACUAUUUAUAAAUCAAAGAGACAAAUUUAUUUAUAAUUUGUUUUGUGAAUAUUUUUAUUUUUUUAUUUGGAAUUAAAAUUUGAUAGUUGUCUUUCUUUUACUAAUGGAUUGUAAUAAUGAAUUUACUAAUUUUUCAUUCUAAAAACAAUACACUACUUAUUAGGGAUAAUAGGGUAAGUUGAAAACAAUACACUGCUUUUUUUUUUUUUGUCUUUUUUUUAUGAUAAAAAAAAAAGAAGAAAAGUGGUUGGCUUGUUUGUAGAACACACAAGCAAGUAAGUUGUUCUAUCUUAUUUAAGGAGCACGAGAAAUGGCUUAUGACACCCAAAAAAAACCUUCAUUGAUGUUUUAUGAUUCACCACGACAUGACCUUCUUCCCUGAGUGACAUGACCUUCCUCCCUGAGUGACAUUUGUGGAGUAAUUCUUUUUGGUCUAGCACCAAAUGACUUUUUUUUUUUUUCUUUUAUCUUUAUCCUCGAAUUCCGCACCCGACCUUCUAAACUUGUAUAGUAACCCUUCAAUCAGGUUUUUUUUUUAUAUUUGGUCUAUUUCCUUUCAAUUGAUAUUUUUUUAUUUGAAUUAUUUUUUAAAAUUGAAAUUUGUUGUUAAUUUUAUACUUUUUAAUUUUUUAAUCUAUUAGAUUUAAUUCUCAUUCUUUUGAUUACUAUUUAUUUUAUGUGAGAUUAUUUUUAUUUUAUUUUUUUAUUGAUUUCAUCCUUCAUUUUUUAUUGUUAUGUUUUUUUACCUUGGCAAGUUUUUAAAAAAUUGAUAUAUAUAUAUAUAUAUAUAUAUAUUAUUUCUAAUUUCAUAUUUUAAUAUUAAAUUAAGCUUUUUGGUUGAGUCUGGAUUUAGAAUUUAACGGAUUGAGAAUUUGGGACACUAACCUAGGUUUAAGAGAUUUGUCUAGGUUUGUUUUUUUUUUUAACUCAUGUUUUUUUUUUUUGUAGUUUCAUCAUUCAAUAUUUAAUUUAAUUAAAGACGACUGAGCUCUAUUAAUUUUUUUAUUUGCUUUCUAUAAGAUUUUUAAAUAAUUUUAAAAAUAAUCGGGGUUAUUUUAAGUCUUUUUAUUUCUCAUUCUUUGUUAAAUCUAGCUGCUAUUUUUUAAAAAAUUCUUUUUUUUAAUUGAAUAAUUUUUUAUGUUUAGCUUUUAAUAUUUGGUUGAUUGAAAUCGGGCGCUAUUUUAUUUUGAUAUGGGUUCCAUGGAGUUUUCACGGAUUCGUGCUUCGGAUAGCAAGUUUCACAUGUUUACCAUAAUUAUUCCAUAUCGAUCUAGUGUGUUGUCAUCACAAUUAUAUUUUUAAAUAAAUAUAUCAUCAGAUAUAUUAAUUUCACAAGAUGAAGAAAUGGGUUGUGAAAAUUUAAGUUCAGCAUCUCAAGGUGCAUGGAUUCAAUUUGCGCAACCUUAGGGAAAUUUUCUUCAGGCUAUGCUAAUAUGGGAAAAAACUCAAAAAUUAAUAAAUUUAAAGUUGUUUUUUUAAAGUUAAUUAUGCAAGAUAAUUGAUUUUUUUGUUAAAAAUAAUUAUAAAAAUAACUUAGUGGUCCAACAAAAAUAUGAUAGAACUCCUUUUGCGUCUAUUAAAACCAAACUUAAUGGAUAUUUUAUUUCCUAGCUUUUGUUCUUGUAUGCAUGCUUCUGUAGUAACUAUGGGAUUCUAUAGGCAAUAAGAUAGCUAUUGUACGAAUCAUUCUUAGCAUCAAUACAAUCCUAGUUCCUUUUUCAGUUUAUUCUUUCCUUUUCCUCUAUGUUCUUGAAGCUAUCUAUUAUCAGUGCCCUAUUUUUCUCAAAGGUUGGUGUAUUAAUUUCCGGCUAACAGCCAUACAUUUUCGAGCUACAAUAUGCUAAUGUCUAUUUUCCCAUUAUCACUAUCUGAUUUGAUUUCUGCACACUGCAUGAUUAAUGUUUUGCACCCUUCUAUGCAGGAAUGAAUCGGAAUCAAUUAAAAUAAUUGUUGAAUACAUAUCGUACAAACUAAGCGUCACUCUGCCAACAAUUAGCAAAAAAUUAGUUGGAAUAGAUUCUCGUGUAAAGGAAUUAAAUGGCUAUAUAGGUGAAGAAGUAGGCAAAGCAAUCUUCAUAGGGAUUUGCGGAAUGGGUGGCAUAGGUAAGACGACUGUUGCAAGGGUACUAUAUGAUAAGAUUCGUUGGCAAUUUGAAGGCAGCUGCUUCUUAGCAAAUGUCAGGGAAGUUUUUGCUGAGAAAGGUGGACCACGCCGUUUACAGGAACAACUUCUUUCUGAAAUCUUAAUGGAACGUGCUCCUGUAUGUGAUUCUUAUAGAGGGAUUGAGAUGAUAAAGCGGAGGUUACGACUUAAAAAGAUUCUUCUUAUCCUUGAUGAUGUAAAUGACCGUAAACAACUAGAAUACCUGGCUAAGGAGCCUGGAUGGUUUGGUCCAGGGAGCAGAAUUAUCAUAACAAGCAGAGAUACAAAUGUGUUAACUGGAAAUGAUGAUACUAAAAUUUACGAGGCUGAGAAAUUGAAUGAUGAUGAUGCUCUUAUGUUAUUUAGCCAGAAAGCUUUCAAAAAUGACCAGCCUGCUGAAGGUUUUGUGGAACUAUCCAAGCAAGUUGUGGAUUAUGCUAAUGGUCUUCCACUAGCUCAUGAAGUUAUAGGUUCGUUUUUGUAUGAAAGAAGUAUCCCUGAAUGGAGAGGUGCAAUUAAUAGAAUGAAUGAGAUUCCUGACGGCAAAAUUAUUGAUGUGCUUCGCGUUAGUUUUGAUGGCCUCCAUGAAUCAGAUAAGAAAAUAUUUUUAGACAUUGCAUGUUUCCUGAAGGGGUUUAAAAAAGAUCGAAUAACAAGGAUACUUGAAAGCCGAGGAUUCCAUGCAGGUAUUGGAAUACCAGUUCUUAUUGAGAGAUCUCUUAUAAGUGUCUCUCGGGAUCAAGUCUGGAUGCAUGAUUUGUUACAGAUAAUGGGUAAGGAAAUUGUUCGUUGUGAAUCCCCUGAAGAGCCUGGAAGGCGCAGUAGAUUGUGGACAUACGAGGAUGUCUGCCUUGCACUGAUGGACAACACAGUGAGUACUACUGAUAGAGAACGUUAUCCAUAAGAUUUCAUAAAGUGUAUUUUAAAGUAUAUCUCUACUUUGUAAUUGUUUUUUACUUGUAUUCCCUUUUGGUUGACAGGGAAAAGAAAAAAUAGAAGCCAUAUUUUUGGACAUGCCUGGAAUUAAAGAGGCACAGUGGAACAUGAAAGCCUUCUCUAAAAUGAGCAGACUAAGAUUGCUCAAAAUCAACAACUUGCAGCUUUCUAAAGGACCUGAAGAUCUUUCCAAUCAGUUACGAUUUCUUGAAUGGCAUUCUUACCCUUCAAAAUCAUUGCCAGCUGGUUUACAGGUGGAUGAGCUAGUUGAACUUCACAUGGCUAACAGUAGUAUUGAACAAUUAUGGUAUGGGUGUAAGGUGAGAUCACCUAAUUUAAGGCCCUUUGUAUUUCUUUUUAUCGUUUUCCUAUAUAUAUAUAUGAUUGGCUAACAGUAUCCAUGUUUCUUCUCCCCUGCCUGAUUGCAGAGUGCAGUUAAUUUGAAAAUCAUCAAUCUCAGCAACUCAAUAAACCUGUCCAAGACUCCAGAUCUUACUGGAAUUCCAAAUCUUGAGAGUCUGAUUCUUGAAGGUUGUACAAGUUUGUCUGAGGUCCAUCCAUCACUUGGAUGUCACAAGAAGCUUCAAUAUGUGAAUCUUGUGAACUGCAAAAGUAUUAGGAUUCUCCCAAACAAUCUAGAAAUGGAAUCACUUAAAGUUUUCACUCUUGAUGGCUGCUCAAAACUUGAGAAGUUCCCAGAUAUAGUAGGAAACAUGAACAAAUUGAUGGUACUUCGUUUGGAUGAGACUGGUAUUACAAAACUAUCUUCAUCGAUUCAUCAUUUGAUUGGCUUAGGUCUAUUGAGCAUGAACAGCUGCAAGAACCUUGAAAGCAUUCCAAGUAGCAUAGGUUGUUUGAAAUCCCUUAAAAAACUCGAUCUGUCUGGCUGCUCUGAACUUAAAUAUUUAACAGAGAAUUUGGGGAAAGUUGAAAGUUUGGAGGAGUUUGAUGUAAGUGGAACUUUAAUAAGACAACUGCCAGCAUCCGUUUUUCUUUUAAAGAAUCUUAAAGUAUUAUCUUUGGAUGGAUGCAAAAGAAUAGCUGUGCUGCCUUCUUUGUCUGGUCUGUGUUCUUUAGAAGUACUGGGUUUACGUGCUUGCAAUCUAAGAGAAGGAGCACUUCUUGAAGAUAUUGGCUGCUUAUCUUCAUUGAGGUCUUUAGAUCUGAGCCAGAAUAACUUUGUUAGCCUGCCUAAAAGCAUAAAUAAGCUUUCUGAACUGGAAAUGCUUGUCUUGGAGGGUUGCACGAUGCUUCAAUCUUUGCUUGAGGUUCCAUCUAAAGUUCAAAUAGUAAAUUUGAAUGGUUGUAUAAGCCUAAAAACAAUUCCAGAUCCGAUAACGCUAAGCAGUUCCAAAAGAUCAGAGUUCAUAUGUCUUAACUGCUGGGAAUUGUACUAUCAUAAUGGCCAAGACAACAUGGGGUUGAUGAUGCUUGAAAGAUACCUCCAGGUCUUCUCUUAAUCAAACCCCAACCUUUUUCUAUCUCUCUCACUCUCCCUCUAUCUGUCUAACGUUUUGGUUCUUUAUGGUACAGGGUUUGUCUAAUCCAAGACCUGGAUUUGGUAUCGUUGUUCCAGGAAAUGAAAUUCCAGGGUGGUUUAACCAUCAAAGUAAGGGAUCUUCAAUUAGUGUGCAAGUGCCUAGUUGGAGCAUCGGGUUUGUUGCCUGUGUUGCAUUCUGUGCAAAUGGUGAAAGGCCUUCUGUUUUUUGUGAUUUCAAAGCCAAUGGAAGAGAGAAUUUUCCUUCGCCGAUGUGUAUUAGUUGUAACUCUAUCCAGGUUCUGUCAGAUCAUAUUUGGCUAUUCUAUCUAUCUUUUGAUCAUCUUAAAGAGCUUAAAGAAUGGAAGCAUGAAUCCUUUAGCAACAUUGAGUUGUCAUUUCAUUCUCUCGAGCAACGAGUAAAGGUGAAGAACUGUGGUGUCUGUUUUUUAUCUUCUCUAUAUAUUACAUCACAACCAUCUGCCCAUUUUAUUGUUACAAGCAAAGAAACAGCUUCUUCAUAUAAAGCUUCUUUAGCUCUUUCUUCAUCUUACCAUCAAUGGAAGGCCAGUGUUUUCCCUGGCAUCAGAGUCGCAGAUCGGGCCCAGAGAUUCAUUGUCCCAGUCGGGAAGGAACCAGGGAAAGUAAUGGCAAUUAGAUCAAGACUCUUUGAAGCCAUUGAAGAAUCAGGGCUGUCAAUUGUUAUAUUUGUAGGAGAUUGUGCUUCUUUACCUUGGUGCUUUGAAGAACUUGUCAAGAUUGUCGGAUUCAUGGAUGAGAUGAGAUCGGACACUGUUUUUCCAGUUUCUUAUGAUGUCGAACAAUCAGAGAUGGAUGAUCAAACAAAGAGUUACACAAUUGUCUUCGAUAAGAGUGAAGAAAAUUUCAGGGAAAACGAGGAGAAGGUGCCAAGGUGGAUGAAUAUUCUCAGUGCAGUUGAGAUUUCAUCUGUAACGAGAUCAUUGAAAAGGUAAUAAUUACUUCUUUUUUGUGCCAAGGUAUUACUACAAGUAAAUGAAACUGGGAAUGCUGAAAUAUGUUAAUAAAUCUAAUCUAUUUUUUAUGACAAUUAGGAAAUGUAUUCUUGAAAGUUAUGAAUUGUUAAAUACUUACAUGAGUUUUAAAUUAUAUAGUAAAUUAUUCGUUUAAUAAUUGAAAAUUUUAAACUUUAUAGCAUUUGAAUUUUAAAAUAACAAUAAUUGAUUCCAUGUAUAGUUUAAUGGGAAAAAGAAUGUUUAGUUUUCACGUCAUUUUUAUCUAAUCUAUUUUUUUAUGAUAAUUUUACCUGAACCGAAAGAUAGAACACAACACUUCUGACUUCUCCUUCUCACUCUUAGCAGCAUAGGAGCUCCAGCAACGCAGCAGCAGCAGCAGAUCCAGAUCUACCUCCACCAGCAGCAGAUCCAGCUCUACCUCCACCAGCAGCAGAUCCAGCUCUACCUCCACCAGCAGCAGCAGCGAAUCCAGCAUCUCCAGCUGCUCGAGCGGCGGCAGGGUUGGCUCCAACUGCUCGAGGAUCGGCUCCAGCUGCUCGAGGAACGGCUGCGGCAGCCCCAGCUGCUCGAGGAGCGGCGGCUGCAGCGCCAGCUGCUCAAGCAGUGGCUGCAGCGCCAGCUGCUCGAGCGGCGAGGGGAGCUCGAGCGGCGGGGGGAGCUCGAGUGGCGGGUGCUGGAGUGGGAGCGGCGGCAGCGGGAGCAGCGGGAGCAGCGGGAGCAGCGGAAGCAGCGGGGGCUGCUGGAGCAGCGGAAGCAGCGGGGGCUGCUGGAGCAGCGGCUGCUGGAGCAGCGGCUGCUGGAGCUGGAGCAGCGGCUGCUGGAGCGGGAGCUGGAGCGGGAGCGGGAGCGGGAGCAGCGGCUGCUGGAGCUGGAGGGGCGGCUGCAUGAGUGGCGGCUGCAUGAGUGGCAGCUGCUGGAGCGGGAGUUGGAGCAGCUGCGGGAGCAGCUGCGGGAGCGGCCGGAGCGGCCGGAGCGGCAGCUGGAGCGGGAGCAGCGGCUGCUGGAGCUGGAGGGGCGGCUGCAUGAGCGGCGGCUGCUGGAGCGGGAGUUGGAGCAGCUGCGGGAGCGGCCGGAGCGGCUGGAGCGGGAGCAGCGGCUGCUGGAGCAGCGGCUGCUGGAGCGGGAGCGGCGGCUGCUGGAGCGGGAGCAGCUGGAGCAGCGGCUGCUGGAGCAGCGGCAGCUGGAGCUGCAGCAGCUGCUUGAGCAGCAGCAUGAGUUUUGGUUACGAAUCUAACUUGCUUUAGCUUGAAGAUCUUCGUCAGUUUUCCAUGGAUCUAAUUUCUUAUUAGCUCUUGAUUUUUUUUCCUUGUUAAUUACCAUCAAAGUACAGUGAGCAGUGAUUGCAAGACAUCAUAUGAUCUUCCUUGUUGUUUGCAUGUUCAUCAAAGCAGCCAACACGAGGGAAAAAACAUAGCAAUGAUUUUCAUCAUGAUAGGACAGGGCCUUGUUUUUGCACAUGGUUUUGGUUUGGGGUAAUUAGAUUUACAUUUUGCAAUCAUAAGAUUGAUAUUUUUUUUUUAAAAGUUUUAUUAUUUAAUAUUUAAUUUAAUUAGAGAUUGAGUUUUAUUAAUUUUUUAUUUUUUGAUUUUUAUAAAAAUUUUAAAUAAUUUUAAAAAUAUUUUUUUUAGUUUUAUUAUUUAAUAUUUAAUUUAAUUAGAGAUUGAGCGUUAUUAAUUUUUUUUAUUUGUUAUUUAUAAAUUUUUUAAAUAAUUUUAAAAAUAACAGGGGUUAUUUUAAGUCUUUUUAUUUCUCAUUCUCUGUUAAAUUUAGCUACUAUUUUUUUAAGAAAUUAUUUUUUAAUUAAAUAAAAUUUUUUAUUUUUGACUUUUAAUAUUUGAUUGAUUGAAAUUGGAUUCUUUAUUUUAUUUAGAUAUGGGUUUCUUGGGGUUUUUUCAGAUUGUGAGUCUCACAUGUUAAUCAUAGUUUUUUUUUAUAGAGCAGAAUUAUCAUAACUAGCAGAGAUAAAAAAAGUGGUAACUGGAAAUUAAUAAUACUAAUAGAAUUUAUGAUGAUGAGAAAUUGAAUGAUGAUGAUGCUUUUAUGUUGUUUAGCCAGAAAGUUUUCAAAAAUGACCAGCCUGCUAAAGAUUUCGUGGAACUAUCCAAGCAAGUUGUGGGUUAUGUUAAUGGCCUUCCACUGGCUCUUGAAGUUAUAGAUUCGUUUUUGUAUUAAAAAAGUAUCCCUGAAUGAAGAGGUGAGCUUAAUAGAAUGAAUGAGAUUCCUGAUGGCAAAAUUAUUGAUGUGCUUUGCAUUAGUUUUGAUGGUCUCCGUGAAUCAGAUAAGAAUAUAUUUUUAGACAUUGCCUGUUUCCUGAAGGGGUUUAAAAAAGAUCGAAUAACAAGAAUACUUGAAAGCCGAGGAUUCCAUGCAGGUAUUGGAUUACCAAUUCUUAUUGAGAGAUCUCUCAUAAGCAUCUCUCGGGAUCAAGUCUGGAUGCAUAAUUUAUUACAGAUAAUGGGUAAGGAAAUUGUUCGUUGUGAAUCCCCUGAAGAGCCUGGAAGGCGUAGUAGAUUGUGGACAUACGAGGAUGUCUGCCUUGCACUAAUGAACAACACAGUGAGUAGUUGAUAGAGAACAUUAUCUAUUAGAUUUCAUAAAGUUUAUUUUAAUUUACACUCCAUCUCUACAAAUCUUUACUUUGUGAUUGUUUUUUACUUGUAUUCCCUUUUGGUUGACAUGGAAAAGAAAAAAUAGAAGCCAUAUUCUUGGACAUGCCUGGAAUAAAAGACGCACAAUGGAACAUGGAAGCCUUCUCUAAAAUGAGCAAACUAAGAUUGCUCAAAAUCGACAACGUGCAGCUUUCUGAAGGUCCUGAAGAUCUUUCCAAUAAGUUACGAUUUUGUAUUCCUUCAAAAUUUUCAGGAAUAUAAAUAUGCAUCAAUAAAAACCUGUCAGGUCUGACGCUAGCUAGAUCUAGGUAUAUUGGGCUCGACAAUCUGUCAAGUCCCGGACAUGCUGGGUCUGACAGUGUGGAAUGGCUUUCAUUUCUUGAGCAUGCCCAAGAGAAUGAUCAUUGGGUCUAACUUAUGGGAAUAACUCAAUCUCUACGAGCAUUAACUACAUUUGAUGUCCUAAACUCUAAUUUCCUUACAUCUUUUAGGUGUAUAAAAGUCUUCCAAGAACUCAUCAUAUUUCCAUCAAAUAUUAAUAUAGAUGUAAGAUAUAUUUAUCCUUUAUUAAAUGCUAUCGAGUCUCUUUAUAGAAGAACAAGACUCAUAUGCUAUAAAUACACAAUAAGACAUUCAGAACAGAGGUUCACAAUCUUUAUUUUCUACUACAUAUAUAAUUUCAGAGUAUUUUUUUCUAGAAUAUUUUUAUAUUUUUUUUUUAUAAAAAAAACAUACUUAUUUAAACAUCAGAUUUCAUCAUAAAUAUGUUCAUAGCAAAAAAUGAAAAAGAAAAAAAAAGCUGAUUCAGCAAAGCAAAUUAUUAAGGGUCUGUAUUUGCUUUCAUUAACUAAAAUAGCCAGAGAAACACAAUCCAUAUAUACAUGCCUGGAAUAAAAGAGGCACAAUGGAACAUGAAAGCCUUCUCUAAAAUGAGCAAACUAAGAUUGCUCAAAAUCGACAACGUGCAUCUUUCUGAAGGACCUGAAGAUCUUUCCAAUAAGCUACGAUUUCUUGAAUGGCAUUCUUACCCUUCAAAAUCAUUGCCAGCUGGUUUACAGGUGGAUGAGCUAGUUGAACUUCACAUGGCUAACAGUAGCAUUGAGCAAUUAUGGUAUGGGUGUAAGGUGAGAUCAACUAAUUUAAGGCCCUUUGUAUUUCUUUUUAUCGUUUUCCUAUAUAUAUAUGAUUGGCUAACAGUAUCCAUAUUUCUUCUCCCCUGCCUGAUUGCAGAGUGCAGUUAAUUUGAAAAUCAUUGUACUAACCCAAUUCUGGGUUAUUCCCUAAAAUUCAUUUUUUUUAAAAUAAAAACAAAAAAAAUAAAAUAAAAAAUAAAAGCUGGCAAUGUGGAGAAAGCUGAUCAAGAAAAAUAGGCAAAAUAGGCAAAAAUCAAUCUGCAAUUUUCAGAGGAAAUUCAAGGCCUUUCGGCGCCCCAUUGUGCCCAAAAUCAGAGAAAAAAAUGCAAAUUCAAGAUCAAAUUAAAUGAUUAUUGGACAAAUUUGCAUAAAAAUUAAGUCCAAUAACAUAAUUAAAUUUUUAAUAGGCCAAUUUGAUUUAAUCAUGGGUCAAAUUAAAUUUUAGUUAUGUUUAAGAAUUAAUUUAGGUCCAAAUGAAGGAUUUAAUUAAGUGCAAGUACUUAAUUAUACUUUAAAUGGGUCAAAUUAAUUUUAUUUGGGGCUUAAUUGGUGAAAAAUUAAGUUUGGGAGCCUAAUUUGGGCUUAAUGGAGAAGAUUGGAAUUUUAAGAGACCAAAUUUAAUUUUUACCAAGUUAAUUGAUUGAAAUCAGGGGUCAAAUUGCAAGAAAAUUGAAGUUUUGGGGCCAAUUAGGGGUUAAAUUGACAAAAUCCAAAGCCAAGGGCCAAUCUGCAAAAGGCGCCAAACUAUAGGGGUCUAAUUGACAAAAGCCGGGGGUCAAAUUGAAGAAAUUGAAAGCUGGAGGACUCAAUUGAAAAUCGGCAAAAAUCCCUAGCUUUUGAUCCAAAACGGCGCCGUUUUUGGUGUUUAAGAAAAAACAAAGAGGGGGAAGGGACCAGGCGACGCGUCACCUGGUCACUGUUCAUCUUCUUCCCCACAAAACUGCCCGAGUAGCAGCUCUCCAGGCGCAUUUUCUACCUCGUUUGGCCUCCAAAUCCGACAACGCAUGCACCAAAAUGUCCACCUGAAACCCCUUUAUCCUUGAGAAUGGUCCGGUCGGGUAGAAAAACUUUGAAAUGGCUUCGUUUAUUGGCCCAAAGUGGCCACCUCGUUCAGUCUGCAGCCUUGGAUUGCCAAAUUUGGCAAUUCGAGGUGCACACUUUGAACCAACGGAUUGGAUUCCUCGAGUCGAAUCAAGGGCUGAGACUUUUUCCCGUUGAAGACAAGAUUACCCUCUUUCCAGCCCUAUAAAUAGGAGCCAAUGUCAUGCUCAGGGGGAGGGGAAAAUUGAGCUCAAAAUUGGCAAAACAUCAGCUUUUCCUGCCCGGUUUUCCUGCAACCAGCCUUCUCUUUUCUUUUUCUCUCCGCCGUGGCCUCCAGCCGCCACCACUGAUCUCGCCACCGUCCUUCCCAAGAAACACCACAUCCCAUCCAUCACCCAGCAACCUCACCACAGUCACAGUACCUCUCUUUCUCUCCCUCUCUUCUCUGCAAAAAUCUUAUCCUCUGCCACCGUGACUCCAACAGCGGCGGCGACAGCAGAGGUAGCAACCAUCUUGCCCAAAAGCUCUCUUCCACUCCUACCAGCAGCAGCCGGAGUAGCAGCUCCUUCCUCAGUCACACCAACAGCUCCAGCCGUGAGCUUUCCUUCUCCUCUGCAGGAAUCUGCUCCUUCUUCUUCCAGCCGGGACCAGUGCACGCCGCCGUCCUCGCCGCCUCCAGUCGCACCGCGCACCACCAGCUAGGCCGCCGACUCUCUCCACGCCAGGUAAUUCUCUCCUCCCCGCUCCACCCUUUUCAAAAACCUUUUUCCAACUAUUUUUUUUUUCAGGAUGCAGAUGUAGACUUUAAUAUUUGUGGGGUGUAAAAUUACACGAUAAAGUACACCCUCGGGUAUUAAACAUACAAGGUGUAAAUAAAUGCCAUCCUAAAAUUCAGACUUUAGAACGGUUAGGAUUUAACCCAAUAAGGUAGAGACUCCCUCACGAAGGGAGAUCUGCCUUGAACCUUAGAAAAGACCAACGAAUAGAAACUCGACCUAGAAAAACAAUCAAACAACAAUGCAGCUUACCUUAGGUAGGGUGCACUGGGGGUGAUGCAUCUUCCCCUUGCACAACCAGUCCCUUACUCAGACUCUCGCAGACCAUAGGUUCCUAGUGACCAUAAUACUAGGUGGCGACUCCAACGAACCAAGCAAAACACAAAUAAAAGAAAAAUCGCCAGCAGACGCCGCGCGGAUUUUCCGACGUGCGACAGAAUGGCGACUCCACUAGGGACGCCUUGUUUGGUCGGACUAAGCUUUGUUUGUUUGUUUAAUUAUCUGUUUUGGUCUGUUUAAAUGUAUUGUUUCAGCACUUUUAUUUCUUGCUCAUACAUAAAUAAUGUGUUCAUGCUUUUUUAAAUUCUUGCAAGAUAACCCAACACUAGGAUAGGAGGGGAGUAGCGGUCUGCCCCAUGACUUUCAGUCGGGGUUCAGAUUCACGAAACAUCCAACUAUGAGCUGCGUGUUUACUUGGUGAUAGCGGACACAUAGUGCCCGAACCUUCCCUUGUAAACCCCUAUACUGCCUUUACGUGAGGUGGUCACUGGGCAGUUCAUAUACCUUUUUGAGACCAGCUAGAAAACAUAUCCUCAUUUUUGGGAUCCACAAAUCGAAUCCCAACCGUACAUACAUGACUUUCUUGAGAAGCUUUCCUCAUUUUUGGGAUUUACAAAUCAGAUCUCAACCGUACAUACAAGACUUUCUUGAGAAGCUUUCCUUAUUUUUGGGAUCCACAAAUCGAAUCCCAACCAUACAUACAUGACUUCCUUGAGAAGCUUUCCUCAUUUUUGGGAUCCACAAAUCAAAUCCCAACCGUACAUACAGUACUUCCUUGAGAAGCUUUCCUCAUUUUUUGGGAUACAAAUCAAAUCCCAGCCGUACAUACAAGACUUUCUUGAGAAGAUUUCAUCAUCUCUGAGAUCGAUUUACAAAUCAGAUCUCAACCAUACAGGUAUGACUUCCUUCAGAAUAUUUCAUCAACCCUGAAGCUGAUUGUUGAAAUCACUUUCAUGUAUUUCACAAAAAUGUUGAAAUCACUUUCAUGUAUUUCACAGACGGGUCGGUUCACAAAAACAUUGUUGAAAUCACUUUCAUGUAUUUCACAAUGCUAAUCUGAAAUCACUUUCAUGUGUUUCAUAAAACAAAUGUUGAAAUCACUUUCAUGUAUUUCACAAAAAAAAAAAAAACCAAUGUUGAAAUCACUUUCAUGUAUUUCACAAAACCAUUGUUGAAAUCACUUUCAUGUAUUUCACAAUGCUAAUCUGAAAUCACUUUCAUGUAUUUCACAAGACUAAGAUUGAAAUCACUUUCAUGUAUUUCACAAAAAAAAACCAAUGUUGAAAUCACUUUCAUGUAUUUCACAACAUUAAUCUGAAAUCACUUUCAUGUAUUUCACAAGAUCAAUAUUGAAAACACUUUCAUGUUUUUCAUUUGGGCAGGUCGCCCAUAAGAAUUAGUCCAACUGAAAAAUCUGUGUAUUUUUUCAACACUUCCAUCAUUUUUCUUUACAAAACUUACUAUGCAAAGUCAAAAGAAAAUGAAUUUUCCAAUGCCUUUGCACCGUAAGCAUUGUAAAGAGGGGGCAACUGUUGUAACCCAAUUUUGGAUCCACCAAGAUUUUCUCAAAUGUUAUUUUAUUUCUAUUAUUAUUUAUAAAAAUCCAAAAAAAUUAAGAAAAAGAAAAAUUCAAAAAUAUAUUUUUCUCGAGUCAACCGCAUCUUUCCGUCAAAACCGAGUCCACCAGGUCAAUACGGGUCAAACCAUGUCGACCAGGGUAAAAAAUGAGUUUCGGGCCGUUUCGGGUCAAAGCCGUCAUUUUUGACCAAAACCGAGUUCACCGAGUCAAUACGGGUCAAACCAUGUCGACCAGGGUAAAAAAUGAGUUUCGGGCCGUUUCGGGUCAAAACCAUUAUUUUUGACCAAAACCGAGUUCCCCAGGUCAAUACGGGUCAAACCAUGUCGACCAGGGUAAAAAAUGAGUUUCGGGCCGUUUCGGGUCAAAACCGUUAUUUUUGACCAAAACCGAGUUCACCAGGUCAGUACGGGUCAAACCAUGUCGACCAGGGUAAAAAAUGAGUUUCGGGCCGUUUCGGGUCAAAACCAUUAUUUUUGACCAAAACCGAGUUCACCAGGUCAGUACGGGUCAAACCAUGUCGACCAGGGUAAAAAAUGAGUUUCAUGCCGUUUUGGGUCAAACCUGUUAUUUUUUGGUCAAAACCCGGUCCACCGGGUUUAUAUCCAUUGAAAGUUUUUUUUUAUGUUUCAACAUAAUUUUCGGUAAUUUAAAAUUGAUUUUUAGCGGUUGAAUCGGGCUUUUUCUAAUACUGAUUUAAGUUUUAAUUUUACCUGUAUAAAUAUAUAUUAUUAUAUAUAAUAAAACAAAAUUAAUAAUACAGAAUUGUCGCGGGGCAGUUACAUUUAUUGUAGGCGAGCAGUUGGAUGGAUAUAUUUUUUUAUUUAAACAAGAUGCUUGCUGUCCCCUCUCAUUGGCUAUAAAUAGCCAGUGAGGAAAAACAAAAAAGAGGGAAGAAAAAGAAAAGAAAAGAGUAUCACUAUUCAAGUUUUUUUUUACUAUUUCUUCACAAGAGUAGGAUAUUGAUUUAAAAAAAAAACAAUAUGGAAAAUACCAAAUAUAUCCUAACCGUUAGAUCUAAUAGUGUUUAGAUCUGAACCGUUGAUUUAAGAGGAUACAAUAGGGCUUACCACACCAGAUUAAAACCCAAACACAUCUCAGCCCUUGAAAUAAUCUAAGCUUUGAUCCCGUUGCGCCACGUCACCCGGUGUACCGAGAUUUCGGUGUACCGCGUCACACCCGAUCCUACCUCUGUUCAUCCGGACCGUCCGAUCAACCUGCAGAUCGGGCCAAUCCCAGCCGCACGAUCUUUCCAGCCGAGAUCCAACGGUGCACAGUGUUCAGCAGUACCGGUGUACCAUACACGCGUUCAUACCAUAGCAUAAUCUCGGACUCUCUCUCUCCUCUCGUCGGCGACGCUCUCUCUCUCAUCCGAUCUCCACUUUCCGGCCGUCUCCAGCCUCCGAACCACCACAGAAAGGUUUCUCCCCUGCUGUAAAGAAAAACCCUGGUGGUUGUCAUCGUUAUCUCGGCCUCAUCUGGCCGGAAAAGGACCGCGAUCGUCGGCUGCCACCGAAGCUUCAAGUUGACGAUUCUCCCUCUUCAGCCAUCAACGACCGUCGAGACCACCGCCAUCAGAACCCUCGACAUCAGAUCUACCAGGAUCGACCAUCGGUUGGCCAGAAAUCUCGCCGGAAAAUCUCACCGCCUCCAACAGUAGCCGCGCGUGUGCCACACGCGCCGCCAGUGGCAUUUUCGUAAUUUUCGGAGAAAUUCGAGGGUAUUUCAGUAUUUUGCCUAUACAGUGGCACUCAGGUAAUGUUUCGGGGUUUCUACUGGUAUUUUUGAUAUUUUUUAUAUAUAAAUGCUUGUAAAUUUUCUUGCAUGUUGUAAAAAAUACAAAAAUCAAAGUCGACACGUCUCUUUUUUAAAAAAGGACCGAUGUCAAAAAUGCAAAUACCAAAUAUGGAUUAUGUCCAUUAUUUCUUUUGGUAACCCAGACGUAAUUCUCCGUUUUUAGGGAUAAACGUCAAUAUUUUAGACGAGUCUCCUAAUUUUUAGGGACUGAUGUUAUUUUUAACGUGUCUCCUAUUUUUAGGGACCGACGUUAACCAUUUGAAAAAAAAAACAAAUUACCAAUAAACCCAAAAUAUAAUGGAUUAUAUCCAUUAUUUCUUUUGGUAACCCAGACGUAAUUCUCUUUUUUAGGGUUGAAACGUCAUAUUUUAGACGAGUCUCCUAAUUUUUAGGGACUGAUGUCAUUUUUAACGUGUCUCCUAUUUUUAGGGACCGACGUUAAUCAUUUACAAAAAAUUACAAAUAAGCCCAAAAUAUAAUCGCAUUUGAAUCAAAUAAAAAACACACAAGUAAGGGUAACCUUUCUUUUGAAAGGAUGUUUUAAGGGUGGUGUCUACCUUCCCUUAAUCAUAACUAACCCCGUACCCGAAUCUCUGGGACCAGUGUCUAAUUUGGGAUUUCUAGUUCCCUCAAAUUACUAGAUGGCGACUCCAAUAAAAUCUUUGUUUCCCCCAAUUGAGAAAAAACCCUUUUUGUUAAAUAAACAAAAAAAGCGGGAGCCGUCGCCUGACGUCGUGUAUCGACAUAUGUUGUCCCACUGAGAAGACCUUUUUUGUUCUUUUGUGUGAAAAAAAAAACUAAAUAAACUAAUUAGAAAAUAAAAAAAAUUUGGGUCUGGUUCAAUUUCAGUUUUAAAAUUUUAAAACCGAUUGAACCAGAUGAAGUCAUAGAGUAGUCAUUAUUAUUAUAUUCCCAUUAUUAUUUAUUAUUCUAUAGAUUUUUCGAAGCUUUUGAAAAGAAAAAUUAACAUUGAUCAUUCAUUCACUUUUGAAAAAAAAUUCUUUUGCUUUUUUAUGUUGUUCCACUAAGAUGGCCUUUUUUUUUUCUUUUGUGAAUUAUGAUUUGACGUCAAACCAGGUGGAUUAUCAGUUGCAGCCACAAUUCACAAUUAUUUGAUGCAUAGCAAAAUAAUUAUUCAGAAUCACAGUACCUUGGCACUCCUUUCCAGCCAAUUUGAUAUAUUUUAAUAUAUUUCUAAAUAAAAAAGCUUUGAAUCUAUUAUAAUCUCAAUCAGGUCGAAAUCGAGAUGAAGGUUUACAAGGUCAAAGACAGCGAUCAAACACUCAUAAAUGCAAUGAACAGCUUGUUUUGGACUUCCCACGUAUACACCUGUUUUCUACCAUUAUAUCUGAAAAUGUCUUCAACAAAGCAUAUUCUCCUUCUUCUUCAUUUUUUAAAUGUUUUGAUAUGCAUAUUAAUUCAACAUUACAUAAGGCUUUUAUGAAUAAAAAGCCAUAAACAAAUGUGCAGCAGACAUCCAUCAAUGCAAGAAAUGCCCAUUUUCAAGAACUCUAAGCAACUCCUAUAUCAUUAUAAGAAGCACUGUCCAGUUGUUCUCAUGAAAUUAUUUUCCUCUAACCUCAUUAACAAUUCAUUGAGAAUCCCAAUAACUGAUUCAGUCACUUAAAAACCAGAACAAAACCCUCAAAUAUCAAAUCUUUAUAUGUUUCAAUAUCUAAAAAGAAGAAAAAGCAACAAUUUUCAAACUUUUUUCCUCUAUUUAAAAAAGGGGUAAAAAAGCAAUAUAGGUCAUGGAUUUCUUUUUCUUUUUUUGUUACAUGGAGAGUAGUUAGAUCUCAUUAACGCAAAUAAUUCAUCAAUCAUAAUCAAAACUCAAAACAAAGCAUGCAAGUAAACCAUGAAUAAUGUUGAUGGUAAAAAAAAAUGAUGUGUAAAUUGAGAUGGAGAGCUAAAUAUAUAAAAAGACCAAAAAAAACGGAGGAUGCUAUAUUCAUACAUCAAUCAAAGAAUGUGUGGAAACAAGUAAAAUAAUGGACAUCCAAAAGUGAAGUUUGAAAGUUAUGAAUUAAGAUUUUAUUUGUAUGUUUUUAUAAAAAUUCAAGAGAGAUCUAUAAGUUUAAAUUUUCAGGAAUAUAAAUAUGCAUCAAUAAAAACCUGUCAGGUCUGACGCUAGCUAGAUCUAGGUAUAUUGGGCUCGACAAUCUGUCAAGUCCCGGACAUGCUGGGUCUGACAGUGUGGAAUGGCUUUCAUUUCUUGAGCAUGCCCAAGAGAAUGAUCAUUGGGUCUAACUUAUGGGAAUAACUCAAUCUCUAUGAGCAUUAACUACAUUUGAUGUCCUAAACUCUAAUUUCCUUACAUCUUUUAGGUGUAUAAAAGUCUUCCAAGAACUCAUCAUAUUUCCAUCAAAUAUUAAUAUAGAUGUAAGAUAUAUUUAUCCUUUAUUAAAUGCUAUCGAGUCUCUUUAUAGAAGAACAAGACUCAUAUGCUAUAAAUACACAAUAAGACAUUCAGAACAGAGGUUCACAAUCUUUAUUUUCUACUACAUAUAUAAUUUCAGAGUAUUUUUUUCUAGAAUAUUUUUAUAUUUUUUUUUUAUAAAAAAAACAUACUUAUUUAAACAUCAGAUUUCAUCAUAAAUAUGUUCAUAGCAAAAAAUGAAAAAGAAAAAAAAAGCUGAUUCAGCAAAGCAAAUUAUUAAGGGUCUGUAUUUGCUUUCAUUAACUAAAAUAGCCAGAGAAACACAAUCCAUAUAUACAUGCCUGGAAUAAAAGAGGCACAAUGGAACAUGAAAGCCUUCUCUAAAAUGAGCAAACUAAGAUUGCUCAAAAUCGACAACGUGCAUCUUUCUGAAGGACCUAAAGAUCUUUCCAAUAAGCUACGAUUUCUUGAAUGGCAUUCUUACCCUUCAAAAUCAUUGCCAGCUGGUUUACAGGUGGAUGAGCUAGUUGAACUUCACAUGGCUAACAGUAGCAUUGAGCAAUUAUGGUAUGGGUGUAAGGUGAGAUCAACUAAUUUAAGGCCCUUUGUAUUUCUUUUUAUCGUUUUCCUAUAUAUAUAUGAUUGGCUAACAGUAUCCAUAUUUCUUCUCCCCUGCCUGAUUGCAGAGUGCAGUUAAUUUGAAAAUCAUUGUACUAACCCAAUUCUGGGUUAUUCCCUAAAAUUCAUUUUUUUUAAAAUAAAAACAAAAAAAAUAAAAUAAAAAAUAAAAGCUGGCAAUGUGGAGAAAGCUGAUCAAGAAAAAUAGGCAAAAUAGGCAAAAAUCAAUCUGCAAUUUUCAGAGGAAAUUCAAGGCCUUUCGGCGCCCCAUUGUGCCCAAAAUCGGAGAAAAAAAUGCAAAUUCAAGAUCAAAUUAAAUGAUUAUUGGACAAAUUUGCAUAAAAAUUAAGUCCAAUAACAUAAUUAAAUUUUUAAUAGGCCAAUUUGAUUUAAUCAUGGGUCAAAUUAAAUUUUAGUUAUGUUUAAGAAUUAAUUUAGGUCCAAAUGAAGGAUUUAAUUAAGUGCAAGUACUUAAUUAUACUUUAAAUGGGUCAAAUUAAUUUUAUUUGGGGCUUAAUUGGUGAAAAAUUAAGUUUGGGAGCCUAAUUUGGGCUUAAUGGAGAAGAUUGGAAUUUUAAGAGACCAAAUUUAAUUUUUACCAAGUUAAUUGAUUGAAAUCAGGGGUCAAAUUGCAAGAAAAUUGAAGUUUUGGGGCCAAUUAGGGGUUAAAUUGACAAAAUCCAAAGCCAAGGGCCAAUCUGCAAAAGGCGCCAAACUAUAGGGGUCUAAUUGACAAAAGCCAGGGGUCAAAUUGAAGAAAUUGAAAGCUGGAGGACUCAAUUGAAAAUCGGCAAAAAUCCCUAGCUUUUGAUCCAAAACGGCGCCGUUUUUGGUGUUUAAGAAAAAACAAAGAGGAGGAAGGGACCAGGCGACGCGUCGCCUGGUCACUGUUCAUCUUCUUCCCCACAAAACUGCCAGAGUAGCAGCUUUCCAGGCGCAUUUUCUACCUCGUUUGGCCUCCAAAUCCGACAACGCAUGCUCCAAAAUGUCCACCUCAAACCCCUUUAUCCUCGAGAAUGGUCCGGUCGGGUAGAAAAACUUUGAAACGGCUUCGUUUAUUGGCCCAAAGUGGCCACCUCGUUCAGUCUGCAGCCUUGGAUUGCCAAAUUUGGCAAUUCGAGGUGCACACUUUGAACCAACGGAUUGGAUUCCUCGAGUCGAAUCAAGGGCUGAGAAUUUUUCCCGUUGAAGACAAGAUUACCCUCUUUCCAGCCCUAUAAAUAGGAGCCAAUUUCAUGCUCAGGGGGAGGGGAAAAUUGAGCUCAAAAUUGGCAAAAAAUCAGCUUUUCCUGCCCGGUUUUCCUGCAACCAGCCUUCUCUUUUCUUUUUCUCUCCGCCGUGGCCUCCAGCCGCCACCACUGAUCUCGCCACCGUCCUUCCCAAGAAACACCACAUCCCAUCCAUCACCCAGCAACCUCACCACAGUCACAGUACCUCUCUUUCUCUCCCUCUCUUCUCUGCAAAAAUCUUAUCCUCUGCCACCGUGACUCCAACAGCGGCGGCGACAGCAGAGGUAGCAACCAUCUUGCCCAAAAGCUCUCUUCCACUCCUACCAGCAGCAGCCGGAGUAGCAGCUCCUUCCUCAGUCACACCAACAGCUCCAGCCGUGAGCUUUCCUUCUCCUCUGCAAGAAUCUGCUCCUUCUUCUUCCAGCCGGGACCAGUGCACGCCGUCGUCCUCGCCGCCUCCAGUCGCACCGCGCACCACCAGCUAGGCCGCCGACUCUCUCCACGCCAGGUAAUUCUCUCCUCCCCGCUCCACCCUUUUCAAAAACCUUUUUCCAACUAUUUUUUUUUUCAGGAUGCAGAUGUAGACUUUAAUAUUUGUGGGGUGUAAAAUUACACGAUAAAGUACACCCUCGGGUAUUAAACAUACAAGGUGUAAAUAAAUGCCAUCCUAAAAUUCAGACUUUAGAACGGUUAGGAUUUAACCCAAUAAGGUAGAGACUCCCUCACGAAGGGAGAUCUGCCUUGAACCUUAGAAAAGACCAACGAAUAGAAACUCGACCUAGAAAAACAAUCAAACAACAAUGCAGCUUACCUUAGGUAGGGUGCACUGGGGGUGAUGCAUCUUCCCCUUGCACAACCAGUCCCUUACUCAGACUCUCGCAGACCAUAGGUUCCUAGUGACCAUAAUACUAGGUGGCGACUCCAACGAACCAAGCAAAACACAAAUAAAAGAAAAAUCGCCAGCAGACGCCGCGCGGAUUUUCCGACGUGCGACAGAAUGGCGACUCCACUAGGGACGCCUUGUUUGGUCGGACUAAGCUUUGUUUGUUUGUUUAAUUAUCUGUUUUGGUCUGUUUAAAUGUACUGUUUCAGCACUUUUAUUUCUUGCUCAUACAUAAAUAAUGUGUUCAUGCUUUUUUAAAUUCUUGCAAGAUAACCCAACACUAGGAUAGGAGGGGAGUAGCGGUCUGCCCCAUGACUUUCAGUCGGGGUUCAGAUUCGCGAAACAUCCAACUAUGAGCUGAGUGUUUACUUGGUGAUAGCGGACACAUAGUGCCCGAACCUUCCCUUGUAAACCCCUAUACUGCCUUUACGUGAGGUGGUCACUGGGCAGUUCAUAUACCUUUUUGAGACCAGCUAGAAAACAUAUCCCUCGUAUAAUAACCUAGAUUUUUUUCUAAACUUUACAGGAUUUUUAUUGCUAAGACCAUGACUUCCCUUACCUUUUCGGAAUAUGGGGAAAGAUCUGAGAUGAUACAAGUAAUUGAAGGGGAUUGCCCAAGAACCAAGGUUGAGGAAUUACCACACAUAACCAAAGUGCAUUAUUCCGUAGACACCAUAAAGAAGUUGGCCUCUCUUCUGGGAUAUAUUGAUGAGAAUCUGUUUGAGAAGAAGUAUGGAAGAAUUGCUCAUCUAAUAAGAAUGCCUGUUCAGAUUUCAGCGGUCAAAGCCUUGAUGCAUUUCUGGGAUCCAAGCUACAGAUGUUUCACCUUUGGGGAUAUUGAUAUGACUCCUACUCUUGAGGAGUAUGCUCAGAUCUUAAGUUUUCCUAAUAGCCCCUACAAAGUAUACUUCAGACAAAGAAUUGAGAAUACAGUUACAGCAGUUGCCAAACUUCUACAUUUGGAUCAAGUUGAUCGGUACAGGAUACCCAAUGGAGGUUUCAAGUGGAAGAUGAUCGAGAAUAAAUUAAAGACAGAUAAGGAAGAAGGGAAGUUAGGAGAAGAAAGAUAUCAGAUAAUUGCUUUUGCCAUAUUUGGGUUGGUUCUGCUUCUUUCAGAAGCCGCCAGAAUUAUUAGCAUUGAAGUUGCUAAUGCCUUCCUCGAAUUUGAAGAGGUAAAGAAUAACCCUACUUCAGCUAUCUUAGCUGAAACCUUCCUAUCUCUAAACCAUUGCAGAUUACAUGGGAAAGGGGCGAUGCAAUGCUGUAUCCCUCUCUUAUUCAUGUGGAUAGUAAUCCAUUUGGAAGCAUCAAAAGAAGUCUUCAAUAAUUCUUGGUGGUUUAACAUGAGGCCUCUUGAGUUGGUGCUAGCUGAAGAAUGGAAUGAUUUGGAUGAAAAGGAAUGGGUAGAAAAAUACCGAGAACUUCCCAAAACUAAUUUCAGAUGGAAAGCUCCUUGGGUAAGUGGUUCAUCUUACCUCAUGAGUUGUGGCGACAAGGCAUGGGUUCCUUUGAUUGGCUUAACUGGAUAUAUCAGCUACUCACCCUCAUUAGUAGCUAGACAGUUUGGAGGAGUACAACACGUGCCAAGAACUUGGGCGGUGGCCGAAUAUACCGGUCUGUUUAAAGAAGCUAGCUCUUUGGAUAUGUUAGACGCCAUCAGAAAUGACUGGAAGCAGCCUGUUUUGGUCUCUAAGGAAGAGCAUAAAAAAGAGUUCUCUGUUAGCCCUGCAUAUUCAAUAUGGGGGAGUGGCAGUUCAUCUAAGAUACUUCAAAAAGCAAAAAAGCAAAGAAAAGCCUAAGAUAAGUCGUCUGUGACGUUCGAGCUGAAAAGAAAAAGGGUCAACAAUGAGGAAGACCUCCGAGAAGAGUUGGAUAAGCUGAGGAUUGAGCUCGGUAAUAGUAAAAAUCAUCAAAGAUUCCUGGAAGACCAACUUUUGAAAGAAGAAGAGAUGAAGGCCUCUCUGGAUCAACAGUUGAAGGAAAGAGAUGAGCAGAUUGUUAAGCUAAAGAAGAGCCAGCAUGAAGCAAAUCAGCAACUGAAUGAGGGGAAGGCCAAGAAUGACGAGUUGGUAAAAAAGAAUGACGAGUUGGUAAAAAAGCAUGUAAUGGUGGAGCAUGAAUUGGCGAGUCUAAAAAAGGCCUCGGAAAGUAGAAAGUCUGCCGACAAAGAAACAAUAGCUUUUCUGAAGAAAGAAAGGGACCGGUAUAAAUUAAAAUGGGAGGCUGAAAAAGAGAAGAAUAGAUUGGCUGAUCUCGCCAUUGAAGAAGAAAAAAGGGUAAGGACUCGAUAUCAGAUGCAGGCUGAAGAUGAGAGAGAAGCAAGAAGGGUAGCUGAGAUAGAGAUGAAGGGAUACCUGGAUAAGAUAAAUGGUAUGAGAAACCGAGUGUCUGUGAUACAAGCCGAGCUUGAGUCCCGAGAGGAAGAAGCAAAGGAAAUCAAGACUAGAUCAUCAGUUUUGAUGCACAACUAAACACUAAGGUAGCCGAGCUUGAUGUAGAGAAGGAAGAAUUGCAAAGGGCCAGAAAUCAGAUUCAACAGUUGGAAAAGGUGGUUCGAAUUUUGGAGACAAACAAUGAAACAUUAGCCGCCAGCAAUGGAACAUUGCUUCAAGAUAACACCGUGUUCCAUUACAAGAUUGAACAAACUGACAAGUUAAUCGACAUGGUGGCUAGAAAGGCAAAUGAGCUACGAGCAAAGGCUACCAGGAUUGCCAACAACCGCCAUAGAUACGAGGAAUAUUUGAAUGAAGUUUCCUCUUUCAUCAGGAUUGUGGCCAAUAGAGGGAUAUCAUUUGAAUGAAGACACUUUGUAUGAACCACUUUGUACUAUGUCUACUUUUGGAACUUUCAUAAUGUGUACGAAAUUUAAUCAAUCAAUGGAAUUGGGUAAAACCUCUUUGUGAGUAUCAGAUUUCGGAUGUUACCUGUAUUUGGCGAAGGAAGUCAUGGAUUAGCUCUUUAAAUCCAUAUACAUGCAUUUGCAUUCAUGUUUAUACAUUCAUUCAUUAUAACACACAUGCAUACACCAGGUCAAAAUAUAGGUCCCCAAAGAACUUACCACACCCGACUUCGAGCAAGGAACAUGGAAGAUGAAGCACGUGCUUACCGUGAGGCUCAUUUCCAAGAAGAGUUGGACUCUUUAAAGGACAGUGUGGCUCGCCUCACCGGCUUACUCGAGCAAGUACUAAGGAAUACCUCGGGUGAAGGUCCUUCAACUAGGCCUGCUCCUCUCCCAACAAACCAACCUGAAGAGGUAAUGGGAGAACAUGUGCAGGAACCCCAACACAAUCCAGUUUUCAUGCAGUCGCCAACACCCGUACCACCUGUACCAACACCAGUACUGUUGUAACCCAUUUUUGGGUCCCCACAAAAUAUAUAUAUAAAUAUGUAUAUAGCCAAAGGAGGUUAAGAAAAAAUAACAGGAGGCAGAAGCGCUCAGAAAAUGGUUGGAAAAUCGAUCAAUAAGGUUAAAAAUACAAAGAUUGGAUUUUUGACAGUAUAUUCUUGAAGGAGGAGAGCCCUGUUGAGAAGGAAAAUUUGAAAUUUGAGGAGAAAAGCCCAAAUUUGGAUGUUUAUGGACUUAAUUUGAUUUUUAAAUGAAUUUAUAGAGGAUUUGAUUGCAAGAAAAAUUGAUUUUUAAGUCAAUUUGGGCUUUAAUUAGAAGAAAUUUAAGUUCUGGGGCCAAAAUAUAUUUUUUAGGAAUUUAUUAGGUCAAAUCAGGGGCCUAAUUGCAUAAAUAUUGAAGUUUAAGGGCCAAUUAGGGACUUAAUUGAGAAAAUCCGAAACCAGGGACCAAAUUGGAAGAGGCGCGUAAAUGGAGGGGCUGGAAUUAAUUGAUUCAGGGGCCUAAUUGAAGAAAUUAGAAGUUUUUUGAUCAAUUAAGGGCUCAAUUGCAUAAAUCAGACACCAAGGACUAAAGUGAAAAACGCGGCCAACAAGAGGGACGAAGACCGAAAUUGGCAGGGAUGCAAUUGAAGAAAGAGAAGAUGAUUGAGGGCUGAUUUGAAAUUUGGCGCGUUUUGGCGCCACAUUUAAAUGAAACGGCGCGUUUUCUCCAAAACGACGCCGUUUCAUACAUUCAAAAAAAAAAAAAAAAAAAAGAGCAGAACGGUGUCGUUUUGAAACGACACUGUUCAUCUUCUUCCCCCGAUCACGCAGCGGGGAAGAAGGAGAAAGGGAAGCUUUAAUUUGAAUUUUGCCGGCCACUCUCUCGCCUGGAGCCCACCGACCGGACACAAUGGCCGACCAUCCACCGCGCACCACCCACCGAACCUCGGCAGCCGCGCCCAAUGGCCGACCAGCCGGUUGCUCCCCCAUGAGAGCUGUAAAAAACAGCGUCCUUGGCCUCUAUAAAUAGAGGCCAAGAACGCUGAGAGNNNNNNNNNNNNNNNNNNNNNNNNNNNNNNNNNNNNNNNNNNNNNNNNNNNNNNNNNNNNNNNNNNNNNNNNNNNNNNNNNNNNNNNNNNNNNNNNNNNNNNNNNNNNNNNNNNNNNNNNNNNNNNNNNNNNNNNNNNNNNNNNNNNNNNNNNNNNNNNNNNNNNNNNNNNNNNNNNNNNNNNNNNNNNNNNNNNNNNNNNNNNNNNNNNNNNNNNNNNNNNNNNNNNNNNNNNNNNNNNNNNNNNNNNNNNNNNNNNNNNNNNNNNNNNNNNNNNNNNNNNNNNNNNNNNNNNNNNNNNNNNNNNNNNNNNNNNNNNNNNNNNNNNNNNNNNNNNNNNNNNNNNNNNNNNNNNNNNNNNNNNNNNNNNNNNNNNNNNNNNNNNNNNNNNNNNNNNNNNNNNNNNNNNNNNNNNNNNNNNNNNNNNNNNNNNNNNNNNNNNNNNNNNNNNNNNNNNNNNNNNNNNNNNNNNNNNNNNNNNNNNNNNNNNNNNNNNNNNNNNNNNNNNNNNNNNNNNNNNNNNNNNNNNNNNNNNNNNNNNNNNNNNNNNNNNNNNNNNNNNNNNCAUGCAGAACGAAUAGCGUUCUGCAUGCAGGGGCGGGGGAGAAAUUAAUUCUCCCCCCGCCCGUUUUGUUGCUGGGCCAGGCGGGUCCUGGCCCAGCCCAGUCUUCUGGGCCGGGUUUGGCCCAGAAGAGAAUUUUUUUUUGGGCCGAGAUCGGCCCAAUAUUUUUUGGGCCGACCUCGGCCCAUCAUUGUCUAGACCAGUCUUCUGGGCCGGGCCUGGCCCAGAAAAGAUUUUUUGGGCCGAGAUCGGCCCAAUACAUUUUUGGGCCGACCUCGGCCCAUCAUGGUUUUGGGCUGAGUCCGGCCCAGUGGUUUGGGCCGGCCCAGCCCGAUUUAAUAUUUAUUAUAUAUAUAUAUAUUAUAUUUUGUAUUAUUUAUAUAUAUAUAUUUAUAUAUAUGAAAAACAUUAUAAAAAAUUGCAAAAAUUAUAGAAAAAUAUAUGUGAUUUUGUUGUAAUUUUAUUAUUAUAUUUUGAUUAAUAUUGGUUGGUAUUUUAUUUUGUAAAGAUACAAAACUCGGUAUUAAAAUACCCGGUUUUCAUCAAAACAUCAAAGAUUUUCAAAACAAAAAAUGUCUUUUGCUUUCAAAAAUUUUCUAAAAAAUAUCUUUGAAAAUAUUGUUGAUUUUUCGGCAUUUAUUUUAUCAAAGUGGAUUAAUAUUUGGUUGUAUUUUUUACAAACCCAGUAUUAAAAUACCCGAUUUGCGUCAAAGCGUACAAAAAUACAUAUUUUUUUUUUUAAAAAAAAAUGUUUUGUUUUAAAAUACGGCCUAGUCUCUCCAAUAUAUAUAUAUAAAUAUUAUAACAUCAUAUUUUCACAACAAAAGAAAUUUCAAAACAAUAUAUGUAUUAGCAUGCAUUUUGGCUUUAAUAACCAGUUUAUUCAAGUCAUGAGAACUAGGCCAAUAUUUCAAAAAUUCUAAAAAAAAUCUUUUUGUCCUUGGGAUUACUAAUUUUUACAUAAAACGUUUUCCUGAUAUUAAAAAUGUUUUUUUUUACAUAGACAUUAGAACGGUUAGGUUUUACCCGAUAAGAUAAGGACCUCCUUAUUGAGGAGGACUUUUCUUGAACCAUAGACGGACCAACAACUAGGAAACACAACGAAACCUUAAAUUUUAUCAGACAAUAAAAUGAUGCAGCUUACCUUAGGUAGGGCGUAUUUGGGGUGCUAAUACCUUCCCUUUACGCAACCAGUCCCCGUACCCGAUCUCUGAGACCAGUUAGGGUUCCUAGUGACCAAAAUACUAGGUGGCGACUCCCACACCAUUUUUCACUGCUAAGAGACAACGAAUUCCUUGUCUCCCCACAUUGACCAGAUAUAUAUAUCCCCCAUCCCUUUUAUUUUAUUUUUUGUGGGUGGACGAUCGCCGCGACGUCGCUCACGUGCGACAGAAUGGCGACUCCACUGGGGACCUUGUGGAUUAAGCUUUGUUUUUGUCUGAUUUGUUUUUGUUUUCGUGUGUUCAUUGUUAAUAUGCCUUUCCUUUUGUUACCUGCUUAUACGCUUUAAAUAUUUUUACACAUAUUAUUCAUGCAUGUAUAGAACUGUCUCAUACAUCUUAUAGAACUGUCACAUGCAUCACAUACUUUGAUGAUUGAGAGCACACACAAACUUUAAGUUAAGUGGGGGACUAGCAGCUUACCUUACGACUGUUAGUCAAGGUUUAAGUUUGUGUAAACCCCAACUCUUCGCUGAGUGCUUAGACUGGUAAUAGUUGGUACAUGUGACCAUCUCAUUGCCUACAAGCCCCCAUAUUGCCUCCACGAGGGCAAUCACUGGGACAGCAAGAGACCCUUUUUAGAGACUGAAUAGCCAACCUACCCUCGUCAAACACAAAAGAUUUAGAACCAGGCUAUAGGGUGUAUGCCCCCACAAAAUACAUUCUUGCAUAACACAACCUAAACCAUAAAGUAUUUGGUUUUCAGGUCAUUUUGAAACGAUAAGAUGGCCAUCAUUACCAAAUUUACUACUGUGGAAUAUGGGCAGAAUUCUGAAUUGUCACAACUAUCAGAGGGAGAUUGCUCUAGAUAUGAUGCAAGGAAGCUUCCAGUAGUCAAAGACCUGAAUUGCGUAGUAUACGAGAUGAAGAGAAUAUUGGGCCAUAGUCAGAAUAUUGAUGAGGCAGCAUUUUUUGGGAAGUAUGGGCGAUUAUUGGAAAUUGCAAAGAUAGGAGUAUUGAAUCCAGCAAUUAAAGCUUUGAUUAACUUUUGGGAUCCCGAUUACAGAUGCUUUUCUUUCGGAAAUGUGGAUUUGUGUCCCACUAUAGAGGAAUAUGGAAUGUUGAUGGAGUUUCCCAAACACCUGCACCAAGUUUAUUUUCCUUUGAGAAAUGACAAGGUGAUUCCUGAGUUGUCGAAAUUAUUGAAGAUUCCACAUCUGAGCAGAUUUUUGGAGAAGAAUGGCAGCGGUUUAAAGUGGAAAUUUUUGGAGGUUGAACUAGAAAAGAAAAAGGAGCAAUACGCCUCAGUGGUAGAAAGAGACAGGUUAAUCGCUCUAGGGAUCUAUGGUCUCGUGUUAUUUCCAAGCUUAAAAGGGGUUAUAAGUCUAGAAGCUGCUGCUGCAUUCGUGGAAUAUGAAAGUACUCAUGUCAACCCUACAACUGCCAUAUUAGCUGAGACCUUGCUGACCCUCAACCAUUUUAGAAAAACAGGGAAAGGCGCAGUAAGAUGUUGUACUCAGUUAUUAUACAUCUGGAUGGUAAGCCAUGUUGAAACCAAGAAGCCGAUCUUUAAUAAUUUUUGGUGGUUUAACCAAAAACCUUUGAAGAUAGUAGAGGAAGAAGAAUGGGGAAUCCUAGGUGAUCAGGGUUGGAUGAAAAAACUCCAAGAGUUACCUAGUAGCAACUUUAGUUGGAAGGCCCCUUGGGUUAAAUCAGUUGAUGUCAUAGUAAGUUGUGGACAAAAAUGCUGGGUACCUUUAAUUGGGAUCACAGGUUAUGUCAGCUACGCUCCGGCUUUGGUGAUAAGACAAUUAUGUGGCAUACAACACAUCCCAAGAACUGUGGGACUUGCUGAAUUUUCCGGAUUUUUCAAGGAUCAAUCCGCGCGAGAAGUUCUUGAAACCAUCAAACAAGAUUGGAGCCAGUUGACUCUAAUUCAAAAGGAGUCAGAAAGUUUGAGAGACCCUAGCUCAAGUGAAGGAUAUGAAAAGUGGAGGAAUUUGACCCCGAUUGCCAUUCCGAAAAAGCCAUGUUCUGCAGAUGGGCCUUCACGAAUUGAAGAAGGGUCUUUGAAAAGAAAAAAGGUCAGUAAUGAAGAAGACCUUAUGGAGCAAAUAGAAAGGCUACAAAUAGAAUUGGGAAAGAGUAAGGGAGAUAAAGCAGCAUUAGAAAGGAUGAUGAUGGAAGGAGAUAAAAGCAGAGUGUUUCUAAACGAACAGCUCGAAUCCAAAGAUGCGAAAAUCGGGAUGUUGGAGCUGCAAUUGAGCAAAGGAAAGGCUGUAAUAGAGGAGUCUGAGAAAGAAAGAGGAAGACUGAUUUUGGAUUUUAUGCAAAGCAGCUCUGAGUUGGAAGCAUUGAAAGCCGACUUCGAUGGCUAUCAAGAGAAUGUUGAGUACAAUCAGGACAAAUUCUUGCAUGUUAAAGCAGAGUUGUUAGACCGAAUUGAGAAGUAUGAUGAGUUAAACAAGAAAUAUAUGAUGAUAGAAAGUCGGCUAACUGAAUUACAAGAGUUCGAAAGAAAGGGGAAUGAAGAGGAGGUUUUGAAGGCAGAUUUGGCAGUUAAGAAAAUUGAAAUUAGAAUGUUGAAGGUGAAGUUUGACAAAGAACGAGAAAAGGUGAAACAGUUGACCAACAGGUUGGAAGUUUCAGAAAAACAUAAAGAACAGAUCGACACCAACAACAAUACUUUGAAUCGGAACAACAUGGUGCUUAUAGAGAAGAUGGCCAAGGUAGAUGAGCAAAUGGAUGAAGCUGCCAUUCACGCACGAAUUAUUAGAGCCAAUGCUCGAAGGGUGGGAAGGGACAUCCUUCGUUAUCGACAAAGCUUGGCUGAGACAGAUGCCUUUUUAGAGAAAAUUGAGAAUCGAGGCCUCGCUUUCCUACCAGUGGCUAGAGAUAUGGAUGAAGAAGAAGAUUGAUGUAUUUAUCUUUUUAUUAUUUUGUACCCUCUCUUCAAGAGAUGUAUUAGCCAAUAUUAAUGAAAAGGGGCUUUGACCCAUCUUUUAUAAAUAUAAGCCUACCAAAGCAGCAGCUUGAGCACAACUACUCCUGAUAAGGAACGUGACAAAAAGAGUCCAUGCCCAUUACACAAGAGGAAUGUUGGCCAUCGAUCGUUUUUUUUAAAAAAAAAACAAGUUUCUAAGAGUAUUCAUGCAUUGUUUAUUUAUCACACAUUCAUUUACAUUUUUUUCAUGCAUCCCAGACCGUGAAACAUAGGUCCCACAUCCAAAAUCCACAACACCCGGUCUCGAGCGAGAAUGGAGAACGAAGAAAGAGCUCACUUAGAGUCACAUUAUCAGACCGAGUUGGAGUCUGUAAAGAAUGAAGUUUCUCGGCUAACCGACUUACUUGAGCAGCUUCUAAGGGCUAAGAAUGGGGAGGGAACAUCAGCACGACAGCUUGAAGGAGCGCCAGCAGUUCACAUUCCUCAAGCAUCUCAAAACCAGGGGGCAAACUCGGCCAAUGAACAACAGUUUGUGCCUAUUACUCCUAGCCUACCACCUCAUACUCCAGUCACUGUUGACCUAACAACGGAGGGAGUCCCGGAUAAUAGGUCUCCCAGUUUGAUAGACCAAGACAAGCUGUUUGCUCUGGAAGAAAGAUUAAGGGCAGUUGAGGGUAAUGACUGGUUUGACCCUAUGCGAGCAGCCGAAGUAUGUUUGGUACCAAACAUCGUGGUACCAAAAGAUUUUCGCAUACCAGAGUUCAUUAAGUAUACCGGUUUGGAAUGCCCAAACACUCACCUUCGAUCCUACUGCAACAAAAUGGCGGAAGUAAUCCGUGAUGAUAAAAUGCUAAUCUAUUUCUUUCAAGAUAGCCUAGCAGGAUCCGCUUUAAGCUGGUACAUGAGGUUAGACAGCAUCAGGAUCAAGAGCUGGAGAGACUUGGUGGAGGCUUUCCUCAAACAGUACAAGUUUAACAUGGAAAUCGCUCCUGAUCGAACAAGUUUAAUGGCAAUGGAGAAAAGAAGCCAGGAGUCAGUAAGGGCUUAUGCGCAAAGAUGGAGGGAUGAGGCAAUGCAUGUCCAACCCCCUUUGAUAGAAACGGAGAUGGUGAGCUUGUUUGCCAAUACCUUCAAAGCACCUUAUUAUGAGCACCUAAUGGGUAGCUCCUCUCAACAUUUCUAUGAUGCGGUACGCAUAGCUGAGAGGAUAGAACAGGGGAUCAAAGCUGGGCGAAUAGCAAUGCCAGUGGAAAAGAAGGGCUUUAUUGGAAGAAAGAGAGAAGGCGAUGUUAACAAUUUGGAGGACGGGUAUAAGGGCAAGAAAGUAGAUUCCCACAAUCCACAAGUACCUACCUCUCAAUUCUCACGCAUAAACUUUAACCAAUCUUUUUCGCCUAAUCGAACAAAUAACCAAUCAAACUACCAAAAUCACUACCAAAGACCCCAUACGAGAUACCCUUCGGAACAACUACCACCGCUACCCAUGCCUUUGAAGGACAUGUAUGCCAAACUGUUGAGCAUUGGGCACAUAGCUCCUAUCCCUACACUACCAUUACAACCACCAUUCCCAAUUUGGUACAAGCCCGAGUUAACUUGUGAGUACCAUGCGGGUAAUCCUGGGCAUGGGAUUGAAACCUGUUACGCUUUCAAGAAAAGAUUGAUGGAGCUUAUUAAGAUAGGAUGGGUAUCCUUUGAAGACAAGCCCAAUGUUAAUUCAAACCCGUUGCCUAAACAUGCCUCAAGUAGUAGUGGAAUAGGCAUGAUAGAAGUUGGAAAUCAAUGCAAGGUGUUGAAGGUGUCUAUGGAAAAGAUGUACUACAUGUUAGUACGAUCAGGAUUUCUAGAGGCAAAUAUGGAAGGCCAUUCGGAGGGAGGUAGUUAUUGUGAGUUCCAUGGCAGAGAUGGACACUAUAUUGAGGAUUGCAUCGAGUUUUGCGAAAAGAUUGCAAAAAUGUUAAAAAUGAGGCAAUUAAGAAUUGAACCCAUGGAGAACAGGGGUGAGGUGAGUAUGAUAGAAGAUCAGAUGGAGAUGACAGGAGUAUGCAGGGUCCAACAAACAGCUAAUGGUCCCCCAAGGCUAAUCUUGGUUAAACCAUCCUACACAAAAGGGAAUCACAAUGCCAUGCCUUAUAAUUAUGGUUAUGCCUCCAACGUUCAAGCUCCUCUUCCUUUGUCCCAGACUGAGAUAAGUGGGUUGACCAGGAGUGGUCGUUGCUUUACUUCCGAGGAGUUGAGGAAGGAAAAGGGUAAAGAAGUGGUAGAUCUUGACAAAGCACUAGAAGUUAAUAAGCCGGUAACAGAAGAAGAGUCGAAUGAAUUCCUGAAGUUGAUCAAGCAUAGUGAAUAUUGCAUAGUUGAUCAACUAAAGAAGACUCCAGCUAGGAUCUCCCUUAUGUCCUUGAUACUCAGCUCUGAGCCGCAUCGAAACGCCUUGCAAAAGGUAUUGAAUGAGGCAUAUGUACCCCAAGACAUUGAGCAUAAAACCAUGGAGCAUCUAGUGGGGAGGAUCCAUGCAACUAAUUACCUAUACUUCACAGCAGAUGAGCUCGAUACUGAAGGUACCGGACAUAACAAGCCCUUAUACAUUACGGUUACGUGCAAGGACUGCCUCAUAGGAAAAGUACUCAUUGAUAACGGCUCGGCCUUUAAUGUGUUGCCAAAGCACAUGUUGGAAGAAAUGCCGAUCGAUGAAUCCCAUAUAAAGCCAAGUACUAUGAUGGCCAGAGCGUAUGAUGGCUCACCUAGGCCAAUAAUUGGGACUCUAGAAGUGGAGCUAUAUGUGGGACCACAAAUGUUCCUAGUAACACUUCAAGUUAUGGAUAUUCAUCCUUCCUAUAGUAUGUUGUUAGGAAGACCUUGGAUUCAUGCAGCGGGGGCAGUAGCUUCAUCAUUGCACCAAUGCCUGAAGUAUAUCAUGAAUGGGAUGUUGGUAACUGUCAAGGCUGAGGAGACAGUAUCCAUGAUAAAGAAUGUAGCUGUGCCUUUUAUCGAAGCGAAUGAUUGCAAGGAUAACAAUAUCCAUGCCUUUGAAAUUGUGAACACUGACUGGGUGCCGGAGAACACAGUGCUAAGAAGGCCAAGGAUCUCAGAAGCAGCAAGGAUGGCAAGUCUAUGCCUUUUGAACCGCGGGAUCCCAUUUCAGUAUAACUUUAUUAUCAGGAUACCGAAGGGGUUAAUCUGGCAAGGAUGAAAAGUGUUGCUCAAAGAUUUGGGUUAGGAUACCAACCUAACCAAGAAGAUUAUCGGUGGGCUGCUGGUCGGAGAAGGGCAAGAAGGAUGGCUAGAAUUAAAGGAAGAGAGCCUGAUGAAGAAAAGCUAGAAAUCCCUCCCCUUAGCAUGUCAUUCCCAAAAGCUGCAUACAUAAUGCAAAAUGAUAAAGAAGCCGAAAGCCUUAAUCAAGAGCUGUCAAACAUGAGCAUAAAUACCUUGGGGGAAAACAAGGUGGAAGAAGAUGACAUGAAGACAGUAGCAAGAAAGGGAGAUGAAGCACUCCCACAACUGACGGUCUACACCAUAGAAGAGGUCUCCGCCAAGACCUUUGUGCGCAAGUUGGCUCAAGACGAGAAGUUUCAGAAUUGGGUGACCCAAGAAGCUCCAGUGGUUUUCAAAAUGUAAACCAAUUUUGUUUAUCUUAACAUGCUUUUGUCAUUGCUUUGUUUGGUUUUCAUUUAUUUUCGCUAGUCGACAAUCAAGGCUCAAUUGUCGGUUAGACUUUAUGUUUGUCAUGGAGCCCACUUUUUCUUUAAAUAAUUGUGAGAUCAUGCACUUUCCACAAAUUGCUUUCUUUUUUAUGCAUUUACACCAAACACUUCCCGCUUUCAGGAAUCCUGAAAGCGGAUCUCCAACAACAUCACAUAUAUUUAGCAUCAAGAAUAAAUGGCCAAACUUGAACGAGCAUGUGAUAGCUAUGGAAGAAGAAGAAUGGGAUGAAAGCAAUAUUAGUGAAUUCACCAGGCUAGUAGAACAACAGGAACAGACUUGGAAGCCUAUCGCCGAGGAACUCGAAACCAUCAAUGUGGGUAGUGAUCAGCUCAAGAAAGAGUUGAAAAUAGGUACCUUAGUUACUUCUGAACAAAGGACAAAAAUGAUCGCCCUGUUACAAGAAUAUGCAGAUGUCUUUGCUUGGUCUUAUGAAGAUAUGCCUGGUUUGGAUACAAAUAUUGUAGUACACAAGAUACCGUUGGAAGAAGGCUGUAAGCCAAUCAAGCAGAAGCUGAGGAGGGCCCACCCGGAUGUCUGGAUCAAGGUCAAGGCAGAACUCGAGAAGCAAUGGGAUGCUGGCUUUCUAGAAGUAGUUAGAUAUCCACAAUGGGUAUCUAACAUUGUUGUGGUACCUAAGAAGGAGGGGAAGAUUAGAGUAUGCGUGGAUUUUCGGAAUUUGAAUAAAGCUAGCCCCAAGGAUGAUUUUCCUCUACCACACAUAGAUGUUUUAGUGGACAAUGCUGCCCGGAGUUCCACAUAUUCCUUUAUGGAUGGUUUUUCAGGAUACAACCAGAUAAAAAUGGCUCCGGAGGAUAAGACGAAAACAACUUUUGUUACACCGUGGGGGACAUUCUGCUAUAAGGUCAUGCCAUUUGGAUUGAAGAAUGCAGGAGCAACCUAUCAAAGAGCAAUGGUGACUUUGUUCCACGACAUGAUGCACAAGGAAAUUGAGGUGUAUGUAGACGACAUGAUUGCCAAGUCUAAAAGAGGAGAGGAUCAUGUUGAAGUUUUGAGGAAGUUGUUUGAGAGAUUGAGGAAGUAUGAAUUAAGGCUCAAUCCUGCCAAAUGUUCAUUUGGAGUUAAAUCGGGUAAGCUGUUAGGUUUUGUGGUAAGUGAUAGAGGUAUAGAGGUGGAUCCAGAUAAAGUAAGGGCCAUCCAAGCUAUGUCAUCCCCUAAGACGGAGAAGGAAGUAAGAGGAUUCUUGGGAAGGAUAAACUACAUUGCUCGGUUCAUAGCUCAGUUAACAACGACGUGUGAACCAAUAUUCCGACUACUAAGGAAAAAGAAUCCUGGAACCUGGAAUGAGGAGUGUGAGGAGGCAUUCAAUAAAAUCAAGCAUUAUUUGCAAAAUCCACCUUUACUGGUCCCUCCGGUAUCGGGAAAACCUCUAGUAUUGUAUCUAACAGUGACUGAAGCAGCUAUGGGAUGUGUAUUGGGUCAGCAUGAUGAAACCGGAAGGAAGGAAAGAGCUAUUUAUUACUUAAGUAAGAAAUUCACUGAAUGUGAGUCUAGAUACACGGAGAUAGAAAGGCUUUGUUGUGCGUUGGUGUGGGCAGCAAAGAGGUUGCGGCAUUAUAUGUUAUACUAUACCACUUGGUUGAUUUCAAAAGUGGAUCCUCUGAGGUAUAUUUGUAACAAGCCAUUUCUCUCAAGUCGAAUUGCAAGGUGGCAAGUUCUAUUGGCAGAAUAUGACAUAGUAUACAUGACAAGGAAAGCCAUAAAAGGAAGUGCAAUCGCGGACCAUCUGGCUGAUAAUGCUGUUGAAGAUUACGAACCCUUGGAUUUUGACUUCCCUGAUGAAGAUAUAUUGUCAAUAGAGAAAGAAGAAGAGCAGACAGAUUGGUGGACAAUGUUUUUUGAUGGUGCAGUGAACGUAUAUGGUAACGAGGCCGGCGCGGUAAUAAUCUCUCCUGAUAAGAAACAGUAUCCAGUUUCGGUUAAACUACAUUUCGAGUGCACCAACAAUACAGCUGAGUAUGAAGCUUGUAUCCUUGGUCUAGAAGCGGCAUUAGAGCUGAAGAUAAAGAAGUUAGAUGUGUACGGAGAUUCAAUGUUGAUUAUCUGUCAGGUUAAGGGGGAAUGGCAGACCAAAGAGGAAAAGUUGAGGCCGUACCAGGAAUACCUGUCCACGCUAGCGAAGGAAUUUGAAGAAAUUAGAUUCACCCACCUGGGAAGAGAAGGGAACCAUUUUGCAGAUGCUUUGGCCACGCUAGCAGCUAUGACUACCAUUGAUCUCAAGUGCAAGGUACAACCGGUACACAUUGACAUUAGAAAUGACCCAGCUCACUGUUGUUUAGUUGAAGGAGAGAUAGACGGACAGCCUUGGUAUUAUGAUAUCAAGAACCUUGUGCAAAAUCAGGAAUAUCCAGUGGGAGCCUCCAAAACGGAUAAGAAAACCUUGAGAAGGUUGGCUACAGAUUUUUAUUUAGAUGGAGAGAUUCUGUACAAAAGAUCAUUUGAUGGAACCUUGCUAAGGUGUUUGAAUGAGGCAGAUGCUAGAAAGGCAUUACGGGAGGUCCAUGAGGGGAUUUGCUCAACCCAUGCUAGCGGGCAUAUGAUAGCAAGGAAAAUCCAAAGGGCUGGUUAUUUUUGGAUGACACUAGAGAAAGACUGCAUCGACUAUGUCAGGAAAUGUCACAAGUGUCAAGUUUACAGUGAUAAGGUCAAUAUGCCACCAGCUCCUCUAUUUAAUCUGAUAUCUCCUUGGCCAUUUGCAAUGUGGGGAAUCGAUGUAAUUGGUCCGGUUAACCCAAAAGCUAGCAAUGGGCAUAGAUUCAUCCUUGUGGCUAUUGACUACUUCACCAAAUGGGUGGAAGCUAAUUCGUAUGCCCAUGUAACACAGAACGUAGUNNNNNNNNNNNNNNNNNNNNNNNNNNNNNNNNNNNNNNNNNNNNNNNNNNNNNNNNNNNNNNNNNNNNNNNNNNNNNNNNNNNNNNNNNNNNNNNNNNNNUGACCGAUAAUGCACACAAAUUCAAUGCCAAAAUGAUAGUGGAGCUGUGUACUAAAUGGAAAAUCAAGCAUUCGAAUUCCUCACCAUACCGACCAAAAAUGAAUGGCGCAGUAGAAGCCGCCAACAAGAACAUCAAAAAGAUUAUUCAGAAAAUGGUAGUCACAUAUAGAGAUUGGCAUGAGAUGUUGUCAUUCGCUCUUCACGCAUACCGCACUACAGUGAGGACCUCGACAGGAACUACUCCAUAUUCUUUGGUGUACGGUAUGGAAGCAGUGAUGCCUUUGGAAGUAGAAAUCCCGUCGUUAAGAGUAUUGAUGGACUCCGAAUUAGAAGAGGCCGAGUGGGCCAAAGUGAGAUAUGAGCAACUGAACCUGAUCAGUGAAAAGAGGAUGGCCGCAAUAUGUCAUCACCAACUGUACCAGAAACGAAUGGCCAAGGCAUAUGAUAAGAAGGUUAGACCGCGGUUGUUUCAAGAAGGGGAUCUAGUAUUGAAGAAAAUAUUGUCACUACCUGGAGACGAUCAAAGCAAAUGGGCACCGAAUUAUGAAGGUCCUUACAUAGUAAAGAAGGCAUUCUCAGGAGGAGCACUGAAGUUGGCUAGAAUGGAUGGAGAAGACCUAGCUCGACCUGUGAAUUCUGACUCUGUAAAAAGAUAUUAUGCUUGAUGUAGGCUCCUAAAUCAAUAAAGCAAAGUUUGGCCAUUGACUUCUUUCUCUUUUGCAUUGAUCUCACAACAGUCAUUUUUACAUUAAUCCCAACAGUGCAUGUUUUGUUUUAUCUCAUUUAAAAAGUGUAGCGUCGGCUGAACGAAUUUCUUCUCUCUAUAAAAGCCUAGACUAGAAUCACACCCCUACACUGGGGGCAAUAAGAGAUAUUUUCAUGUACGAAAGCCUAUAGAUUUUGAAAACCAAGCUAAAACAUUUGACAAAAGCAUGACAAAGAGGCAAUGACAAGUCAUAUAUUUUGGAAAAAGGACUAUUUGAAGAAAGUCAGAGAUUUCUUCUCCAAGAAUAUGAUCGGAGGCAACACGAGAGAGGAAUCCAGCAUACGACUUCAAAAGCAAGCUCAUGAUAAGAUGGAAUCUCAUGAACUCGAAGAAGAGGAUGGGGCCUAUGUUUCAAAACCAGGUACGAAUGCAUGCAUGGCAUUUAAUCAUAAAUCAUUGCAUAUAUGUUUUUUUGGGAUCGUUACAGGAGGAGACCUUAAUACAUUCCAACAAAAUUGAAGACGAAGAAAAAAUCAUUGAGUUGAUUCUAAAACAACAAGAAGAGAAAAUAAUAAUGUUCAAACCCUGCCAUCAGGAAGAGCGACAUCGAGCAAGCGGUAAAAGGGAAUCGCCAGAGGGGACUCCAGGUUAACCGAUUUACAAGAUAGAUUUUUUGGUUUUUGAUUAAAGGAGAUCGCCAGAAGGGAUCUCAUUAUUUCAGCUUCGAAUAAAAGGGAAUCGCCAGAUGGGAUUCCAAGUUGUCUUAGAUCGCAAGAGGGGAUCUUGUAUUUCGAUAUUGGUCAAAGAAGGUCGCCAGAAGGGACCUCGCGUAUCGCUUUGAAUAAAAGGAAUCGCCAGAUGGGAUUCCAAGUUAAAGGAGACCGCCAGAAGGGAUCUCGUGUUUCGCUAUUUGAAGGUCGCCAGAUGGGACCUCGUAUUACCUGUUUUAAAAAAAAAGGAAUCGCCAGAUGGGAUUCCAAGUUGAUUAAAGGAGAUCGCCAGAAGGGAUCUCGUGUUUCAUUAUUUGGAGGUCGCCAGAUGGGACCUCGUUUUUCAUGAAUAAAAGGAAUCGCCAGAUGGGAUUCCAAGUUGAUUAAAGGAGAUCGCCAGAAGGGAUCUCGUGUUUCACUAUUUGGAGGUCGCCAGAUGGGACCUCGGUUUUCAUGAAUAAAAGGAAUCGCCAGAAGGGAUUCCAAGUUGAUUUAAGGAGAUCGCCAGAAGGGAUCUCGUGUUUCAUUAUUUGGAGGUCGCCAGAUGGGACCUCGUUUUUCAUUAAAUAAAAGGAAUCGCCAGAUGGGAUUCCAAGUUGACUAAAGGAGAUCGCCAGAAGGGAUCUCGUGUUUUGAUAUUUGGAGGUCGCCACAUGGGACCUCAUAUUUCGUUUGAAUAAAAGGAAUCGCCAGAUGGGAUUCCAGGACGAUUAAAGGAGAUCGCCAGAAGGGAUCUCGUAUUUCGCUAUUUGGAUGUCGUCAGAAGGGACCUCAUAUUUCAACAUUGGUUACAAGGAAUCGCCAGAUGGGAUUCUAAGAUUUUUUGUUGAAGGAGAUCGUUAGAAGGGAUCUCGUAUUUCAAUAUUGGUUAAAAGGGAAUUGCCAGACGGGAUUCCAAGUUGAGUAAGCAAUAAUUAUAGAUUUUGGUUUAGAGAGAUCGCCAGAAGGGAUCUCAAGAUGAUAAAUUUUGAUCAUAGUUUUUGAAGUUAAGGAGGAUUGCUGUAAAAGACAAGUUUCAGGUCAAUCAAGCUUCAACCAGAUCAGUUUUGGGAGUUCCGUUUAGGGUUUAUCUUUAUAAAACUUACUGCGCAAAACCUCUGCUCCGUAAGCAUUAUGCUGUAAAAGACAAGUUUCAGGUCAAUCAAGCUUCAACCAGAUCAGUUUUCGGAGUUCCGUUUAGGGUUUAUCUUUAUAAAACUUACUGCGCAAAACCUCUGCUCCGUAAGCAUUAUAAAGAGGGGGCAUCUGUUGUAACCCAUUUUUGGGUCCCCACAAAAUAUAUAUAUAAAUAUGUAUAUAGCCAAAGGAGGUUAAGAAAAAAUAACAGGAGGCAGAAGCGCUCAGAAAAUGGUUGGAAAAUCGAUCAAUAAGGUUAAAAAUACAAAGAUUGGAUUUUUGACAGUAUAUUCUUGAAGGAGGAGAGCCCUGUUGAGAAGGAAAAUUUGAAAUUUGAGGAGAAAAGCCCAAAUUUGGAUGUUUAUGGACUUAAUUUGAUUUUUAAAUGAAUUUAUAGAGGAUUUGAUUGCAAGAAAAAUUGAUUUUUAAGUCAAUUUGGGCUUUAAUUAGAAGAAAUUUAAGUUCUGGGGCCAAAAUAUAUUUUUUAGGAAUUUAUUAGGUCAAAUCAGGGGCCUAAUUGCAUAAAUAUUGAAGUUUAAGGGCCAAUUAGGGACUUAAUUGAGAAAAUCCGAAACCAGGGACCAAAUUGGAAGAGGCGCGUAAAUGGAGGGGCUGGAAUUAAUUGAUUCAGGGGCCUAAUUGAAGAAAUUAGAAGUUUUUUGAUCAAUUAAGGGCUCAAUUGCAUAAAUCAGACACCAAGGACUAAAGUGAAAAACGCGGCCAACAAGAGGGACGAAGACCGAAAUUGGCAGGGAUGCAAUUGAAGAAAGAGAAGAUGAUUGAGGGCUGAUUUGAAAUUUGGCGCGUUUUGGCGCCACAUUUAAAUGAAACGGCGCGUUUUCUCCAAAACGACGCCGUUUCAUACAUUCAAAAAAAAAAAAAAAAAGAGCAGAACGGUGUCGUUUUGAAACGACACUGUUCAUCUUCUUCCCCCGAUCACGCAGCGGGGAAGAAGGAGAAAGGGAAGCUUUAAUUUGAAUUUUGCCGGCCACUCUCUCGCCUGGAGCCCACCGACCGGACACAAUGGCCGACCAUCCACCGCGCACCACCCACCGAACCUCGGCAGCCGCGCCCAAUGGCCGACCAGCCGGUUGCUCCCCCAUGAGAGCUGUAAAAAACAGCGUCCUUGGCCUCUAUAAAUAGAGGCCAAGAACGCUGAGAGUGGGAGGAGGAAAAACAGAAAAAGAAAGAAGAAAAUGAGAAGACCGAAACAUAGAAAAAAAAGAGGAAACGGAGGAGAGAGNNNNNNNNNNNNNNNNNNNNNNNNNNNNNNNNNNNNNNNNNNNNNNNNNNNNNNNNNNNNNNNNNNNNNNNNNNNNNNNNNNNNNNNNNNNNNNNNNNNNNNNNNNNNNNNNNNNNNNNNNNNNNNNNNNNNNNNNNNNNNNNNNNNNNNNNNNNNNNNNNNNNNNNNNNNNNNNNNNNNNNNNNNNNNNNNNNNNNNNNNNNNNNNNNNNNNNNNNNNNNNNNNNNNNNNNNNNNNNNNNNNNNNNNNNNNNNNNNNNNNNNNNNNNNNNNNNNNNNNNNNNNNNNNNNNNNNNNNNNNNNNNNNNNNNNNNNNNNNNNNNNNNNNNNNNNNNNNNNNNNNNNNNNNNNNNNNNNNNNNNNNNNNNNNNNNNNNNNNNNNNNNNNNNNNNNNNNNNNNNNNNNNNNNNNNNNNNNNNNNNNNNNNNNNNNNNNNNNNNNNNNNNNNNNNNNNNNNNNNNNNNNNNNNNNNNNNNNNNNNNNNNNNNNNNNNNNNNNNNNNNNNNNNNNNNNNNNNNNNNNNNNNNNNNNNNNNNNNNNNNNNNNNNNNNNNNNNNNNNNNNNNNNNNNNNNNNNNNNNNNNNNNNNNNNNNNNNNNNNNNNNNNNNNNNNNNNNNNNNNNNNNNNNNNNNNNNNNNNNNNNNNAAUUUUAUUAUUAUAUUUUGAUUAAUAUGGGUUGGUAUUUUAUUUUGUAAAGAUACAAAACUCGGUAUUAAAAUACCCGGUUUUCAUCAAAACAUCAAAGAUUUUCAAAACAAAAAAUGUCUUUUGCUUUCAAAAAUUUUCUAAAAAAUAUCUUUGAACAUAUUGUUGAUUUUUCGGCAAUUAUUUUAUCAAAGUGGAUUAAUAUUUGGUUGUAUUUUUUACAAACCCAGUAUUAAAAUACCCGAUUUGCGUCAAAGCGUACAAAAAUACAUAUUUUUUUUUUUAAAAAAAAAUGUUUUGUUUUAAAAUACGGCCUAGUCUCUCCAAUAUAUAUAUAUAAAUAUUAUAACAUCAUAUUUUCACAACAAAAGAAAUUUCAAAACAAUAUAUGUAUUAGCAUGCAUUUUGGCUUUAAUAACCAGUUUAUUCAAGUCAUGAGAACUAGGCCAAUAUUUCAAAAAUUCUAAAAAAAAUCUUUUUGUCCUUGGGAUUACUAAUUUUUACAUAAAACGUUUUCCUGAUAUUAAAAAUGUUUUUUUUUACAUAGACAUUAGAACGGUUAGGUUUUACCCGAUAAGAUAAGGACCUCCUUAUUGAGGAGGACUUUUCUUGAACCAUAGACGGACCAACAACUAGGAAACACAACGAAACCUUAAAUUUUAUCAGACAAUAAAACGAUGCAGCUUACCUUAGGUAGGGCGUAUUUGGGGUGCUAAUACCUUCCCUUUACGCAACCAGUCCCCGUACCCGAUCUCUGAGACCAGUUAGGGUUCCUAGUGACCAAAAUACUAGGUGGCGACUCCCACACCAUUUUUCAUUGCUAAGAGACAACGAAUUCCUUGUCUCCCCACAUUGACCAGAUAUAUAUAUCCUCCAUCCCUUUUAUUUUAUUUUUUGUGGGUGGACGAUCGCCGCGACGUCGCUCACGUGCGACAAGUACCAAUUGUCAUGGAUGCAUUCGUUAAUGAGUCGCACAAAACUAAGCCAUCUGAGGAUGUUGAUCAAGACAAGAUGGCAGCACUAGAGGCCAGGAUUAGGGCCAUUGAGGGAAUAGACUUAUAUGACCCUGUGCGAGCUGUAGAAAUGUGUCUAGUCCCUAAUGUGGUGGUACCAAAGAAAUUUCGAGUUCCGGAAUUUAUCAAAUACACCGGCACUCAAUGCCCUGUUACCCAUCUCAAAUCUUAUUGCAACAAAAUGGCAGAAGUAGUUCACGAUGAAAAACUACUAAUGCAUUUCUUCCAAGACAGCUUGAGUGGAGCGACAUUGAGUUGGUAUAUGAGGUUAAAUAAUACCAGGAUCCAUACAUGGAAGGACCUCGUGGAUGCUUUCAUCAAGCAAUAUAAAUACAACAUGGAUAUUGCUCCUGACAGAACCAGUUUGUCUAACUUGGAGAAAGGAGAUAAAGAAAGCAUAAGAGAGUAUGCUCAAAGAUGGAGAGAUUUGGCAGCACAAGUCCACCCCCCUCUCUUGGAAAAGGAAAUGGUUGCUCUGUUUGCUAACACACUAAAAGCGUCAUACUAUGAACACGUGAUGGGUAGUUCGGCCCAACAAUUCACGGAUUCUAUGGUCGUGGCUGAACGAAUAGAAAAAGGAGUAAAGAGUGGAAGAAUCUCUGCACCUGUGGAGAAAAGAGGUUUUGGAGUGAAGAAGAGAGAGAUCGACCAUGUCGAAAGUAGUUACAGAAGCAAGAAAGGCCCUUUCCAAACAUAUAACCCUCAAUCCUCUUCACCCCAAGUUGCCAACACCAACUUCAACUUUCCAAGUCCAGCCAGAAAACUUGAACCCCAAAGCCACCAAGUAAAAAACCAAGCUGAAAGUUUCCCCAAAAGAAACUACCAAAGAACCUCAGAACAAUUGCCUCCAUUACCGUUACCCCUAAAUGAGAUGUACCAAAAGCUGCUAAGUAUUGGGCAAGUAGUCCCUGUGCCUUUGAUACCCCUCCAACCACCUUACCCCAGCUGGUAUAAGCUGGAUCUCACUUGCGAAUACCAUGCCGGUAUAGCUGGACACAACAUCCAUACUUGCAAUGCCUUCAGGAGAAAACUUCUGCAACUGAUCAAAGCAGGAUGGAUAGCAUUUGAAGAUGCCCCUAAUGUCAAUGCAAACCCUCUACCCAAUCAUGCUUCGGGUAGUGGGUCUGUAAACAUGUUAGAAGAGGGACACUCAAAAAUCUUAAAGGUGUCAAUGAAUAGGAUCUACCAAAUGAUGGUAGAUGCAAGGUAUGAAGAGGGUAGCGAGAAAUGUUGUGAACUUCAUAAUGAAAAAGGCCACGUGAUCAGCCAUUGCGAGGGCUUUCAUAAAAAAGUGAUGCAAAUGAUGAGUCGAGGGAUGCUGCGAAUUGAGAAAGCAACAAAUGAAGAGGUGUUCAUGAUGGAGGCACCAAAGAAAGAGGUGUGUCGAGUGCAUUUCACUACCGGAAAGCCAUCCAGAUUGGUCUUGUCCAAACCAGUAGUGGAACAUAAAGGGAACUAUAGUGCUUUACCUCACGACUAUGGGUACUCUUUCAAAAGCACUCCACAACCGCCUAUCUUUCAAGCAGAAAUUAGGGGUUUAACCCGUAGUGGCAGAUGUUUCACCCCAGAAGAGUUGGAAAAACAAAGAAAAGUUAAGGGAAAAGAAGGGGCUGAUGUAACUGAAGAAAUAAACAAACCUGCCACGGAAGAGGAAACCAACGAAUUCCUAAAGCUGGUGAAACACAAUGAAUAUAGUGUUGUUGAACAGCUCAAGAAAACACCAGCCAGAAUAUCGUUAUUUUCUCUGAUUCUAAGCUCUGAGCCACAUAGAAAGGCUUUACAAAAAGUACUGAAUGAAGCAUAUGUUCCUCAAGACAUCAAUCAAGAAACCAUGGAACAUUUAGUGGGAAGAAUCCAGGCCUCAAAUUAUAUAUACUUCACUGAAGAUGAAUUGAGUCCUGAUGGUACUGGGCACAACAAGCCGUUAUACAUUACGGUGCGUUGCAAGGAAAUUCUAAUCGGAAAGGUGCUCAUUGACAAUGGUUCUGCAUUGAACGUCCUACCAAUGCAUAUGUUGAAAGAAAUGCCUGUCGAUGAGUCACACAUGAAGCCUAGCACCUUGAUGGCGAGAGCAUAUGAUGGUUCACCAAGGCCGAUCAUUGGGACCCUAGAAAUAGAGCUAUAUGUGGGGCCACAAAUGUUCUUGAUAACAUUACAAGUAAUGGACAUUCAUCCAUCUUACAGCAUACUAUUAGGAAGGCCAUGGAUUCAUGCAGCUGGAGCAGUGGCUUCUUCAUUGCACCAAUGCUUGAAGUAUAUCAUGAACGGAAUGCUUAUAACUGUCAAAGCCGAAGAGACAGUUUCCAUGAUAAGAAAUGUGGCCAUACCUUUUAUUGAAGCAGAAGAUUGUAGAGAUGGGAAUAUUCAUGCUUUUGAAAUUGUGAAUGCAGAAUGGGUUCCUGAAGGCACAGUGCUGAGAAAGCCUAAAAUCCCAGAAACGGCGAAGAUGGCUGCCAAAUGCUUUUUAAAGCAUGGGGCUCCUUUUCAAUGUAAUCCUGAGACCAGAAUGCCUAGCCUGAUCAAGCCAAACUGUGCAAAUCAAAGAUUUAGGCUUGGAUAUAAGCCCAAGAAAGACGAUUACAAGCGGGUCACUCAGGUUAAAAGAGAAGCAAGAAUGGCGAGGAUUGAAGGAAGAGAGCCAGAAGAAGAGGGACUUGUCAUCCCACCACUCCGAGUGUCUUUCCCAAAGGCUGCAGAAGUGAUUAGAUCUGGCAUAGUGGAUCUUCACAUCAAUACCUUGGAGAGCCAAGAAGAAAAACGAAUAGAGGAAGCGGAUCUGGAGAUAAAGGAUGAGGUUUUGCCACAACUCUCCAUUCACACCAUUGAUCAACCUCCUGCCAGAUUUUUCGUGCGAAGAUUGGCUGAAGGAGAGGUGUACCAGAACUGGAAGAUGGAGCCUGCUCCUAUUGUGUUUAAAAAGUAAUUGUUCUUGUUUGAUAAUGCUCGGACUUGUUUGCCUUGUUUUGACUUGUGCUGAUCUUGCCGGUAUUUUUAGCUCAUGAUACCGCAAGAAUUUUCUAUGUUAACCAAGCACUUUUGUUUUAAUGAGAUCAUGCAUUUUCUUGUGUCCAAUCGCGUGCUUGCAUUUUUUUAUCUUUUCACAAAUCACUCUUACACGAGCACGCCUUACACUUUCAGGAAUUCUGAAAGUUCCAUCGAUCCACAAAAUCAUUGCACUAAGAAUAAUUGGCCAAACUUUGAUAAUAUGAUUGCAAUGGAUGAUGAAGAAUGGGAAGAGGAAGAUCUAAAAGAGUUUACUAGGCUGGUAGAAAAUUCAGAAAAAGCCUGGGAACCGGCCAGUGAGAAACUAGAAGUCAUUAACGUCGGAGAUGAACAAGAUAAUAAGGAAUUAAAGAUUGGCACUCUUGUCACAACUGAAGAAAGAAAUAGACUAGUCUCUCUAUUACACGAGUAUGUAGAUAUUUUUGCCUGGACUUAUGCCGACAUGCCUGGUCUAGAUACUGACAUAGUUGUACAUAAGAUUCCUUUAAUCGAAGGGAGCAAGCCAAUUAAGCAGAAAACCAGACGAAUGCGCCCGGACAUGUUACUCAAGGUAAAGUCCGAGAUACGAAAACAGUGGGAUGCAGGGUUUCUAGAUGUAGUCCAAUAUCCACAAUGGGUAGCUAAUGUGGUCGUAGUCCCAAAAAAGGAUGGGAAGAUUCGGGUGUGUGUGGACUAUAGAGAUUUGAACAAGGCGAGCCCAAAAGAUGAUUUUCCUUUGCCCCAUAUAGACAUUCUCGUUGAUAAUGCUGCAAGAAAUGCUACAUAUUCUUUUAUGGAUGGAUUCUCUGGUUAUAAUCAAAUUAGAAUGGCUGAAGAAGAUAAAGAGAAGACCACUUUUGUCACACCAUGGGGAACGUUUUGCUAUAAAGUAAUGCCAUUCGGAUUGAAGAAUGCUGGAGCCACAUAUCAAAGAGCAAUGGUUACCCUAUUCCAUGAUUUGAUGCACCAAGAAGUGGAAGUUUAUGUGGAUGACAUACUUGCAAAAUCAAAAAAAGAGGAAGAUCACGUGCAAGUGUUAAGAAGACUAUUUGAAAGGCUUCGAAAAUUCCAGCUAAAGUUGAACCCUGCAAAAUGCUCAUUCGGGGUGAAGACAGGAAAAUUAUUGGGCUUCAUUGUGAGUGGUCGAGGAAUAGAAGUUGAUCCUGAUAAAGCUAAAGCUAUCCAGGAGAUGCCUGCUCCUAGAACAGAAAAGGAAGUACGAAGUUUUCUCGGGCGCCUGAAUUACAUAGCUCGAUUUAUAUCCCAGUUGACGGUGACUUGUGAACCAAUCUUUCGUUUGCUCAGAAAGAAAAAUCCUGGAGUAUGGGAUGACGAUUGUCAAGAAGCCUUCGAUAAAAUAAAGAGGUACUUGCAAAAUCCACCAUUACUAGUACCGCCAACACCGGGGAGGCCUUUGAUCCUGUACUUGACAGUAACAGAAACAGCUAUGGGCUGUGUGUUGGGACAACAUGAUGAGUCAGGAAGGAAAGAGCAAGCUAUCUACUACUUGAGUAAAAAAUUCAAUGAUUGUGAGUCGAGAUAUACAACAAUUGAGAGGUUGUGUUGUGCUUGGGUUUGGAGUGCAAAAAGACUCCGGCAGUAUAUGCUAUACUACACAACCUGGUUGAUUUCAAAAUUAGAUCCGCUCAAGUAUAUUUGUGAAAAGCCUUACCUGUCAAGUAGAAUAGCAAGGUGGCAAGUGUUGUUGGCAGAAUAUGACAUUGUCUUUAUGACAAGAAAAGCUGUAAAAGGAAGCAUAAUUGCCGAUCAUCUUGCAGAUCAUGCCAUGGAGAACUACGAGCCGCUAAACUUUGACCUCCUAGAUGAAGAUGUGAUAGUAGUAGAGAGUGAAAGUGGGGAAAGCGAUCAGUGGACCCUCUACUUUGAUGGGGCAGUAAAUGUAUCGGGGAAUGGAGCCGGAGCUGUGGUGAUUUCCCCAGAAAAUAAGCAGUAUCCCGUUUCAACAAGGUUACUGUUUGAAUGUACCAAUAAUACUGCCGAGUAUGAAGCCUGCAUCAUUGGCUUGGAGGCUGCUCUAGAACUUGAAGCCAAGAAGCUUGAGGUCUUUGGAGAUUCCUUACUAAUCAUCUGCCAAGUCAAAGGUGAGUGGCAAACCAAGGAUGAGAAGUUGAAGUUGUAUCAAAGUUAUCUCUUGAAGUUAGCCGAUGAAUUUGAAGAAAUCAAAUUCACCCAUGUAAGCAGAGAUAAGAAUCAGUUUGCUGAUGCCUUAGCAACCUUAGCUUCGAUGACACAAGUUGAUGCUAAAAGCAGGAUACAACCAAUAAAUAUCGAGGCCAGAAGCUUUCAAGCCCAUUGUUACUUCAUUGAAGAAUCUCCAGAUGGGAAACCAUGGUACAAUGAUAUCAAAGAGUUUCUCCAUAUCGAGAAUAUCCUGAAGGGAUUUCCAAAAUAGAUGAAAAGACUUUGAGAAGAAUGACUGUGGGUUUUUACUUGGAUGGGGAAAUCUUAUAUAAAAGGUCAUUUGAUGGGACUCUGCUCAGAUGUUUGAAUGAAAAUGAGAUUGAACAAGCAUUAAAAGAAGUCCAUGAGGGGAUCUGUGCUACACAUGCUAAUGGGCAUACAAUGGCGAAACAAAUUCAAAGGGCUGGAUACUUAUGGUUGACCAUGGAGAGAGAUUGUGUAGACUACGUGAGAAAAUGCCAUAAGUGUCAAAUAUAUGGCGACAAGAUAAAUGCGCCUCCGGCACCUCUAUUCAAUAUGAUCUCGCCUUGGCCUUUUGAUAUGUGGGGUUUGGAUGUUAUAGGGCCAAUCAACCCCAAAGCAAGCAAUGGGCAUAGAUUCAUUUUGGUGGCCAUCGACUACUUCACCAAAUGGGUAGAAGCCAACUCUUAUGCCCAUGUAACACAGAAAGUAGUCAAGAGAUUUAUUGAAAAGGACUUGGUCUGUCAUUAUGGUCUGCCGGCAAGAUUGGUAACCGACAACGCCCAGAACUUUAAUGGGAAGCUGAUUGACGAAUUGUGCACCAAAUGGAAGAUUAAGCACCUCAACUCUUCCCCUUAUAGACCAAAGAUGAAUGGGGCAGUCGAAGCAGCUAACAAGAAUCUCAAGAAGAUUAUCCAGAAAAUGGUGAUCACCUACAAAGAUUGGCAUGAGAUGCUCCCAUAUGCACUUCAUGCGUACCGUACCACUGUUAGAACUUCGACAAAUGCCACCCCAUACUCUUUAGUAUAUGGAAUGGAGGCGGUUGUGCCCUUGGAAAUAGAAAUCCCAUCACUGCGGAUCCUGAAGGAUGCAGGACUGGACGAAUCAGAAUGGGCAAGGUCAAGAUUUGAGCAGCUAAACUUGAUCGAUGAGAGAAGACUAGCAACUAUUUGCCAUCACCAGUUAUACCAAAGCAGGAUAGCCAAAGCUUACAACAAGAAGGUCAAACCAAGGGUGUUCGAGGAAGGAGAUCUGGUGUUAAGGAAGAUCUCACUAGCGUCAGGAGAAGAUCAAAGUAAGUGGGCACCAAACUACGAAGGGUCAUAUGUGGUGAAAAAGGCCUUUUAUGGAGGGGCUUUAAUUCUGACCAAUAUGGAUGGAAGGGAUCUACCAAGGCCUGUAAACUCAGAUGUUGUAAAGAAGUACUAUGCCUGAUGUACUUACCUAUAUCAAUCAAUAAAAUUGAAGUUUGGCCAAGAUUUCUUUAGUGUGUUCCCCCUAAAAAAUUUAUGCAUGAUCUCAUGUUUCAAUAAAGAUUUUUGGGAAUUCAAAGUGUUAGUACAAAACUAGAGUCAAAUUGAUGUUUGUUCAAACAAAUAAGUUCUGAGAAUUCAAAUGACAUCCUGACACUCGAAAAAACCUGAAAGACAACCCAAGCACCAUGAAGUGACUCUAAAGCUGAGUUUUAUUUGCAUGAAUAAUGAGAAAUCACUCUGCAUACUUGCAUGAACGCAAGGCUUACCGAUCCUAAUUACAUGCAUUUGAGAUGAAGAAAGGCCAUCUUUGAUAACUCUUUCACAAAUUCUAAAAAAAUCCCUUGCAGUCCCCUUUUGAGCCUGGUAGUGUUUUUUGGAAAUAACCUUGACUAGGAUCACACCCUACACUGGGGGCAAGUGCCAAAAAAAAUCCUUAAUGAUUGAAAGUGCCCAAACAAUACUGGGGGGCAUAAAAAGUCUUCAACGAUGAAAGUGCCCAAACAAUACUGGGGGGCAUAAAAGAAAAUUCUCAAUCAUCGAAGGUGCCCAUACAAAGCUGGGGGGCAUAAAAAAAAAUCCAAAAAAAUUUGAGCAAAAAAAAAAAAAAGAAAGAAGCCAAGGCAAUGAUGCUCAAAAUCAAACGAAAAAAACAAAAACAAAGAGAAAGAGCCCAAGCCCAACAUUGGGGGGCACCGUGGACCAUUUUACAAAUCAAUUCCAAGGUCUAGAAAUGUAUGAACAAAAGAGUUUGGGAUAUAAGCACUAGUGAUCCUUAGUCUUAAAGUCCCUUAAACACCUUUUGAGCCUACAAAUAUCAUUUUCUUCAUAGUCAAUGGCCCAAGCCUACAUUACGUGCCUAAUCAAGCCCUUUCUGAUCAAAGGCAAGCAAUUUGGAUCGGUAGGCAGUGCUUUCUCAUGCGAAACAAAUCAUUUAUCAUGCAAAUAGAAAUGAAUGCUUUGAAAAACANNNNNNNNNNNNNNNNNNNNNNNNNNNNNNNNNNNNNNNNNNNNNNNNNNNNNNNNNNNNNNNNNNNNNNNNNNNNNNNNNNNNNNNNNNNNNNNNNNNNNNNNNNNNNNNNNNNNNNNNNNNNNNNNNNNNNNNNNNNNNNNNNNNNNNNNNNNNNNNNNNNNNNNNNNNNNNNNNNNNNNNNNNNNNNNNNNNNNNNNNNNNNNNNNNNNNNNNNNNNNNNNNNNNNNNNNNNNNNNNNNNNNNNNNNNNNNNNNNNNNNNNNNNUUGGCAUGAUCAAGCUAGAGAGCAAUUCACCAAAACACAUAGGGUUGGCUCCAUGAUUCCCCUUCUAAGAAAAUAGGAAAUGUUGGGUUAAGCUGGAAAUCUCUUCAGAUAAAGGUUUGAGGGAUAAGAUGUAUGUUGAUGUCAUAUCCUGCCCGGGGGUCAAGAUCACAAGAUGUGACUCGAGUAAGCAAGAGCGAAAAGAGACAUCAAAGCUUACUAUCAGACACUCCAACUCUUGAGAAAAGAAAGGCACCAUGAAGAAGAGGGGACCUAUAUUUCUCAGGUAAGUAUACAUGCAUAUCGAUCACGAUGCAUCCUCGACGUAUCGGUGUCUUACCAUCACCUCCUUUUUGAGCGGGCAUUGAGCCCCAUCAUUCAGAUAGUAUGCUUUCUAGCCCUAUCUUCUUCCUUUUUAGUGCGCCUUAGAGCCAUCAACCACCUUAGGUAGUGUGUUUUCCAACCCUGCCUCCCUCUUUAGUGCGCCUUAGAGCCAUCAACCACCUUAGGUAGUGUGUUUUCCAACCCUGCCUCUUUUUAAGUGCGCCUUAGGGCCAUUAACCACCUUAGGUAGUGUGUUUUCUAACCCUGCCUCCUCUUUUGAAUGUGCCUUCGAGCCCUCACCUCUUAGGUAGUGCGUUGUCCAACCCUGCCUCUUUUUAAGAGCUCCUUCGAGUCCUAACCUUUUAGGUAGUGUGUCUUUCUAACCCUACCUCCUUUCGAGUGCGCUUUCUAACCCUCAAGAGGAUUCAUCAUUCCUCAACAAGAUGAGCCUACCUCCUUUCGAGUGCGCUUUCUAACCCUCAAGAGGAUUCAUCAUUCCUCAACAAGAUGAGUCAAUCAUAUCUCAUCCUUGUUUUUCUUCUUUACAAUGCUUACUAUCUAAAGUCUCUUACGAGACUUUCUAUCAUAAGCAUUGUAAAGAGGGGGGCAAUUGUCAUAACCCAAUUCUGGGUUAUUCUCCAAAAUUCAUUUUUUUUAAAAUAAAAACAAAAAAACAAAAUAAAAAAUAAAAGCUGGCAAUGUGGAGAAAGCUGAUCAAGAAAAAUAGGCAAAAUAGGCAAAAAUCAAUCUGCAAUUUUCAGAGGAAAUUCAAGGCCUUUCGGCGACCCAUUGUGCCCAAAAUCGAAGAAAAAAAUGCAAAUUCAAGGUCAAAUUAAAUGAUUAUUGGAUAAAUUUGCAUAAAAAUUAAGUCCAAUAACAUAAUUAAAUUUUUAAUAGGCCAAUUUGAUUUAAUCAUGGGUCAAAUUAAAUUUUAGUUAUGUUUAAGAAUUAAUUUAGGUCCAAAUGAAGGAUUUAAUUAAGUGCAAGUACUUAAUUAUACUUUAAAUAGGUCAAAUUAAUUUUGUUUGGGGCUUAAUUGGUGAAAAAUUAAGUUUAGGAGCCUAAUUUGGGCUUAAUGGAGAAGAUUGGAAUUUUAAGAGACCAAAUUUAAUUUUUACCAAGUUAAUUGAUUGAAAUCAGGGGUCAAAUUGCAAGAAAAUUGAAGUUUUGGGGCCAAUUAGGGGUUAAAUUGACAAAAUCCAAAGCCAAGGGCUAAUCUGCAAAAGGCGCCAAACUAUAGGGGUCUAAUUGACAAAAGCCGGGGGUCAAAUUGAAGAAAUUGAAAGCUGGAGGACUCAAUUGAAAAUCAGCAAAAAUCCCUAGCUUUUGAUCCAAAACGGCGCCGUUUUUGGUGUUUAAGAAAAAACAAAGAGGGGGAAGGGACCAGGCGACGCGUCACCUGGUCACUGUUCAUCUUCUUCCCCACAAAACUGCCCGAGUAGCAGCUUUCCAGGCGCAUUUUCUACCUCGUUUGGCCUCCAAAUCCGACAACGCAUGCACCAAAAUGUCCACCUGAAACCCCUUUAUCCUUGAGAAUGGUCCGGUCGGGUAGAAAAACUUUGAAACGGCUUCGUUUAUUGGCCCAAAGUGGCCACCUCGUUCAGUCUGCAGCCUUGGAUUGCCAAAUUUGGCAAUUCGAGGUGCACACUUUGAACCAACGGAUUGGAUUCCUCGAGUCGAAUCAAGGGCUGAGACUUUUUCCCGUUGAAGACAAGAUUACCCUCUUUCCAGCCCUAUAAAUAGGAGCCAAUUUCAUGCUCAGGGGGAGGGGAAAAUUGAGCUCAAAAUUGGCAAAAAAUCAGCUUUUCUUGCCCGGUUUUCCUGCAACCAGCCUUCUCUUUCCUUUUUCUCUCCGCCGUGGCCUCCAGCCGCCACCACUGAUCUCGCCACCAUCCUUCCCACGAAACACCACAUCCCAUCCAUCACCCAACAACUUCACCACAGUCACAGUACCUCUCUUUCUCUCCCUCUCUUCUCUGCAAAAAUCUUAUCCUCUGCCACCGUGACUCCAACAGCGGCGGCGACAGCAGAAGUAGCAACCAUCUUGCCCAAAAGCUCUCUUCCACUCCUACCAGCAGCAGCCGGAGUAGCAGCUCCUUCCUCAGUCACACCAACAGCUCCAGCCGUGAGCUUUCCUUCUCCUCUGCAGGAAUCUGCUCCUUCUUCUUCCAGCCGGGACCAGUGCACGCCGCCGUCCUCGCCGCCUCUAGUCGCACCGCGCACCACCAGCUAGGCCGCCGACUCACUCCACGCCAGGUAAUUCUCUCCUCCCCGCUCCACCCUUUUCUUCUUCGUGUUCUUCGUAGCCGCUGCAUGCAAAAUUCAUUUCUGCAUGCAGUGGAUAAUUAAUUAGCCACCUGCUUGGGCCCGACCCCAAAAAAAAAAUUCAAAAAAAAAUUAAAAAUCAUUUCAAAAAAUUUGUGAUUUUCUUAAAUAUUUUUCUACCAAGUUUGCUUAAUAUUAGGUUGCAUACUUACAUUGUAAGAUAAAAGUCCGGUAUUAAAACAUCCGGUUUCCUCCGAAAUAUUUCAAAAAAAAAAAUUUUCAAAAAAAGAAAAAAAUAUUUUAUUGCAUACGGCCAAGUCCUAAAGAAUUUUCCAAGCAUGUUUUUAUGUUUAAGAAGAAAAAAAUGCAUCUUUCUCACGUUUUAAAAAUCCAAAAAAUGGAUAUCAUAACUAGUUUAUGAUCAUCCGUUAGGGUUUGGCCAAAAUAUCAAAAACCUUUUUCCAACUCUUUUUUUUUUUUUCAGGAUCCAGAUGUAGACUUUAAUAUUUGUGGGGUGUAAAAUUACACGAUAAAGUACACCCUCGGGUAUUAAACAUACAAGGUGUAAAUAAAUGCAAUCCUAAAAUUCAGACUUUAGAACGGUUAGGAUUUAACCCAAUAAGGUAGAGACUCCCUCACGAAGGGAGAUCUGCCUUGAACCUUAGAAAAGACCAACGAAUAGAAACUCGACCUAGAAAAACAAUCAAACAACAAUGCAGCUUACCUUAGGUAGGGUGCACUGGGGGUGAUGCGUCUUCCCCUUGCACAACCAGUCCCUUACUCAGACUCUCGCAGACCAUAGGUUCCUAGUGACCAUAAUACUAGGUGGCGACUCCAACGAACCAAGCAAAACACAAAUAAAAGAAAAAUCGCCAGCAGACGCCGUGCGGAUUUUCCGACGUGCGACAAUCAUCAAUCUCAGCAACUCAAUAAACCUGUCCAAGACUCCAGAUCUUACUGGAAUUCCAAAUCUCGAGAGUCUGAUUCUUGAAGGUUGUACAAGUUUGUCUGAGGUCCAUCCAUCACUUGGAAGUCACAAGAAUCUUCAAUAUGUGAAUCUUGUGAAUUGCAAAAGUAUUAGGAUUCUCCCAAGCAACCUCGAAAUAGAAUCACUCAAAGUUUUCACUCUUGAUGGCUGCUCAAAACUUGAGAAGUUUCCAGAUGUAGUAGGAAACAUGAACUGUUUGAUGGUGCUUCGUUUGGAUGAGACUGGUAUUACAAAACUAUCUUCAUCGAUUCAUCAUUUGAUUGGCUUAGGUCUAUUGAGCAUGAACAGCUGCAAGAACCUUGAAAGCAUUCCAAGUAGCAUAGGUUGUUUGAAAUCCCUUAAAAAACUCGAUCUGUCUGGCUGCUCUGAACUUAAAUAUUUAACAGAGAAUUUAGGGAAAGUUGAAAGUUUGGAGGAGUUUGAUGUAAGUGGAACUUUAAUAAGACAACUGCCAGCAUCCGUUUUUCUUUUAAAGAAUCUUAAAGUAUUAUCUUUGGAUGGAUUCAAAAGACUAGUUGUGCUGCCUUUUUUGUCUGGUCUGUGUUCUUUAGAAGUACUGGGUUUACGCGCUUGCAAUCUAAGAGAAGGGGCACUUCCUGAAGAUAUUGACUGCUUUUCUUCAUUGAGGUCUUUAAAUCUGAGCCAGAAUAACUUUGUUAGCCUGCCUUAAAGCAUAAAUCAGCUUUAUGAAUUGGAAAUGCUUGUCUUGGAGGAUUGCACAAUGCUUGAAUCAUUGCCUAAAGUUCAAACGGUAUAUUUGAUUGGUUGUAUAAGCCUAAAAACAAUUCCAGAUCCGAUAAAGCUAAGCAGUUCUAAAAUCUCAGAAUUCAUAUGUCUUAACUGCUGGGAAUUGUACUAUCAUAAUGGCCAAGAGAGCAUGGGGUUGACGAUGCUUGAAAGAUACCUCAAGGUCUUCUCUUAAUCAUACCCCAACCUUUUUCUAUCUCUCUCCCUCUCCCUCUAUCUAUCUAACACUUUUGUUUUUCAUGGUAAAGGGUUUGUCUAAUCCAAGACCUGGAUUUGGUAUCGCUGUUCCAGGAAAUGAAAUUCCAGGGUGGUUUAACCAUCAAAGUAAGGGAUCUUCAAUUAGUGUGCAAGUGCCUAGUUGGAGCAUGGGGUUUGUUGCGUGUGUUGCAUUCAGUGCAAAUGGUGAAAGUCCUCCUCUUUUUUGUCAUUUCAAAGCCAAUGGAAGAGAGAAUUAUCCUUCGCCGAUGUGUAUUAGUUGUAACUCUAUCCAGGUUCUGUCAGAUCAUAUUUGGCUAUUCUAUCUAUCUUUUGAUCAUCUUAAAGAGCUUAAAGAAUGGAAGCAUGACUCCUUUAGCAACAUUGAGUUGUCAUUUCAUUCUUCCGAGCAACGAGUAAAGGUGAAGAAUUGUGGUGUCUGUUUGUUAUCUUCUCUAUAUUUUACACCACGACCAUCUUCUGCCUUAUUGUUACAAGCAAAGAAGCAGCUUCUUCAUUUAAAGAUUCUUUAGCUUUUUCUUCGUCGUACCAUCAAUGGAAGGCCAACGUUUUCCCUGGCAUCAGAGUCGUAGAUCGGGCCCGGAGAUUCAUUGUCCCAGUCGGGAAGGAACCAGAGAAAGUAAUGGCAAUUAGAUCAAGACUCUUUGAAGCCAUUGAAGAAUCAGGGCUGUCAAUUGUUAUAUUUGCAGGAGAUUGUGCUUCUUUACCUUGGUGCUUUGAAGAACUUGUCAAGAUUGUCGGAUUCAUGGAUGAGAUGACAUCGGACAUUGUGUUUCCAGUUUCUUGUGAUGUCGAACAAUCAAAGAUAGAUGAUCAAAAAGAGAGUUACACAAUUGUCUUUGAUAAUAUUGGAAAAAAUCUUAGGGAAAACAAGGAGAAGGUACAAAGGUGGAUGGAUAUUCUUAGUGAAAUUGAGAUUUCAUCUGGAUCGAAAAGGUAAUAAUUACUUCUUCUUCUUUUUUUUGUGUAGCUCGACUUAUCAACCACUUCAAGUAAAUGAAACUGGAGAUGCUGAAAUAUCGACUUUCAGAACUUAAUGUUAACAAAUCUUUUUUCUUUUUUUUUUUUUUUUUUUUGCAUGGGAAAAACACCGUGCAAGGUUCAGUACACAAUGGGGUUACAAGUUUUUUUUUUUUUUUCAAGGUAGAUUAUGAAUUUAAGAAAAAUUAAUAUUAAACUUAGUUGGGUUUAUGCUCUAGAUUAAACCGACAUAUUUUACUAUGGACAAUAUUUUUUUUUUAGGUUUGUUAUAAAUUCAAAAGGAGAAAAAUAUUGGUCAGGUAUCCAGGUCACGAGUUUAUUUUAAAGGUUGAGUAUAAAUUUAAAAAAAAAAAUUUCAACCCAGUUGAGGUGUGCAUUUUUAAUUUUAGAAAUUUUUUUAGAAGAUGAAUAUAAAUUUAUGAAAAAACAAUAAUUGAACCUCGUUGAAUUCAAGGUUCGGGUCACAUUUAAUUUUUUUUAAGGUUUAAGGAAAAAAAUAUUGAACCUGGUUGAGUUUAUUAACUAAGUUACAGGUUUAACAAGUUAAGUCACAAUAACCGGAAAAUUAUUUUUUUUUCUAAUGUUGCUUUUUUUUCUAAUAUUUUUUUUUCUAUAUCCUUUUUUUAGAUAAUUUUCAAUUUAUGUUUUAAUUAAUAUCACUAAUAUGUGAUUCAUUUUGUUUAUUUAACCUUUUUUAAUAUAAAUUAUUUUUUGAUGGUGUUGUAUGUAUUUGUUUUUAAAUGUUUAAUAUAAAUUUAAGAGAAAACAAUAUAGAGGUUGAGUUCAUGAUCUGGGUCACAUGUUUAUUUUUAUUUUUGUUAAAGGUAACUUGAUUGAGUUCAUGCUCCGAGUUGUGGAUUUAACGAGUUAAGCCACAACAACAAAACAAUGUUUUUUUAUAUUACUUUUUUUUACUGAUAUUUUUUUAUAUAUCUUUUUUAAAAUAUUUUUUAAAUUUAUGUUUCAAUUAAUAUUCCUCAUAUGUGAUUAUUGUUUUAUUUAUUUUUGGAUAGUUAUUGUUUUUUAUGGUAUUGUUCGUAUUUAAUUUUUAAAAAACUUAUUAUGAUUCAUCAAUAAUGUUUUUUAUCUUUUUGUAUAAAAUAACUUUAUUUUAAAAAAUAAAAAAUAUUUAUUUUCAGAUAAUAUAAUAUGUACAACAACCUUAUAUAAUAUUUUUUAUAUUUUUAUUUUAUUUAAUCAAUUUAAUAUGUAUGUUUUUUCUAAAAUCAUUUAAUUGAAUAAAAAGAUUAAUUUCAAUAAAUAAAUUAAAAAAAAUAUAACUGGAUAAAUGUUCUGUUUAUUAACACAUUUGAAUUUUUUUAAUUUUAUUUUUAGUUAUUUUUAAUAUAUUAUUAUUAUUAUUAUUAUUGUUAUUAUUAAUUCCCAUAGUUAUCAAUUUAUUUGAUUAAAUGUAUGUAUGAGCUUUUUAAUUUACAGUUUAAAUUUUUUUAUGUAUAAAAUUGCAUCAGAAAAACAUGCAUGCACAACUUUUUUGUAAGAGAAAAAAAUAUCUAGUAUGUACAAGAGUAUCAUUUUACUUUUUUCACAAACAUCUUGCAACCAAAAAAAUAGUUAGUGGGUGUUGGCCCUAACAAAAUGCGGCCAUUGGAUUGGCUUAAUUUACUAAUCUCAACAAUGUUUGGCCUUUGCUUCUUCUUCUUUUUUUUUUUCUUUAUAUGUUUUUUAAAAAACAUUUAUAUUUAGAUUAACAUCCUUUUUUUUUAUGUUGUUUAGAGAUCCUCUUUGAAAUGAUGAUUGUUUUUUAGUUAUGUAUUUAAUUUUUGAGAAAUGUUUUUUUUAUGUUUUAAUCUUUUGUAUAGAUGAACUUUAUUCUUGAAAAUAAAAAAUUUUAUUUUCAAAUAAUAUUUAUAAUAUAUGCAGUCUUGCAUAUUAUUUUUUUUCAUUUUAUUUUAUUCAAUUAAUUUAAUGUGUAUAUCUAUUUUUAUUAUCGUUUGAUUGAAUAAAAAACUUGUUUUAAUUAAUAAAUUUAGUAAAUACAAUUGCAUAAAUAUCUCGUUUUUUAAAAUUAAAUAUCUUAAUCUAUAUUUGUUUCUCGAUUUUUUCAUUUUUAUUUUUAGUUAUAGUUUAUUGUUGUUGUUUUUUACUUGUUAACACACAUGAUUCUUAAUUUAUUUAAUUAUAUUUAUAUAUAUAUUUUUUAUUUUUACUUAGAAUUUUUUAAAUAUAAAAAUCUAUAAAUUUUUUAUUAAAAAGUUUUUUUUGACACCCAACAAAACAAAACAUGUAAGAUGUAACAUCGAUUCCAUGUACAGUUUGACUAUACCUGAGCAGGAGCAGCUGCUCGAGCAUCUGCAGUGGUGGCAGCAGCAGCUCGAGCAUAAGCUGAUGCUCAAUCAGCGGCAGUGGCAGCGGCAGCAGCUGCAGCUCGAGCAUAAGCUGAUGCUCGAUCAGCAGCAGCUCCAGCAAUGGCGGCAGCAGCAGCUCGAUGAGCUGCUGCUCGAUCACCAGCUGCGACGGCAGCAGCAGGUGCUCCAGCAGCUGCAGCAGCAGUAGGUGCUCCAGCAGCUGCAGCAGCAGCUCCCUGGGUUUGGAUUAGGAAUUUAACUUGCUUUAGCUUGAAGAACUUCGUCAGUUUUUGCUCAUGGUUUUGGUUUGGGGUAAUUAGAUUCACAUUUUACUAUGUAUGGAUUUUCUUCUUAAAUUUAGGAUAAUCUCAUGUUUGCGGAUGGAAGGAUUGUUUCCAUAUUAAAACUUUUACAUGGAAAGCCAUUAUUUUGGAAUCGCUAUUCUGCCUAUUUUUUAAACUCUGGUUUUGGGUGUAAGUGUUAGAUUUAAAUUAAAAACAAUAUAUAUUUCUAAAAGAUAAAACCACUAAUUUCUUAUCAAUAUAAUUUUUUUUCAUCAAUUUCAUUCAGAAUUCUUUGAAAUUAAUUUUUUAUUUAUCUAUAAUUAAUUUUAAGUAUUUUAAUAUUUCAUGUUAUAAUUAAUACUCAUGCAAAAAAAAUAUUUUUCAACAAAAUCUUAACAUAUUAAUUUAAUUUUUGAUUAAAAUUUAAAUACAAUAACUAUGUUUUAAAACUAAUUUCUCCUAACUGUCAAUAAAUCAAUUCAAUUCAAUAGCUUAAGCUAUUAGGUGAGGUCUCAAGAUAUGAUUUAUAUUAUUUCUAACACCCUCUCAAGUGAAAACAUUUUAAACUUGAAUUUAUAUAAGGUCACAUUACCUUGUGUUUAAUUUUUAUAAAAUAAAUAAGGAUGAUAUUGGGAUUUGAACCCGUGAUCGUUUGGUUAUCAAGGCUUUGAUAUAACGACAAAAAACAAGUUUAACUUAAUAACUUAAAUUAUUAAGUAAAAUUUCAAAAUAUAAUUUAUAUUAUUCACGUGUAUUUUACAUUCAAAAUACAUGAAAAUUAAUUUUACAUACGGCUGAGCUGUGCUUACGGAACAGGCACUCUGCACACAAAAUGAUAGUUCUUUAUUUUAAGAAGCCUCUUUAUUAUUAUGUAAUAUUAUUGUGUAAUAGUUAUUUUUUUCAAUAUUUUUUAUUUUAAAAUAUUUUAAAAUAAUAUUUUUUAUUUUUAAAAAAUAAUUUUUGAUAUCAGUAUAUUAAAAUAAUAUAUAUAAAAAACUUAAUUGAAAAUAAAAAAUAAACUUAAUUUAAAAAAAAUAUAUUUUUAAAAUCUAAAAACAAACAAAUAAUCUACCCGACAACCUAUUAGAUCAAAUCACGAGGAAAGGUGGCAUCUUUAACUUGUUACUUUUACGUAAAAAGUGUUUGUUUUUUUCUUCUCAAAAACAGAAAACCACCUUCGAUGUGCAAUGCAACAUUUCAUGCCCCAAGGUAGCUAGCUGCUGUCAAAACCCUGCGAUAUUGGAAAUUAAAGUUUGCUGAUAGUAAUUUUAGGUUAUAUCUUUGGUGAACAUCUUGGAUUCAAUUUGCCAAAUUCUCAGUUAUUCUUGAAUUAACAUAAAUCUUGCAACUCAAGAUAAAUUUUUUUUUUUUACAAAGACUUAUUUUUAUUAAUUUAUAUUUUGUAUUUUAUAUAUUUCCUUCUAUUUUUAGUUAAAUAUAUAUAUUUUUACUAAUUAAUAAACAAUUUUUAUUAUUAAUAGCUUUAUAUUUACAACUAUAUAAACACAUAAAUAUUAAUUUAUAUAAUCACUUACUCCAAAAUUGGACUUGCUUCGUUUGUAACUGGCGAAAUAUCAACCCAUGAAGAUUUUAUGGGAAAACCCUGUUAUUUCUAAGUGAUUGGUUAGCAAUUCACGAUGAAGAGAAAGACCACACCACUUUAUUGAAUGAAAGCUGGUUUAUAUAAUCAAACCAUUACAACAGAAAUCAGAAAAAUAAGCAACCCACGUUUGACUCUCCUACAAACGUGGUUAACAAACAAAGAAUAAAUCAAAUCUAAUCCUUUGAUCCUAUUAGCUAGGAUAUUAUUGACUGACUUAGUCCUAACAAUCCCUCCCUUAAACUGCAUUGCUGUCAGUAAGCAGUUUAUUCGUUUGGUACCUCACAAACACCCAGUAAGCUUCUUAGUUUCUCAAAUGCAUCCAUCUUCAAAGCUUUUGUCAUAAUAUCAGCAAUUUGAUCUUGUGUAUUGCAGUGCUUCAGCUCAAUUAUUCCUUCCUUGCACAGCUCACGUAGAAAAUGAAAUCUAAUAUCUAUAUGUUUGCUUCUGCCAUGCAUAAUCGGAUUCUUUGCUAAUUUAAUUGAAGACAUAUUAUCACAGUGUAUGAUAGUAUGUGUCCCUUGCUUGCAAUCUAUCCUUUCAAGUACUCUUCUCAUCCAUACUGCUUGACACGCACAAUGAGCUGCAGAUAUAAAUUCUGCCUCAGUUGUUGAUAAAGAGACUACCGGUUGUUUCUUGGAGCUCCAAGCAACUGCUCCUUCACUUAGCAUAAAAACAUAUCCCGAAGUACUCCUACGAUCAUCUUGAUCCCCGGCAUAGACACUAUCAGAGUAGGCCAUUAAUCUUUCAUCACUUGCAGCUUCUCUUUUAUAAUGGAUGCCCAAGUUCACAGAUCCCUUCACAUAUCUCAAAAUUAUCUUAAUAGCCUGCAUAUGUAGAGUUGUAGGUCUCUCCAUGUAUCUACUGAUCAGACCAAUCCCAAACAUGAGAUCUGGCCUGGUUACUGAUAAAUACAUGAGAUUUCCAACCAUUUGUUUGUAUUGAGUAACAUCCACUUGCUCGCCAUCUUCAUUUCUCAUCAGCUUCAUACCUGGUAUCAUUGGAUUGCGAACUGAAUUUGCCUUUUCUAGACCAAACCUCUCCAGUACUUCAAGUGCAUAUUUUCUUUGCUUAGAUAAAUUCCUUCAUCAUUCUGCACGACUUCUACUCCAAGGAAGAACUUCAUUUUACCUAAAUCAGUCAUAUCAAACUCUCGUUUCAUUGAAGCUUUGAAAUCAGCAAACAUCCCCUCAUCACUUCCAGUGAACACCAAAUCAUCUACGUAUAUGCAUACUAUCAGAAUUUUCUUGUCUUCUUGAAUUUUAACAAACAGAGUAUGCUCACUUGGACAUCGAGCAAAACCUUCCUUCACAAAAUAUGCUUCAAUCCUGCUAAACCAGGCCCUUGGUGCCUGCUUCAAACCAUAUAAUGCUUUCUUCAACUUGAGGACUUUGUGUUCUUCUCCUUUUUUUUCAUAGCCGAGAGGUUGCUCUACGUAUACAUCUUCGUCUAAUUUCCCAUGAAGAAAUGCACUCUGUACAUCAAGUUGAUACACCUUCCAUUUUCUUUGUGCUGCUAUUGCUAGAAUCAUCCGAAUUGUGUCCCAUCUUGCUACUGGUGCGAAUACCUCAGUGUAGUCGAUUCCAUGUUGCUGUGCAUAUCCCUUUGCUACAAGUCUGGCCUUGUAUUUGUCAACUUCACCUUUUUCAUUAAGCUUUGUCUUGUAUAUCCAUUUCACCCCAAUCUUCCUUGAAUUAUUCGGCAGCACAGUUAGUUCCCAUGUGUCAUUCCUUUCUAUCGCAGCAAUUUCAUUGUCCAUGGCUUCUCUCCAUUGGUGAUUUUUUUCAGCUUCUUCAUAGGUGUGUGGAUCUCCAGCAGUAGUGUAUAACACCAUAUUUUGUGUUUCCUCUUCUUUAGAUAAGCUUGCUCCCAUGACAUAAUCCUCCAUCCAGUGUGGUGCUCUUCGAUUUCUGACACCUGCAGCUUGAAUAUGCUCAUUUUGUUCUUCUGCUUCAAGUUCUUCAACAGCAUCUCCAGUACCUGCUUCAUCUCUAAUUUCAGCAUCUCCAGUACCUGCUUCAUCUCCAAUUUCCCUAAUCUGUUCUUGUGUCUGCUCCUCAUCUUUUUCUAUUCUUCUUCAUGUAUACUGUCAUCAUUAUCUCCCCAGCGUAGCAGUAUACUAGUGUUGUCUUCUGCCCAGUUCCAAGUUGCAUUUUCUUCAAAGAUGACAUCACGACUAAUUAUCAACUUCUUUGUGAGAGGAUUAAACAUUCUGUAACCUUUUGUUUCUUCACUGACUCCCAACAGUACACAUUUUAUGCUCCUUGAAUCCAGCUUUGUUCUUUUUUCAUGUGGUACAUGUACAUGACCAAUGCAACCAAACACUCGAAAAUACCCCACUGAGGGUUUGACUCCACUCCAUGCUUCUUCAUGUGUGACUUCUUUUACUGCUGCAGUAGGACUCCUAUUUAGUGUAUGUAUACACCAAUUUACAGCUUCUGGCCAGAAUUCUCUGGGAAUGUGUUUUUCAGACAAUAUGCUUCUAACUAGAUUCAUUAUUGUCCGAUUCUUCCUCUCAGCAACACCGUUUUGUUGAGGAGUAUAUGCAGCCGUUAAUUGUCUCUUGAUCCCAUUCAUACUGCAGUACUCAUUAAACUCUUUCGAAGUAAAUUCACCACCUCUAUCCGUGCGUAAACAUUCCACCAAGGAACCAGCCUCUUUUUCAACUAGAUUCUUGAAUUUUUUGAACAUAUUAAGAGCAUCUGAUUUUUCUGAAAUGAAAUACACCCAACACUUUCUACUAAAGUCAUCAAUGAAAGUGAUUAGAUACCUCUUGCCACUAUUGGAUUCCGGAUUCACAGGUCCACAGAUGUCUGAGUGGAUGAGUUGUAAUUUGUGUGCUGCUCUCCAGUGACUUUUCUUUGAAAUGUUGUCUCUGUGUUGUUUGCUGCUCAAGCAAUCUGCACAUACUUUGGUAGGAGCUUUAAGUAGUGGCAGCCCAUUAACCAUUUUGUUGUAAUACAGCAUCCUCAAACCUUUGUAGCUGAGAUGAGCAAAUCUGCUAUGCCAUAAUUGUGCUUCACUUUCUUCACUGGUUUGAAAGAAAGCCACUGAUUCUUUUGGAGGUAUUGUUGCAAGCAUUAUGAACAUUCUGUUGACUGUCAUGGCUAUCUCCAUGAUGAGGCCUCUACUUGGAUGAAAUAGCUUGCAUGUAUUAUUUUUAAUCAGUAUUGUUAAUCCUUUCUCCUGUAGUUGCCCUAUGCUGAGUAAAUUGUUUCUCAGCUCCGGAAUGUAAUAAACUUCAUCAAUCCUUUGUAUUGCACCAGCUACUUUCAACUUUACACAUCCCUUGCCCAUUACUGUCAUUCUCGAAUUGUUGCCAAGCUUGACUGAAUGUCUAAAUUUUUCAUCUAAUUCUGUAAACCAUAGUUUAUUCCCACUCAUAUGAUUGCUGCAACCGGAGUCCAAAAACCAUACCUCUUCUCUAGUUGAGUUAUGAAGUUCCACAUGUGACAUCAACAACAUUUCUUCUUCGCAAUCCAAUUCUGCAUAAUUUGCUGUUUUUUCAUAACCAGGACAUUCAUAAGAGAAAUGUCCUAGUUUAUGACAUCGAAAGCAUUCAAUAAUAGCUUUAUUGAAAGAUUGUCUUCCCCAGCUCCUGCCUCUGCCUCUGAAACUUCCUCUGAAUCCUCCACAGUUUCUACUCCUUCCUCCAAAUCGAACAUCUUCUCUUGCUUCAGACAUGACCUUAAGAACUUGCUCUUCCUCUUUGUGCCCCUUCAUCCUUUGCUCAUGUACGAGCAAACUACUUUGAAGUUCAUCAAUAGUCAUUUCAGCAAGGUUAUUUGAUUCUUCGAUUGAGCAUACGACAUAGUCAAAUUUUGUCGUCAUAGAUCUCAAAAUUUUCUCAAUAAUAACAAUCUGCUCCAUUCUUUCACCAUGUGUUUUCAUUUUGUUGACAAUGGUAAGAGUUCUCCCAAAGUACUCAUCAACACUCUCACCAUCCUUCAUUCCGAGUAGCUCAAAUUCUCUCCGCAACGCUUGUAGUUGUGCUCUUUUCACCUUAGUGGACCCUUGAUAUUUCUGACGCAUUGAAUCCCAUAUUCCCUUUGCAGAGUCUCUAUCCAGGAUUGUUUCCAUGAUAGUGCGAUCAAUGGAUUGAAAAAGAUAAUUUUUCACUUUUAAAUCUUUCAAUCUCAGCUCCUCCAUGUGUUUCUGUUGGACCUCCGUGUGUUCUGCUCCAGUUGUGCUUGCAGGAAUUCCACUCUCUAUUAAACUCCAGUAAUCUUUGGAACGUAGCAGAUUUUCCAUUAACAUAGCCCAAUGAUCAUAGUGACCAUCAAAUCUGGGAAUCGCUGGUUGAACAAAGUUUCCCUCUGCCAUGGCUUUGGCUUUGAUUUCACUCCUCUCUACAGAAUAUUUCACUCCUCUCUGUGUUUCAGAUGGUUACCACUCAACUCACUGAUUUCUCACACUCCUCUCUGUUUUUACUCUUCUCUUUCUCGAGAACGUUCACUCCUCUCUCUUGAUCAGACUCUUUUGUUGAAGCUCUGAUACCAAUUGUUAUUUCUAAGUGAUUGGUUAGCAAUUCACGAUGAAGAGAAAGACCACACCACUUUAUUGAAUGAAAGCUGGUUUAUAUAAUCAAACCAUUACAACAGAAAUAAGAAAAACAAGCAACCCACGUUUGACUCUCCUACAAACGUGGUUAACAAACAAAGAAUAAAUCAAAUCUAAUCCUUUGAUCCUAUUAGCUAGGAUAUUAUUGACUGACUUAGUCCUAACAAACCCAGUUUUGUUUUUUUGAGAAAUAGUGGUAGUACCAAUGGGAAUCGGUGUGGUGGAUUUUGUUCAAGAGGGUAUGUGAGUGUAGCUGAGGCAUUGUCAUCAACAGAUGUUGAAGAUAAUGUGUCUGGUGCCGAUGAAGUGCAAGAAUUGCAGCCAGAAAUGAGGAAAGAAGAGGAGCACUUUAGCCGGAGGAGGCUACGUGCUAACCCUGGAAUAGGAUCAAGGAAGCAUAGGGUCUUAAGGAGAAGGCAAGUGAAGAUUGAGGCGGAAGCAUGGGAACUGGCAACGAAAGAAUAUAAGGAGCUUUUGAAGGAUAUGUGUGAGCAUAAGUUGGCUCCUAAUUUGCCAUAUAUGAAGAGUUUGUUCCUUGGUUGGUUUGAGCCUUUUAGAGAUGCAAUUGCAAAAGAGCAGGAGUUGAUUAGAACGGGGAAGAGUAGGCAGGGUUAUGCUCUGUAUUUUGAUCUGUUGCCAGCUGACAAGAUGUCUGUUAUUGCAAUGCAUCAACUCGCAGCAAUGGUAAUGACAGGUGGGCAACAUGGAUGUGCAAGAGUUGUGACUGCUGCUUGUAUGAUUGGUGAUGCAAUUGAGCAGGAGGUAAGUAAUUUUUAAUGUUUUAUUUGCUUAUUUUUACUUGCAGUUUGAUUUGUAGACAGAGGAUAAUGAGUGCCCAUAUAAAAAUAUUGAAAGAUAAGGGAAAACAUAAAGUUUCUUAAAUUUACUUUUAGACAACCUUCAUCUGAGGUGAUGAACUAGGAAGAAAGAUGAAAGUUACUAUGUACAAUUAUGAGAUAAAAAUCAGCUAUGGAGCUAGUAGUGCCUGGAAAAUUAGAUUUUGAAGUUACGUUCCAUAAAGUUUUGUCGAAUGUUGAAUGGGGUUUUUCUGGAUUUCUUUUUUAUAUAUCUAUAGUUUUUACUUUCAGUCCAAGUUUUUCUGCUGUUCAUGGUUCCAGGGAGGACACUAAAUGUAGGUACGAAAAACAAUGUAGUGUAAGAUCGUUUAGAUACUACGUUUUUACAAUUUUUUCAUUAUGUGUUAAACUUUUCAUAUCACGGGCCUUAUUAGGCUGAAUAUUCUAUUACGCCUUUCUUUUUUGCGCUACAAUUUCUUCAAAGCAUGGGCAUGGUGGACUCAUAAGAGUGACAUUCAACUUUCCUUUGUCAGAGCUCAUCUCAUGUUUCGACAUUGUUUCACUAUGGAUUUAUACUUUUGCAUUUCCCUGUUGGGGACAGCAAUUAUCUUUAUCAUUUCAAUUAUGUGUGUUCUUGUUUGUGCCUUUCUUUUGUAAGUUGUUUAAGUUUUUCUCUUAGUUUAGACUUUAAAGGCACGCGUGACACUUUGCUCUACUGUCUCUUCUGAUUAUGGGAGUUGCUUCCUCUUUUCUUUUCCUUUUUUUUUAAAAAAAAAAACUAUACAAUGAAGAGAUAUUUAGAUGUACCAUUCUUAAUCCAUUUUUUGGACCUCCUACCUCUUCAGUCUUGUUCUCUUUCUUUGAACCGAGGACUGAAUCUGUAACAGUUUCUGUGAUGAAACAGAUUAGAAUACACAAUAUCUUGGAGAAAACAAGGAAGAGAAAGGAAAAGGCUAAUGAGAGCAAGAAUGGUGUAGAAGGUGAAUCCCCUGCUGUCAAGAAAAAAGGUUACUGAUUUGAUUAAAAAACAAAAGCUGCCAGCUGUGAGGAAGAUUGUGAAGGGGAAGGAUGAUUCAAAACCAUGGAAUGCAGAUGCUAGGGCUAAGGUUUGUGUGCUUGUAAUCAUUGAUAAAGGCUAAUUUUCUUGAACAAAUGUAUCGUGUACGAAUUUGAUUUCUGUCCUUGCACUUUGCAGGUUGGAAGCCGUCUAAUUGAAUUGCUGUUACAAACAGCUUAUAUACAGCCUCCCUGUGAUCAGUUAGCUGAUACUUCAUCUGAACCUCGACCUGCAUUUGUACAUACAUUCAGAACUGUGUCAUAUGAAAAUAAGUAUGGAGUUAUUCUUUAAUUGACUCGAUGAGCUUAAUUUAUCUUUUCUUCCUUGUAAGUGCUCCUAACUGAUGCACAAUGGCCUUUUCUUAAACAGGAAGGGUGCGAAAAAAUACGGUGUUAUUCAAUGUGACCCACUAGUCCUCAAAGGCCUAGAGAAAACUGUGAGUAACCCUGUCAUAUUUUGUUCUUCUAGUGAUAUCUAGUUUUCAUAUUUUAUCAUCCUUUAUGACAUGAACUUGUGUCGGGGUGCCAUAUACUUUCAAAGCAGAUAGGUUAGUUUCUAGAUUUUAGAGCUGAAACAGAUAAGAUUUGUAGCCAAUUUCCAUGGUGCCUCUUAAGUUGCAGAUGUUUGUCUUUCAUUCUUUUUUCUUGCACAAGAAGUCAUAAAAAUGUUGUUUCUCCAAACAGGCUAGGCACAUGGUGAUUCCUUAUAUGCCAAUGUUGGUGCCACCACUUAGAUGGAGAGGGUAUGUUAACUUGUUUUAUAUUUACAGUUUUUCCACGAUUGUCUUGUUUUAAUUUAAUAUUUUUUAGUUGGAUAUAUUCCAAGUUCAGAAAUAUUAACAUAGUGUUUUGGUUACUUCUGCUUGAUGCCUGGAGCUGUUUUCAAUUUUCAUGUCAAGUUAAAUGCUUAAAAUGGUAUAAUAGAUGAAGGGAUGAAUCUCUGAUUAUAAAGACUGGAAUUCCAAUCCCAAUUUCAGUGAAUUGAAAUUUACAUUUCGGCAUGUUUCAAGGCUCUGCCUCUCCAUUUCUGUAACCUCCAUUGGAAGGGAAACUAAUUGUCUUGCGGUGAAGUGCAUCUUGGCUUCAAAGCAGCUUUUCCCCCAAUCAGUCUUGGUGAUGUGCAUCUUUCCUACAUUCAUUCAGAAGCAGUUGCACGAUGACGUCUGUCAGGAGUCAUGGCUAUGUUUCAGAGGAUAAACCAAGAUGAUAAUAUGAAAAUGUCCUUCAUGUAAUCUUAACUCUCAAUUGAUGCCGGGGUCUACUGGAUCAUGGACAGUCUUUGAAUAACAUUAUCCCCAGUAUGAUCUGAAUGUGCUCCUUCAUUGAUUAUCUUUCUUUGAACACUCAUGUUCUCAGUUUACCGAUUCAUUAUUUAAUCAUCUUUAUUUGCUCCCGGUUGAUCUGAAUACUGUUUGUUUUUCCUUUUCAGAAUCCACUAUAUUGCCCCCAAUGCCCUUUGCAGUUAUGAUAAAGGACCUGGCAUUUAAGUAGCUUUUUGGUGUGUUCUAAGCUCAUCUUAGAUAAUUGUGUCAUAGCUUGUGAUAUUUACCUCUCUCUUACUCGUGUCGAGCAUAACCUCAAUGCCCUUUGCAGUUAUGAUAAAGGAGCUCACUUGUUCUUACCAUCCUAUGUCAUGAGGAUACAUGGUGCUAAACAGCAACGUGAAGCAGUUAAGAGGGCACCUAGGAAGCAGCUACAACCAGUUUUUGAGGUCUGUACAUAUUAGAUGCAUUGCAUGGUUACUGAUGCGUAUUUUAUUGUUUGAACUAAAUCAUCUUUUGGUACUAACAUGUGAUGUUCUUUGAACACAAUCUUAUACUGAUUAUUGUGUAUACCUUCACAUGCUAUCACAUGUGUAGAUUUUACCAGCUUAGCUUCUGGUUUAACAAGGAUUCUCUUUUGUUUGAAUUAAUUUUCCAGGCCCUGGAUACACUAGGGAAUACCAAAUAGAGGGUAAAUAAGAGGAUACUUGGUGAUAGAAUAUGGAGUAAUGGAGGCUGUCUUGCUGAUUUGGUAGACCACAGUGAUGUGAGUAUCUUUUCUAACUUUCCUCAAUGUAACUCUUUUACCUUUGUGUUCCAAGAAUUGAUCAUGAUGACUAUAGCAAUUAAAAAACCUUUCUCGUUUAAUUUCUUCAUUCAGGUUCCUUUACAUGAGAGGCCAGAAACAGAGUUUUUCAAUUUUCCUUCUUUUGAAAAUGAUUUGUAAAUAAGCUGAAUGUUUUUCUCUUCCCCUAUAUUUAGCUGCUUCUCCCACUACAUACCCUCCCCCUAUGUCAUGUUCUUUUUGUGGUUGGAUUGCUCCAAGUUCACUCAUUAUUUUUAAAUUCAAUAAAAAAAGACAGAAAAUAUAUCACAAUAUAAUUUAUGUUUUGAAUUCUAUAAUUUUCUUUUAUCUUUUUAGUUAAAUAUAUUUUUAUCUUUUUUAUAUUCAAAAUACUAAACAAACACAACAUGCAUGUAAAUAUGAAUACACAAUAUCCAUACCCUAACAAAAAUAUUAAUUUAGUAAUAGUUUUUUUUUAUAAGCCUAACAAAUUGUCGCUUUGGUAGGCAUGCUUUGAAAUAGAAUAUGAAUUUGGGAAGGUAUUUUUUUUUAAUUAAUUGAUAAACUUCUAUAUUUUUCUCUUAGAUGCGCCAACAAUUUUUAUUAUUUAUAUUUACAACUAUAUUAACACAUAAAUACAUAUACAUCAAUAUAUAUAAUCAAUAUCAAUAUUUACACCAAAAUUGAACUUGCUUAGUUUAUAAAUAGCAAUGCGCCAAGCCCAAACGUAUUGAGUCUGGUGUUAGCCAAAUCUAGACGCGGUGGUUCUAGCAUUAGCUAGACCCAAAAAAUGAUUAGGUCUAGCCACUGUCAGACCCAAAUCUUGAUAGGUCUAGCGCUAGUUAGACCUAGCCAUGAUUAAGCUUGGUAGUGUGUCAAGCCGACGCGUGUUGGACAUCCAUCAAGUCUUUUCAAGCAAUAGAAGUUCAGAAAAACAAAAGAGAUGAGAGUUAAAAAAAAAAAAACAUGUGAGAAAGCAUGCGAUAAAAACAAAAAAAUACUAUUAGAAUUCACAGUAAAAUAAAAAAAAUACUAGUCAGUUUUUCUAUUGAUGUAGAAUAGGAAAGAAGACGAGGGAGAGAAUAGAUGACGGAGGAAAAUUGUGUUGAAGAAUGUGGGGAGGAGAGCAGUAGGAGUUGAUAUUCAGAUUUUAAAUGUCGAUUGUCAAAAGCCUUUCUAAAACAUAAUAUAUAUGCGUUCUCUUCUUAUGAGGUUUGAUAAUUGGUAAGAGUGUCCUAUAAAAUAAUUCCUAAUAAAUGCUAAAAAGUCAUAAUAAAACUCUUAAUUAAUACUAAAAAUCUUGUUAGUGUAAAUGAAGGAAAAUAGAUUUGGGUAAUAUUAUUUAUAUAUUAAUAAAGUAAUAUAAGAAAAAAAGAUAAAAAGUUAUAUCCUGACAAUAACCGUUAUAAUUAUUCACCACUCUUCAGCCUUGUAAUUAUGUCUGUUAUACAGUAUUAAUAGACAAGUAAGAAAAAAGAAUAUUGAAAAGAAAAGAAUGUAGAACAAAAUAGACUCUCAAAGAAAAUUCUCGGCCAAUGAUCCCAUUAAAAUUGUUUCUGCAAAUAAGGUAUACUUAGAUAGUACAAGAAAAUGAUGAUUAUUUAUUAUUUAAUGUGAUUGUGCUUAACUAGUAAUACUGAUCAAAAGAGUAUAAUUUGAAUGAAAAAGAACUCAAGGGAUGCACAAAUGUGCAGGAUUGUUAUCCGCUUUACAACCUUACAUGUUUCAGUAUAAUAAGCGUUAGGGAUAUUCAAGGAAACUGAAAAAUUGAUUAAACCAAAAACAAAGCAAUCCAAAAAAUCAAAUUAAGAAGAAAAACUCAAUAAACUAAUUAGAAAAUAAAAAUACUUUCCAUCCAGUUUAGUUUCAAUUUUAAAAUUUUAAAACCAAUUGAAUCAGAUCAAGUCGUAGACUAGUCAUUAUUAUUAUAUUCCCAUUAUUAUUUCCUAUUUUAUAGAUUUUUCUACAUUGAAGCUUUUGAAAAGAAAUAUUAACAUUGAUCAUUCAUGCAUGCACUUUUGACCAAAUUUUUCUCUUGCUUUUUUAUGUUGUUCCACUGAGAUGACUUUUUUUUUUGUUUUUUUUUGUGAAUUGAAAUUAUAUUAGAUGUUUGUAAUUGUUUCAUCUCAUUUAUAUUUAUUUUUUUAUUUUUGAAAAGUAAACUUCCUUUAAUUAAAUUUUUCUUUUUUUUGCUAUUUUUUUUUGUAGGGUUUACUCUUUUUUCUUCUUUGAUUAUUCUUAUUGUAAUAUCAAAUUAUCCCUUUGUUUUUUGCAGGUCUUAUCAAGCUGUUUGGUUUUUUUAUUUUGAAUAAAUCGAACUGAACUGAUUUAAUUUAAAUUGAUUUUUAAUUCAUUCCGGAUCGGAUAAUAAACACCCCUAAUAACCAUCAAAUCAUUUUCUCACGAAAUGGAACCGGAGAAUAAACAAUUAAACACCCCUAAUAAUCAUCUUGGCUUCCAGCUAUCUCCAAAUUGCAAUCACAUCAGGCACAUGUCGUUGCAUUCGCAUUCACCCCCUGACUAUGAACAGGAACCCCAAUUAAGUGAAAUGGUCCACAGCGUUUUCGGUCAACCAAGUCGGCUACCACUUGCAGCACAAUUAAUCAAAAAACGAUGUGAAUUAUGAUUUGAUGUCGAACCAGGUGGACUAUCAGCUGCAGCCACAAUUAUUUGAUGCAUAGCAAAAUAAUUAUUCAGAAUCACAGUACCUUGGCAGUCCUUUCCAGCCAACUUGAUGUGUUGUGUGGUAAUCCGAUGAAAAUCAAGAUCCCAAAGAGGGUGAUGCCGCUGAUGUAGUAGUUGCAGUGCCGAGGACUUUUAUGUAUAUAUAAUUAUGUAUACUGUGUUUUUUAUUUUUAUUUUACUCGGUCUCAUAAUUAAAUUUUUGUUGCAUAAUUUUUAAUUAAUAAACAUGUAAUUAUAAAUGAAGGAAAGAAAAAAUUGGAUGGACUUGUUUGUUUCAAUUUUAUUUUUUUGGUUUUAUCUUUUUUAUUUGUUUUUUAAAGCCUUUUUUAAGUCUUAAUCAAUUCUUUAUUUUUUAUUAUUUUUUGAGGUAUAAAAGUAUUUUCCAAAGAAUAUUUUAAAGUUAUUGGGCAAAUAACAUUGUUAGCCACGGAGAGAUCAAUGGUAUAAUGAUUGGACUCAAAAACUUUCAAAGACAAAAUCAAUAGUAUACUAUACGAUCCCUCAAACUCAUUAACCCCUCACAACUACCUCAAAAUUGCAAUCACAUCAGGCACAUGGCGUUGCAUUCGCAUUCAUCCCCUGACUAUGAAAUGGAUUUCCUGGAAAUUGAUCUCCUUGGUCUGCAGGAACCCUAAUUAAAUGAAAUGGAUUUCCUGGAAAUUGAUCUCCUUGGUCCACAGCCUAUUUUCUCCGAGACCGUCCAACCUGUUGAAAACUUGCAGUUUGGUGGUGGGUGUUUAGUAACAAAUCAAAGUGGGGUCCAUUAAAAAAAUUAAGUUUGAAAGAUAAUUUUUUUUAACAGUUUUUACAUGUUUUUUAACCGAGUUUCGUAAAAAUUUCUAAAACCUGUUUGUUUUUUCAUUUCAAAAACGCUUUUGAAAAAAGUUUAUUUUUAUUUUUAUUUUUUUCUUUGCUUCAAAUUAAUAUUUUUUUGUGUUUUCAAAUCAUUUUGAUGCGCUGAUAUUAAAAAUAAUUUUUAAAAAUUAAAAAACAUUAUUUCAAUUAAUUUUCAAGUAAAAAACACUUUGAAAAACAACCGCAACCACACUCUCAAACAAAACUACCAAACAUUUUAUAGAUGUUUUUUACUAUACAUAAACUUCAACUAUAAUUUUUACUAAAAUAUAUCUAAAUCCAACUAAACAUAACUAACCAUAUUUUUUUAAAUCUUAUUUUUUUCAAAUCAUGAUUAUAAAAGCUGUCUAAAAAAUAAACACGCUCUCAAGUCAGUUGGACCAGUUGUAUGAUGAGACCAUGUUUCUGUGCGACAAUAUGGCUUUUUAUUUUUUUAUGUGAAUAAAAAGAACAAAACCCUCAAAUAUCAAAUCUUUAUAUGUUUGAAUAUCUAAAAAGAUGAAAAAGCAAAAAUUUUCAAACUUUUUUCCUCUAUUUUUUUAAAAAAGGGGAAAAAAAGCAAUAUAGGUCAUGGAUUUCUUUUUUUACAUGGAGAGUAGUUAGAUCUCAUUAAAGCAAAUAAUUCAUCAAUCAUAAUCAAUACUCAAAACAAAGCAUGCAAGUACACCAUGAAUACUGUUGAUGGUAAAAAAUUAAAAAUGAUGUGUAAAUUGAGAUGGAGAGCUAAAUAUAUAAAAAUACAAAAAAAAACGAAUGCUAAAGUCAAAUUAUGAACAUCUAAAAGGCAUCUUGUGUGCGACUAUUUUCAUGUCACUAUGCACGACAGAAAAAAGAGAGGAUGCUAUAUUCAUACAUCAAUCAAAGAAUGUGUGGAUCCAAGGAGAACAAUGAACAUCCAGAAGGAGUCUGAAAGUGAUGAAUUAAGAUUUUAUUUGUAUAUUUUUAUAAAAAUUCAAGAAAGAUUUAUAAGUUUAAAUUUCCAGAAAUAUAAGCAUGCACCAAUGAAAAUAUGUUAGGUCUGACGCUAGUCAAAUCUAGACACAUUAGGCUUGGUAGUGUACCAAGUCCCGGACAUGCUAAGUCUAGUAGUUUGAAAUGACUUUUUUUUUUGGACACGCUCAAGAUAAUGAUCAUCCUUUCUUGAGUCUAAUCUAUGAAAAUAGCUCAUUCUCUAUGAGCAUUAGCUAUAAAAGUCAUUCAAAGACCUAUUAUAUUUCAUUAAAUAUUAAUAUAGAUGUAAGAAAUAUUUAUCUAUCAUUAAAUGUUAGAUAGAUCUCUUCAUAAAAAAACAAGAUUUAUAGGUUAUAAAUACACAAUGAAACUUUUAGAAUAGAAGUUCAUAAUCUUUAUUUUUUACUGCAUAUAUAAUUUCAAAGCAUCUCUCUAAAAUAUUAUUAUAUUUUAAAAAAAAAAGAUAUUUAUUUAAGUAUGGAUUUCAUUAUAAAUCAAAGGUAUUAAUAUGAUUUUUAUUAUGGAAAGAAAAAAGCAAAAAACUAUUUGCUAUUAUUUUUAAUUUUAACAAUUCUAAUUAAUAGAAUAGCUAUUUGAAUAGCUAAAAUACAUUUCUUCUACUAAAAUACUAUUUUUACAUACAAAAGCCAACGUCUCUUUAUCUAUGGUUAGCUUUUGUUUUUCUCUUUAAAGACACAACAAGAAGAAGAAAAGAAGCUUGCAAACCUAAAAAUUUUAACAUUAUUAUAUAAAACUGAAAACUGAAAAUAUUAAUAUAAAUAAAUUUUGAUUUUGAAAGUGUAAAAUUUAAACCUUAAAUUAUAUCUUUGAAUUUUCAUAUUACUUCAUUAAUUUUAUAAAUUUCUCAUAUUAAUUAUAUAAAAAAUAACAUGAUUAUAUUAUAUAAAAAAUAAUUAAACUAGUUAUAUAAUUAUAUUAAAAUUAGUUUAAUAUAAAAUAUAUUAAAAUAUAAUUAGCUUUUUCUAAAUGGUUUUUUACCAUUGGAAUGCACAUAAAUAAAUAAAAUUAUAUUUAUAUUAUUUAAAAAACUAUUUUAUCAAUUUAAUUUCAACUUUUAAAAAUAGCAUGUUUUAUAGGAGUUGCUCGUGUGCAGAAUUAUACAAGGGAGAGAGGAAGGAAACAAUGGGAAAGAGACAAAAGAAGUCCAAACAUAAUAUAACCCCUGCUCUUGACAGGAAGGUGCCUCUGCUGCCCAGUGCGCGUUCGAUAUCCCUAUAAUUUCUGGUUUGGGAAAGUGGUUUUAGACCCGUUUGGAAAUUUGAUUUUUUUUAUAAUUAUUUUAUAUAUAUAUUUUUAAUUUGUUUUGAUGUAUGUAUAUUAAAAUUAUUUAAAAAAUAAUAAUAAAUAAAAUUAUUUUUAUAUAUUUCUAAAAAAAAUUACUUUUAAAAAAUAAUUACUACUAUAUUUUUAAGCAUCAUGGUAUAAGAUUUGAGAUGAGAUAUUAGUAAUGGUAGAAGAAUUGGUGUUUGAGAUUGGGAAAAAUCAAAGUUGGACUGUUUGUCAUAAAAAUAUUAAAGUUGGAGAUUCUAAACUCAAUUUAAUAUGAAUUUUUUUACUUUGUUUUUCGUUAAUUAGUUCCAGUUAAUAGGUUGGUGGCUAAGUUUAUUUUUUAAAAAAAUCAAUGGGAAUUUAUAAUAUUUAAUAUAAGAGUUUCAUAGUUAAUAGUUUGAAAAUUCAUUAAAAAAUACUUUUCAAUUGUGAUGUGUGGGGCCAAUCCCUGCUCUUGACAGGAGGUGCCUCUGCUGCCCAAUGCGCGUUCGAUAUCCCUUUCAUUUCUCUUUUCACUUUUUUCUCCACCGAAACUCCAUCUUCUUUACAGUGUAAGAAAAGGAUCCGUAAGGAAACUUACCAGUACGAGUGAGUUCUUGACCUAAAGGAACCGGAAACAAUUCGAAGUCAUUGGAAUAAAAAGAAAAGGAAAGGGCUUUCGAAGUUGGUUACUAAGAUACCAGAAGAAUAAACAUUAUUAUUAUUAUUAUUAUUAGAAUUAAUAAAGAAAUAAAAGACCAUGAUGUUUUACUAUAGAUAGAUCGAAGCCUAGAUCAUAUAUUUUUUUUCAAAACAUUGAUUUCAAUUUAAGACCGAUUAAAUUGGAUUGUACUAGAUUUUGAAGUUAGAAGUAGGUCUCCGGAAGAUAUUAGGACGAGUUUGAGGAUUUGUUUUUACUGGAAAUGAAGAAAAAAGGUGUUAGGAUGCACAUGGAUAAUAUUGGUGGCCCUUGAUUUCCUGACUAUCGAAGCAUCCUCGAGAAAACAUAUAUAGCACCACAUGUUCUUCCAAUAAAUAACGUGUUUUUUUUUUUUUUAGAUUAAUGUGAAUAAUUGGAUCAGCUUACGUGUACCUCGACUAAUCCUAUAGGCCAUGAAGUUAACGACCAUGUAAGCCUCCAGUGGCCAUCAUAUGAGCAACCACAAGGCUCGAACCUGAGACCACAGAAAAAGUAAAUCCCUUAGUCCCAAGUUCUUACCACUGGACCACCACCUAGAUAGUUCUAAAUAUUCUUUGUUACUUCUUGUUGUGGAUAUCGGAUUAAAAGUUAUUUUUCAAUAGAAAAAAAAAAGAUGUGAGCACUGUCAACUUUUUUUAAGUUGAAGAAAUUUUUUAUUUUGCAAAAAAAAUGCAUGUUUUUAAUCAAAGCAAUCAGAAUUAUAUACAAUAAAAAAAUGUUAAAAUGCAAAUCAAAGAAUAAAUCUAGAAACUAGGUGAUAAAUACGGUUCAAAAUAUAUGAUUUCAUGUAGCCAAAAAAAUAUUAACAAUUUAAGUUCUAUCAACAUAAAAUAAUUCCUUAGUCCUUUUUUUAUUAUUUAUUGUCAAUAAAAAAUAUGUUUGUGUUUGAUAUUAUGUUUUUAUCUUGCGUUUGAAUACAUUUUAAAAAUAUGUUUGUCUUGUAAAAAUAUCAAAUUAAUAUUUUUUAAGUAUUUUUUAAUGUGUUUAUAUAAAAAAAUUUUAAAAAAAUUUAUACCGCAAUAUUAAACGCACACUAAAUAUCUAAUAGACUCCAAAGGUUCGAAAUAACCAUAAAAAAACAUAUUCAUAAUUAAAUCCUCUUUAUACUAUUAUUGUGAUUUUUUAAAUUUUAUUUAUUUAUUUAUUUAUCAGAAUAUUUAUUUUUUGAAGAAAAAAAAUUACGAGAGUCAUAAAAAAAUUAAUUAAAAAAAUAAUUAAUGGUUUUAUAAUUAUGCCAUGAAUGUAUAUUUUUUAUGUAAUCAUGCAGUAAUAAAAAAGUUGUGCGGAAAGCCAAAAAUCAAAAUUUAUUAUAGAGCCAACGGAAAUAAAGGUCGCGAAGAGGGUGAUGCCGCUGAUGGUUGGUUCUCUUCCUCCUUGUGAGCUUUUGUGGACACGUUCGGCCUCGGACAUUAAAGUUGAGGCAGGUAAUUGAUGGUACUGCAAUUGUGAGGAACGUGCGGUAGAAGAAAUAUUGGAUUAUCUCUUGGAGUCUUCGUCUAUGGUAUGUUAACUAUGGGUAGAAAGUGUCGGGAGAUGAGUGGCUGGGAUUCAUUAAUGAAUAGCGGCGUUACGAAUUUUCAUUAUUGGACGGAAAACCAUUUUUAUGAGUUUGCAUUUCAGGGUGUAGGCUGACGAAAAGCAUGGUUGAAUAGUAGCUAUGGGGUGGCAGCCCGCAUGACAGUAACUAUUUGAAUAUCUAAAAUACAUUUUCUUCUACUAAAAUAUUAAUUUUACAUAUUUACAUAUAAAAGCCAAAAACAAGGAGAAAAUAUAUACAGAACAAGCCUUUAGCCAACUUCUCUUUUAUCUGUGGUUGGCUUUUGUUUCUCUCCUUAAAAACAGAACAAGAAGAAAAAAAAGCUUGCAAACCUCAAAACCUAAAAUUUUUAACAUUAUUAUACAAAAUUGAAAAUUAAAAAUAUUAAUAUAAAUAAUUUUGAUUUUAAAAGUUUAAAGUUUAAAAUUUAAACUUUAAAUUAUAUCUUUAAACUUUCAUAUUACUUCAUUAAUUUUAUAAAUUACUUAUAUUAAUUGUAUAAUUAAUAACAUGAUUAUAUUAUAUAAAAAAUAAUUAAACUAGUUAUAUAAUUAUAUUAAAAUAUAAUUAGCAAUUUUAAAUAGCUUUUUACUAUUGAAAUUGCACAUAAAAAAAGCUAUAUUUACAUCCAUUUUUUCAAUUUAAUUUUUAACUUUUAAAAAUAGCAUGUCUUAUUGAAGUUGCCCUUAUGCAGAAUUACAAGGGAGAGGAAGACAAAAGAAGUCCAAAAAUAUUUAAUUUUUAAACAUAGAUGCUUGACUUGAGAAUUCAUUACAAAACAUGAAUCAACUCAAUUGUGAUGUGUGUGGCCCAACCCCUGCUCUACUGCCCAAUGCGCGUUCGAUAUCCCUUUCAUUUCUUUCUCUACUUUUUCUCCACCGGAAGUCCAUCUUCUUUACAGUGUAAGAUCCGUAAGAAAAUCAUUGGAAACUUACCAAUACGAGUUCUUGACCUAAAGGAACCGGAAAAAAAUCGAAGUCAUUGGAAUAAAAAGAAAGUAGUGAGGGCUUUGGAAGUAUGUUACUAAGAUACCAGAAGAAGAAAAAAUAUUGAGCCUGGCUGGAUCUUGUGCCUCUUUAGCCAACACUGACCACACUGUUUGUUUCGUCUAGAUUCGUGUAAUACUUGUAGAAAUUUGGUGUUUUCUGAUUUAUAAGUAGAAUUGUACAUGUUCCAGCUUGAAAUUGCUAUUUGGUAGAUUUAAUUGCCAUAUUUCUUGAUCUUACCUUCUGUUUCGUGUUUGAUCACAAGAGCAGGCCUUACACAAAAUAGCGUGGAAAGCAAUUUCUGAACCAAGCUAGCUAGUUGAGCCUAGAAGGAUCGGUACUAAUUUAUCGCUAUAGGGAUUUUCAUGGCUUCCACCAGCGUGCAAGGAAUAACCUCAUCUUCAUCUUCUCCUCCUCCACUAUAUAUGCAUGAUGUGUUCCUUAGUUUUAGAGGCAAAGAAACCCGGAACAACUUUAGUAGUCAUCUAUAUUCUAAUUUGAAACAGAGAGGCAUCGAUGUAUACAUGGAUGAUAGGGAGCUCGAGAGAGGAAAGGCCAUCGAACCUGCUCUCUGGAAGGCCAUCGAAGAAUCAAGGAUUUCAGUCGUUAUAUUUUCAAGAGAUUACGCUUCUUCACCAUGGUGCCUGGAUGAACUUGUCAAGAUUGUUCAGUGCAUGAAAGAGAUGGGGCACACAGUUCUGCCAGUUUUUUAUGAUGUGGAUCCCUCAGAUGUAGCCGAGCGGAAACGGAAAUAUGAGAAAGCCUUCGUUGAGCAUGAACAAAAUUUCAAGGAAAAUAUGGAGAAGGUCCGGAACUGGAAAGAUUGUCUCUCUACAGUGGCCAAUCUAUCAGGCUGGGACGUGCGGCAUAGGUAAAUCAUCCAUCCACUUUUAUUCACAAAUCCACCCUUUAUUGUUUCAAUGAUGAACAUAGCUUCUUUCUUUUAAUGUUUUUCAAUUGAAACAUGUGAUUAAACAUCAAAAUAAUCACAAUUAAACAAGUAUAUCACUACUAAUUCUUGAAUAAAUAAUUGUUAGUAUAUAUUUUUGAUCCAUUAAAUAGCUAUUCCUAGCUUUUGUUCUUGUGUGCAUGCUUCUUUAGUAACCGUGUGAUUCUAUAGGCAAUAAGAUAGCUAUUGUAAGGAUCAUUCUUAGCAUCAAUACAAUCCUAGUUCCGUUUGCAGUUUAUUCUUUCCUUUUCCUCUCUGUUCUUGAAGCUAUAUAUUGUCAAGCCCUAUCUUUCUCAAAGAUUGAUUUAUUAAUUUCCGGCUAACAGCCAUACAUUUUCGAGCUAAUAUUUAUUUUCCCAUUAUCACUAUCUGAUUUGAUUUGCACACAGCAUGAUUAAUGUUUUCCACCACCAUAUGCAGGAAUGAGUCGGAAUCAAUUAGAAUAAUUGCUGAAUACAUAUCGUACAAACUAAGUGUCACUCUGCCAACAAUUAGCAAAAAAUUAGUUGGAAUAGAUUCUCGUCUAGAGGUAUUAAAUGGCUAUAUAGGUGAAGAAGUAGGCAAAGAAAUCUUUAUAGGGAUCUGUGGAAUGGGUGGCAUAGGUAAGACGACUGUUGCAAGGGUACUAUAUGAUAGGAUUCGUUGGCAAUUUGAAGGCAGCUGCUUCUUAGAAAAUAUCAGAGAGAUUUUGCUAAGAAAGAUGGACCACGUCGUUUGCAGGAGCAACUUCUUUCUGAAAUCUUAAUGGACGUGCUUCUGUAUGGGAUUCUUAUAGAGGGAUUGAGAUGAUAAAGAGGAGGUUACGACUUAAAAAGAUUCUUCUUCUCCUUGAUGAUGUAGAUGACAAAGAACAACUAAAAUUCUUGGCUGAGGAGCCUGGAUGGUUUGGUCCAGGGAGCAGAAUUAUCAUAACAAGCAGAGAUAAACAAGUGUUGACUAGAAAUGGUGUUGAUAGAAUUUAUGAGGCUGAGAAAUUGAAUGAUGAUGAUGCUCUUACGUUGUUUAGCCAGAAAGCUUUCAAAAAUGACCAACCUGCUGAAGAUUUCGUGGAACUAUCCAAGCAAGUUGUGGGUUAUGCUAAUGGCCUUCCACUGGCUCUUGAAGUUAUAGGUUCGUUUAUGCAUGGAAGAAGUAUCCUUGAAUGGAGAAGUGCGAUUAAUAGAAUAUAUGAUAUUCUUGACCGUGAAAUUAUUGAUGUGCUUCGCAUUAGUUUUGAUGGCCUCCAUGAAUUAGAGAAGAAAAUAUUUUUAGACAUUGCCUGUUUCCUUAAGGGGUUUAAAAAAGAUCGAAUAAUAAGGAUACUUGACAGCUGUGGAUUCCAUGCACAUAUUGGAACACAAGUUCUUAUUGAGAAAUCUCUCAUAAGUGUCUCUCGGGAUCGAGUCUGGAUGCAUAAUUUAUUACAGAUAAUGGGUAAGGAAAUUGUUCGUUGUGAGGACCCUAAAGAGCCUGGAAAGCGCAGUAGAUUGUGGACAUACAAGGAUGUCUUCCUUGCACUGAUGGACAACACAGUGAGUAGCUGAUAAAGAACAUUAUCCAUAAGAUUUCAUAACUUUUAUUUUAAUUUACGCUCAAUCUCUACUUUGUAUUUGUUUUUAACUUGUAUUCCCUUUUGGUUGACAGGGAAAAGAAAAAAUAGAAGCCAUUUUCUUAGACAUGCCUGGAAUAAAAGAGGCACAAUGGAACAUGAAAGCCUUCUCUAAAAUGAGUAGACUAAGAUUGCUCAAAAUCGACAACGUGCAGCUUUCUGAAGGACCUGAAGAUCUUUCCAAUGAGUUACGAUUUAUUGAAUGGCAUUCUUACCCUUCAAAAUCAUUGCCAUCUGGUUUACAGGUGGAUGAGCUAGUUGAACUUCACAUGGCUAACAGUAGUCUUGAGCAAUUAUGGUGUGGGUGUAAGGUGAGAUCACCUAAUUUAAGGGCCUUUGUAUUUCUUUUUAUCGUUUUCCUAUAUAUGAUUGAUAGAAGUAUCCAUAUUUCUUCUCCCCUACCUGAUUGCAGAGUGCAGUUAAUUUGAAAAUCAUCAAUCUCAGCAACUCACUAUACCUGACCAAGACUCCAGAUCUUACUGGAAUUCCAAAUCUCGAGAGUCUGAUUCUUGAAGGUUGUACAAGUUUGUCUGAGGUCCAUCCAUCACUUGCACAUCACAAGAAGCUUCAAUAUGUGAAUCUUGUGAACUGCAAAAGUAUUAGGAUUCUCCCAAACAAUCUAGAAAUGGAAUCACUUAAUGUUUUCACGCUUGAUGGCUGCUCAAAACUUGAGAAGUUUCCAGAUAUAGUAGGAAACAUGAACGAAUUGAUGGUGCUUCGUUUGGAUGAGACUGGUAUUACAAAACUAUCUUCAUCGAUUCAUCAUUUGAUUGGCUUAGGUCUAUUGAGCAUGAACAGCUGCAAGAACCUUGAAAGCAUUCCAAGUAGCAUAGGUUGUUUGAAAUCCCUUAAAAAACUUGAUCUGUCUGGCUGCUCUGAACUUAAAUAUAUACCAGAGAAGUUGGGGGAAGUUGAAAGUUUGGAUGAGUUUGAUGCAAGUGGAACUUCAAUAAGACAACUGCCAGCAUCCAUUUUUAUUUUAAAGAAUCUUAAAGUAUUAUCUUUGGAUGGAUGUAAGAGAAUAGUUGUGCUGCCUUCUUUGUCUGGUCUGUGUUCUUUAGAAGUACUGGGUUUACGGGCUUGCAAUCUAAGAGAAGGGGCACUUCCUGAAGAUAUUGGCUGCUUAUCUUCAUUGAAGUCUUUAGAUCUGAGCCAGAAUAACUUUGUUAGCCUGCCUAAAAGCAUAAAUCAGCUUUUUGAACUGGAAAUGCUUGUCUUGGAGGAUUGCACGAUGCUUGAAUCAUUGCCUGAGGUUCCAUCUAAAGUUCAAACGGUAUAUUUGAAUGGUUGUAUAAGCCUAAAAACAAUUCCAGAUCCGAUAAAGCUAAGCAGUUCCAAAAGCUCAGAGUUCAUAUGUCUUAACUGCUGGAAAUUGUAAAAUCAUAAUGGCCAAGACAACAUGGGGUUGACCUUGCUUGAAAGAUACCUCAAGGUCUUCUCUUAAUCAAACCCCAACUUUUUUUUAUCUCCCUCUCCCUCAAUCUAUCUAACAUUUUGGUUUUUCAUGGUACAGGGUUUGUCUAAUCCAAGACCUGGAUUUAGUAUCGCUGUUCCAGGAAAUGAAAUUCUUGGCUGGUUUAACCAUCAAAGUGAGGGAUCUUCAAUUAGUGUGCAAGUGCCUAGUUGGAGCAUGGGGUUUGUUGCGUGUGUUGCAUUCAGUGCAAAUGGUGAAAGUCCUUCUCUUUUUUGUCAUUUAAAAGCCAAUGGAAGAGAGAAUUAUCCUUUGUUGAUGUCUAUUAGUUGUAACUCUAUCCAACUUCUGUCAGAUCAUCUUUGGCUAUUCUAUCUAUCUUUUGAUUACCUUAAAGAGCUUAAAGAAUGGAAGCAUGCAUCCUUUAGCAACAUUGAGUUGUCAUUUCAUUCUUAUGAGCCAGGAGUAAAGGUAAAGAAUUGUGGUGUCUGUUUGCUAUCUUCUGUAUAUAUUACAUCACAACCAUCUGUCCAUUUUAUUGUUACAAGCAAAAAAGCAGCUUCUUCAUAUAAAGCUUCUUUAGCUUCUUCUUCAUCUUACCAUCAAUGGAAAGCCAAUGUUUUCCCUGGCAUCAGAGUCGCAGACACUGGUGAUGCUUUCACCUAUUUAAAGUCAGAUCUAGCCCAGAGAUUUAUUAUCCCAUUCGAGAUGGAACCAGAGAAAGUAAUGGCAAUUAGAUCAAGACUCUUUGAGGCCAUUGAAGAAUCAGAGCUCUCAAUUAUUAUAUUUGCCAAGGAUUGUGCUUAUUUACCUUGGUGCUUUGAAGAACUUGUCAAGAUUGUCGGAUUCAUGGAUGAGAUGAGAUCGGACACUGUGUUUCCAGUUUCUUAUGAUGUCAAACAAUCAAAGAUAGAUGAUCAAACAGAGAGUUACAUAAUUGUCUUUGAUAAGAACGUCGAAAAUUUCAGGGAAAACGAGGAGAAGGUGCCAAGGUGGAUGAAUAUUCUCAGUGAAGUUGAGAUUUCAACUGGAUCGAGAAGGUAAUAAAUCUGUGCUCUUUAUAACAUCGGUUCCAUGUAUAGUUUGACUAUGCGGUGGGGAUGGGAAAAAUAAUGUUUAGUUCAACCAAAAAGCAUUAAUAGUCCUUUUUAUCUAAUCUAUUUUUUUGUGACAAUUUUACCUGAACCAAAGAUACCUGCUUUACCAAAUCUGAAUAUGGAUAUAAAUUAUUUUUAUUCAUUUGGGUUUGGAGGGAUUAAUAAUUUUAAAGUUUGAAAAAGUUCCCAUUAUGCCACAACACUUCUGACUUCUCCUUCUCACUCUUAGCGGCAUGGGAGCUCCAGCAACGCAGCAGCAGCAGCAGAUCCAGCGGAUCCAGCAGCAGAUCCAGCUCCAGCUCCAGCUCCAUCUCCACCAGCAGCAGCGGAUCCAGCUGCUCAAGUGGAAGUGGCAGCCCCAGCUGCUCGAGCCCCCGCUGCCCCAGCUGCUCGAGCCCCCGCUGCCCCAGCUGCUCCAGCGGCUGUGGCGGCAGCUCCAGCAGCAGCUCCAGCAGCGGAUCCAUUGGAUCCAUUGGAUCCAGGACUGCGACAACUUGCGUGAGCAGCAGGUGCGUGAGCAGCAGCUUGAGCAGCUGUCUGAGCAGCAGCUGCUUGAGCAGCAGCUUGAGCAGCUGUCUGAGCAGCAGCUUGAGCAGCUGCAUGGGUUUUCGGGAAGAAUCUAACUUGGUUUAGCUUGAAGAUCUUCGUCAGUUUUCCAUGGAUCUAAUUUCUUAUUAGCUCUUGAUUUCUUUCCUUGUUAAUUACCAUCAAAGUACAGUGAGCAGUGAUUGCAAGACAUCCUGUGAUCUUCCUUCUUGUUUGCAUGUUCAUCAAAGUAGCCAACACGAGGGAAAAAACAUGGCAAGGAUUUUCAUCAUGCUAGGACGGGUCCUUGUUUUUGCUCAUGGUUUUGGUUUGGGGUAAUAAGACUCACAUUUUGCAAUCUAGGCUAUCGGUAUAUUUUUAUUUUGGCGUCUCGGUGUUUCUGUGACCGUAGAUUCCAAGAGGUUUUUCCAGCUACUAAUUCUAUAAAUCUAAUGAAAACAGAAAUGAGAAACUCGUCAGUUUUUCUAUUGAUGUAGAACGAGGAAGAAGACGAGGGAGAGAAUAGAUGAAGAAUAGAAAGGUGACGUAUAAAGGAAUGUGGGGGGUGGGGGGGGGGGGGGGCGUGCAGAUUUUAAAUGGAUAUGGGUAAUAUUAUUUAUAUUAAUAAAGUAAUAUAAAAAAAAAAAGAGGAUAAAGAGUUACAUCCUACUAAUAAAAAUCAAAUAUCAUUAACUCUUCAUUCUUAUAAAUAAAUAUGUCUGUUAUACAAUAAUAAACAGUAAGAAAAAAUAUUGAAAAGAAAAAAAUAUAGAACAAAAUAGAGGAGAAUGGAUUCUCAAAAAAAAAAAAUCUAAUUUAAUUUUCAGAAGAAUUGUUAAAUAAAGUAGGCUUACUGAGUAAUGUGAUGUGAUAGUAAUUAUUUUUUAAUUUAAAAAUAUUUUUAAAAUGUAAAACAAUAGUAUUAAUUAAUUGUCAAAUUAUGUGCAAACAUUAUAUAUAUUGUCAAAUAUAUAUAUAUAUAUAUAUAUAUAUAUAUUAUUGCUUAUGUGUAUUUAUUGUUGUGCAAUUCUUUUCUCCUCUGUCUGUCUUGUUGAAACAAACUAGAAAGAAAAAUAAUGUGCCAGUUAGAAAUUGAGGGUUGAACACCAACUUGGUGAGAUUGUCUGAAACUUAAAAAGUAAAAAUGUAAUGGCUGGGAGUCGAACUUGGGUAGGCCAAAUACGCAAGAUUUAAGUCUCAUUCACCGCUGGGCCGUUGCUUGAGUUUUGUCACGCAUACAAUAUAAAUAAUAAUCAAACCUAAGACCUUAAGAAGGAACUACUGCAUUUAGUUGUGUUGUGGAUGUAUACAUUAAUAAUAUAUAUAUUUAGAAACAAAGGGUAUAAUUCUGCGUUGGUGAUUUAUAUUAAUGAUGUGGACUAAUUUUUGUGCAUUUUAUUUCCAUGUGCAAUUCUAAAUUAAUGAUAUGUGCAUUGAUUAGUUAUGAUAAAUUAAUUUAUAUAUGUUAUGACUACAAAUUUAUUAUUCACAUAUGUUUAUAUAUAUAUAUAUGUAUACAUGUUUUCCAAACACAGUGUAAUUCCAUGUUUAACCUAGUAGAAUUGUGAAUUUAUUGAAUUCUUAAAAUAUAUGUUAUUUUAAAUAUAUGAUCCUUACGUAAUUAAUUAUGAUAUUAAUAAUAUGAUUAUGAAAAUAGUGAGCUUUCGAUUUUUGAUUUUAAAUAUGAUGUGAAAUCAUUGUUGGCAUAAUUAAUUGAUAUUAAGGAUAUGUAUAUAUGUUUUAGUCAUCUAUUAAAUGUGAACCUCUGACUAAUAAAAUAAUUUUUUAUGUGAAAAAAAAUAAGAAAUGACUAUUGCUACCAGGAAUAUUGUGGCCGAGCUCAAUAUGAUCUUCUUAAGCCAACAAGCCUAAAAUUAAUUAAUAUAUACAUGGUUGUUUCUAGUUCACAAGGUACAAGAAGAAAGAAGCGUAUGCAUCAAAGUGAAUCUCAAUAUAAGCAAGGUAAAGAGAAAUCCAUGGAAAAGGAAAACAUUCUUCUAAGAAGAAAAGGAACAAUCACCAAGAGGUUCCUCUGGUCCACAAAGGGAUUUGAGCUUUCGACAUCUGCUGAUCUCAAGUUGCAUAACCCCACUCUUCAAUUUCCUGACAUAUAAAAUUGAUGAUGGAUCGACUGUGAGACUUGCGAGUCACAAGAGGUUNNNNNNNNNNNNNNNNNNNNNNNNNNNNNNNNNNNNNNNNNNNNNNNNNNNNNNNNNNNNNNNNNNNNNNNNNNNNNNNNNNNNNNNNNNNNNNNNNNNNNNNNNNNNNNNNNNNNNNNNNNNNNNNNNNNNNNNNNNNNNNNNNNNNNNNNNNNNNNNNNNNNNNNNNNNNNNNNNNNNNNNNNNNNNNNNNNNNNNNNNNNNNNNNNNNNNNNNNNNNNNNNNNNNNNNNNNNNNNNNNNNNNNNNNNNNNNNNNNNNNNNNNNNNNNNNNNNNNNNNNNNNNNNNNNNNNNNNNNNNNNNNNNNNNNNNNNNNNNNNNNNNNNNNNNNNNNNNNNNNNNNNNNNNNNNNNNNNNNNNNNNNNNNNNNNNNNNNNNNNNNNNNNNNNNNNNNNNNNNNNNNNNNNNNNNNNNNNNNNNNNNNNNNNNNNNNNNNNNNNNNNNNNNNNNNNNNNNNNNNNNNNNNNNNNNNNNNNNNNNNNNNNNNNNNNNNNNNNNNNNNNNNNNNNNNNNNNNNNNNNNNNNNNNNNNNNNNNNNNNNNNNNNNNNNNNNNNNNNNNNNNNNNNNNNNNNNNNNNNNNNNNNNNNNNNNNNNNNNNNNNNNNNNNNNNNNNNNNNNNNNNNNNNNNNNNNNNNNNNNNNNNNNNNNNNNNNNNNNNNNNNNNNNNNNNNNNNNNNNNNNNNNNNNNNNNNNNNNNNNNNNNNNNNNNNNNNNNNNNNNNNNNNNNNNNNNNNNNNNNNNNNNNNGCACUAAGCCAGCCCUCAUCUAUAUAUUAGAAAAGUGUGCUUAAUAGUCAUAUCUCUUUUCUUUCAAGUGUGUUUUGUAGCCCUUAUAUACUAGAUAAUGCACUUUAUAGUAAUAUUCAUUUUUCUUUUGAGUGCACUUUUUAGCCCUUGUAUACUAGAUAAUGUGCUUUUGAGCUCUAUCCAUUUUCCUUUUAAGUGCGCUUUCUAUCCCUCAUCCAUCAAAUAGUGCACCUUUUAACCUUAUUUUUUUUCCUUUUGAGUGCGCUUUCUAGCAUUCAUCCAUCAGAUAAUAUAUUUUCAAGUCCUAUCCUUUUCUUUUUAGUACGCUUUUUAGUCAUAUCAUUUUCUUCCCAAGUGUGCUUUAGAACUCUCAAUUCUAACACUCUUGGAAAGAUUAACUAUUUUUUUAACUGUAAAUCUAUGAUGUUGUGUCUUUUCUUAUUUACAACUUACUAUUUAAAGUCUCUUAUAAUUUUUUUUGUCAUAGGCAUUGUAAAGAUGAAGCAACUGUUAUAACCUAAUUUUGGGUUCCCCCAAAUUACAAGUUUUUUAAAUGAAAAGCAAUAAAAAAAUUGAAAAUGAAAAAGACUGAUAAAUUAAAAAAAAAAACAGGUUGAGAAGGGUUUCAAAUGCAUGGAAGAACCAAGCUGGAGUUGUAGACAAAAUUGAAAUCCUAAUUGUACCUAUUUGUACCCAAGAUCAAAAGACAAUGUAGAUUAAAGGGCAAAUUCAAUUAUUAUUGGAUUAAUUUGUAUUUUAAUAGGUCAACUUGAGUUAAUCAUGACCCUACUUAAAGGUUUUAUUAAGUUUAAAAAAUAAUUUGGGUCAAAUUAAGAGAAAUAAUUAAGUGUAACGACUUAAUUAGACUUUUAAUAGGUUAAAGUUAUUUUUAUUAGAAAUUUAAUUGGUGAAAAAUUAAGUUUGAAAGCUUAAUUUGGGCUUAAUUGAGAAUAUUAAAAUUUUAGAUGAUCAAAUUUAUUGUUUUUAAGCUUAAUUGUUUGAAUUCAGGGAUAUAAUUGUAAGAAAAUCAAAGUUUAGUGGUCAAUCAAGGAUCAAAUUAAAGAAAUUCAAGAUUAAAAACCUUUAUGCAAAGGAGCAAAAAUUUAGGGCUCAAAUUCGGUUGAAAACAAGGAUGAAAUUUAAAAAAUUAAAAGUUUGAAAUUCAAUUAAAAAUAAAAUCAAAGAACCUUUAUGUAAAAGCAACGUGUUUUUCGAAGCCAUCUCUCCCCUCCACAUCCCUCACACCAUGACACUAAACAUACCUCUCUUGUGACCUGCUAUUGUACCCCCAUCAAGAGCAGAAAAACAAGUCCUUUGGCAGUACUAAGAACACUGCCAAUCCGGCUUUUGUGGCUUUGUUUGGACAUGAGAAGGGUGGUCCAACACGUCCCUCACCCUCUAUAAAUGCCAACCUCAUGGCAACCAUAUGGCAGGGGGGGUAAAAAAGAAAAGAAAAAAGAAGACCAAACACUACACUAACACUAAACCCUCUCUACACCGACGACCUCACAAAAAUCAAACAACCUCAUCUCUUCCUGUCCCAAAGAACAACAACUAGAGACCAUUGAAAGAGCUAUCACAUCAACAAUUGUUUUUCUCUCCUAGCAUUCAUUCCUCCAUCGAUACUCUCUUGUGCACCAGCAACAGCCUUGACAGACCAAAAUUCAUUUUGUUAUGUUUCAAUUCGUGAGUUUGAGAGAGAAAAAAGAAAGUCACUUACGUACUAUUGGGUGAGGUCUUAGUUUUUUCACCGGUUAAAAGUUGUUUUGAUAUUUGAUAUGGAUUUAUUAAGAAGUGUGGGGUGUUUAUUAGGUGUUUUCAAGUUAAAAAUAAAAAAAAAAGUUAUUUAGGUUCAAGAAAAUGAAACCUAACUUUGAAGACCAAACACCUAUCCUUGACCCUUCAGGAAACACCAUCCAAGAUGUUGUGUCUACCCUUAUCCUUACCAUCUCCUUGUAUUUUGUUGGAGAUUCUUCCCAUUUGAAAGAUAAAAAUAUUGAACUUCUCUCCAACCUUCGGUGCAAGAAACUCAGUGACUUUCAGUGGUACAAAAAUACCUUCCUUACUCGUGUUAUGCUUCGAGAAGAUUCAAACCAACCAUUCUGGAAAGAAAAAUUCCUUGCAGGCUUACCAAUUCUCUUAGGAGAAAAGGUCCGCAACAAGAUCAAAGAUACCUUUACAACCAAAACCAUACCAUAUGACCAGCUUACAUACGACGAACUUGUAAGCUUCACACAAAAAGAAGGUCUUAAGAUCUGCCAGGAUCUCAAACUUCAAAAACACCUAAAGUGGGAAAUAAGAUGUACCAGGUAAGAACUUGGUAGUUUCUGUCACCAGUUUGACCUUUCCACCAAAAAACCCUCCUACAGUGGAACCUGUUCACAACCCAAAAAAUAUUCGAACCACAAGCCUCCUUAUAAACAAUCGGCCCAUAAAUACCGACAACAAUUUUAUCCCAAACCAGAUCAACCUUACUACAAAAAGCUCUACAAAUUCAUCAAACCCCACAAACCUUUCCAGUCAAAACCCAAACCAAAAUUUGACCUAAAAAAUAUCACCUGUUACAAAUGUAACCAGAAAGAACAUACAGCCCGUUUCUGCAAAGUCAAUACCAAACUUCAUGAGCUCCAAAUAGACGAAGAUACCAUCAACCAAAUACAAAAUCUUUAUAUUGAAGCCACAUACACUAACCACUCUCCUUCAGACACUUCUGAAGAAGAAUUUCAAAUUGAUGAAAUAGUAACCACCAAUGUUACUUCAGAUUCCUCUACGGAUUCCAAACAAAUUAACCUCCUAACCCAAGACCAAGAAUUCAUUCUUGAGGCUAUCAAGAGACUUGAUGAUCCCCAUCUUCAAAAAACCUACUUGGAUAGACUGUUGAAAGAUUUUCACCAACCAGAACACCCUCCAUAUAAUCCUCCAAACCGCUCUUUAUUACCCUUUACCAGCAUCAAUACAUAUGACCUUAAGAAGAUUCUUAACAAAAAGAAGUCCAAAACCACAGUAACCAUUCCAGAAUUAUAUUAUGAGAUCUAAACCCUUAAAUCCGAAUUACAAACCUUGAAACAAGCCCAACAGAAAGACUCUGCCAUAUUACAACACCUCCUGUCUAAAAUUAAAAGCCAGUUUGACACUGAAUCUGAACCAGAAGAUCAAACCAUUGAAUCUCAUGCAUUGCCCCAUACACUUACAAACAUUGAGCAUAUCCCAGAUGAUUUCCUAAAUGUAUUAACACAAAUAUUUUCAAAAAAAUAUUUGAUUAAAAUUACUCUGAUUUUUUCAGAAGAUUUUAAACUGGACACUAUCGCCUUAUUUGACACAGGUGCAGAUUUAAACUGCAUCAAAGAAGGCGUAGUUCCAAAAUGAUUUUUACAAAAUACCUCUGAAAAACUCUCUGCUGCUAAUAAUUCAAAAUUGCAUAUUGCAGGAAAAACCCAAGCCUCUGUUUUCAACAUGAGCAUUUCUCUUAAAACAUUCUUCGUUGUUACAAAAGAUAUAAACCAUACCAUUAUUCUUGGCACUCCAUUUAUUGACAUGAUCACUCCAUAUCAAACACAUCAUGAUUGUAUUACUACCAAAAUCAAUAGCAUCAAACUUGUUUUCCCAUUCUUAGAAAAAUCUAAGACUAGAAAUUUAAAUUUAAUUAAAGCAUGUUCCAUACAUACAUAUCAUAUCAAUGCACUGAUUCAUGGAAAACAAUUCCAUUUACAUGAUUUACAACACCAUGUUUCCUUUUGUCGUAUCAACAAGCAAUUACAAAACUCUGAUUUACAAAAGAAAAUUAUUGAUUUACAAACUAAGAUUGAACAACAGAUUUGUUCAGAUUUGCCUAAUGCUUUCUGGAAAAGAAAAACANNNNNNNNNNNNNNNNNNNNNNNNNNNNNNNNNNNNNNNNNNNNNNNNNNNNNNNNNNNNNNNNNNNNNNNNNNNNNNNNNNNNNNNNNNNNNNNNNNNNNNNNNNNNNNNNNNNNNNNNNNNNNNNNNNNNNNNNNNNNNNNNNNNNNNNNNNNNNNNNNNNNNNNNNNNNNNNNNNNNNNNNNNNNNNNNNNNNNNNNNNNNNNNNNNNNNNNNNNNNNNNNNNNNNNNNNNNNNNNNNNNNNNNNNNNNNNNNNNNNNNNNNNNNNNNNNNNNNNNNNNNNNNNNNNNNNNNNNNNNNNNNNNNNNNNNNNNNNNNNNNNNNNNNNNNNNNNNNNNNNNNNNNNNNNNNNNNNNNNNNNNNNNNNNNNNNNNNNNNNNNNNNNNNNNNNNNNNNNNNNNNNNNNNNNNNNNNNNNNNNNNNNNNNNNNNNNNNNNNNNNNNNNNNNNNNNNNNNNNNNNNNNNNNNNNNNNNNNNNNNNNNNNNNNNNNNNNNNNNNNNNNNNNNNNNNNNNNNNNNNNNNNNNNNNNNNNNNNNNNNNNNNNNNNNNNNNNNNNNNNNNNNNNNNNNNNNNNNNNNNNNNNNNNNNNNNNNNNNNNNNNNNNNNNNNNNNNNNNNNNNNNNNNNNNNNNNNNNNNNNNNNNNNNNNNNNNNNNNNNNNNNNNNNNNNNNNNNNNNNNNNNNNNNNNNNNNNNNNNNNNNNNNNNNNNNNNNNNNNNNNNNNNNNNNNNNNNNNNNNNNNNNNNNNNNNNNNNNNNNNNNNNNNNNNNNNNNNNNNNNNNNNNNNNNNNNNNNNNNNNNNNNNNNNNNNNNNNNNNNNNNNNNNNNNNNNNNNNNNNNNNNNNNNNNNNNNNNNNNNNNNNNNNNNNNNNNNNNNNNNNNNNNNNNNNNNNNNNNNNNNNNNNNNNNNNNNNNNNNNNNNNNNNNNNNNNNNNNNNNNNNNNNNNNNNNNNNNNNNNNNNNNNNNNNNNNNNNNNNNNNNNNNNNNNNNNNNNNNNNNNNNNNNNNNNNNNNNNNNNNNNNNNNNNNNNNNNNNNNNNNNNNNNNNNNNNNNNNNNNNNNNNNNNNNNNNNNNNNNNNNNNNNNNNNNNNNNNNNNNNNNNNNNNNNNNNNNNNNNNNNNNNNNNNNNNNNNNNNNNNNNNNNNNNNNNNNNNNNNNNNNNNNNNNNNNNNNNNNNNNNNNNNNNNNNNNNNNNNNNNNNNNNNNNNNNNNNNNNNNNNNNNNNNNNNNNNNNNNNNNNNNNNNNNNNNNNNNNNNNNNNNNNNNNNNNNNNNNNNNNNNNNNNNNNNNNNNNNNNNNNNNNNNNNNNNNNNNNNNNNNNNNNNNNNNNNNNNNNNNNNNNNNNNNNNNNNNNNNNNNNNNNNNNNNNNNNNNNNNNNNNNNNNNNNNNNNNNNNNNNNNNNNNNNNNNNNNNNNNNNNNNNNNNNNNNNNNNNNNNNNNNNNNNNNNNNNNNNNNNNNNNNNNNNNNNNNNNNNNNNNNNNNNNNNNNNNNNNNNNNNNNNNNNNNNNNNNNNNNNNNNNNNNNNNNNNNNNNNNNNNNNNNNNNNNNNNNNNNNNNNNNNNNNNNNNNNNNNNNNNNNNNNNNNNNNNNNNNNNNNNNNNNNNNNNNNNNNNNNNNNNNNNNNNNNNNNNNNNNNNNNNNNNNNNNNNNNNNNNNNNNNNNNNNNNNNNNNNNNNNNNNNNNNNNNNNNNNNNNNNNNNNNNNNNNNNNNNNNNNNNNNNNNNNNNNNNNNNNNNNNNNUAUUUCUAAAUUUGAUAUGAAAUCCGGGAUUUUGGCAAAUCCAGAUGAUCCCAAAGAUAGAUACAAAACUGCUUUUACAGUUCCUUUUGGUCAAUAUGAAUGGAAUGUCAUGCCUUUUGGUUUAAAAAAUGCCCCAUCUGAAUUUCAACGCAUCAUGAAUGACAGCUUCAAUGCACAUUCAAAAUUUUGCAUUGUUUAUAUUGACGAUGUACUUAUUUUUUCACAAUCCAUAGACCAACAUUUCAAACAUCUACAUACAUUCUUUCAUACUGCAAAACAAAAUGGUUUAGUUGUUUCUAAAACAAAAAUUUCUCUUUUCCAAACCCGUGUCUGUUUCCUAGGCCAUUAUAUUUGUCAAGGUACUGUCACACCAAUAGCUUUAACCUUUACAAGUAAAUUUCCUGAUAAAACCCAAUUGCAACGAUUUUUAGGCAGUCUAAAUUAUGUUCUGGACUACUAUCCCAAUAUUAGUCGUCUAGCCAAGCCUUUACAUGAUAGAUUAAAAACCAACCCCAUUCCUUAGUCUGACCUCCAUACCGAUCUAGUCAAACGAAUUAAGAAACAGGUUCAAAACAUUCCUCUCCUUCAUUUAGCUAAUCCUUUAGCUCCUAAAAUAGUCGAGACCGAUGCCUCUGACAUAGGAUAUGGUAGGAUUCUUAAACAAGUACAAGAUAACAAAGAACAAAUACUCCAGUAUACAUCCGCCCACUGGAAUGAUUGUCAAAAAAAUUACUCUACUAUCAAAAAGGAAAUCCUUUUAAUUGUUCUUUGUAUUACAAAAUUCCAAAGCGAUUUAUUAAAUCAAAAAUUUCUUUUACGUGUUAACUGUAAAUCUGCAAAAGAAGUUUUACAAAAAGAUGUCCAAAAUCUUGCUUCAAAACAGAUUUUUGCCCGAUGGAAAGCUAUUUUAAGUAUUUUUGAUUUUGAUAUUGUUUACAUUAAAGGAGAUUCAAAUUCUAUCCCUGAUUUCCUAACCCGAGAAUUCCUCCAAAACAGGUCCUGAUGCCACCUAAAGCAAGGGCUAAAGACAAGGGGGAAGCCCCCCAAACACAGCCUACAAAACCAGAAAGCCCCAAGCCUUCUGCAAAACUCGUGUCUUUCGCCAUCCUUUCUGUCAAACCUGUCAAAUCAUGGUAUGAGGCAGUUCUUGAAGAAGAAGAACCUACAAAAUCACCACAGGUCCAACCCGACACUAUUCAACAUUGGGUUGACACCAUCUCCAAAUCACCAGAAUUACUCAUGGCAUUACAAAAAGUGUCCCAACAGGCCUAUAACGACUCCGUAUCUCCAACAGGUAGUAUUUCCAAAUCCCUUUCAAAACCCCAAGGAGGUUUUUCUACUUCAAAACCCCUCCUUUCUUUACAACAAACCAGUUUUCCAAAAACCAAAUCCAAAUAUAUUUUCAAAACUACUUUCCAAAAUAUUUUAACUAUAGAAGAAGGAUUUUAUCAUGAAAAUCCUUCCAUUGUUGCUUCAAAGAUUUUCCCUCCAAAUUGGUACUACAAACCCUGGAAUUUAGCCAAACCACAAUCCUACUAUGCCACCAUCCUUGAGAUUACCAAUUCUGUCAAAUUCAAACACUUCAAACUAUAUUCUGAUCAUAUUGAACCCGCAUAUUCUACAUGCAUCAUUCACAAAGUUAUUCACCCUAAAGAUUGGGGGCAAUCCUUACAUCAACCUCUCUCCUUCCCCAUGCACUUUCGUACAAAUCCUCAGGAUUUCAAUACUACCUAUACGUAUUGGGAUUACCAACAGCCAUGGUUCAGUGCCUUCCUCCUACAAAAUCAAAACCAUAGCCACUCUUGGCUUUUCUACUUCCAUAAUACAAUGAAUACUACAAACUUUCCCCUCUGGUUCCUCCAAUGGUGGGACUACUAUGGUUGUCACGUUGACUACCUCAAAGACCAUCCUCUGGUUGAAAAUGGUUACCUCCAUUUCAAAAAUAAUUUUCAACAGCCCCUUCUGAAAGGAAGUUUUCUUCCCUUCUCAUUUUCUGUACAAAGUUUUUUGUUCCAUGGGUAUGUUCCUGGUUCUAUGACUAUAAUCUACAAAACGGACACCCAGUACUUGUUCGGAAAUUCAAAAUUAAAUGGUGGGAUUCCUUUGCAACUGAGUCCAAAAGUUCCAAAUUAGCUGUUACGGAAUGGUUACAAAAAUAUCAAAAGACUCCCAUUAUUGAUCAUCAUCCUGAAUCAAAGUUUCUAGCCCGAAAGGCUCAAACAGCAGCUCUCCUUGCCUUUGCCAGAACUGAAGAGGAAUACUUACAAAUAGUACAAGGCAUUAUACAAAGCCAAGAUCCAAAAACAGUCUUGUCACACUCUAGCUCAUCUGGCUCGAUAUCUCCUGCCAUUUCCCUUGGAGAUGAUAAUGAAGAUGACUGCUUUGGUAUCUUGCCACCUAUCAAGUGACAUUAAAAAAAAAGUAUUUCGAACUUUCUCAGGCUUAUCUGUUUAGAGCUCAUAUCUUUUUGACUCACCUGUUUUGAGUCUCUUUGCUAAAGCCCAUUUGUUUUAGGCUUUUCCUACAAAUAUUACCUGCUACUAUAAACAUACAAAUCAAGUGUCGGUAGCAAGAAGACAACAAAUGAAAGUCCCACAAAAAACGUGGGCAUCCUCCAUUUUGUCAUCACUCAAUCAUGGCAGGCAAUACCACAUGGGUUCACAUGGGUUCUGAAGGCAUCUCCAAACUUUUCAACAAGAUGUUUUGGCCUCUUCUAGGACAACUCGUCUAUAAAAAGGAGACUCCUACAACCUCAGGAGACAGACUAAUUUUUUCCCAGAAAAUUUUACUCUCCCCUGUAAGUCAUAUCUGUAACCCAUUCUCGUAACCAAUAUCUCCUGUAUUAAUUUUCAUUACAAAUUUAAGUAAGAUAAUCUUAUUUUUAUCUAUAUUUUGUUAUAUCUGUUCCUGUUCUUUUUAUUCUUAUGAUAUUUAUCUUUUUAUUCUUGUUAUAUUUAAGUAUGCUCUAUGUUUGAUCAAGGAUCCUGACAUUGCUGGUCUUGCCUUGUUCAUUCGCAUCAGAAAUCUGUUUAUAUUCUUCUGUUCUUGUUCUUUUAUAAAAUCAGUAUAUAGGCUGGAAACCUGUGACCCGAUCUUUUAAAUCAUUCUCAGGUAUAACAACGCCACGUACUGAACCCUUUGUUUAUAUUUAAAUUUGCUUAUAUAUAUGGCCACCUAACGUUGAGAAGGAAAGAUGAACGAAUUAUUCUCACAAUAUUACUUUGUUUUAACAUGGUAUCAGAGCAACAAAUUUGAUACCCUUUUUCUCUUUUAUUUCCCGAAGUUUAAAUUGUUAGAGUACAGUGCAUUAGAUUAUAACAAGUGUCUAUAGUUAGUUAGUUAGUUAGAAAAGUUACAUGCAGUUAAGCUGUUACAGCUACAUGUGUGUGUGUGUGUGUAACUAACUAACUAUAGACAAAUUAAGCAAUUGAAUAACAGAAAGAAGAAGAUUAAUAAGUUUUCAUUUUUCUCAUCUCUCACUCAAUCUCUCUGUAUAUUACAACUUGAUAUACAUGUUAACAUGGUAUCAGAGCUAUCAGCUCACGCUUGAAGAUCCUCUCUAUUGCUUCCACAUUCUCUCUGCUUCUUCUCUAAAUUCUGAUCUCUGUUUGAUAAUCUUGAAACUUUUCAAUAGUGAUUGCUUCACAACUUCAACUUCUGCAUUCUCCAAUCACAGCUCUUCUCUCCUCUAUUCCCACAUCUAUUAAUGUCAAGCUAGAUGAUUCAAACUACCUCAAUUGGAACUUUCAGAUGUGACUUCUUCUUGAAAGCAAUGGCAUUAUGGGGUAUGUUGAUGGAUCAAUUCAUUGUCCACCUCAACUCAGCUCAACUUCAAGUGAAUCUGGUAUCACCUCUUCUUAGAAUGAUGAAUACAUAGUCUGGAAAAUGCAUGAUCGAGCCAUCAUGCAAUUGAUCACUACUACAUUAUCACCUGUUGUUAUGUCUUGUGCAAUUGGUAGCACUAGCUCCAAGGAUUUGUGGAAUCGAUUGAAGGAACAGUUUUCAAUUGUGUCUAGAACUAGCAUUUUUUAGAUGAAAUCUAAUCUACAAACAAUCAAGAAAGGGCAGAUUCGAUUUCACAAUAUCUUCAUCGUAUUAAAGAAGUUAGGGACUAUCUUUUGGCUGCUGGUGUAUACUUUGCUGAUGAAGAUAUUGUUAUUCUAGCUCUAAAUGGCCUGCCUACUAAGUAUAACAUGUUCAGAUGUGUUAUAAGGGGGCGUGAAAGUGUGAUCACACUGUAUGAUUUUCGAUCACAGUUGCUUGCAAAGGAAGUGAUUGUAAAGGCAUCGGCUCAUGCUCCUCUAAUGACAGCUGUUGUUACUCAUUUUUGGACCCCAUGUGCUGGAGACGGUGUAUACCUCUUUUGAACCAAGUGUAGGAGUUUAACUCAUGUUUGCUGGAGGAUUGAUAAAAGUAGAGAAAGAAAUAUUUUUUUCGAAACCCUGUUUAAGCUGUUUUCUGCUCUCUUUAUCCUUCCCCUUUGCUGCCAAAAUCAUCAGGUUUUCUUAGACUAACUAGGGGUCUUCAUAAUGCUAAAUUCAUUCCUUCGUUAUCUUGUUUUUUAAGGUUGGAUAAAUCCCUUAAAUUUUGCACUAAAAAAAAACUGAUUCUGCUGCUAUCGCAAUUUUUUAUUCCAAAUUAGGCUCUGAUUCUGACUUGGUUUUGUACAUAUCUAACCAUCCUAGCUAUAUUCUGUCACUCAUGACAUGUUGAAAAAUUGACCUACACCUUUAUUGGGUCCUAGGGAUCACUGAUCUUAGGGCAGACUCUUAGUCAGAUUUGGAUGCUCGGCAUUGUCAAAUCAAGAACCUUUCUGACCAACGAGAUUACUGCCAGAUUCUGUUCUUUAAAACGAUUUUAUCUCCCUUUGACUCCUUCAUCAAAGUUGUAGUUCUAGACGCGUAGAUAAAUUUGGGCUUUUGAAUCACUUGAUUUCAAUAUCAGAAGCUCAAGAUAUUCCUGUUUGAAUAUCUAGUGUGAAAGCAGGGAUUCCUGCCACAAGAAGGAUUUUUUGCCCAAGUUCGCGGGACUGAUUCGAAGGAUUUUUUUUGGACCAAAGACUGAAUCGAAAAGUGCUAAAAUGAGGGAUUGAAUUGAAGAAGGAUAUUGAAAGCUGGAGAGGGGGGUUGGAUCAUCAUAAAUGACAGGAUUUUUACCACAUCAAAUAAGGAAAAUAAGACUUUGCCGCUGCACCCUCCAUCUGAUUUCUUUCCUUCUCUGUAAAUUCUAAUGUUUUUCCUUUAUCAUCACGCCUGAUUUUUAGAGCUGCAACCACGUUUUUAUUGCCUCAUUUUAAAGGGAGCAGCUGGCUCUAUGGAAGGAAAGAAAAGAGCCGCACCAUCCUCUAACUAGGAAAGAAAUCACUGGUGAUCACAGAAUCAGAAUCAAAUAUUCUGGUUUCCUAUUUCUGCUCACCCGAUAUUACACCCUAGAGUUAAUGUAAUAUUUGUUUCCUAAACAAAGCCAUGUAUAGGCUAUAUAGAAGCCUCGGCUGCUGACCUAAAGAAAAAAAAAGAAACACAGAAAAAGAAAGGAAAGAACAGAAAAAAACGAGAAAAGAAAGACAAGAAGAAACGAGAGAGAGUCAAGGCAGAGAAAGCCAUAAGAAGGACACCGUCGAAAGUAAGGAAAAACACAGAGACAAGGGCGACAACUCCACCAGCACAACACGCCUUCAUCGCCAUCAUCUUCGUCAUCUCGCGAGAAAGCAUCAGCAGAAGGAGAGAAAACGAACAGAGACCAAAACCGGCGUAGCCUAUCUGUUUCGCUGUCCCCAGAAGCAGCAACCAUUGGCUGAGCGCAAAAGCUUCAGCACCUGUCGUCUUAGUUCGUCUCAGCGCCAGCUUUCAAGAAAAGGAAAGCAGAACAGAGAAGAAGGGACAGAGAUAAAAGGAGGAGAAAACCGGAGAGAAAGGAGCAGAAAAAAAACAGCAAAGAGAAAGAUAAGAAAAACGCAAGAGAGGUAGAGUAAAAAGAAAAAAUAGAAGAAAAAACCAGUGAGACCUACAGUUCUAGAUGUUUUAACGUAGAGGAAAGAAAAACUAGAGAAGCAGACAUAAAUACAGAGCAGGAGGAAAAUAUUUGAAACAGACGAACACCGGAUCAACCAUCACGCUUUCAACGUCGCUGCAGCUUCUUCCCUUCCGUUCCCAGGUCUGUUUUUUUUCUCUUCACCUCCCAGCAUGCAUGUUUUUUGUUUUGUGUUUGCACUGUUCAAGUAAAUUAAUUCACUUGAACAGUGCUCGCCAGCUUUCUUUGAACUUUACCUGCGCCCCCCCUUUUUUUGUGUCCAGCCGGGUCACUGGCUUGCGCAAGUGACCCAGCCGGACUUCCUUACUUUUUUUUUUAAAGAGGAAGAGAUUUAUUUUCUGAAUAUUUAUUUUAAAGUCUGAAUUUUUUUUAUGUUGUAAAAAAAUAUAUACCAAUCUCGUAAUUAAAAUACCCGGUUUUCGACGCAACUGCGGCAAAUAUACAUAUAUAUCAAAAUUUGUUUUCUUGUGUGUUGCAUACGGCUAAUACCCUAACAUCUUUUUGAAUUUCCUCUUAAAAAAACAAAUAUUUGAAGUUUUGAAAAUGUGUUUUGGCAUGAAUUUCUUAAACACAAAAAUUAUUUUCUUGCAUUUAUGGAUUUUACAACAUGUUUGUAAAACUCCAAAGGGUGUUGGCCAAUAUUUUAAAAAAUAUAAAAAUCUUAUUUUGGGGGGAAUUCAUCUAUUAUUCACCGCUAAUGUUUGGAUAAAGAAAUCCUUAAAGGACGAAUAUCCAAAAUAUUAUUGGGAAUAAUUUGUUAUUAUUCACUGUUAAUAUUUGGAUAAAGAAACCUUGAGUGGUAAAUAUCUGAAAUAAUUUUUUAGGAAUAAUAAAUCCUCACACAUCCUUGAAAGAAGCCUUGAUUAUAAUCGAGGACAUUUCAAUUUUUUUUACUCCACGGUUUACGAGCCGUGAGAGUAUAAAACACUAAGGCAAAAAUAGGCUUUUAAAGCGCUCUAGAUUUCUAAAUUUUUGUCCCUCCUUGCGAUUUACGAGUCGCAAACUCUUGAAAUACCAAGGGAAAAUGAGCUUUUAAAGCACAUGGAAUCUCCUUGGAUUUCUAUCUUAAUAAAUAUAGUUAGAAUCAAACCUAGAAAAAACUGAUGGAAUUAGAAAACACCAACACCAUAGCAAUUAUAAGACAAACCAAACACCAAGCAACUUAUCUUAGGUAGGGCGUACUAUGGGUGCUAAUACCUUCCCUUUAUGCAACCAGUCCCUUGCCUUAGAAUCUCUGAAAGACCAGUUAGGUUUCCUAGUGACCAUAAUACUAGGUGGCGACUCCUUUAUUCACAAAACAAAAAAAAACCCCCCGAAAUCAAUCGAGGGUCGCCACUCCGCCGCGAGGGUGCGACAACAUCAAUGGCUGCUGAUACAGGUUUUCUUGUGAAUCAUGGUCCAUCUCAGGCUGUUAACAGAGGUUUUAAGCCUUAUAGUGGGAACAUAAACAAUGGUAGAGGUCGAUUUAUUCAGGGAGCUAGAUAGUUUCACUCUAGACCAGUGUUUUCAUCUAUGGCACAUAAACAUCCACACUCUAAUCCUGGAGUUCUUGGCCCUUCCCCUGGUCAGCAGUUUCACAGUAAUUCUGCAUCCAUGAUGCCAAUCUGCCAAUUAUGCAAUUCUAAGGGACAUACUGCCCCGUUCUGUGAUGCUUCCUCUUAUAAGAAAACCAAAUGUCAUAUAUGUGGUAGAACUAAUCAUACUACCUGGUUUUGCUUUUAUAAUGACAAAGGACCAAACUAUAUUGGCAUGCAUACUUCUAUUACUUACUCUUCACAACAGUCUUAUCCCACACAACCACCAACUAUGCAGCAUCCCUCAUACCGAGCUCCUUCACCACAUCUCUCAUUCUCAUCUUUUUAGUUUCCAGACCAACAGCCCACUAUGCAAGCCAUGCACACCAUGCUCAACUCUGCAUCUCCAUCAUCCAAUUCUUCAGGAUCAUCUCAAGUAUGGCUCGCUGAUUCUGGUGCCACCAAUCAUACGACGGCAGAUUUGAAUAAUCUGAUAUUGGCCUCACCAUAUCCAAUAGCUGACACAAUUCAUACUGCCAAUGGUGAACGUUUGAAAGUAUCUCAUGUUGGUCAUUCUAUCAUUAAUUCAUCUAUGUCUCCACUCAAAUUGAAUUCUGUGCUACUUGUUCCUCAAUUAACUCAGAAUCUACUGUCAGUCCAUCGGCUCUGCCUUGAUAAUAAUUGCUGGCUUAUUUAUGAUGCAUUUUGCUUUUGGAUUCAGAACAAAGCCACAAGGAGGAUUCUUUACAGAGGCUUGUGCAGUAAUGGACUGUAUCCUAUCCAUGCUUUUUCACCUUCACAUUCCACGACAUCGCCAACUCAGGCAUUUCUUGGACAACUCAUUCAGUCCAAUCUAUGGCACCAUAGGUUAGGACAUCCCACAAAUUCUAUCGUCUCCCUCAUGCUAAAUAAAGCUCAUAUUCGUGUUCCCAAAACUUCUUCCCCUAUGUUGUGUCAUCCUUGUCUUGCAGGGAAAGUUAGCAAACUACCUUUUCCACAACAUCAUUAUAAAUUUACUUCUCCCUUUGCCAUUAUCCAUACUGAUUUGUGAGGACUCGCACCAUGUAUAUCAGUGGAUGGUUAUAAAUAUUAUACUAUCUUUAUUGAUGAAUGUACAUGUUAUUGCUGGCUUUUUCCCCUAGUCAAUAAGUCUGAUUUGUUCUCUAAAUUUGUUGCCUUCUAUUCCUUUCUUGUUACACAAUUUUCUGCUACUGUUAAACUCUUCAAACUGAUGGGGGGGGUAUACUUGCAAUCAUUUGAAACAUUUUUUUCUUGACAAAGGCAUUGCACAUCACCUCUUUUGUCCACACACUCUUAAACAAAAUGGGGUAGCUGAGAGGAAACAUAGACAUAUUAUGGAAACUACAAUCACUCUAUUGCACACAACCAAAUUACCAUAGACAUAUUAUGGAAGCUACAAUCAUUCUAUUGCACACAGCCAAAUUACUAUCUCAAUUCUGGUCCUAUGCAUGUUUAACAGCUAAAUACCUCAUAAAUCGUAUGCCAACUCCUGUCCUUCUUCACAACUAUCCUUUAGAGAUGUUAUUUGGGUCUUCUCCAGAUCUUAAUCACCUUAGAAUAUUUGGUUGUGCCUGUUUUCCUCUCCUUCACCCUUAUAAUCAUAACAAAUUACAGCCCAAAACUACCAAAUGUGUGUUUCUUGGGUAUGCCAUCAAGUAUAAAGGUUAUUUGUGCUAUCAUGUGCCUACACUGCGAUUGUUUAUUUCUAGACAUGUUAUAUUUGAUGAACAUCAAUUUCCCUAUCCUGAAUUCCUACAUAUCUCUUCACCCACAGUUCUGUCAUCACCGUCCUAUUCCUCUUCCACAUGUCCUAUGAUUCUUGUUAAUACAGAGAACACAGUUAUUCCUUUCUUCUAAUCGUUUACAAUUUUUAGCUGAUAAUUCGCUUAAAUUUAAUUUUGAUUCCAGUCAUAAAUGUGACGUUUGUCCAUUGGCAAAACAAACUCGUCAACCUUUUCCUUCUAGUUCAAUUUCAACUUCGAAGUGUUUUUCUCUUAUUCAUUGUGAUAUUUGGGGUCGUUAUAAAACCCCUUCUAUUUCUGGUGCUUUUUAUUUCUUGACCAUUGUGGAUGAUUUUUCUCGUUUUACAUGGGUUUUUUUAAUGCGUAACAAGAGUGAGACACAAACUCUACUUCGUCAGUUUUUUCAUUAUGUUCACACUCAAUUCAAUACAAAGGUUCAAAAACUCCGUUCUGAUAAUGGGGCUGAAUUUCUUUCAUUAAAAAAUUUCUUUCUUGAGGAAGGCGUCCUUUUUCAACACUCUUGUGUAUAUACACCUCAGCAAAAUGGUGUCGUUAAGCGCAAACAUAGACACAUCCUUAAAACUGCUCGCGCUUUAUGUUUUCAAUCUCAUUUACCCAUUACUUUCUGGGGAGAAUGUAUUCUUACUGCCAUCCAUAUUAUUAAUCGCCUUCCUACUCUGUUGCUUAACAAAAAAACACCAUUUGAGAUUCUUUACAACAAACUUCCUGAUUAUUCUCGCAUGCGAGUUUUUAGAUGUGUUGCUUUUGCAACUAUAGUCAAUCCAUCCUCAAAAUUUUCUCCCAGUGCCACAAAAUGCAUUUUUCUUGGUUGCCCUAUGGGACAAAAAGCUUACAAACUUUACGAUAUUGCAACUCAGAAAAUUUUCACCAAUCGGGAUGUAGUAUUUCUUAAGGACACCUUUUAUCAUCCACCACAAGUCUAUCUUCCAGCACAUAAUCCACCAGGCUUGCCUAUUCCUCUUCCUAUUGUGUCUGAUUCUUAUUCCCAUCUUCCUCCCUCAUCAGUCAUCAUCGACCCCUUUGAUCCCCCCAUAUCCUCUUCACCUGCACCAACCGACCCAGUACCUUCUCUUCCUGAGCCACCUUCCUCUACUCCAUUAACUCCACCAGCUGCACAACAAACCCCUGUUUAGCCGGAUGACCUUGUCCUUCCUGCACCUACUCUGGUUAUUCCUGAUCAGCCACUUCGCCGUUCUCAACGCCCUAGAGAAGCCAAUGUUCGCCUCAAGGAUUAUGUUUGCUCGCAGGUGAUUCUGCCUCCACACCAAUUGUUCUCAGCCUCGUCUGCACCUACACCAGGUACGAAGUAUCCUCUCUGUCAUUUUAUUUCUUAUAAUCGGUAUUCUCCAUCACAUCUCUGUUAUAUUGCCAAUGUUAGUCGUGAUGAGGAACCUCCUUCAUAUGAACUUGCUAUGACUGAUCCUAAGUGGCAGGAAGCUAUGAAUUCUGAGCUUCAAGCUCUCAUUGACAAUCAGACAUGGAGCCUUGUUCCUUUGCCCUCUGGCAAACGCCCGAUCAGUUGUAAAUGGGUGUAUCGCAUCAAACGCAAGGCUGACGGGUCUGUUGAGCGCUAUAAAGCUCGCCUGGUCGCUCGGGGUUUCACACAAACUGCUGGAAUUGAUUAUCAUGAUACUUUUUCCCCCACUGCAAAAAUGGUCACUGUCCGCUGCCUCCUUGCUAUUGCUGCCAGUCUGAACUGGCCUUUACAUCAGCUAGACGUUAACAAUGCUUUCUUAAAUGAUGAUUUAUUGGAAGAAAUAUAUAUGUCUCCUCCUCCUGGUCUUCGGCGACAGGGGGAGAACAUUGUGCGUCGCCUCCACAAGUCACUAUACGGCCUUAAGCAAGCAUCUCGACAGUGGUUCUCUAAGUUCACAGAAGCUGUUCUUGCUGCUGGUUUUUUUCAGUCAAAAGCCGACUAUUCCUUGUUCAUCAAAAGAGAUGGCACAUCUCUUACUAUCCUAUUGAUCUAUGUAGAUGACAUUUUGAUAACCGGGAACAACAUUGAAUCCAUCAAAGGUUUAAAGCAGUUCCUUCAUACUCGUUUCCGCAUCAAAGACCUUGGUGAUCUGAAAUUCUUCUUAGGCAUUGAAAUAGCCCGUUCCAAGAAAGGCAUUUACAUUUCCCAGCGCAAAUAUGCUUUGGAAAUUAUCAAAGACAGUGGAUACUUGGGUGCCAAACCAGUUGAGUUUCCUAUGGAAGAAUGCAGACUUUCAAAUACAGGAGAAUUGCUCAAAGAUCCUUGUAUAUACCAGCGUCUAGUUGGUUGAUUAAUUUACUUAACCAUCACUAGACCUGAUAUCACAUAUUCAGUUCACAUUCUCAGCCGAUUCAUGCAUGAACCACGACAACCUCACAUGGCUGUUGCUCUUCGAGUUGUUCGUUAUUUAAAAUCAGCUCCUGGUCAAGGUUUGCUUCUUCAUUCAAAUAACUCAUUACACUUAACGGCAUUUUGUGACUCUGAUUGGGCGGGUUGUCCUGUCACUCGCCGCUCCACCACUGGGUAUUGUGUAUUCCUUGGCAAAUCUUUAAUUUCAUGGAGAACAAAAAGGCAAAAGACAGUUUUCUUAUCAAGUGCGGAAGCUGAAUAUAGAGCAAUGGCAGGUACAUGUUGUGAGCUUACUUGGUUAAGACAUUUAUUAACAGAUUUACAUAUGCCAGUUUCAGAUCCUGUUACUCUGCAUUGUGAUAAUCAAGCUGCCUUACACAUUGCAAAAAAUCCUGUAUUUCAUGAGAGAACUCGGCAUAUUGAAAUGGAUUGCCACUUCAUUCGGGACAAAAUUUUACGAGGUGAAAUUGCUACUCGAUACGUGAUUUCUUCACAACAAUUAGCAGAUGUGUUUACAAAAGCUUUGGGAAAAGAGAAGUUCAAAUAGCUCAUGUGCAAGUUGGGAGUUAUUGAUAUUCACUCUCCAACUUGAGGGGGAGUGUUGGAAAUUAUAUUAAUAGUGUUUUGAUGUAAAUAGGAAAGUUAUAUCUUGAGAUAAGUAGGAAAGAUACGUAAGAAUAUUUUGUAUCAAUCUGCAUUCAAUUAGCUGUCAUUUCUUAUCAGUCUCUGAUGUAUAAGGGAACCCUAAUGUAUCUUGUAUAUAAAUUGAACUUAAUCAAUACAGAAAAGCAUUCCGCUUGAAUAGUUUUUUACUUAUAAAGUUUUGUUUGGACAUUGUUUCACUAUGGAUUUAUACUUUUGCAUUUCCCUGUUGGGGACAGCAAUUAUCUUUAUCAUUUCAAUUAUGUGUGUUCUUGUUUGUGCCUUUGUUUUGUAAGUUGUUUAAGUUUUUCUCCUAGUUUAGACUUUAAAGGCACGCGUGACACUUUGCUCUACUGUCUCAUCUGACUAUGGGAGUUGCUUCCUCUUUUCUUUUCCUUUUUUUUUUUAAAAAAAAAGAACUAUACAAUGCAGAGAUAUUUAGGUGUACCAUUCUUAAUCCAUUUUUUGCACCUCCUAGCUCUUCAGUCUUGUUCUCUUUCUUUGAACAGAGGACUGAAUCUGUAACAGUUCCUGUGAUGAAACAGAUUAGAAUACACAAUAUCUUGGAGAAAACAAGGAAGAAAAAGGAAAAGGCUGAUGAUAGAAGAAUGGUGUAGAAGGUGAAUCCCCAGCUGUCACGAAGGAACAAGAAAACCUAAGAAAAAAGGUUACUGAUUUGAUUAAAAAAACAAAAGCUGCCAGCUAUGAGGAAGAUUGUGAAGGGGAAGGAUGAUUCAAAACCAUGGAAUGCAGAUGCUAGGGCUAAGGUUUGUGUGCUUGUAAUCAUUGAUGAAAGCUAAUUUUCUUGAACAGAUGUAUCGUGUACAAAUUUGAUUUCUGUCCUUGCACUUUGCAGGUUGGAAGCCGUACAAUUGAAUUGCUGUUACAAACAGCUCAUAUACAGCCUCCCUGUGAUUAGUUAGCUGAUAGUCCAUCUGAACCUCGACCUGAAUUUGUACAUACAUUCAGAACUGUGUCGUAUGAAAAUAAGCAUGGAGUCAUUCUUUAAUUGACUCGAUGAGCUCAAUUUAUAUUUUCUUCCUUGUAAUUGCUUCUAACUGAUGCACAAUGGCCUUUUCUCAAACAGGAAGGGCGCCAAAAAAUAUGGUGUUAUUCAAUGUGACCCACUAGUCCUCAAAGGCCUAGAGAAAACUGUGAGUAACCCUGUCAUAUUUUGUUCUUCUAGUGAUAUCUAGUUUUCAUAUUUUAUCAUCCUUUAUGACAUGAACUUGUGUUGGGGGGCCAUAUACUUUCAAAGCAGAUAGGUUAGUUUCUAGAUUUUAGAGCUGAAACAGAUAAGAUUUGUAGGCAAUUUCCAUGGUGCCUCUUAAGUUGCAGAUGUUUGUCUUUCAUUCUUUUUUCUUGCACAAGAGGUCAUAAAAAUGUUGUUUCUCCAAACAGGCUAGGCACAUGGUGAUUCCUUAUAUGCCAAUGUUGGUGCCACCACUUAGAUGCAGAGGGUAUGUUAACUUGUUUUAUAUUUACAGUUUUGCCACGAUUGUCUUGUUUUAAUUUAGUAUUAUUUAGUUGGAUAUAUUCCAAGUUCAGAAAUAUUAACAUAGUGUUUUGGUUACUUCUGCUUGAUGCCUGGAGCUGUUUUCAAUUUUCAUUUCAAGUUAAAUGCUUAAAAUGGUAUAAUAGAUGAAGGGAUGAAUCUCCUAUUAUCUACACUUGACUUUUGUUUUUCUAUUUGAAAACAGAGCAAGAAGAAGUAAAGAAACUUGCAAACCUCGAAGUCUAAAAAUUUUAACAUUAUUAUAUAAAACUGAAAAUUAAAAAUAUUUAUAUAAAUAAAUUUUUAUUUUAAAAGUUUAAAAUUUAAACUUAAAAUUAUAUCUUUUAACUUUCAUAUUACUUCAUUAAUUUUAUAAAUUACUUAUAUUAAUUAUAUAAUUAAUAACAUAAUUAUAUUAAAAUAUAAUUAACUUUUCUAAAUGACUUUUUACUAUUGAAAUGCAUAUAAAUAAAAAAAACUAUAUUUAUAUUAUUUAAAAAGCUAUUUUAUCAACAAAAAAAAUUAACUUUUAAAAAUAGCAUGUCUUAUUAGAGUUGCACUUAUGCAGAAUUAUAUAAGGGAGAGGAUGGCAAAGGGAAAGAGACAAAAAAUAAUUUAAAUACUCAUUAGCCAACGUCUCUUUAUGUACAGUUAACUUUUGUUUUUUUAUUUGAAAACAGAACAAGAAGAAGAGAAGAAACUUGCUGUGACGUUUUGAAAAUCAAAAAGAUUGGGAAAGGCAACAAAGCCCUUGGAGGUUUAAAAGUGGGUAUAAUAAAUAAGGGGUAUUGUUGUAAUUGAAUAAAACAUGGUAAGAAUAAAAAGAAAAAAAAAGAAGAAGAGAUCUGAAAAUUUAGGGCGAGUGCCGGCAGGAGAGAAGGGAGAAACAAGAAGAAAAAGAGAAAAGAGAGAAAGAUAAAGGAAGAAGAAGAAGAUAAGUAUAAAGGUACGAUGUAGGCUUUGAAAUGCAUAAAUGUGCCUUCUUUUAGCUUUAAAUUUCAGUUUUGUUGAAUAUUAGCAUUUUGAGAUUUUGUUUUGGGUUUAAUUAAUGAAUUGAUUUGAAUGUUAUGGGUUGAUUAUUAUGAGUAAUGAUGAGUUGUUUAGUUGAUUUUGGAAGAUUUUAGGUAAAGAUGAUAAUUUUGAGUUAUGAUUUGUUUAAAUGGUGAAUUUGAGUUAGAAAUAUUGAUAUAACAGUAGAUGAUCUAUGGAAAUUCUGGGUUUGAGGUUGAAGAUGACGGAAAUUAAGUUUGGUCCCUCAAUUUGUGAAAAUUGCAGUUUAGUCCUCAAACUUUGAAAAAUUAAAGACUGGUCCCUGAAGCAUAAUUAGAGAUUCUGGACAGAAAUGAGGAUGAAUUAUGGGCAAAAUUCCAGUAUAGUCAUGAAUUUAUGAUAUUUUUAGUUUGGUCCUCCAAUUUGACAAAAGUUACAAUUUGACUCUAAAAAUAUGAUAAAAUUCCAGAUUGGUCCCUAGCUGUAAUAUUAGAUUUUCAGAUUGGUUUGAUGAAUAAAUGAAGGUUAUUUAGUGAAUUAUUAUCAAGUCUUAUUAUUUGUUUUAUUAUGGGUUAGAUUUCGGGAAAGUCCGUUUAAUUUUUGGGUUUUUGGAAAAAAUAACUAGUUUAGUUUAAAAACAUAUGGGGUUAUGGAAUAUACCCUUAGUUAAGUGUAUUAAAUAGGCUGUAUGUUCUUUCAAGUUAUUUUUGCUUUUUAUUAAGAUAAUCCUGAUAUUCUACUAGUGGAACAUUAGUAGAAUUUUCUUCGGUAUUUGCUUCCGAGUUCUGUUUGCUUUCGAGUUAGAUGAGUGUAUAAUUUUUCAUAUGCAUAAGAAAUAUUAUAAAUAUUUGAGUUGUUAAUAUGAAUUGGAUCAUGCUUCUUGAUAAUAUAUAUGUUGAUUAUUAUUCUUGUUACGAUAAAGCAUGAUCAAUUUUUUAAUCUGAAUUUUUGAUAUGAACCAAUAUAUAUUUUGAAUUGAUAGCUUCCCAUUUGAUUAAUGUCAUGAGUGGAGCCUUGAAAUAUGAAUAUGUCUAUUUGAUUAUGAUUAUGAACUUAUUGUAUAUGCCAGUCAGAAUACCCAUGCUAACAUGUUAGUGUUAGUAUUUAUGCACAUCAUAUAUGAACCCUAGUUGGCUAGGGGAGUCACCAACCUGUGUGGACUGAUCAUCCCACAAUACGGAGCCUCAUGCUCAUUGCAUUUUGAUUUUCUGACGAGCUUUACCUUAUGAUAUUCUUGUUAUGACUUAUUUGAGAAACCUUCCUAUAAGAACCUAGAGCCAUAAUUGUAUAUAUAUUCCUCAUUCUUGUAUUACCUUAUGUGUGUAUAUUGAACGUUAUCUACUUAAUGAGUUGUUGAACUCAUCCUCUCAUUAUUUAUCUUUUCAAGCUUAUAGCUUGUUAGCGGGUCACUUUUGUUGGACCUUUAGGAUCUGUUCUUUUGGUUGUUAAUUAUACUUUCCUUUUUAUAUAUCUAGGUAGUGCUCCACAACUAUAAAAUUGUAUUAACUCUUGUAUUAAAACAAUUAAAUUAUAUUAUGAAGUUAGUUUUGUUGUUAUUGUUGCGUUGAACUCUGAUUUAGUUAUUUAAACGAUAAGUUGGUAUGUAAGUUUGGGUUCGCAUAGAUAUGAAACCUUGAAGAGGAACCUUGUCUAUGUGCCGGUCAUGGAUUCGGGAAUCAGGUCGUGCACUUGCAAACCUCAAUGUCUAAAAUUUUUAACAUUAUUAUAUAAAACAGAAAAUUAAAAUUAUUCAUAUAAAUAAAUUUUUAUUUUAGAAGUUUAAAAUUUAACUUAAAACUAUAUCUUUUAAUUUUCAUAUUACUUCAUUAAUUUUAUCAAUUACUCACAUUAAUUGUAUAAUUAAUAAUAUAAUUAUAUUAAAAUUAGUUUAAUAUAAAAUAUAUUAAAAUAUAAUUAGCUUUUCUAAAUGGCUUUUUACCAAUGGAGAGCUAAUUAUAAUGCUAAUUGGUUUAAUUUGUUAAUUACUCACAUUAAUUGCUAAAUGGUAGAUUUAAUUGCCGAAUUUCUUGAUCAUACCUUCUGUUUCAUGUUUGAGCACAGGAGCAGGCCAUAUACAAAAUGGCGUGGAAAGCAAUUGCUGAACCAAGCUAGCUAGUUGAGGCCAGAAGGGAUCGGUACUAGUUUAUCGCUAUAGGGAUUUUCAUGGCUUCCACCAGCGUGCAAGGAAUAACCUCAUCUUCAUCUUCUUCUCCUCCACUAUAUAUGUAUGAUGUGUUCCUUAGUUUUAGAGGCAAAGACACCCGGAACAACUUUACCAGUCAUCUAUAUUCUAAUCUGGCUCAGAGAGGCAUCGAUGUAUACAUGGAUGAUAGGGAGCUCGAGAGAGGAAAGACCAUCGAACCUGCUCUCUGGAAGGCCAUCGAAGAAUCAAGGUUUUCAGUCAUUAUAUUUUCAAGAGAUUACGCUUCUUCACCAUGGUGCUUGGAUGAACUUGUCAAGAUUGUUCAGUGCAUGAAAGAGAUGGGGCACACUGUUCUGCCAGUUUUUUAUGAUGUGGAUCCCUCAGAGACAUAUGAGAAAGCCUUCGUUGAGCAUGAACAAAAUUUCAAGGAAAAUUUGGAGAAGGUCCAGAUCUGGAAAGAUUGUCUCUCUACGGUGACCAAUCUAUCUGGCGGGGACAUACGGAAGAGGUAAAUCAUCUAUCUACUUGUUCUUAUUCUCAAAUCCUCCCUGUAUUGUUUCAAUGGUUGUCAAGGAACCAUCUCAACCCAAUAGCUUAAGCUAUUAGGUGAGGUCCCAAGAUAUGAUUUAUAUUAUUCUCUAACACACCCCCUCAAGUGAAAGCCCUUUAGGCUUGAAACUUGCACAGGCCCACUUUACCUUGUGCUUAAUUUUUAUCAAAUAAAUGGGGAUGGUGAGAUUCGAACUCGUGACCGCUUGGUCAUCAAGGCUCUGAUACCAUGUCAAGGAACCAUCUCAACCCAAUAGCUUAAGCUAUUAGGUGAGGUCCCAAGAUAUGAUUUAUAUUAUUCUCUAACAAUGGUGAACAAAGCUUUUUUUUCUUUAAAAAAAAUGUUUUUCAAUUGAAACGUGUGAUUAAAUAUAAAAAUAAUCACAAUACUACAAGAAUAUCAAAACUAAUUCUUGAAUAAAUAAUUGUUAGCAUAUAUUUUCGAACCAUUAAAUAGCUAUUAAACGACCCUUUUGUCUACGAUCAAACUAAUUUUUCUCUAAUUUUGACUUUUAAAAUAAAAGAGGAGCACAUCUCAAAUCUCAAUUGUCACAGUUUUUAUAAAAUAAAAAUUGAAAACAAGUUAAAAAAAUUCUUGAACUUUUUGCUAAUUUCUAUUAUUUAAUAGAUUGAAUAAUAAAAUUUGAAUUAUCUAAAUUGAAUUUAUUGAGGCAUCUUUAGAAAAAGUCAAUAUUACAAAGACACUUUUAGUAUCACUAGAAUAAUUUUUUCUGAUUGUAUUAUGGAAUAAUAGAGGAUAACUUUAUCAAUUGUAUUAACAAAAAUUUAAACCCUUGGGAAAUUUCUUGUUUACUUAUGGAUUGUAAGAAUGAAUUUACUAAUUUUUCAUUCUAAAAGAUAAGAGGAUCUUUUUAUAAGGGCUAAUUGUCAUUAUAAAAUUGAUAGGGAUAGUUAGGUAUUUCUAAAAAACAUUUGUACAGUAUAAUUAAUUAGUUGCCCUUAAAAUAAUAAUAAAAAAGAUUAGCUAUAAAGAUUUUUUUAAGAUUUCACUUUUCACCGUACAAUAAAAUAACUUAUUUCCUUUAAAAUAAAAAAUUAUUACCUUGUCUUCAAGAGCUUAUUCAUACUUUAUUUUUUGUGAUAAAAAAAGAAGAAAAGUCAUCCUGCCUUAUUUUAAAAUAGAACAUACAAGCGAGUAAGUCGUCUCGCCUUACUUAAGCAGCACGAGUAACGAUUUAUGACACCUAAAAAGUGCCUUUAUUGAUGAUUUCUAAUUCAUCACGACAUGACCUACCUCCUUGAGUAAUUCUCUCUGGAUUGGCGCUAGAAGACUUUUUUUCUUUUCUCUCACUUCUUGAGUUUCGCAUCCAACCUUCUAAAAUUUUCUAGUAGCUUUUUAAUUUUUUUGUUUUAUAUUUAAUCUAUAUUUUUUUAAUUAAUAUUUUUUUGUAUUUGAAUUAUUUUAUAGAAUUGAAAUUUGUUUUCAAUUCUAUACCUUUUAAUUUUUUAAUCUAUUAGAUUUGAUUCUCAUUUUUUAAUUAUAAUUUAUUUUAUAUAAGAUUAUUUUUAAUUUUUUUUUUGAUUUCAUCCUUCAUUUUUUAUUGUUAUGUUCUUUUAUGUUGGCAAAUUUUUAAAAUAUAUAUAUAUAUAUAUAUAUAUAUAUAUAUAUAUAUAUAUAUAUAUAUAUUAUUGAUUUUCAAGGUAUGACAGAUAAUAUAUAUAUAUACACACACGCAACUUGACAUGUAGGUCUCACAUGUCAAAAACAAUUUCCUAUCUUUUUUUGUUAGGUUAUUAUGAUCAUUUCAUUUAUUAUUUUGCACAAAAAAAUAUGUGAACUAAAGUUAAUAUUUAUUUCAAAUGAUCGCUAAAAAAGAGUUAAUUUUUUGCCUAAAAUAUUGUUAUUUUUUUCCCAAUUUAAAUAAAAAUAAGUUUAUAUUAAUGAAAUGAUCAUUAUAUUGAAAUUAAUAUUAAUAUUGUAUAAAAAUUGAAAGACCAAAUAAAAGAUUAAAUAGAGAAGAAAGACAAAGAAAUGGGUUGAAACAAUAAUCAAAGUAAAAGAGAAAAUUUGAGUUGCGUGUGAUACAUGUGUAUCUUAAGGUGUGUGGAUUGGAUUUGCGCAACCAAUUAAAUUAUGUGAAAAAUUAUUUUCGGGCUAUACUAGUAUGAGAAAAAACUCGAAAAUUAAUAAAUUUAAAGUUGUUUUUUUAAAAUUUAUUAUGCAAGAUAAUUGAAUUUUUUGUUAAAAAUAAUUAUAAAAACAACUUAGUGGUUGACAAAAAGUAUGAUAGAACUUCUUUUGCUUUUUGGUCUGUUAAAACCAAACUUCAUGGAUAUUUUAUUUCCUACCUUUUGUUCUUGUAUGCAUGCUUCUGUAGUAUGUGUGAUUCUACAGGCAAUAAGAUAGCUAUUGUACGGAUCAUUCUUAGCAUCAAUACAAUCCUAGUUUCGUUUUCAGUUUAUUCUUUCCUUUUCCUCUCUGUUCUUGAAGCUAUCUAUUAUCAGGGCCCUAUCUUUCUCAAAGGUUGGUGUAUUAAUUUCCGGCUAACAACCAUACAUUUUACAGCUAAAAUAUGCUAAUGUUUAUUUUCCUAUUUCAACCAUGAUUAAUGUUUUGCACCCUCCUAUGCAGGAAAGAGUCGGAAUCAAUAAAAAUAAUUGCUGAAUACAUAUCGUACAAACUAAGCGUCACUCUGCCAACAAUUAGCAAAAACUUAGUUGGAAUAGAUUAUCGUCUAGAGGUAUUAAAUGGCUAUAUCGGUGAAGAAGUAGGCAAAGCAAUCUUCAUAGGGAUUUGCGGAAUGGGUGGCAUAGGUAAGACGAUCGUGGCAAAGGUAUAUUAUGAUAGGAUUCGUUGGCAAUUCGAAGGCAGCUGCUUCUUAGCAAAUGUCAGAGAAGUUUUUGCUGAGAAAGAUGGACCACGUCGUUGCAGGAACAACUUCUUCUGAAAUCUGAUGGAACGUGCUUCUGUAUGGGAUUCUUCUAGAGGGAUUGAGAUGAUAAAGCGGAGGUUACGACUUAAAAAGAUUCUUCUUAUCCUUGAUGAUGUAGAUGACAAAGAACAACUAGAAUUCUUGGCUGAGGAGCCUGGAUGGUGUGGUCCAGGGAGCAGAAUUAUCGUAACUAGAAGAGAUAAAAAAGUGGUUACUGGAAAUAAUAAUUAUAACAUUUAUGAGGCUGAGAAAUUGAAUGAUGAUGAUGCUCUUAUGUUGUUUAGCCAGAAAGCUUUCAAAAAUGACCAGCCUGCUGUAGAUUUCGUGGAACUAUCCAAGCAUGUUGUGGGUUAUGCUAAUGGCCUUCCACUAGCUCUUGAAGUUAUAGGUUCGUUUUUGUAUGAAAGAAGUAUCCAUGAAUGGAGAGGUGCAAUUAAUAGAAUGAAUGAGAUUCCUGACGGCAAAAUUAUUGACGUGCUUCGCAUUAGUUUUGAUGGUCUCCAUGAAUCAGAUAAGAAAAUAUUUUUAGACAUUGCAUGUUUCUUGAAGGGGUUUAAAAAAGAUCAAUAACGAGGAUACUUGAAAACCGUGGAUUCCAUGCAGGUAUUGGAUUACCAAUUCUUAUUGAGAGAUCUCUCAUAAGUGUCUCUCGGGAUCAAGUCUGGAUGCAUAAUUUAUUACAGAUAAUGGGUAAGGAAAUUGUUCGUUGCGAAUCCCCUGAAGAGCUUGGAAGGCGCAGUAGACUGUGGACAUACGAGGAUGUCUGCCUUGCACUGAUGGACAACACAGUGAGUAGCUAAUAGAGAACAUUAUCCAUAAGAUUUCAUAAAGAUUAUUUUAAUUUAAGCUCAAUCUAUACUUUUGGUUGACAGGGAAAAGAAAAAAUAGAAGCCAUUUUCUUAGACAUGCCUGGAAUAAAAGAUGCACAAUGGAACAUGGAAGCCUUCUCUAAAAUGAGCAAACUAAGAUUGCUCAAAAUCGACAACGUGCAGCUUUCUAAAGGACCUGAAGAUCUUUCCAAUAAGUUGCGAUUUCUUGAAUGGCAUUCUUACCCUUCAAAAUCAUUGCCAGCUGGUUUACAGGUGGAUGAGCUAGUUGAACUUCACAUGGCUAACAGUAGUAUUGAACAAUUAUGGUAUGGGUAUAAGGUG